UAGGAAGUGGAGGAAGCGCCCCAAGCUUUGGGAAUGAGGGUAUGGAUGGCUCUGGGAAUGAUGGUUUAGGGAAAGAUGGCAAUGGUGGGAAUGUUUUUUUAAACAAACUUGGCGUUUGAGGUAGUUGCUGAAGGUGACGAGCUGUUACCCCAACAUCAAUGCUUGCAAAUGACAAAGUCAUCAAGAAUGCUAAAGCAAAGGAAUUGAAAGAGGCCAUUUUUGUGGAGAGAUUUCGAAAGUAAUGAAGCAGAUGAAACAAAGUUCUUUAUCUAAAUAGGUGUGAGUGAGGAAAACAAAGCAUGGUGUUGGGGGUUUAUAUAGGCAUUAGCAAUUCAGAAAUACACUUAUAGGCGAAGUGAAAAACAAUAAAUUAUAUCAUAAAUUAUGAUAGUAAAAUAUAAUUAUAUUAUUUUAAUAGUCUAUAUUUUUUUUAUAAUUCUUAGAUAAUUAAAAUAAUUUUUUAUCAUUUUUGAUGGGUCAAAAUAUAAUUUUAUUAUUACUAAUUUAAAUUUAUAUAAAUUAUAAAAAAUCUGAAUUAAAAAUUUUCCAUUCAUGCCUAAUCGCAAUGGGGAUUGCGGGAAAUAGAAAUCCCUGCCCCUAAACAAUGCCACCAAAAUAAAAUAGCGCCAUGUCUUUUUUAUAUUUUUUCCAUUUUAAUCGCAAUUCAUUUUUAAAUAAAAACAUUAUAAUGGUUUAGGUUAAUUUUUAAAUUAUUAUAAAUAAAAUAUUUAUAACUGUUUUUUUAUAUUAUAUUAAUUUUAAUAUUUCUCCAAUUAACAUAUAGUUUAAAAUUUUAGUUACAAUUUUAUUCAAGAUUUAAAAGAAAAAAAACACUUAUUUUAUAAAAAAGAUGAGUUACAACUAAAAGAAAAAAAAACAUGUGGCAGUGGCAUAACUUUAUUAGGGAGCUAGAUUUUUAGUUGAAACUCAUUUUUUUAUGAAAUAAAAGUGGUUUUUUUUUUAAUUUGAAUAACUUUGUAGCUGAUUUUUCAAACUAUAUUAUUAACUGGAGAAAUAUGAAAAAUAAUAUAAUAUAAAUGCAAAAACAAUUAUAAUAAAUAAAAUUUUAACCUAAGUCAUCAUAAUUUUUUAUUUAUUUAUUGAAUAAAAAGUGAAUAUAGUCAAAGAUUGGACGAGUUUAAUAAGUUGAGUUAUGAAAAGUUGAUUAUUACUUUUUAUUUAAUCCUCUAUUAGACAAAAAAAAAACUAAAAUUGAAAAAUUGAUUGAGGGAAAAAAUGGAGUUUCUUGGUUUAGAUUUGCUUUAUAUCUAAUUUUUUUAAAGUUAAAUAUAAAAUUAAUAUCUGAACUUAUUCACUUCUUCUAAAUUUAUAUUUAUGGGUUUAGACUAUAUUGAUACUUGAGACUAAGGGUGUCAAUUUUUUGUUGACAUGACAGUGUUGGCCAAUCGCAUGCCGCUACAUAACGUUGUCUUUUAUAUAUAUAUAUAUAUAUAUAUUUUUUUUUUUUUUGUUUUUCCUUCUCUUCCCUUUUUCUUUUUUUUUUCUUAUAUUUCUUUUUCUUAUCUGUUUCUGCACUUCUUUCUUUCUUUUGUAAAAAAAACCCAUUUGCUUCUUCUUUUACCUCUGCUUACAAUCUCCAUCAUUGAAGAAGAAGCUGAAGGAACCCUAAUUUCUCUAAUCCAUUUCUUUGCUUCAUUUCCCCUUAAUCCCAAUCCUACAAAAAUCCCAAUACAACAAACCUCAAAAACCCAAGCAAUGGCCAGACUCCAUUCGUUCUUGUUCUUCUUCUUUCUCAGAGGUUGAUUCAGUAGGUUCAAUGACCUCCAUGGUUAGUUUUCUUAUUGCAGGUUAUAAUCCUGAAAUGGAUUCUUAUGGGCCAGUCUUAGAAAGGAUAGCUUUGCUCCUGGGUUCCAGGGAUGGCUCCAUCUUGUUUGUGGAUCUAAUGAGCUUCAUCACACCGCUCGCCUCCACAGUGAAGCUUCCGACCCACUGCUUCUCACUUACAUCUUGGCUAAUUGAUUCAAUCCCUACAUUUGGAUUUUUUUACAAUGGAAUUGGAUCCUGCACGAAAUCGAUUAGUAGUUCGACUUAGAGAGAGGAUUUUGUGGACAAGUGGUGAAGAUUUUGAAAAUAAUUGACACUUGGUACCAUUAAACAUGAAAUAUGAUUUCACUAAUGUUUCUAAUCCAAAUGAGAAGUAUCUUUAUUAUGCUAUUGUAAUUAGUCAAUUUACUCCUGGAGAGCAAAGGAAAAAUGGUCGAUUAGUUUUGCUUGACGAUAGGAGUUUACAAAUUCGAGAUGAUUGGUUAAGAUUCGAUUCACACAUCUGUGAUGGUAGAAGCACAGAGAAUGGUUGCGAGAGGUGGGAAUGACCAAAAUGCCGAAACAAAGGUGAUAAGUAUGAAGUAAGAACCAUACGAUAUACACAUAAAAGAUUCUUUUAAUGACACAUUAUAUGGAAACACCAAUCUUUCCUUGAACGAUUGUAAGGACAUAUGUUGGAAAGUUGGAAAUGUUUGGGAGUUGAAGCGGGAAAGGACCUUGGUUGUCGAUUUCUUUUAGGGCAUUAUGAAGAAGGUGUGUUGGAUGGUUUCUCCCAUUCCAUUUUGGGGGGGUUUUGAAGGGAAAAAAAAACAGAUAGAAGAAAGGUAGAAGACGAAGUGGUAAAAAAUGAAAAAAAGAAAAGAAAAAAAGUUGUAGCAGUCAAAGAGGUAGAAGAAGACGAUAGGGAAAGGAAAUUUCAAAGGAAAAAAUAAAUAAAAAAUAAAUAAAAGGUUUUUAAAAAUAUAAAAUGAUAUAAAAAUAAUUGAAGGAACAACUUUUUAGGCCAAAGCGAGUGACACGUGGCAGUGCGUGAGUGGUAAGCACUGCCACAUCAGUAAAAAAUUGAUGCCGUGGGUCUUAAGUGCCAAUAUAGUGGACGAAAAAAAUAGUUUGAAUACUAAUCAGAGACAAAAAAAACCAUAAGUACCAAUCUGGGAAAAGUGGACAAGUUUGGGUACCAAUUUUAUAUUUAACCUUUUUUUGUAAAUAGAAACAACAUUAAGAAAUUACAAAAAUAAGCAGAAAUAUGGCGCCCCAAACUUGGUCGGGACUGUCCGACCCGAAUUCGAUUGGCACAUUAACCACCGAAAGGACUCUCUGUUUAGACCACCACAAAGCACCUCAAUCAACUAUUCACACCACACAAUUAUUCAAAGAAUAUUUAAAAAGUUUAUAAUCAUGCUUCUGUUGUGCUAGUCUGAUCAUUCAAUUAACAGUAAGAAUAAACUUAAUAUCUAGCAAACAAAAUACCCCAAAAGCUUCAGUAACACAUGCGUGCAUGCAAAAAGAUAUUUUGAAAGGCUAUGUUUGAAAGGAUAUUGGAAACAGUUUUAUUUAAAAACAUGUGAUUAGAUUUAAAUCGUAAUAUAGUAAAAAUAUCAGAAAAACUCCAUUUCACAAGGUUUGAGAAUAGUAUUAUAGGAUUAUACGUAUAAGUCUUGUUUCGAAAGAUCAAUUAAAACAUUACGUACAAUUUCAUAAAAUUUGUCAUUUAAUUAGUUCGCAGGCAACUAACAGUUUACGUUAUUAGUCCAAUUUUACAUCUCAUGCAUACAAAGCACAUGUUUGCUUUCAAAACACAUAUGAAACAUUUUGGUCUUACCUUGACGACCGGCAACUCUUCCACCUACACUUACAAGUUAGUCAAUCAAUUAAUCAAAACAUUAAUCAAGCAUUCAUAAUGUACCAUUCAAUCAUCUAUCUAAAGCAGUAAUAAAAGUUCCAAGUCAAAACAAAGUCUAAUCCUAAAUCCCAUAUUUGGUCCCACUUUGCCUUACUCAUUAGGGUUGGGAACACAUCAAUAUACCCACGUGUAGCCUUGUUUUGGAUCACUUGGAUAACUCAGUUCCACACCUCAUCGCGCUCUAUAUCACUAUAAUGUUCUAAAAGGGAGUUUGAGCUUAUUGAAGCUCAGUGAGUGUUCAAACAUACCACAAAUAAACACAUUAGUCAGCUUUGGGUGGACAUAUCAUAACAAUUCACGUAAUAUUAAAGUUCAUACAAAAUAGUGACUCACGCAACACAACAGUUUUCAUAAAUAAACAGUGCACAUAGACUAAAAAAUUUACAUAAAGUAAGCUGUUCACGUAAAAUAUAAGUUCAUACCACAUCAUAACUCAUAUAUUUCAAAUGAUGAUAAGUUGACAUUUUGUGAUUUUGAAACAUAUAGGGGACUCUAUCACCACAUAUAAGUGAAAUCUAUCACUACAUAUUGGACAAAUGGAUCUCCAUAUAACACCUCGUUGUUGACUUAAAAGAGCCUUGCGCUAUCUCCGAUAUAAGUGUAGCAUGGAUACUGACACUCUCUUUACCCAGACUCAUAGACUCUUUGAUGCAUCGUUGAGAGCACCAAAAAUAACCUAUCCCUAUAAAAUAACGAAAAGAAUAGUAUAAGGGAAGUAGGGUCAAAUCCUUAAGGAGUGGAUUUUCACAAAUUCCUGUUCCUUGAGAUCCCGGGCAGAGUCGUGCCCAAGAAAAACUGCGUACCUAGAAAGAAAAAUUUUAAAAAAAUAGAAUUAAAAGUUUGGAUGAAUUGAACUUGCGUAAACUGAAAUUAAAAUUGUAAAAAAUAAACAGAGUUGAGAAAAGAGAUUUUUUGAUGGAGAGGUUCCAGCCUCCGGUUAUAUCGAUCCUCCUUGGGUUAAAUCCCAGGCUUUUAGGUGAUACUUCUCGAACAGAACAAGCCAGUUAUAGUGGAAUAGGACGUCUAUGACCACCAGCUCCAAUUAGAUUUUAGAAUUACGAUUUAGAAGAAACUGACUCUAGCCAACCGUCACUCUUGUGGGACCAUCUUACAGUACAUCAUCAUUUCUCAAUGGCAAAUGUCACACCAUUUUUUCUCUUGGGCUCGACAACCACUGAUGCAGUAAGCUAACGAACCGAUUGUGCAACCUUCCCAAAACAUACAAAGUGGCCGCCUUUGCACAAGAUGAAAAGAUCACUUUUGGAAGGACAUGGACGGAAGCGUCAGUCCCGUGAUGCGGAGAAAUGAUGAAUACUCGUUGAGAAGGCCAAGUGCGGAUUCUAAGCCUCAUGAACCUUUUUUGGGGAAUCUCAACAACCUUUGGCUAGAUGAAUUUAGUGGCUCAUGCUUUUUAGGAAAAAAGAAAUAAGCUUAAUAAAAAUGGAAUUUUAUUGAAUAAAUGAAAGGAACAAAGGCUAGAGCUUUUUGGGAGGAGUUUUUUUUAACAGAAAAGAUCGAGAGCAAUUUGUGUCACUCUAUCCCCUAUUUAUAAUACUAAGAAAAACUAGUUUAUUCUUAUCUAAAUUCUAAAAGAUAAAUAAAGAUAAAUAAAGAUAAAAGCUAAAAAUUAAAUCUAAAUAAUAAUCUUAACAAUAAUCCUAAUAAAAUUCAAAUUUAAAUAGAGUCUUUUGUUCAUAAAUCUCUUCUUUGCACUUUUGCCCCCCAAGUCUGCCACACAUUGCAUUUUCGGCACCACUUCUUUCCUAUUUCGUAUGCUGGCCCAUUUUAUCUUUAAAUUCACGAUUUUUACCUCCAAAUUUCCUUUUGCCUUCAAUUUAGUCCCUACAAGAUAAAAAACCAUAAAUAGCACAAAUUAGUAGGAUCAUACUCAAAAUAAAUAUGUAAUUAAUACGUAAAAAUAUGUCAUUCCAGAGUAUUAUCAAAUUCCCCCUACUUAGCCCAUGCUUGCCCUCAAGUAUGGCUCAUAUCCACCGUGAAAUUUAGAUUUUACCAUGAAAGAAGUAUCAUUCCAAAGUUUUAUAAAAAUUAGGCAUAAUGCAUAUGAAAAUAAAGAGAACCUUUAGCUUGCUUUAAGUAAAACUGAAAAACUAUUCCAAUUUAAACACACAAAAAUUAAAUCGUCCUGGCCUAUUUCAUGAAAAUAAGGUCAUUUACUAAACUUACCAAGACACCCAAUUUGUUUCCAACUUUAGUCCUCAAAUGCAAUUCUUUAUUAUUAUUAUUAUUUACUUGUUUUUCCUUUUUUUUUUCUUUUUUAUGUUUUUCUUUGCUUAAGAAUAUAUUGAACCUUUUGACGCGAAGAGAAAUGACAACCAAUCACCCCACCCUGGUUACUCAGCCCAACAUACUCCUAAUUUAUUAUAUUUAUAUAUUUUUUUCUUAAGAAUAUAUUGAACCUUUUGACGCGAGGAGAGAUGACAACCAAUCACCCUACCCCAGUUAAUUAGCCCAACGUAUUCCUAAAAUUUUUUUGUUUAAUUCCAGUUAACGGAGUUUUUCCUAACACGUCACACAACCUUUUGACACGAAGUAGGAUGACAACCCAAGAACCCUACCCCGGUUACUCAGUCAAUCACGUUUUAAGCUGUAAUCAUAACCACAGAGGCAUCAAAAUUUAUUAUUAUCAUGAAACAAAAUUUUAAUUUGGAGGACUAGCAAAAACAAUCAAGUGUCAAAAAUAAUUUUCGGCAAUUCCCUAACAGUCAUGAAUAGAAAUUUAACAUGCAAUUGUAUUAAGUGUCCUCUUUACAUUUAAAUUUAAUCGAUUUUCCUAUAAGCAAGAUAGGGUUAACUCUUUUAAUCAUAACUAUUUUAGCCUAAUAGAAAUAAAACAGUGGAGAUGAAAUCAAUCUAGCAAAAUCAUAACUAGCUCAGUAGACAAGAAUCAUGCUCGCAGGUCAAACAGUGGGCGAUUUCUGGUUAAAGUCUUGGGCAUGAAACGAGGCAGGAUAUACUAUAAAUAAAUGUGGGCAAAAAUGAGCACAAGGUAGCAGCAACAGUAACACAAUAGUAAAAUCAACGAAUAAAAUGAUAGAAAUAAUGAGGAAUGUCUCCCUCUGCUUAAAACACAUUGCCCUCGAUGUGAAAGAAAAAGGAAAACAAAUAUGUGAAAAAAAAGUUUUUAAAAAAAUCCCCAUGUAGACACUGUCGUUCAUGCAUAGCUGCAAGGAGGAGAAGGUUUGGCGUUGUAUGGAGGAGAAGAACGAGGGAAAGCCGUUCGUUAACUAAGUUAACGUGUUGGGGCACUGAGAAUCGACGUUGGUGGCUGUUGACGGCAAAUGAGGGUUUGGCGACGGCACGGCUUCUUGUCCUAACCAUGGUGGUGGGAAAAAAUCGGUGGUAGGGAUGAGGGAGAAGGGGAACGACGGUUGGAGGGUUAUUUGAGUGAAAAUGGGGAAAAUUUUAAGGUUUGAAGGUGUAGAAGAAAGGGUGUUUGGCUAUAAGGUAGGUGUUUGGCUAUAGGGUAGGUGUUUGGAUGCAUAUUUUGGGUAAGUAUAAAGCAGGGAUGUGCUAUUCCUACUUGGAAUAGGGAUAAACUAAGGGGUGUUUGUGAAAGCAUGCCAAUUUUUAAGUUUUUUCCCUGCCGAUUUACCUAGACAGAAGAAAAGAAAUUUAUUAAUAUCCAAAUAAAAUAAAGUAAUAAAUAAUAAAAUAAAAUAAAAAUAAAGAAAAAUAAAAAUUGGGUUGCCUCCCAACAAUCGCUUGUUUAACGUCAUUAGCUUGAUGCCCCAACUAGUAUUGGGGUUGUUCCAGCUGAAUUCUUUCGUUCGUAUAGGCUUGGGAAUUCUCAUUUGUUACCACAUCCACCAUAUUUGGGUUCAAUUGUCCUUGCGCCUCUUGCUUUGGUUUCGUUUUUUCCUCUAAGAAAAUCUUAUGUGUGCCUGUCAAGGGGUUAAUCCCUUUUAAGUCGGCAAUAGUCUCAUCAUUAUCCAAAAAUACGUAUUUGAGAUGCUCGGAAAGUGGUUUGAAUUCCAGAUUUGGUGCCUGCACAACUGAAGGUAGAAGUUUAGUGUUCAUCGGAGACAACAAUUCAUUAACAGAUUUAAAAUCAUCAAACAUCAUUUUAGGUUUAUCUCUAUGAGAUGACUCAAAAUUUUCUUCUACUAAUGAGUCAAUUAUGUCGACAUGGUUUACGUUCAAAAUUUCACUAGGAUGACUAAUAGCACCAUAAACGUUAAAUUUUACGAUCUCCCCAUCAAACUCCAUCGUGAGGGUUCCGCUACGUACGCCAAUCUUAGUAUUUGCAAUACUAAGGAAAGGUUGCCCCAACAAGAUGUCUGAAGACCUAGGAGCAAUAUCCUCUUCUAUUUUUAUCACAUAAAAGUUUGUAGAAAAGAUAAGUUCAUUGACUUUCACUAAUACGUCCUUAAAGACUCCUUCGAGAUGCAUAAUAGAUUUAUCUGCUAAUUGAAUGUUAACACCUGUUUUCAUAAAUGGAAAAAGGUAUUACAUUUAUGGAAGCUCCUAAAUCACACAUAGCUUUUUUAAUUCCUAAGUGACCUAUUUUGCAUGAUACUGCAAACAUGCCCCUGUCUUUACAUUUUGCUAGAAUCUUUCGUUGCAACACCGCAGAUACAUUUCACCAACACUUACACUUUCAUUUCCAGUCAAUUUUCGCUUGUUUGUGCAAAGCUCCUUAAGGAACUUGGCAUAUCGCGAAAUUUGUUUGAUGGCAUCCAAUAAUGGUAUGUUGAUCUUGACAUUUCUAAAUGUUUCGAGGAUCUCUUUUUCCUCCUUACCUCUUCAAUGUUGGUUCAAUAGUCCUGGAAACGGAGGUUGAAUUAACGGCAAUGGAGGUUUUGUUCGGACCAGUUCAUCGUUCUCCUACUUUUUCUAGGAAGAAUCUUGACCAAGAUUCCUGCCAGGAUUUGGUUCGAGUACUUUUCCACUUCGCAAUGUCACUACAUUUGCGUUUUGUCUUGGGUUAGGUUUCGUUUGUGGCAGCAACUUUCCUUGUGAGUUCAUUUUCUCAAUGAUGUGGUCAACUCUUUUAUAGAUGCCUCAAGUUUCUGUUGAAAAUCCUUUGUUUCUUUUUGGAAAUCAAUAGUUUUUCGUUGUAUCUGCUAUUGGAAAUAAAGCACAUUAGCUACUAAUUUAUUGACCAUGGUUUCUAGAGAGGUACCUGAAUCUUGCGCUUGUUAUGAAAAUUGAUUUUGGUAUGGUUGGUUAUAUUGUAGGUUUGCCCCAUAACUUAAGUUAGGAUGGUCUUUCCAUCCUGGGUUAUCUGUAUUUACAUAUGGGUCAUAUCGCCUUUGGGGCGGUCCAGGAAAGUUCCCCAUAUUAUGUUCGGGUAUUGCACAUAGUAUUGCCUUUAGGCCAUAGUAUUGUCACACAAACUAGGGCAUGCAUCAGUUGUAUGUUCGGGUAUUGCACAAAUUCUGCACAGUCGGGCUUGUCCUGUUUUUACUGCAAAAAGAGAAUUUACAAUAUUAGUAAGUUUAUCAACUUUAUCUUUUAAAGUUGAAUUACUUAGCUGGUGAACCCUUCUAUUGGGUUCAAGAUUGGCUCAGAAUUAUUAAGUAUUUGCAGCCAUCGUGGAGAUCAAGUCCCUUGCCUGUUGGGGGGUCAUGUUGACUACUGCCCCUCCACUAGCAGCAUCUAUUAUAUUCAUUUCCAUGGGCUUCAAGCCCUCAUAGAAGUACUGGAGAAGAGACUGUUUUGUUAUCCCAUAUUGUGGGCAACUUGCGCAUAACUUUUUAAAUCACUCCCAAUAGUCAUAAAGAGACUCCACAUCUUUUUGCCUUAUCCCAACAAUUUCCCUCCUUAAUUCAACUACGCGUGAUGUUGGAAAAAAUCUGUUGAGAAACAAACAGGAAAGAUCAUUCCAAGUUGUAAUAGACCCAGGGGGUAGAUAAAAUAACCACUCCCUAGUAGAGUCUGCUAGGGAAAAAGGGAAAGAAUGUAAUUUGAUCUGAUCUUUAGUUACGCCCUGAGGUUUCAUACUAAGAAAAACCAUAUGUUUUAGAUGUUUGUGGGGAUUUUCAUUUUGCAACCCCUGAAAAGUCGGCAGUAACUGGAUUAAUCUUGACUUUAGUUCAAAAUCAGUAUCCAUAGUAGGAUAUGCAAUGCAUAACAACAGUUGUUUUGCAGGAGCUUCAGCCAUUUGCCGGAUUGUUUGAGCCAUAGGUUGAUGUGCUAGAUUCGGGUUUUCGUUAACCCUAGCAUUAAGCAUUUCUUCUGGUGGAUUGACUCUUAGCCUUUCGUUCUCCAAUGUUUGAGUAGGGUUUUUGUUAACCCUAAACUUAACUUCAUUGCCUGCUUCUAUUUCCGGCGGUCUAUAGGUUGAUGUGCUAGAUUCAGGUUUUCGUUAACCCUAGCAUUAAGCAUUUCUUCUAGUGGAUCGACUCUUAGUCUUUCGUUCUCCAAUGUUUGAGUAGGGUUUUUGUUAACCCUAAACUUAACUUCAUUGCCUGCUUCUAUUUCCGGCGGUGGGUUACUCUGAGUCCCUACCACCUCUGAUUGCUUUUUACGUAGCCUUGUUUCCUUGCGAUUAGCUUUCGCAGUCUUCUUUAUUUCUGAAUCAAACAUAAGAAUACCUAGAGCAGAUUUGGUCAUAAGAAACAAAAUAAACAAGAUUAGUAUACUAGUCCCCAGUAACGGCGCCAAAAUUUGAUUCGUCGUUGAGAGCACCAAAAAUAACCUAUCCCUAUAAAAUAACGAAAAGAAUAGUAUAAGGGAAGUAGGGUCAAAUCUUCAAGGACUAGAUUUGCACAAAUUCCUGUUCCUCAAGAUCUCGGGCAGAGUCGUGCCCAAGAAAAAUGGCGUACUUGGAAAAAAAAAAUUAAAAGUUUGGAUGAAUUGAAAUUGCGCAAAUUGAAAUUGAAAUUAUAAAAAUAAACAGAGUUGAGAAAAGAGAGUUUUUGAUGGAGAGAUUCCAGCCUCCGGUUAUCUUGAUCCUUCUUGGGUUAAAUCCUAGGCUUUUAGGUGAUCUUUCUUGAACAGAAUAAGCCAGUUAUAGUGGAAGAGGACAUCUACAACCACCAGCUCCACUUAGAUUUUAGACUUAUGAUUUAGAGGAACUUGACUCUAGCCAACCGUCACUUUUGUGCGACCAUCUUACACUAGAUCAUCAUUUCUCAAUGGUGAAUGUCACGCCAUUUUGUCUCUUGGGUUCAACAACCGCUGACACAAUAAGCUAAAGAAUCGACUGUGCAACCUUCCCAAAACAUACAAAGGUCACCUUUGCACAAGAUGAAAAGAUCACUUUUGUAAAGACAUGGACGGAAGCGUCAGUCCCGUAAUGCAGAGAAACGAUGAAUACUCGUUGAGAAGGCUAAGUGUGGAUUCUAAGCCUCAUGAACCUUUUUUGAGGAAUCUUGACAACCUUUGGCUAGAUGAAUUUAGUGGCUCAUGCUUUUUGGGAAAAAAACUUAAUAAAAAUAAAAUUUUAUUGAAUAAAUGAAAGGAACAAAGGCUAGAGCUUUUUGGGAGAGGGAGUUUUUUUUUUAACAGAAAAGAUCGAGUACAAUUUGUGUCACUCCAUCCCCUAUUUAUAGUACUCAGAAAAUCUAGUUUAUUCGUAUCUAAAUUCUAAAACAUAAAUAAAGAUAAAAGCUAAAAUUAAAUCUAAAUAAUAAUAUUAAUAAUAAUUCUAAUAAAAUUUAAAUUUAAAUAGAGUCUUUUGUUCAUAAAUCUCUUCUUUGAACUUUUGCCUCCCAAGUCUGCCACACGUUGCAUUUUUGGCACCACUUCUUUCCUAUUUCGCAUGCUGGCCUAUUUUAUCUUUAAAUUCAUGCUUUUUCCCCCAAAUUUCCUUUUGCCUUCAAUUUAGUCCCUACAAGAUACAAAACCAUAAAUAGCUCAAAUUAGUAGGAUCAUACUCAAAAUAAAUAUGUAAUUAAUACAUAAAAAUAUGACAUUCCAGAGUAUUAUUAGUCUUUCGCUGUCUCCGGAUAUAAUGACCAUCGUAAUAAAGAGGGUGAGUACUCACAAUUUGAAGAAAACAACAAGUUGUAUAGCUAAUUUGAAGUUGAAUGUGAGAAGAAUAAUGAUGAUUUAAUGAUUUUUCUUUAAAAUUGGAAGGUGUUGAGGUGUUUGGAUAACUAAAAAAUCACUAAGGAUGAGUUAAUUUUGAGAGAAAAUAUCAGAUUUGAACUUGCGGAAAAUUUUGAAUGUAAAGGUAAAUUGGAGGGAAGGGACGCCGGGUUUUUAAAGAAGCAAGGAAGAUGAAUAGUUUUUUUUAAAUUAAGGGAAAAUUACCUUUUAAAGACUCUGUUUUCCCUUGUUUUUCAAAUCAGUCCUUAGUCUAAUUAAAACACAUUUUUCUCAAUUAUUUUCAAACCGAUCUAUUUUAAGUUAUUUUAUAAUCGAUCACCUGAUCCUAAUUUUCACUACCUAAUUUUAGACACAAUAAUUAUUUAAUAAUUUAUUAUUACCAUUGUUAUUUAAUUAAUUAUUUUAUCCUAUUUUAAUCUCUAUGAUAUUAAACCCAAUUUUUUCACUCGAGCUUACAACCAAUUACCCAAUUCUACUAACCCGAUUUUUGGGAUGUGACAAGAAAAUUAAAAGCUCAUAAUAUCCUUUUGGAUUAACUCCCGUACAGCUUGAGGAGGUUCAAAAAACACCUGUAGAUUGGUAAAAUUUAUACCAGCUUGCUUAGCCAUGAAAUCCGCAACUAUAUUAUGGUCUCUAGGAAUAUGAUGGAUACAGACUUUCUAAUUCCUUUUUAAUAGUGUAUGGAUGACACGUAUUUCCAUAAGAGGGCUAUCAAUAAGUUUGCUAGACAAAAUUAAUUUCACCAAAAGAUCAUUAUUAGAUUCAAGUUCAACCUGUCGGUAUCCCUUUUCCCAAGUCAAACGUAGCCCUUCAAGCAUACACCUCGCUUCUAUCCUGAAAACUUCAAUUUCUCCCCAAUAUCAUCGAAUAGCCACACAACCAAUUACCAUCCUCAUCUCUAAUGAUUCCUCCAAUUGUAGUCGAGUAAGAACUAAGCGAAACUACAUCAUUUGUAUUGAGUUUAACCCAUCCGCUCUUCGACACAGAAAAUUUUAAUUAUAUAAUACUUAUAUUUAUUAUUUGAUUUAUAUAUAAAAAUAAGUAAAAAAAUUAAUCCAUGGAAAAGGUAGUUGAUUGGUUUAAUAAUUUAGAUUUAAUUUAAGAAUCAAUUUAUUAAACUCAACCUUCUAUGAGAUAAUUUUUGAAUUUAUGAUGAAUUAACUUAUUUUCUUAUAUUCUUAAUUUAUUUUUAGUAUUUUUAUUUUCUAUUAAUUUGAAGUAUUUUACCAUUAAUAUAUAAUUUGAAAAUUGAGUUAUAAUUUUUUUAUUAAAAAUGGUUCACAAAUUGAACUUAACAAAAGAAAACAUUUUUAUUUUAUAAAAGAUACAAGAGUCAAUAACUCAUUUCUUUUUUCAAAUUGACUUUUUUUUUUCUCUAAGUUGAGUACAAAAUUAACUUGAUGAAAAAAAAAAGCAAAUUAAUUUACUGAUCAACUUGUCGGAACUCAGAGUAGCUGAAUCUUCAACUAUAUAUAAUUUUUAUGGUUUAAAAGAGUAAAAAGUACUCAAAUUUUUUUUAAGGAAAAAAUAAUAAAAUUCUUAUUUUUUCUUUUUGCAUUCAAUUGGGUACUUUAACUAUCAAAAUGCAAAAAAAAAAGGUCAUUUGAUUGUUAACUUUAACAAUUGACCGUUAAAGUUAACUUUCUCUAAUUUUUUUCAAUUAAAGCCACCACGUUUCAUAACCACGACGUGAUAUGUGACAGAGAAAUGAUAAAAAAAAUAAAAAUCAAUAAAAGUUAUAAAAAUUAUAAAAAUUGUUAAAUUUUAAUAAAAUUAUAAAAAUAUUUAAAAUUAGAAAAAAAUUAUAAAACUCGUAAAAAAAUAUAAAAACUGUAAAAUUUUAUAAAAAGUGUAAAAAAUUAUAAAAUAUAUAGAAAUAUAGAAAAAAGAAUUUAUAAAAUUUUAUAAAGUCGUAAGAAAAUUAUAAGAAAAUGUAAAGCAAUAUAAAAUUCAUGAAAAAUAGUAUAAAAAUUAUCGUUCCAAAAGAAGCAUUUUAUAAAUUUUAUUGAUUUUUAUUUUUUAUCAUUUUUUGCCACAUGUUACGCUGUGUUGCGACAAAUGAUGGCUUUAACUGGAAAAAAAGGGGGUUGUUAACUUUAGGUCAACGGUUAAAGUUAAUGGUUAAAGGUUUUUUUGAUGCAUUUUAGAAUUUGUUAUGAUUUUUAUAAAAUUUUAUAAUUUUUAAUAAUUUUUUAUUAAAAUUUAAUAAUUUUUUAUAAUUUUUUUUAUUUUUUAUAAUUUUUUUCCACAUGUCACACCGUAGUUGUGACAUGGGGUGGCUUUAAUUGAAAAAAAAUAGGGCAGUUAACUUUAAUAGUCAACUGUUAAAGUUAAUGGUUAAAUGGACUUUUUGUUGCAUUUUGACAGUUCAAUACCCAAUUGAGUGCAAAGAAAAAAAAGCAGGGGUUUAAUUGUUUUUUUUGAAAAAGUUUGAGGGCAUUUUUGAUUCAGUUUGAAAAUUUAAUUAUCCAAUUAAGUGAAAAAGAACUGGAGCUUAAUUGCGUUAUUUGAAAAAUUUUGGGAGCUUUUUUAUUCUAAAAAAUAUGAUGACUUGGAUUAAGUUUUUAUUUAUUAUAUUCGGACAAUUUUAAUAUGUUUCCUAUCAAUAUAUAAUUUGAAACUUAAUUACAAUUUUAUCCAAGAUUUUAAGGAAAACACUUUCAUUUUAUAAAAAAAAAUGAAUUAUAACUUGCGUAAUUUUGAGGGGCACGAACCUCCGAUUUAGCAAAGUUUCCCAAACAUGUUAUGUAUGAUACUAGUAUUUUCAAAGUUGAAGGUGUAAAUAAACUACACUGUACUUGUCAAUUGAGAUAGGUGAAUUCAGUUUAAACGAUUUUGACAUCAUUCCAAAUUUUAAUUAAUUUUGUGUUUGAGCCUUUUGAUUUUAGAUAAUUCAAAUUUAGUAAUCAAAAAGCUUUUCUCUUAAAGUACUCUUCAACUAUGAAACACUAAAUUGUUACAAAAAUAAUUCCUUUUUACUCCCUUUAACUUCAUUUUGAUUUUUUACAAAACACUUUAUGUUAUACUAUAAAUAUUAUUACAUGCGUACGCGUGUUGAAAUUACGUAUUUAGAACACAGAUGCAUGAUUCAAAAUAACAUUCAAUCAACAAUGAAAUGUAUGGUUUGAAACCAAUAAAUAAUAAUUUAUGAAAUAUAUACGAUAUUAAAAUAAAAAUAUUAGAUUGAAUUGUGAGUAAACCAAAAUUUAAACAUAAAAAUUCAUCAUAUUAAGAAUAUUAAAUGAUACAAUUGUUUAUCAUGGUGGUUUCAUCAACCCUAAUUUGGUGUCAAGUUACUUUGUGACACAAACUCCAUCAACAUCAUUAUUAACACUAGAAACUCUAUCACACGCGUAUGUGUGUGGAAAGUACAUAUUUAGAACAUAGAUGUAUGUUUAAAAAUAACAUCCAAUAAAUAAUGAAAUAUAUAAUUUGAAACUAAUUAAUCAUAAUAACACAUGAAAUAUGUACAAUAUUAAAAAUAAAAAAUUAGAUUGAAUUGUGAGUAAAACGAAAUUUACACACAUAAAUAUAUCAGUUUAACAAUACUAAAUGUAACCCCACACCCAACCCAGUUGUCGAAUCCAAAUGCAUAAUAUUGCAUUUUGUUGCCAAAACAUCACAAACUAUCUCAGAACAUUUCAAAUAGUGACUUAGCAUUUAAAUAUAAUAAAUCUCAUACAUUCUUGAUUUUAUAUAAAAACAUGUUUAAUAAAUGUAAAUUGGUCUCAUUAACUGUUUUGGGUUUAUACGGAGACAAAAAAUGAAGUCAGGUAUCGUGUCCAACUCGAUUUAAUAAAAUUUAGCGUUGUGCCUUGAGACAUUGAAAGUCAUGUCUCGAAACUAGAAAAAAAUACGGUUUUGAAGCUGGAUUUCAUUAAUUGAGUUAGUGAAAAUUUUAAUCAAAGAGUUGCCAUUAUUAAUGUAAGAUUUUAUUAUUGGAUGGUCGACUAAUUAAAUUGAGAAAGCCGUUAAUUAUAGUGCAAUGGACAAAUUUCACUCAAUAAAGACUAAAGUAUUACAAAAAAAUAAAUAUUUAACAAUAAAAUUUGGCAUACUCUUAUUUGUCAUUUUACACAUAUAAGCUUUCACCUAUCAAUUAAGUUUUACCAAACACUUUUAAAUAAAUAGUUAAUAGAAUCAGCUGAUCAAAUCAGUUAAUAGAAAGAAUUGGUCAAGUCAAUUAUUGCAAUCAGCAAUAAGUUAUUAGUCAAUUGCCAAAGAUAAUAGUUUAAAAUUUUAGUUCUCAUUUUAUUCCAUAUUUAAAAGAAAAAAAACACUUAUUUUGAAAAAAAAAUGAGUUACAACUAAAAGAAAAAAAAACAUGUGGCAUAACUUUAUUAGGCAGCUAGAUUUUUAGUUGAAAGUCAUUUUUUAUAAAAUAAAAGUGGGUUUUUUUAAUUUGGAUAAAUUUUUAGUUAAUUUUUCAAAACCAUAUUAUUAAUUCGAGAAAUAUGAAAAAUAAUAUAAUAUAAUAUAAUAUAAUAUAAUAUAAAUUAUAAAAAAUAAAAAAUAACCUAAGUCAUCAUAAUUUCUUUUAUUCAUAAAAUAAAAAAUGAAUAAAUUGGAUUAAUAAUGUAACAUCCAAAAAUCGGGUUAGAAGAAAUGAGUUAGCGGAACCAAUAGUGGUUUCCCCUUGAUUUUGAAUUAGAAUUUUGAAAGUUUUGUAAAACCAAUUGAUUUGAUUUAGUGGUUAAGUGCUUUGAAUGUGUGUUUAAAGUCUUAUGUUCAAAUCUCUCCUUUAGAAUUUUUGUUAUUUUUUUGUCUUAACCUAUAUCAUUGAUCAUCUGGCAUAAAUUCUAUUUUUGAUCAACUGAUCUUAAGAAUGAGCUUGUUGGUUCAAUAGUUAAGCUUCUAUGUACCCUUUGGUCUUGUGUUCAAAUUUUUGCGUAAGUAAUAAGAAAAUACUUUUAUAUUAUUCCGUAAAUUAGUUUAGUUUUUUUUAUUAACUUCCUUCUCCUAUGUUCCAAAAAAAGUUUACCUCUCCUAUUUAUUUUUUUAUUUUUGCUUUUCUUCUGAAAAUUUCUUUCGUUUUGCUAUCUGGCGUGGAAUUGAUCCCGUGCGGGCCUUGAUCUUUUCUCUCGGUUCUAUUCUUAACGUCGGUAAAAGUUCAAUUGGUUAUAUCACUAGUAUGGUGGUUUUCUUGUUGGUUUCUGAGUUCUAUAGUAAAGGACAAUUCUUCCUUAGGAGUUUGUUAAUUGAUUGUUUGAAUCAGGAAAGGACCGAACAACGUCUAGCGUUCCUUCAACUAUUUAAGAAUCGCGUGUCUGUUGUCUGUUUGUCGGUAAGUUUAGUUUGGGGUUUUGUGUUGAAAGUUCUUCGACCUAGUUUUGGUUUGGAUGCUAAUUCAAAUGAUUUGAUUCGAAUUAAUCAUCUGAUUCGGUCAUUAUAACAUUGUUUUUAGGUUCGAGAAUCAUCUUUGUGGCUUCCAUAUCAAAACCGUACCAGGUGUGUAACAAAAACCCUACUUUCUACGUUUGGUGAAGGUUGGAAAGCAUGGCUGUCAACGCCUAUAACCGUGUGUCAGACCGUGUGGUAGGCCGUAUAACUCGCUAAUUGGAAUUAGAGACAUACUGGCUAGAGACACGGGCGUGUGUCCAGGUCGUGUGAGAAGAUCCUUGGGUCUUGAGUCACACGUUCAAGCCGUGUGAAUCACAUGGGCGUGUGGGCCAAAAAUCGUUAUUUUUCCCUAGGAUCAUAAACGUCAUUUGAAUCGAACGUAGGCCUUCCUUAGGGUUUGUAUUGUAACACCCCAAACCUAGCCUAGACGUUAUGGCCGAAUCUGGCGAUGUCACAUGGAAUGGGAUUUGAAGACAAGAUUGUCGAGUUAAAACUGUUACAGUUAGUGAGCUUUUAUUUAAUUCGGAAAAAAAUAAAUACUAGUUGAUUUGCUUUAAAACUUGUCUCUUAGCAGAAGCUUUUGUAACCAAUUAAUUUAGUGAAAAUUGUUUCUAUUUAUGAAAACCUUAGUUUUUAGAAAAACCGUGUUUUGUUUAGUUGCAGUUUUAAAAAAAAUCCUUAAAAAUAGUAUAAAGUCUCAAAUUUAAAGCCAACCAGUCCAUAGUCCAAAAGUUACAUCAAAAACCCCAAAUAAGUAAUAAAUUAUAGACAUUAACGGAAAACAAUCUAAAAUUUAAGUAUGGCCACUGUCGAAUCCUCCGCUGCACUGACCAUCAAGUCUGGGGAUUACCUGUACAGAUUAAAUAGAAAAAGGGUGAGUUUUCGCAAACUCAGUGUGUAAUCCCCACAGAAAACAUGCACACAGAUAUUCAACAGCAUUCAAUUAGAUACAGUCUGGGGCCUAGGCCCAUCAAAUAAUUAGUUUGGGCCUUGGCCCAUGUUAGAUACAGAAUGCAGAUACAGUAGAUCAGAAUCCUACCCACCAGCUUCUACACAUCAUCUCCGUCCAACCCCACACACGAUGUGGGGAUUAAAUCAACCCACCCAUCCCUACACACCAUGUUGUUCCAAAAUGCAGCACAUAAUCAGAAGGUUGCAGCUGGGCUGCCAGAUAAGAGGCUUAAUAGCCUUUCAGACACUUUCUCCAAAUAUCAUCAACCCACCCCGAUGCAAUGCAACAUGCAAAAUGUGUCAUGCCAUUGUGCAAUUAAUAGUACAUACAUUCAGAUAUCAUAAGUCAUACUCGGUAUAAAAAUCACUCGGACAUAUCACACAUAUAGGGGUCUAAGUAAAGCUUAUCGACCUUACAGUAGGUCCAUAGUCGACUUGGGCGACCCGUGCAACCUUACAGAACUUUUCAGAAAAAUGGGCUCACACGCCCAUGUGGCCUGCCCGUGUAGGCCACACGCCCGUGUGGCCCACUCGGCCCAAAUUGGCCUUGGCCGCGUGAUCCAUUUUUAAUGUAACCCAUGCUAGCUAAAUAUUCAUAUAUGUUUUCACUAUUUACUUAUAUGUUCCUUCAAAGAUGUCUACUGGACUCACUAUUACUAAAUUAUUUAUAUCUUGAGUUAAAGAAUUCCCAAUUAAGGUCUGCUUGAUGUCUUUGAAACUACACUCAAAUACCUUUCUACCAUAAAAUUUUUUAAAUUUUUGGUUUAGCCAAUAAGUACAGUAAAAUCUUCAAUCUUACCCCUGUUCUGCUGUCUGACAGCUUCGACCUUUCUUUCCUAAAAAUUAAUUAUCUCUUAGUACAAAAUUUGGAUGAUAAUACCAUUUGUUUCUAUUCAAAAUAGACUCAUUAAUAAUUUAAAAAUGUAAAUUUUAACCCCUAAUUAUUUUUAUUCAAUUUUUGAUGAUUUUCCAAAGUCAGAACAGGGGAACCCUAAUUCAUUCUCACAUUGUCUCACAAAACUUAUUAUCUCUCACGAUUUACAAUUUCAUUACUUACACUGUUUCUUCUAUGAGAAACUAGAUUCAAUAAUCUUUAAUUCCAUUUUUUUCAUCCUCUAAUUCGAUUUUCACAAUUUAUGGUGAUUUUUCAAAUUUAGCCAACUUCUAUUGUCCAAACAGCAAGCAAUUUCAGCUUUUCACCGAAUCCCAUUUUCUGCGUUUCGGGUACACACCUGGUUUUUUUUAUGCUAAAACAGUCCCCGAGCACUCCAAAGUCUAUAGUUGAACAAAUAACACUAAUUUAAUCUCACAUAACGUGAUUCCAAAUCGAACUCAUAUCGAGGUUUUAACCCAUAAGUGACUAAACCUUACCUUCAACCGACGAACAGUAAUUCCCACACAAACUAAGACUCCGAUUGGUGAUUACGAGCCCUUGAAUCCUCCCCCAAUUGGCAUAAGCAAAACACUUCAGAAGAAAGUUAACAAACGGAGGCAAAUCACUUAUAUAACACUUACCAAAUGAUCGAAGACAAACAUGGAGUGACACGAGGCAGAGUGGGAAAAGAAAAGUCAAGAAGAUGAAGGAUGAAAGAGAGAAGAAAUUCGGCAGCAAUGAAGAGAAAAACGGCAAGAGGGUGGAAGGAUUUUGGGGAAAGGAAAAAAAGAAAAAAAAAAGAUGAACAGAAUAUUUGAUAACCACCCCAAUCCCUUAUUUCUCUCCAUCAAACUCCCCACUAAAUCCACUACUCAGAUUUUUAGUCCAUCUCAAACUCUCCUGGACACAAGAGCAAAAAUAAUUCCCAUGCCAAGAUUCGAACAAAGGACCUCCUUUACACCAACACUCCACUUAUCCACCAGACCAGCAGGCUCAUUCUGUUAAUUAUUUGCCAACUUUUACUUAAAAGCCUACUAACCAAAGAUAGGGCUUAUUUAUAAAAAUACCAAAAUUUGCCCAAGUCCUGGCUUGAACUUGGGACUGCCCAAACACACCCAGAACACAUAACCACUAAAGAAGAUAGGUAUUUUGUGCCACACAUUCACAAUACCCAAAAUUAAAACUUUGGGGCGUUACAUGUAUGAUCUGAAAUAAGCUAUAAAAAUUGAUAUUUGAUGAAAUGUUGAUGUAUAAUCCGUUAUCUGGUCGUAUGUCUGAUAUGAUAUAAGCUAAGUAAGUAUGAUAUGUUAGCGUAUAAUAUGCUUUUGUUGGGACAUGUUUAAGGUAUGUGAUUUAUUCAGGUAUGAUUUGUGCUUUGUUAAUUUUGAUGAUUCGUUUUUGUGUAUUGUGUUGGAUGAAGACAUGUGAUAUCUGAAUAUGUUAUUGUGUAUGAUACUGAUUCUGAUAUGUAACCAUGCAUGUGAUUUCAUGGCAAGUCUAAUAUGAAUCAUUAAGAUGUGAUCAAUCUGUCUUGCAAAGUGUGGAUUCCCAUGCCUUCUGCUUCUGUUAUUGUACGACAACACGUCCUACAUAAUUAUCAUUCUAAUUCUAAAUAUGGAUCUGCUUCAGUGGUUAAAUGUCUUGGGUGUGUGUAUGAGGUCUUGGGUUCAAGCCCUACAUUUGGAAAAUUUUUGUUAUUUUUUAUCCUAGCCUUAUCCUUGGUGGGUUGGGUUAUAUUUUAUCUUUAGUUAACUCAUAUUAGAAUGAGCCUGCUGGUUCGAGUGGUAAGGAGUUAGUUCGCUGGAGGUUCUAUGUUCGAUUCCCUAUGAGAGCAUGGCUAAUAUUUUUGUUUUGGUUAUGAGAUGGAGGUUGGGUGGAAGUGAAAUUCUGAGGUGGUUAAGAGUUAGUGGGUUAGUGGGGGAGUGAGAGAAAUUUUGGGGAUAUGUUGUCAUAUCUAUUUUUUAUUUUAUUAUUUUAAUUUCCCAAAAAUCUCUUUCUUUUUUUUUUGACGUUUUCUAUUCCCGUAUUUACAAAUUCUAUUUCUUUUUGUUUUCCCUCAAUUUUUCUCAUCGCCCGUUAACUCCUAUCAUUGCUUUUUUAAUUUCAUUGCUUCUCGCUCGAUUAAGGUAAGUAGGGUUUCAUCUAUUGGAGUUUUCAUUUUAUGUAAGGUGGAUUAUAUCCUUCCGUGUUGGCAUAUUGGUGUAAUCGUGGAAUCUAAUUUUUUUUGCGAUUAUUUUUGUGUAGGAGAAGGCUAUGAGCAGUUAGUUUUGCUCUAUUUUCCUGAACGGUGUUAGUGGUGGUUUUCAUCAUUGGUAAGUAGAGUUUUUUUGUCAGAUUUUUGUUGACGAAUUCGUAAAUUAACCGCUAAAUCAGUGUUUGGUAUUUUGUUCCUAGGUUUCGAAGGUCUCGAGAUUUUUUUCUCAUAAAAAAUAAAUCAGGUGUGCACCCUAAACACAGAAAAUUGAGUUUCGGUGAAAGCCGAAAAAGCAUUAUGUCGAUGCACAUAGGCGUGUGUCUAGCCGUGUGGUUGGUAGUGUACGAAACAUGGCUAUGUGUUUGACGAAGGCGUGGUCGUGCGCAGGACAUAGCCGUGUGAUGGCGUGAGUGUGGCCGUGUGGGCCACACAGGCUAGGCCAAGUAGGGCAUGUAGGUUUGGGGCAAGGCCGUGUGGCCACACGGGCAAGGCCAAUCUAGGCGUGUAGGUCCAUAAUUUUGAAAUUUUCCCUAGGGUUGCACGGGUCGUUACGAUCGACUGUGGGCCUAUCGUAGGGUCGGUAAGGGCUAACCAAAUCCUAUUUUAUGUACUAUGAUAAUUUGAUAGACUAAUCUGAGUAGGAUACUAAAUGUAUGUUUGACUGUACCGUUUAAGUAUGCAUGUUAUCUGUAUACAAGCAUGUUAAGCAUGUUAAAUCUAUUAUAUAUGUAUCUGUAUCUAUAUACUGUAUCUGUGUUUGGGGUGGGUAUUGUAUAUGUGGAGGAAGUGAUCUGUAUGGCGACACUUCGCCUAUAUUCUAGUAGCUUGACUGCAUAUUAUCUGUAACAUGUCGCAUCGACACUACAUAGUGUGUAGGGAUGGGUGGGUGUUUUUAACCACACAUAGUGUGAUGAGAUGGUCGGAGAUGGUGUGUAGAGGAUGGGGGUAGGACACUAUAUCUACUCUAUUUAUCUGAUUCUGUUAUCUGCAUCUGUUAGAGACCUAAGUCUGAAUUUGUAUCUGUCUGUAUAUAAGGUUUCUGUGUAUAUUGCGUGCCUGCGUAUCUUAUAAUAUCCCGAAAAUUACUACUGUAAUACCCCGAAAAUUACUACAGUAAGAAAGUAGGUAUCCUUGAUAGUAAAAUAAGGAAAUAAAGUGACAAAAAGGGAAAUUUUGAGUUAUGGCAACAUUGGGAAUUAUAUUAUGACAUAUUAAUUCAAGAAAUGAUUAAAUCGUAAAAGUGAGAAAAGUUUUGUUGCCCAAGAGUAAGUACCCAAAAUUUAAAGGGUUAAAGUGUUAAUAUGAAAAAGUUGAAGGACCAAUAGUGUAAAUAUUUUAAGGGUGGAAUUUUGAGGGACUAAAUCACAAUUUUACCAAAUUAAGUGAUGACUCAAGGAUGGAAUUUUUAAAGAUUAUAAAGGGAAAAAUGGUCAAUUAGAAGAGAGAGAAAUCUAGAAGGCAAUGAUGAUGUUGGUGAUAUUUUAAGUUAAUUAAUUAAUUAAUUAAUUAUUAGUUUAUUAAUAUUUUAAUUUGAUUUUUAAAUGAUAUUUUAUUAUUUUAUUAUUAUUCUAUUUAGUAUAUAUAUGGAAGGAAAGAUGAAGAAUCUUCAUCUUCUUCUCAUGCAUCCAACGUAUGAAGAGAAAAGAAAGAAAGAAACUUUCUUUUCUUUACAAUUUGGUCCUUUCACCAAAAAAUCACCAUUUCCACUUAGAAAUCAAAAGAAUUUUCAUAGCCAUCAAGAGAGAAAGAUAACAAGGAGAUAAUGGGGAGCUAGAAAAUCAAGUUAGAUUCAAGAAAUAGAGGUUGGAGGAGAGAGAAAAUUAAGUUAAAGAUUGAAAUCAAUAGGACAAUGUAAGAACAUCAAGAUUUCAAUGUAUUUUUAAGUUUGUUAUUAUUGAAAAAGCAUGGAAAUGAUGUUAUAGUAGAGUUUUCUUAAAUGAAGUCUUAUGUUCUUGAUAUAUUAGUGAAGGGAAAUAAGAGAAAGUGAUGGAAAAUAUUAUAGAGAAAAUGAAUAAGGAAGUUUUAAACUUAGUAAUCAACAUUUUGCACUAAAACAGUUUUGGACAACAGCGGUAGGCUAACUUUGAAAGAUCACCAUAAAUUAUGAAAAUAUAAUUAUAGAAUGAAAAAAAUAUUUAAUUAAAUCUUAUUAAGUCUAGUUUCUCAUAGAAGAAACGUGUAAGUAAUGAAAUUGUAAAUCAUGAGAUAUAAUAAAUUAUGUGAGACAAUGUCAGAAUGAAUUCGGGUUCCCCUAUUCUGAAUUUAGAAAAUCAUAAAAAAUUGGAGAAAAAUAAUAUGGGCUUAAAUUUAUAUGUUUAAAAUCCUGAAUGAGUCUAUUUUCAAGAGAAACAAAUAGAAACAUCAUCCAAAUUCUGUACGAGGAUAUAAUUAAUUUUUAGUGAAGAAGGGUCAGAACUGUCAGACAGCAGAAUAGGGAUGAAUUUAAAGAAUAAACUGUACUUAUUGGCUAAACCAAAAAUUCUAAAAAUUUUAUAGUAAGAAGAUAUGUGAGUCUAGUUUCAGAGAAAAUUAAAAGCUCUCAAUUCAGAGUUACAUAUCUCAAGAUAUAAAUAAUUUUGUUACAAUGACUCAAGUGGACAACUUUGAAUGAACAAAUAAAUAAAUAGUGAAAUUAUAGAUAAUGUUACAUAUAAGCAUGUUAUAUACAUUAAGGAUGUGGAAUGGAGAGGAGGAGGAGGAAAAUAUAUGAUUAUUCAACUAGCAUGAGUUUUCAUUAAAAAUGGCUAAUUUGCGUGUUUUAGGUUCAGGGACUAAAUCGAAUAAAAGUAAUAUUUUAAGGGUAAAUUUGUAAAAAUGUCAAAAAGUGACCAAAUUGCAUGAAAUGAAUUGUUUUAUUAUUUAAAUUAAUAAAUUGAAUGAAAUAUUAAUUUAUAUCAAGAUUGAGUGGAAAUUCGAAGGAAAAUAGAAAAUUACCAAAAUAUCCCUGAAUUUUGGUAUUUCUGCAAUUUAGUCUGGUAAGUUCGUGUAACUUGAAUUAUAUUCUUAAAUGAUUGAAAUAUAUAUAUUGGAUUGAGAAAUUGAUUUGAAUUGUGAACAUGAGAAAUUGUGAAUUGAAUGAAAUGGAAAUAAAGCUUUGAAUUACAUGAGUAAAUAUCGGGUCUCGUAGGCCCUAUUUGUUAUGAAUAUAAUAUUUCGAGGAUAUGUUGUAAAGAAUUAUAAAAGCACGUUAAUAAUUUAAAAGAUUUAAUUCGGAUGAAAUUUUGUAACUUGGUUUAAUACGUAUGCAAAUGUAUGUCUUCUAGUAAUACCUCGUACCCUAUUCCAGCGUCAAAUACGGGUUAGGGAUGUUACAAUGUGACAUCAUCAGAUUCGGUCAUAACGUUUAGACCAGGUUUGGGGUGUUACAUGUCUAAUUCUGUUGGGUUACAUACUAAGUUUAUGGAAACUCACAUCUAUUUGUUUGUUCUGUACAAGUAAUCCAUAGGCUUAGAUGAAUCUGUGCGACGGAGUCUCACGGUAACUACAAGGGUGUGAACUGUGUUUAAAUAAUGGUUUUUUAUUUAAUUAAGGAUUAUUUCUGGGAGUUUUGUAAUUAUUGGACUCUCCGGACUGUUUGAUUUUUAUUUGGUUUUGGAUGUGUUUUGACUCUUUUACUGCGACGUUUGUUUAGGAUCACGAUUUUUCAAAAAUAAAAGAUUUUCUUAAAAUACGAGCUGGAUUUCCAAAAUAUAAUGAUUUCUAAAACUUCCGCUAUAAAUUAUGUUUUGGCAAAAGAAUUAAUUAAAUAAUGUUUUCAAUAAAAGUUGUAUAAACGAAAAUGGGAUAUAAAACUGGGAUGAUUUAUUGAACAACUAUACAAAGCUUUAUCGUAGUAACACUGAUUUCAAAACCCUUCAUCUUAACAUUACCAGAUUCUGCCAUAACGUCUAGGUCGGGUUUGGGGUGUUACAAAGUUUCUGGCAGUUUAUUGAUCUGUAUUUAUCUGGUGGUUAAUCUUCAAUUUUGUUUGGCAGCUUGUCUGCAAUUCUAGUGGCACAGUCCACAAUUAUUUGUUGGUGUGAUAUGGUUGGAUGAAUUCUGGGGACUCUAUUUUGGUGUGUCAUGGAGUUGCGUAGAAUGUUUUCUGAAUAAAAAUCUACAUUCUAAUUUUUUGAAAAACACUAUAUUAGCAUAAUAGUACAUUCUCCUUCUGUUUAUACGAUCAAUAUGAAAAUCUCUAUGAUACUCUGCUUUGUUCCACUCUGGUUUUAUAAUCGUUAUGAAAGUUUCUACGUUACUCUGACUUGUAUAUUGUUGUUUAUUUAAUCUCUGUUGAGUUUUGUUAUACAAUGAGCUUUAUAGCUCACCCCUUUGUUAUAUAUUUGUCUGUUUAGGUAAAAUCUCUGGCUUAGGAUCGAACGACAUGUGGGAGCUCAAAUAUUUUUUGCAUUUGAUGUAUAUAUGGUGAAUUUAGUAAUCUAUUUCUGAACUUGUUUUGGGUUUUUUUUAAUUCAUCAGUAAUUGAUAUUUUCCAUAGCGAAAUGGUAAAAUCACUUAAGUCAACAAAAUGGAUUUUGGUUUUCAAAACUAAAACUCCGAAAAAGUUUUUUUUGCUGAUAAUUAAAAGUUUUUUUUAAUGACUGUUUGUGAAAGUCGCAUUUUCCAAAUACUUACUAAAACCAGUUUUCCAAAUGAGUCAUUGUAAUUUCUCUAGAUUCAAUCAUAACUUCUAGGUCGAGCUUGAGGUGUUACAUUUAGUUGUAUCGAAGCCAAGUUUGCAAAACAUGGGCUAUGAUUUUUGGGUUCAAAACUCUUCCAGAAAAAUAUUUUAAGUAAGUGGAAUUUCUAACUGACUUUGAGAUUUUAGGGUUAUAAAAAGUGUGUGUUCAAAUUUUGAUUAUUUUCGAGUCUAUAAAUAGAGAAUUCGAGACUUCAGCACCGGUCCUGUAAGUAUCUGUACCUCAGCUAUAUUAAAUGAACUAGCACAAACCAUACUGCUAUGGUUACUUUGUUUUAGUUAAAACUCUGGAAAUUCUAUGAAAAUCUCUCUUAAAACUUUAGACUUAGGAUUCUUAAUAAACCUAAGCUAAGUCUUAAAUUUCUGAAACUGAGGAUUAGCAUAAUGAGUAUGGGUGGUCAUGAUGCCUGAAGAUGUGGUGGACAUAGUCAAGUGACCCGAGUCGAGUUUUCUUCUCGUGGCUAUGAGUCCAAUUUGAAAAAAAAUUACAAGUAUGCUAAGACGCCCAAAUCUGAGGCGGUAGUAAAGAAUCUGGGGAUGCUGUUGUGCCCCAAGAUGUGUUUGAGGAUUUGCAAAAGGUCAAUGGAAUCCAAUUUGGAUUUGUGGGUCAAGAGUCUGUGAUUGAGCGACCUCAGCCAAAUAAGAGGAGCGUUUUAAGCAUGGAUCGAAUUCUGAUUUGCGAUCACUAUAAUAAGCGUGUCUCAGAUGUGGAUUCGUGGAGAACUGAGUUAGGGAUUGCUCGCAUUACUCUUUUACUUAUGCAAGAAUUAAAUAUAAGUCAAAUAUUCAAAGAUAGAGAAAAUGACAGAAAUAGCAAAUAUUUCAAAAAGAGAGAUUCGAACAUAUGACCUCAAACACACAUUCAGAGCACUUAACCACUAAAGUAGAUAACUUCACUUAACAAAUUUUAACAAAUCAAAAACUCAAAUUUUAGGGUGUUACAUCCUCUUUUAAUUAUAUAAUAUUUAUAUUUAUUAUUUGAUUUAUAUAUAAAAAAAUUAAUCCAUGGAAAAGUUAGUUGAUUGGUUUAAUAAUUCAGAUUUAAAUUAAGAAUCAAUUUAUCAAACUCAAACAGAGUUAUCUCUAUUGAUUUUGUAAAAUCAAAAGAUAACAUCACGGAUCCGCUAACUAAAGGCUUAAAUCGAGAUCGUGUUGAUAAAACAUUGAAAGGAAUUAAACUAAAUCCCAUGAAAAUAAAAGGCGCUAUGUGAAGGGAAACCCUACCUAGUUGACUUGAGAUCUCAAGAUCUAGGUUCAAAGGGACAACCUAAUUACAUAGACCUUGUGAGGUCAAUGUGGGGGUUCUUAUCCCAAGUUCGUUCUUAUGAUGUAAACAAUUACUAAAAAUGGGAUAGGUUAAGCAAUGCUUUUAAUGACCAUUGUGUGUUUCGGUGAGCCGAACAACAUAAGUCACCUAUGUGAGAGUGAAGUGAGGUUGCUUCAAGGAGACUAUUAGGGCAUAGUUCUCUCAAACUCUUGCAGAAUCAGGAGAUGUUCAUGGCUAUGUGAACAUAACCAUGAGAACUAAAACCUUGCUAGGGAGGUAGUUGUGUGAGGUAUAUCAUCGUUUACAAAAAUGACAGAACAGUUCAAGGGCAUCACGUCUACUAGUCAGCUAGUAAAGUAAAUAUACUUUCACAGGGGAAGGUUCAAGGGUGGAUGCCUGCCUAUCCUAUACAACUAUCGGUCAUAGAUUCUAUCACCACAUUGAGUCAAUGUUUUUCCGUUAAAAUUAUCAAUUUUCAUUCAUGUGGGGGAUUAUUGGAAAAAUUGUAAUUUUUGGAAAUUCUGAGGCAUAUUCUCUAUUGGUAAAGGUGGAGAGUUGAAUCAUAAAAUUAUGGUUUUAUAUUCUACUGCAUGAGACCUUUACAACGGUAUAUCAUACGCUCAAAAUGGUUGAGUGAUGAAUAAGAAAUUGAUGCUCAAAUUAAGCUACUUGGAAAUAUUUGUUGAGGAAAAGAAAAAGCUUAAAUCCCACAUUGGUUAAAUACCAAGUGUGAGAUGUGUAUAUAUAUGAGAACCCACUUGAAAGGUGAUUGAAUGACUAGGCUUGAAACCCUGUCUCGCGCGCAGGGGGUGCAGAUCCAAAUCCAUUGGGUGGGGUGCACCUGCACGCCGUACUGCUUGAACAUUUAAUACUAGAAAUGAAUAAAUUCGUUUGUUAUCUCUUCAUCAUUUCAAAAAAUUCCCAUUUUUAUUGUAAUUGAAUUUACAUAAUUUCAUAACCAAUCAUGAAUGAUUGACCAGAGCAUUGAUACAAAUAAUAUCCAAAUACCAAAAUCGUACCCUAUAGAACUUUCGCAAAGCAAAAAACCCCUUAGGAAGAUCAAAGAAAAACCAUGUUCUUCUUUCGUUUCCGUAAAAAAUUCUGAACCUAAUUUUUUUCAAAAAAGCAUGGAUAGUACUUUUGUGUUUACGAGACAAAGUUUUAACACAAGAAAAUCAAAGUAUAUAUUUUAUUUGAUACAAACUUUUUUUUUUAAGAUCCAUUGUUAUAAUGAGAAAGAUUUCUGGAUAUAUGCACAAAUCGGUCAAUAAUAUCAGAAUCGGGGGAAUCGGCCCAUGUCGUCUUACUAAUCGGAUGCCCUAAUGUGUUAUAAAAUUUCGCCUUAGAAAAUUAUCCAAUGAGUGAAAUAAUUGGAAUUCUUGUAUCCAACGUCUUCACAACAUUAUCUAUUAGAAAUGAAUUUUCUAGCAUUUGACUCUGUACCACUGAAGGAUUUAAUCGCACACUUGAAAGAUAGCCCAGAAAGUCGAGCAAAUAUUUAGAUAAUUGAUUUAUAUGGACUCUUUCUGAUUGAGACCAUAGGUAAAAAUAAUAUUGUCAUAAAUCGACAAAGUAAUAUUUCCACUUAUUGAUCAGAAGUGACGUAUCCUUUGAGGCCAGAAUUCACUUUCCUUGAUACCUAAUAAAAUGUAUGAAAGGGUCUUUGAACAACCAUAGGUUGUUCUGAAAAUCAUUAUAAAAGACUUCACCAAGAUACUUUAUUUUUCCAUAGAAAAAAAUUCGUUCAAGAAAGACUCCAGAAGAUGUUGAUAAUAAUGAGAAGAUUGAUUACAAAGAAAAAGGAAAAUGGAUUCGUAUUCACAUGUAUGAGAAUUAUACCGGAACAAGAAUAAUAUUGGAUUAAAAAUCGAAAUAGAUUUCUUUGGAGUAAUAAAACUCUUCAAAUUACAAUACUCGUAGAGAGAGAACCGUAAUAAAUGCAAAGAAGAAGCAUCUUUUACCCAGUAGCGAAGGGCUUGAACUAAGAUUUCUAGAUGGAUGGGAUGAGGUUAUUAGUGCCUCUAACACAUAAUUUAAAUGUGAGAAUUUUUCCUCUAAAAAAAAGAAAUAUUGAAUGAAUUGAUUGUAAAUUAUGAGAUUUUGCGGCUUCUGCCCCUUGUGGGUAAGAUAUUAAUCGUAAGGAAAAUGGAAUUUCCACAAUGACUACAAAUCUUGCCGCUAUCAUUUGAGAAUACAAAUUAUUGUUGUGUCCAAAAACCAGAUUUUGGUUAGAAUCAUUAGCAGAAUUAAUCAAACUAUUCUGUUGAUCCAUUAGAAGAAUUAAACAUUUCACAAUUAGUGAACUGAAUUUAUUACCAUAACCCUAAUUUUUAAAAAAAAUCUUCGAUUUAUUUAAACCAUGCUCAUGAGCAAGUGCAUAAAUAUACACCCGAAAAAUAAGUGGGUAUAGGAAAUCAUGUCAACGGGAUCUAUUUAGUUCUAAAUAUACUUGAAAUUCCUCCAUUUCAAAUUCGAUUUGAACCAAAGAUAGGGGAUCUAUUCGGUUAUUAAAUGAUACAUAGUGCGAUACAGUCAAAACAAGGUAUUAUAGUAAGUAAAGAAUAGAUACCCCGGAGAUAGGCGGAUUCAUCAACGAAUUCUCUAUCCUAUCUUUUGCCAUCUAAUUGAUUUAUGUUCGUUAUAGGAUAAGAAGACGGUUAGAAAUCCUUUAUUUUUUUUCAACCCAAUCGCUCUUUUGAUUUUGGAAAAAAAUAUAUUUUCUUUAUCAAUACCCGUACGACGUGGGCGACGCGAAAUGUCUAGGCCAGUCAAGCCCAAAAUGGGUCUGUAGAUAUUUUAGCCCAACACGAAAAUAUUUUUUUCCCUCAGCAAAUUACACAACAUUUGAUUCAAAAAGGACACGUAUCCUAAUUUUAUUUGAUUCUAAUCAAUUUGAUUUGAUUUUAAUCAAAUAGAUUUAAUUGCUCCUUUAAUGCAGAUUUUGUAUCCUUAAUACAUGGAUAUUUCCAAAAUUCCUCCAUAUGAAUGCCUGUAAAAGGCUAAGACUUCUUCAAAACUUUGUUGUUAAAAAACACUCUCUCACACCGAGUUUAUUUUGCUAUCCAAAAUUCUACUCUUUUCCUCUCAAUAUUUUCCCAACAUUUCGGUGAUAGAAAAAUGCAACGUUUGUUCAUUGAUUACUGCAGAGAUGCUACUAUUUCAAUCAUCGUGUUGUUGUAUUGUGAGAGACAGUCGACCAACAUUUCUCCAAGUACUAUAGGAGCGACCGAAUUUGUCUUAACGAAACUGUGUUAAACAGGCCUCAACAUUUAAUAAAACUCUAUUCUUCUUUUUGAUUUCUAGUUUUUGUUACGUUAUUUAUUGGUUUUUUAUAUCUGACAAUUUAAAUAUAAAUUAUUCAAUUUAUAUUUGAUUUUUAUAUAAAUAUUUGCUUAUUUAUAUUUAUAUAUUUUGUUCGCUAACAUGUUUUGUCCAACAAUCUUAAGACAUUGUUUUAAUUAUUUUACAAUUCUCUAAUUCGAGACAAACAAGACACCAAGGCGAAAAGAAAAAAAAUAUUUUUUAUUUGAAAAUAAAUAUUAAAAUUAAAUAAAAUCUAUUUCGACAUUUAUUCUCGCCGUUCAACAGAUUUUAUUUCAUAUUUUAUUUUGUUUCCAAACAAGUAUUAAAAUUAAAUAAAACUCUAUUUCGAGAUUUAUUCCCCCCGUUCAACAGAUUUUAUUCCAUUUUUUUCUUUUGUUUCCAAAUGAGUAUUAAACUAAAAUAAAAUCUAUUUCGGGGUUUAUUCCUGUCGUUCAACAGAUUUUAUUCCAUUUUUUUUAUUUUGUUUCCAAACAAGUAUUAAAAUUAAAUAAAAUCUAUUUUGGGUUUUAUUCCCGCCGUUCAACAGAUUUUAUUUCAUUUUUUAUUUUGUUGUCAAACGAGAAAUUAAAAUUAAAUAAAAUCUGUUUUGGGUUUUAUUCCCGCCGUUAAAUAGACUUUAUUCCAUUUUUUAUUUUGUUGCCAAAAGAGAAAUUAAAAUUAAAUAAAAUAUGUUUCAGGUUUUAUUCUCGUUGUUCAAUAGAUUUUAUUCCAUUUUUUAUUUUUUGCCAAACGAGAAAUUAAAAUUAAAUAAAAUUUGUUUCGGGUUUUAUUCCCGCCUUUAUUCCAUUUUUUUAUUUUUUUCUAAACGAGAAAUUUAAAUUAAAUAAAAUCUGUUCUGGGAUUUAAUCUCGCCGUUUAAUAGAAUUUAUUCGAUUUUAAUUUUGUUUCUAAAUUAGAAUUAAAUCGAAUAAUCUGUUUCGAGAUUUAUUCUCGUCGUUUAACAGAUUUUAUUAGAUCUUGAUUUGUUUCCAAACGAAGACUUAAUCAAAGAAUUAUGUUUCGGGAUUUAUUCCCGCCGUUUAACCAAUUUUAUUUUGAUUUAAUUAAAUAAUUUUGUUUCGGGAUUUAAGCCUAUCAUUUAACAAAAGUGAUUUUGUUUCAAAAUUUUAAUUUUUCCAUUUAACAAAUAAAAGGGAAUUUUUUUUCUAUUUACGGUGGCCUUAAUUGUGGCUUUAAAUUGUGAAUGCUUAAAUUGUAGCCUCAAAAUUGUGACAUCAAAGGUAAAGAAAUUUAUCAACAGUGAAUUAAAAAGACAAUAUGAGAGUGCAUGUCUAGGAUUGGUUCUUUGAAAGACUUGGUAUUUAAGCGUGCUAAGUGCACGACCUCUCUUUUAGGGUUACCUACCUGGUGCAUUGUUUUAUUGUAUUUUUUAUUAGACUGUAUAAACUUUUAUUUCAGGUUUUAUUAGAUUCCUGCUGCCUAACAAAAGUUGAUAAUUUUCUAAUUCUAGUUUUGUUUUUUAACAGAAAAUGGAAACUCCCAUCAAUGUUGUGGAAGAUAUGGACUUAUGUGCUGUGAUUUUUAAGUCAACAUGGUUGACUCAAAUCUAAGAGAAUGGUGGCUUGAUACUGGUGCCACACGUCAUAUCUCUUGUGACAAAGACUUCUUUUCUGAGUUGGAACCUUGUGAAAAUUAGGAGAAGCUCUAUAUGGGCAAUGUUGCGACUUCCAAGAUCAAGGGGAAGGGUAUUGUGGUCUUAAAGAUGACAUUUGGCAAAAACUCAAGCUUCAAAAUGUGUUGUAUGUGCCUAGCAUAUGCAACAACCAUGUUUCUAGGACACUCCUUAGUGUACACGACUUUAAAAUGAUCUUUGAAUCCUAGAAGUUAAUUUUGUCUAAAGGGGGAAUGUUUGUGGGAAGGGUAUAUGUAUUAAACUUAAUGCAAUAUCUGUAAAAGCAAAACUAUGAAUAAGAAUGUUACUUCUUCUUCUGUUUAUAUGCUUGAAUCAUUUAAUUUAUGACAUGGUAGACUCGGACAUGUUAAUUAUGAUACUUUACGUACAUUAAUUAAUUAACUUAGAGCACAUUCCUUUGUUUUACAUUAAUUAUAAUCAUAAAUGUGAAACAUGUGUUCAGGCAAAAUUAACAAGGUCUUCAUUUCAAAUUGUAUAAGAGCAAAGACGAAGCUAUAGAAAAAUAUAUUUUAUAUAAGCAGGAAGUUAAAAAUCAACUUAAUAAAAAUAUUAAAGAUGGUGAGAAGUGAUUGUGGUGGUGAAUAUGUUGAACCAUUUGAAUACUAUACACAACAUAACAUUAUUCAAAAAGUAACACCACCAUACUCUCCUUAAUCAAAUGGAGUAGUCAAACGGAAAAAUCAAACUUUAAAGGAAAUGAUGAACACCUUGCUAGAAAGUUCUAAGUUAUCACAAGAAAUGUGGAGGGAAGCUUUUCUAUGAACUAAUUACCUUUUAAAUAAGGUACCCCACAAAAAAAUGGACAAGACACCAUAUGAGUUAGGGAAAAGUAGAAAACCAUCCUACAACCACUUGAAAGUGUAGGGGUGUCUUGCUAGAGUAAUGUAUAAUGGUAAGUCGAGGCAUAUGCGUCGUCGACACAAUACCAUUAAACAACUUAUCUCAAAUGGAGUUAUCUCUAUUGAUUUUGAGUAAAAUCAAAAGAUAACAUUGCAGAUCCGCUAACUAAAAGCUUAAAUCGAGAUCAUGUUGAUAAAACAUCGAAAGGAAUGAGACUAAAGCCCAUGAAAAUAAAAUGCCCUAUGUGAAGGAAAACCCUACCUAGUUGACUUGAGAUCCCAAGAUCUAGGUUCAAAGGGACAACCUAAUUGCAUAAACCUUAUGAGGUCAAUGUGGGGGUUCUUAUCCUAAAUCUGUUCCUAUGAUGUAAACAGUGGCUAAAAAUGGGAUUGGUUAAGCAAUGCUUUUAAUGACCAUUAUGUGUUUCGGUGAGCCAAACAACAUAAGUCACCUAUGUGAGAGUGAAGUGGGCUGCUCCAAGGAGACUAUUGAGGGAUAUUUCUCUCAAAAUCUUACAGAACCAGGAGAUGUUCAUGGCUAUGUGAACAUACCCAUGAGAGCUAAAACCUUGCCAGAGAGGUAGUUGUGUGAGGUAAAUCAUCGUUUACACAAAUGACAAAACAGUUCAAGGCCAUCGCGUCUAUUGGUCAGCUAGUAAAGUAAAUAUACUUUCACAAGGGAAAGUUCAAGGUUGAUUCUUACCUAUCCUAUACAACUAUCGAUCAUAGAUUCUAUCACCACAUCGAGUCAAUGUUUUUCCGUUAAAACUACCAAUUUUCAUUCAUGUGAGGGAUUGUUAGAAAGAUUGUAAUUUUUGGAAACUUUGAGGCAUAUUCUCGAUUGAUAAAGGUGGAGAGUUAAAUCAUGAAAUUAUGGUUUUAUAUUCUACUAGAUGAGACCUUUACAAUGGUAUAUCAUACGCUUAAAAUGGUUGAGUGAUGAAUGAGAAAUUGAUACUCAAAGUAAGCUACUUGAAAAUAUUUGUUGAGGAAAAGAAAAGCUUAGAUCCCACAUUGGUUAAAUACCAAGUGUGAGAUGUGUAUAUAUAUGAGAACCCAUUUGAAGAGUGAUUGGAUGACUAAGCUUGAAACCUUGUAUCGCGCGCAGAGGGUGUAGAUCCAAACCCAUCGGGGUUGGGGCGCUCCAACAUGACGUGGGCGACGUGAAAUGUCCGGACCGGUCAGGCAUGGGCCUACAAAUAUUUUAGCCCAACAUGAAAAUAUUUUUUCCCUUAGCAAAUUACACAAAAUUUGAUUCAAAAAGGACACAUAUCCUAAUUUUAUUUGAUUCUAAUCAAUUUGAUUUAAUUGCUCAUUUCAUGCAGAUUUUAUAUCCUUAAUACAUGGAUAUUUCCAAAAUUCCUCCAUAUUGAAUGCCUAUAAAAGGCUAAGACUUCUUCAGAAUUUUUUGCUGAAAAACACUCUCUCACAACGAGUUUAUUUUGCUAUCCAAAAUUCUACUCUUUUCCUCUCAAUAUUUUCCCAACAUUUCGGUGAUAGAAAAAUACAACGUUUGUUCGUUGAUCACUGCAGAGGUGCUACUGCUUCGAUCAUCGUGUUGUUGUAUCCUGGGAGAUAGUCGACCAACGUUUCUCCAAGUAUCGUAGGAACGGCAAAAUCUGUCUUAAGGAAACUGUGUUAAACAUACCUCAACAUUUAGUAAAACUCUAUUCUUCUUUUCGAUUUCUGGUUUUUUUAUGUUAUUUAUUUGUUUUUUUUUGGUAUCUAACAAUUUAAAUAUAAAUUAUUUAAUUUUUAUUUUAUUUUAUAUAAAUAUUUAUUUAUAUUUAUAUUUAUAUAUCUUGUUUGCUAAUGUGUUUUGUCCAAUAAACAAUAUUAAAUGUAACACCCCACACCCAACCCAGUUGUCGGAUCCAAAUGCGCGAUAUCAGAUUACGUUGUCGAAACAUUUCAGACUAUCUCAAAACAUUUCAAAUAUUGACUUAGGAUUUAAAUAUAAUAAUUCUCAUACAUUCCUAAUUUUAUGCAAAAACAUGUUUAAUAAAUGUCAAUUGGUCUCAUUUAACAAUUUUGGGUUUAUACGAGGACCAAAAAUGAAGUGAGGACUCAAAUUCAACUUGAUUUAGUAAAAUUUAGUGGUGCAUCUCGAGACAUUGAAAGCCAUGUCUCGAAACAUGUUGUAAUGACUUGAUUUCAGUCGAUUGUCAGAAAAAAACGGUUUCAAAGCCGGAUUUCAUUAAUUGAGUUAGUGAAAAUUUUAAUCGAAGAGUUGGAAUUAUUAAUAUAAGAUUUUAUUAUUGGAUGGUUGAGUAAUUAAAUUGAGAAAGUCAUUAAUUAUAGUACAUUGGACAAAUUUUUCGCUGGAGCGAAAAAUCUUCUGGCACUAUUCACUUGAUGCGUAUGCUCUAGCGGACUAUUCUUUCACUGGAGCGGAAGGCUACCUUACUUGUAUAAAGCUAUAUAUGAAGGACUCAAUUUAGCUUGGAAGAAAGGGUUUCACAAGGUUUACCGAAAGCGACAAUGCAUUGUUGAUUGAUAUAAUUGGGAAUGGUUAUGCAGCUGAUAAUAACCUUUCUAAACUUCGUUUAAUACAUGAUUUAUGCAAGCAAGACUGUCAACUUAAGUUUCGGCAUGUCCUACGGGAGCAUAAUAGACUAGUAGAUUGCAUAGUCAAAGUUGUUCCUAGUGAUCUUAAUAGGUUAUCAACUUUUGAAGACUCACCUGAUCAUGCUCAAUUUUUGUUUGAAGAAGAUGCUCAUCGAGCAAUGGUUAAUAUACGCUCCCAUCAUCCUUAUUGUAGCUAGUUCCUUGAACUUGAUUCUUUUCUACCAAAAAAAAAAUUGAAAAGACUAAAUUUCAAAUAUAAGAAAAAUGGAAGAAGUGGAGCUAUGUUUUACCUAUUUAACUUAGUCUUUUAAAAAUGACAAUAUAACAAAGCCUUAUGUAAAAACCAGUGGAGUCGAAGGCGAGUAAAAAGAAAUUAUUAUAACAAUUUAGUGUUUCAUGGUUGAAGAGUACUUGAAGAUAAAAACUCUCCGAUAAUUAAGCAAGCUUUUUGGUAGUUCUAAUUUCUAACUUCUUGCUUGCUUGUAGGCAGCCCAAUGCUAAUGGCAGUUUCAACUUGAGGCAAACUUUAUAAUUCUUACUCAACAUUAUUAUUUAACGUAGAAUCAGAAAAUAAUCUAGAUUUGAAAUGAUUUGAACUCGAUAAGUAAUUUAAAAUGAUCCUACAUGAAAAUUUUAAUUGUGAAACUCAAAUUACUUAAAAUCAAAAAACACAAACACAAAAUUUAUUCGAACUUGAAAUGAUCUAGAAAAUUCUUUUAAUCGAAAUGACCUGAUCCAGAUUGAUAAAAACAGUAUACUCUAAUUAAUUUACACCAACUUUUAAGAUAUUAACAUGGGUAAGGGAAACUUUGCUAACUUGGAUAUUUGUUGAAGUAUACUAUUUUACAUAUUAUUAAUUUAAUUAAGAGGCUGUCUUGAUUACAUGAGGUAGCUUGUGUGCCAACCACAACUACUGCAUUUCACCAAUUUUAAACUCCAAUAUCCCAAGAGAAGAUGAGCUACCAAAACCUUCAAUAUUGAUCAAAUGGCUAUAAAAACCCCAACACCAUGCUUUGUUUUCCUCGCUCAUAACUAUUCAGAUAAAGAAGUUUGUUUCAUCUGCUUAAUUAGUUUCAAAAUCUCUCAACAAAAAUGGUUAUUUCAUUUGCAUUGCUUUAGCAUUCUUGAUGGCUUUGUCGUUUUCAAGCAUUAACGUUGGCCAAGCUGCUCGUCACCUUCAGCAGCUGCCUCCAAUGCCAACUUUGCCUACAGCAACACUUCCACCAUUGCCAUCUAUCCCUAAUCUCCCACAGCCAACCAUACCAACAAUGCCAGGCCUGGGGCGCUUCCACCACUUCUUACCAUGCCUGCUUUUCCCACAUGGCCUCCUCUGCGAAGCAUGCCCACGGUCCCAACUACAAUUCCCUCUAUUCCUUUCCUUUCUCCACCACCUUCUCCUUCUACCCCUUAAAAAUCCCUUUUGGCUUACGGGACCCAGUCCAGAGUCGGGACAUGCUACUGUUCUCAUCUCAUAUGGGAUUGAAAGUGAUACUUACGGACUCGAGUUUUUAAUCAGCAUAUAUAAUUACUUAUUUGUUUACUUUCUCUCUGAAGAUUUGAGCCGUCUUUGUAUGUUGAUUUUUGGGAACUAUUGUUUGCUUAUUUUCACCACAUAUGGUAUUUGUUUGUCUAAAUGGGAGUUCCCAUUAUUUGGUGCACUUAUUUAUAUAUGAUCGAAAAUAAUAAAACAGUAAAUAAAAAAAUAAAUUAAUUAUGAUACAACCUUUUAAUUUAUUAAUUCUUUUCCUACAACCAAAUUUACAAUUUUCAAAAAUAGAGAGGAAGAAUCUUUUUAUUAGAUAAAGACCUUGAUGCUAACAGCGGCUUUGUCAUUAGGCAGUAAUUUAUUGACAAUUUUUUCAUAGGAGUCAACCUAUUGAGAUCAACGAUUACGUUGGUUUCAGUGAGAAUCAACAUAACAAUGAUAAUAGUAUUAGUUAUUAUAAGAGAAUUGACUAUUAAAAAUAUUAAAUUGAAGUAUAUACAUAUAUAACAAAAUACAAAUAUAGAUUAUAUUUAGGGUAAAUUAUAAUUAAAAAUUAAAUUUAUAAAAUACACUAUUAUAUUUAAGUUCAAUGUUAUAUUAAAUAAUAAUUAAAUGAGGUAAAUAUUAAAUUUAAACAUAAACUUUGUUUCAAUGUGCAAUUUGAUACAUGAACUUUUAUUUGGUACAAUUACACACAUGGAACUUGUAUUGUUGUUCAUAUGUAUAUAUGAAACUUAGAUUUUGAUCUAAUUAUACACUUUUGCAGAAUAUUUAUUUUUAUAUUGGAUUAAUAUAGUUAUUUGUAUAUGUAAUAUCCAGUGUAAAAUAAUGAUAAUUCGAUAAUGUUGUUAAUGAUUUUAGAAAAUUGAAUCAAAUCAAAAUUUAAUAUAUAAAAUCGCACAAAAUAAAAGUUCAUGUAUGACAUCACAUAUUGAAUCAAAGUUUAUGUAUGUUGAGUAUAACUCAUAUUUCAGUCAAAUUUAAGAGAUAAUUUCCAGUUAAACUCUGUUUAUUUGUUUCAAUCGAACUCCGAUUAGUCUAGAUUAUUUUAUUAUUAUUUGACUUACGAAUUUAGCCUAUAAAUAGACUCUUUUACAACCUUGAAAAAAACACCCAUUAAAGAUUAAAACUCAUAACACUUUUGGAGAAUUUUGUGUUUACGUUUUGAGGGUUCUUUGUUUUCGAGUUUCGGAGUUUAGUUUUUAUCUCCAUCUUUUGUACUCUUCGUUCUUUUGCUAUUAUAGUAAAAGUAUCUUUGCUUGUGGUUUUUAAUCCUCUUUGGAGGGGUUUUUUCACGUCAAAUUAGUGUAUUCAAUUUCUCAAUCUUUUCUCAAAUUUUACUUAUUUGUUGCUUAAUCGGGUUGAUCCCUAACAAGUGGUAUCAGAGCUAAUUCAAUUCUCGUAGAUCAGCCUGUUCAAAGAUGGCAGCAAUAAGGUUUGACAUUGAAAAGUUUGAUGGUUUCACAAAUUUUAAUCUGUGGCAAGUUCGGAUGGUGGCAAUUCUAGUUUAGACCAGCCUGAAAAAGGUCACUACCGGGAAAAAGCCUAAGAAUUUAGAUCAGACAAUGAGAAGAGCUUGAUGAAAAGGCCAUAUCUGCAAUCCAGUUGUGUCUCGCGAAUAGGGUAUUGCAAGAGGUAUUGAUGGAGAAAGUCUCAUCCGCUUUGUAGAAAAUGUUAGAAACUUUUUAUGCGACUAAGUCACUGCCUAACCAUUUAGUGUUGAAAUAACAUCUAUUUACGUUUCGCAUGAACAAAUGUGAGCUUAUUAGAGAUCACAUUAGUCAACUUAUUACUCUUUUGAAUGAUUUAAAGAUUGUUGAGGUUAAGGUUGACGGUGAAAAUUAGGCUAUGAUAUUACUAUGCUCUUUACCCUCUUCAUACAAGUCUUUCAGGAAGACCCUGAUUUGUGGCAGAGGCAAACUCUCGUUCAAGGAUGUGAAGGGUCAUUUGUUGAGUAAAGACAAACUUGACAAUAAGUUUGGUUCGGAUAGCAAUACAGAUAGGCAAGCUUCUGUUUUGGUAGCAUCAAAGAAGCGAGACAAAAGAUUAUUACACAUUUAAAUAUAUUUAAUUGUGCUAAUUUUAAAGUAAAGUUAUUACUUAAAUAGAACUCUAAGUCUAAAAUAUAGGGAAAAGAAAAAGGUUCUCAAAAUUAUAAUUAUAAUUUACCAUUAUUAAUUAGUGUAAAAUAGAAUUAUUAUUUGAAUAGAAUUUUAAGCAUUUUAAUUAUCAUUUACUUAACAUUAGGGUUAAUUAUGUUAAUUAAUUAUUAUUUUGAAUAAUAUUACUUUGGACAUAAAAGUAAAAUUAUAUUAUGCUGAAUAUGUUAAAAAUGUUUUAAUUAUUAUUUAAAAAAAUUUUAUUAUAAUAUUUGAAUUGAUAAGUUUUUAUAUUUUAGUUAUAUUUAAUAAUUUAAAUAAAAAUAUUAUUUUACCUCAAUUGUCGUAAUAUUUAAUAACGCAUGCAUGUGAAGUUCGAAGCUAAUAGGUGAAUUCAUUACUUGAGUAGCUUCCCUGCCAACCACAACUGCAUUUCACCUGUUUUAAACUCCAGUAUGCAUGAGAAGAUGACCUACCAAAACCUUUAAUAUUGACCAAGUUUCCUCCUUUUCAACCAUGUAUAAUGAUCAAAUAUUAACAACUGCUCCAAUGCCUAUAUAAACCCCAACACCAUGCUUCUCUUCCUCACUCAUAACUAUUCAGAUAAAACACUUUGUUUCAUUUGCUUAAUUAGUUUCAAAAUCUCUCCACAAAAUGGGUUAUUUCAAUUGCAUUGCUUUAGCAUGCUUGAUGGCUUUGUCGUUUUCAAGCAUUGAUGUUGGCCUAGCAGCUCGUCACCUUCAGCAGAUGCCACCAAUGCCAACAUUGCCUACAACCACACUCCCACCAUUGCCAUCUAUCCCUAAUCUCCCGCAGCCAACAAUGCCAAGGCCUGGGGCGCUUCCACCACUUCCUACCAUGCCUGCUUUGCCUACUUUUCCUGCUAUACCAACGGCCACACUGCCUCCUCUGCCAAGCAUGCCUUCAAUCCCAACAAUCCCAACUGCAAUUCCCUCAAUUCCAUUCCUCUCUCCACCACCUUCUCCUUCUUCUACUCCUUGAAAUACCCAUUUCUUCCCCUGUCCAUUGACAGAUAAAAUGUGGCUACAUAUAUACUGGAUUUUGAUUAAGGUGUUUUUAGUCGUCUUCGUCUUUUGAUUUGAAGUAUUGUUUGUUCUUCAACACAGAUAGUAUUUGUUUGUAGAAAUGGGAGUUUCCCAUUUUCCAUAAUCUAUUGUACUUUGAUUUGUUAUUUGCUUGUUAUGGGAGUAUAUUCAUGAAAUCUGCUUGAUUAGCUCUUGCAAUGUUCCUCAGAUUAAUCUAUUUUAAUUUAUUUUUUCAAUGUAUUUCCUAGUUUAUAUUAUAUCUUCUGCCUAUAUUAACACCCAAUAUAUGUAUUUUAAACAAGGAAGAUUUGAGAUAAAAUACAUUUCUUAAUCCUCAACCAAAUCAACAUUCAAAGGUUUCAACCCUGAAAUUGACGCCUUAUGUAAGAAUCAAAUACAAAACUUCAAAACAUUAAAAUAUGAUUCUAGUUUUUCUAUUUUUCGAUACCUUUAGAAUUUUAUUUUUUUUAAAAAUUAAUCUUUCUAUUUUUUUAUUUAAAAAUACAAGUUGUCUUCCUAACACUAUUAAACUUUUUCUAUUAAAUUCAAGUUUAUUAUAAAUGAGUAUUAAUAGGGUUAGCGAUUGAAUUUGAAUUUUAAAAUAUAAAAGGUAAAAAUAAAUAAAUUUUUAAAAAAAUAAAAAAUUAAAUUUCGAAUAUAGGCUAUUAAAAAUGAUUAUAUAACACAAAGCAUUAUACAAAAAUUAAAUUAGGCGAGUAAAUAGAAAUUAUUAUAACAAUUUAGUGUUGAGUACUUUAAGACAAAAACUCUCCCAAGAAGCAAGCUUUUUGGUAGUUCUAAUUUCCUAUUUCUUGCUUGCUUGUAGACUGCCUAAUGCUAAUGGCAAGUUCAACUUGAGGCAGACCUCUUAAUUUUUACCCAACAUUAUUAUUUAACGCUUCAAAAUUACUUAAAUUUAAAAUGAUUUGAAUCAAACAAAUAAUUUGAAAUGAUCUUACAUGAAAAUUUUGAUUGCAAAAUUCGAAUUACCUAAAAUAAAAAAGCUCGAACACAACAUUGAUUCGAACUUAAAACGAUCUAAAAAAAUCUUUUAACCGAAUUGACCUGAUCCGGAUUGAUGCAAAUUGUCUCAAUUGACAAGUAUUAUGUGGUUAAACAAGUGAAAAUAUUAUUAUUUAACGAUUGAAAAUGAAUCAAAUUUGAAAUGAUUUGAAUCAAACAAGUGAUAAGUUAUAUAAGUAACAUAUUUUAAUCUCAUUCUUAAUGCGUUUAUAGAUGAUUAAUUAUGCAAAUUAGUGAAUUUGAUGCUCCUAAUCCUUUAAAUUCAUGUUUCUAUACUUAGGAGAGCAUUUGGGAGUGAAAGAAGCGAAAAAUAAGCCAAAACCAGACAAACAGAGUUGUUUUCAGGAGCCACAUGGCCUGGGCAUUUCCACACGGGCAGGGCACUCAUCCGUGUGUCCCACACGGGCUAGACACACGCCCAUGUACCAGCCCGUGUCGAUUUCGCACCCUGCUUCCGAAAUACACAGAAAAACACAAUUUUUAGGCUUUAUGAGAAUUCUAAAGUCUAUAAAUACCAAUUAGAAGAAGACAUAAGGGGUUGAUCAAGAAGAUAGAAGAAAACACUCGAAGAAUACCAUCGAAAUCAACUCGGAAGCAAAUCUCCAUCAAGAUUGAAGAUCUCCUUUUAAUUUCUUUUGAAGUUUUAUCGAGUUUUUUUAUGUCUUGCGGUUAUUCUGACUUUGAGAUGUUUCCAUUCAGGAUUAUGAACUAAUUCCCUAGAUACCUAGGGAGGAUGAUGAAUCCUUUUAUUUAAUGUCUAUUUUUACGCGAUAAAUACUUGAAUCCUGUUCUCAAUUAUGUAUGAUUAUUUCUUGUAUUAAUACUUUUUGGAUAUUAAUUCAUGUUUAAUGUCCUUAAUUCAAUGGAGCAAAAGUCUGUUUAAAAGUAGAUCUAGUAUAAUUGAGCGGAGUUGCAUGCAAUCCUAAAAAUAGGACGACAUAAAUCUACCGGAUUAGAGUCAAAUCUAAUAAGGGAAUCCAUAGAUCGAGUUAAUGCGACAAUAGGGGUUUUAAUUAGAAAGAUAUUUCAAUUAAUCAACCUAGAGUCAGUUGUUUUUACUCUCAAAAGAGAUAUUAACAUAAUUUAGGGAUUUCUACGGAUCAAAACACAAGUGAAUAAAUCGUUUAAUUCAGAUUCAUAAUAAUAGGUGAAGUCUAGGUGGAUUCUUUCUUGGGUAUUGUCUAUCUCAUUGGUUAAUAUUCGAUUAUUUCCUUGAUUCAUUCUCUGUUGCGUUCAUAGUUAAAUUAGUUUAGUAAAUUAAGAUUAAAACACAUCACUCCAAAUUGUGGGCUACAUAAUAGAAAAAUGAUAAUUACCAAUACUUUUAGUCCUCGUGGAUACGAUAUUCUCUACUUACCAUAGAUAUACUAUUGUUCGAUAGGUGCCCUUGCCUUUGUCGUAUUUAUAGUUAGUUUGGUGACCAUCAAGUUUUUGGACCUUUGCCGAGGACAAAAAUAUUAAGAACACUUUAUUUUUAUUAAUUUAGCCAUUUUUAUUUUAUUUUUAUAAUUUUGUUUUUAGUUUAAUUUUUACAUUCUAAUUUUUAUUUUAUUUGCUUUAGUUUAUGACUAAAAAAAUUCAUCGGAACCAUUAGUGUUUGAUAGUGAAAUUGAAAGUACAACUCAUAAAAACCAUAGAGAAGCAAGGCAGAUUACAUGAGGUUAACCGAAUUGACCUGAUCUGGAUUGAUGCAAAUUAUCUCAAUUAACAAGUAUUAUGUGGUUAAUUUACACCAUCAAUAUUUAAAAUAUUAGUACCGGAAACUUAACUAACUUGGAGACUUGUUAGAGACUUGUUGAAGUAUACUAUUUGACAUAUAUUAUUAAUUUAAUUAAGAGGCUGACUUGAUUACAUGAGGUAGCUUGUAUGCCAACCACAUCUCCUGCAUUUCACCAAUUUUAAACUCCAAUGUCCCAUGAGAAGAUGAGCUACCAAAACCUUCGACAUUGACCAAGUUUUCUCUUUUCCAUCCAUAUAUGAUCAAAUAUUACCAACUACUCCAAUGCAUUUAUAAACCCCAAUAUCAUGUUUUGUUUUCCUCGCUCAUAACUAUUCAGAUAAAGAACUUUGUUUCAUCUACGUAAUUUGUUUCAAAAUCUCUCAACAAAAAUGGGUUAUUUCAAUUGCAUUGCUUUAGCAUUCUUGAUGGCUUUGUCGUUGCCAAGCAUUAACGUUGGCCAAGCUGCUCGUCACCUUCAGCAGCUGCCUCCAAUGCCAACUUUGCCUACAGCAACACUCCCACCAUUUCCAUUUAUCCUUAAUACCCCACAGCCAACCAUACCAACAAUGCCAAGGCCUGGGGCGCUUCCACCACUUCCUACCAUACCUGCUUUGCCCUCAUUGCCAAGUGUACCAAGGGCCACACUGCCACCUCUGCCAAGCAUGCCCUCAAUCCCAACUGCUAUUCCCUUUAUUCCUUUCCUCUCUCCACCACCUUCUCCUUCUCCUUCUACUCCUUGAAUACCCCUUUGUUUUUUAUCUGCUGCAUAAUGGAUUUGGUUUAAUAUGUUUUUGGUCGUCCUUGUCUGUUGAUUUUGAGGAUUGCUUUUUUCCUUUUUCCACCACAUUUAUUUGUUUGUAUAAAUGGGAGUUCCCCGAUCCCAUUAUUUGUUCUACUUCGAUAUGUUAUUGCUUAUUAUGGGAUUAUAUAUAUAUGUUCUUUCUAUGAAGUAAUUAAUUAUUGUAUCUAUUGUUAAAAGAUUAAAUAAAAUCCAUUAUAUAAAAAUUAAAUUGGAGGCGAGUAAAAAAGAAAAAAAAAUCUUUGCUGUCUCUAGGCUAGACCUGUCCAUGGGCCGGGCCGGGUUUAGAAAAUUUUUUGGCCCGCCUCCUAGGCCCGGGUCCGGCUCAAAAUAUGGGCCUGAAAUUUUACUCAGGCCCGGCCCGAGAAAAAUAUCAUAAGCCCGAGCCCGGCCUGGCCCAGCCCAUUUUUAAAAUAAACAUAAAAAAAUUAUUUUAAAAUAAAAAAAUAAAAAAAUUAUUUUAAAAGUACUUUAAAAUUAAAAAAUAAAAAAAAUAUUUAUUAUAUUCGGGCCGGCUCGGGCCAAAAAAGUAGUGCCCGAAGCCCGGCCCAUUUUUUAAACGGGCCUUAUUUUUUGCCCAAACUCAUAUUUCGGGCCUAUAGUUUUGCUCGAACCCUCCCAUAUUUUGGGCGGGCCGUCGGGUUGAGCCGGACCGCCCGACCCAUGAACAGGUCUACUCUAGAGUCUAGAUGAGUGUUCAUGGUGAGAGUGUUUUUUUUCCUAAAAACAAUUGCCAAUCAAAAUUUCUUUUAUCGAUAACAACAAUUUACAAAAGGAGAUUUGAAAGGUCCCAAGCAAAGCACUUACACACAAAGAUAAUUCAAGCAUAAAAAAACCAUAAUCAGGGGAUCUCCAGAAGAUUAAGAAAUUAUUUUAUGCAACCAUCCGUUACGUUAUUACAUUAUUUAUGGUUCUCAUUAAUAAAAAUUAUUUGUCCUACCCUUUUUCCUUAUAUUCUUUAUAUUCAUCGUAAAAUAAAAAUUUAGUCUUUAUACUUUUACUUUAAUUUUUUUUUUUUUAGAUUUCAAAAUUUAGGUUAAGUUUUGACAUUGUUAGUUACAUUGCUGACCGCUUCCGGACGUACUAAUAUUUAGAGUGUAAAUACUGCAACUAAAUAUAUGAAAUUGAGGCUGUAUCCACAAGUAUAUGGAUCAGAUUAUAAUAUAAUUUUACAACAAAAUAAGUAAGUACUCUGAGGAUCGAUCGUACCUAAAGGAGACGAGUACUAGAUUAAAGUUAACUUAAAUGUAAAUAGAAGUAAUUAGUAGUUUAAAUAAAUUAUAUUACAAUAAAACAUAAAUGAAGGAUUUUGGGGGUUUUAUACAUAAAGAAAUAAAAACUGCAUAAAUAAAAAGGACUUCGGAGAACUAAUUUCUAAACUUAAUCAAAUGUAGACAUGGGUGAUUAGCUCGUUUCGAUGAUCAUAACAAAUUCCUAUUUCAGGUUUCUAUUCAAUCAACUAGUCAUUACCUUAGCAAGAUCUCUCAAUAUUCCACUAAACUAACGAGUCGGCUAGAACUAGUUAUCUCUCGACCUCAAGUCCAGACCGGUUCGGGGCUAAGGUGUUUACGAAUAGACCAUACCAAUUUUGGGUUAAUUCCCACCUAAAUGGCUUCCUAGAGUCGUCAAGCCUAUGGGUUAAGUUCUUCCUCUCCUAAACAGUUGAUCCACUAAGAAAAUCUUACAUAACAAUUAGUCAAUCACACUUCCAUUUGCUAAUCCCACAUAUGAGGAUUAGUUCCUCACAGAAUACAUAAACAUAAUAAACGUGAUAAUAAAUAUUUGCAUAAAAAACAAAUCAAUAAUAAAGUUUAGAGAAUCCUAAUUGUAUUUUAUUAAUGAAGUGCAGAGAUCCUUAAACGUUUGAUCGUAUUUACAAAUCAAGUCCUCCGAAGAACACAAAUGAAAAUAAUUGGAAAAGAAAUCUAAAGCCUAAAAGAAAAGAAAAACUAAAAACUAAAUUAUAGGGAAAAACUUAUAAUAUGAAAACUGCCUCUAAACAAGUUUCUAAUGAGCCUAUUUAUAAAGUUAGGGUUGGUCGUCAUCCUUAACCUGGGUUAGCUGACGUUUUCGUAUUAAUUUUCAUUGUGCAGACCAAAAUUCCCUUCGUAUUAAUAUGAAAAUCAUUGAAACCUUGUUGUUACAACAAGCAUACGUGCUGCAGCAUGUUUACAAGCUGCAUGCUCUUCAACAAAAAAAUUAUCACAGAGCAUAGUUGGCCAAUUUUCAAUAUCGACACAUAAGGAAACGAGUGUAGAUGAUUCCUUGGAAGUAGUGAAAAGCUUGAUGAAAUGAUCUUGCACUAAGUUCUCUAUAGCUCUUCUUUUAGUUAUCCACUUUCCAUUAACAUCAAAAAGCCCCAUGAUUUUAUUACAAUUUAUUCAUUUCAUUGCUUGUUGCACGUUUGUGAGCAAUUAGGAAAAUAUUUCUUGCAUCUUGCUUCCUUAUUAUGUGUAUUGUUUUCUUCUUUUGCUGCUGAUAAAACGCCAACCAUCGAUCUUAACUUGCCUCGUUUUCCAAACUCAAAUAUUCAAUUUCUUUUAUUUGAAAUCUCCUUUGUGGAUAUAGAAAAAGCAACUUGGUUCCUCAAACCUUUUAAAGCCCCAAGUCCAAACUACACCCAUUUUCUAUCAACACCUUUGGUCUGACGUGAAGUAGAAAAUCAUCUCGACGGUUUCUAAGAUUUCUAUGACUUUCCUAAAUGUCGUUGUUCCCACUACCUUUAAUGAGACAUUGGUCGCUCUUAUUCCCAAAUCCAAAGAGGCAACCUCUUUUUCACAAUUCCGCCUGAUUACUCUAGGUAAUACGAUCUACAAGAUUAUCACAUAAGUCAUGGUUAUGAAACUAAGGCCCCUUUUAUAUAGGAUAAUUUCUCCAUUUCAGGGUAGUUUUGUUCCUGGAAGGCACUCCUCGAAUAAUGUCACUAUUGUCUAAAAGAUUAUGCACUUGCUCAAAAAGAUGAAAGGGAAAAAUUGUGCUAUGGUCAUUAAGUUGGAUCUUGAAAAAGUGUGUAAUAAGCUGGAAUGGAGUUUUCUCUUCUUUUUUGGUUUUUCGAUUUUUUGGAUAAAUUUAAUCAUGAAUGAAGAAGUAAAUAAAAGCUUAGUUUAAUAUUGCUUCUCAAAAGCACUUUUGAGCUUAAAAGCAUCUUAUUUAGCAAUAUUUUUUUUAUGUCAAAAGUGCUUUUUAUACUAAAAGUGCUUUUUAGAAGUAAUACUAAAUUAGUCUGGAAUAAAAAUCACCAAAAAAGAAAGUCUAAAUUUUGAGUUUACCAUAAAAUUCUUUUUGAAAAAUUUUAUAAUAUGAUUCAAUAAAAAAAACUGAAAUAUGUUUUUCUUAAGAAUUUUGGUUUUGAUUGUUUUUCCUGAUUCUCAUGUUAAAGUUAAGAGAGAGAAAUUAUUUUGUAGAGGAAUUAAUUUGUUCAAUUUUGAAAUUGAUAAUGUAUGUAUAUACACAAAGGUAUAAUUCAGCUGUCUAAGCUAGUCAGUGACCCGUUUAAGGCUGCGUACUGAUCCGACCCGACCCAUAUGGACAUGUUUAUUAACUAAACACCCCUGCAGUAAUCCUGGAGAAUUCCUAAAAGGAACAAGUGGGGAAGAGAAGCUUAAGCUAAAAGAGCUCUUUAUCAAUUUCCAUGGCGUCGCGUUCCCUCUUUCUUAGUCUCAGACGGUAACUAUCUUCAUUCUCAUAAAUUUCCAUUUCAAAGAAUUUGUUUUUUUUAAAAAGGUAAUUUUAUUAAACUGGAUCAAAUACAAUUCUUAUUAGCUGUUGUUAAGUUAAAAUCUUUUCAUUUCUCAAACAUCAACUUUCCCAAACUGUAAAAUACAUAUAUGUGUGUGUGUGCAGGAGAAGCAGCCAACGGUGCAUGUCGAGGCUGUUGUCUUCGGGCUCCGUCAGCACCGAAUACACGGACGAUUAUAUAAAUAAUUCGGAAACCGAUGAUCUGAGAAGCCGCAUUUUCCGGUUGCGCCUCCCGAAACGGAGCGCCACCACCGUUAUAGAGAAAUGGGUGGGUGAGGGCAACCGGGUUUCCAUCUCUGACCUCCGCCAAAUUUCUAAAGACCUUAGAAAAUCUCAGCGUUUCAAGCAUGCUCUCGAGGUAUAUUUUUACUCAGUAAUUGAAGUCAAUUAGAAUGAAAUUAAGAUUUGGGUGUUGUUGGGUUGGUUUGAUUUGCCUAAAGAAUCUAGAAAUGCUUGCUUAGUUUAAUAAUCCUUGAUGAAACUUUCCAUCACUUUUGCGGCUUCAGAAAAAUAAUGCUUGAAUCCUUAGAUUUGAUUAACCUUGAUUGGGUCAAUUGGAUUCAUAGCAAUUAGACUUGUCAACUUGACCCGAAUCCUACUCAAUCAACUUGGAAUCAAACUCAACCCAACUUAAUUUGAUCAUAAGAAGUUUACAACCCAAACCUGAAAGGAUCUGAUUCCAAAACUGGCACGAACCUGAAUGAACCGAACUCAAAAUGACUCAAACCAAUAACCCGGCCUAAAAACCUUGGCCUCCAACCUGAAAGAUCCAAUGGAUCUUAACCCAAGGUUUACCUGAACCAAUAUUACGCAAAAAUUUUAAAAACUUGAAUUGACUCAAUUUAAAUUGACUUGAUUCAAAACCAACUUGGCUUGCCCAAUUGACAUGUCUGAUAGUAAUCCAUUGCUUAGGGGAAUGGUCUGAUUUGUUGCAAAUGUUAAACAAAUAAUUAAAGAGAUAAUAUGUGUGUGUGUGUGUGUGUGUAUUUGUCAACAAAUAGAGAAUAUCUUAGUAUGUAUGUUAGGUUAAUCUUUUGUCUACAGAAGAUUUUUGCAACACAUUAGGGUUUGCCAUUUGAUUAGCUUGGAUGUAGGGUGUAAAUGAGACAGUGUUGUUAUCAAACUAUUCAAGUUUGACUAGAAAAAACUUGAAUUUGAUUUAGUAAUUAUCAAGUUGAGUUCAAGCUUUAGUAGCUCGAGUUAUCAAUCAAGCCAAAUUCAAGCACCUUAAUGCUCAAUCCGAACAGCUCAUGAGCCUAAUCAAGCUUUUCAUUUUAAUAUGUUUUACGUUAUGAAAUUACAUUUUUACCCUUAUUAUAUAGAAAGAGCUUAAGUACAAGCUCAUAUGAACUGGCUUAAUCGAUCUUGAUUUCAAUCUUGAGUAUGAAAAUUGAUAAAUGAGUUUAGUUGAGCUCAAACUCUAGUAGUUCUAUUAAGUCUUGAGCCAAGCUCAAGCUUAGAAAUAUAUGUUUGAUCGAGCUCAAGCCAAGCAUCGACCGUUGAAUUUUGAGUCAAGCUCGAGCUUGAGCUUACCAUUAUUUGAGUUCGGUUUGAUUCAAUCCAAUUACACCCCUACUUGGAUGUUUAGCUAUAUAGCAACAGUGAUCUUGUAAUGUUAACUACGGAUAUAUCAUACAUGUCUCGUCUUUUGUAGUAGAUUUAAGUCUCUACUAAGGCUUGCUUGUAGAAGUGCACUAUUUACCUCUUUCACUUUAGAGUUCAUUCACUUCCUCUGAUCCAUUGAAAUACGAAAACUUUCUUCUCGCUUGCUGUUUUUGUAAGUGUAAUUUGAUUACUAUUAUAGUGUCUCACAGUCACUUUAUUAUUUCACCUGUUCUUUGUUUCAGUUAUAAGAGGGCAUGUUGUGAAAGUUGGUUUUGAUGAGAAUUUUUAUCGAUACCAAGAAUGAUUUUCUUUUUUCGAGUGUGAGAUAUAAAAGUCCGAUGUUAUGGAUGUAGGAAAGUCCCAAAUCCCUUUUUCUUUCUGUUAUAAUAGUAGUCCUUUGUGAGUUGCACCUUGCAACAUUAGGUUAGUCUCUUUUUCGUUUCCCCUUUCUAAUAUCAGAAACAAAGUUGGUCAAAUUACAGGUUUUAUUCCCUGUACUAUACUUUUAUUUGGAUACAUUGAAGAGGGUGUGUCUCAGGGCUCAAUCCUUGGAUGUAGGUUCCAACACCUAACACCUUAACCACUGCACUAGUGAGAUGGCCAAUCCGUGUACUGUAAUUUGGAAUAAUUUUGUUCUCUUACUAUUAUUAAUAGUAUGCCUUAGUCCAAAUCAUUGACACCGUUUCUCAUAAGUCAGCUGAUGUAUUUUAUUUAAAAACCUGACAAUCGAAUUUCUUACAUCAUUUAAAAGAUGAAAUUUUGGUAACCAGAAUAGUUAUUUUUCAUUAAUUUGUCAUAAAAAGAAUUUUCUAGCUCAAUCUCAUGACUUGGACUCUUUUUUUCUUUAAAAAUAAUUUCACCUUAGCAGACUAAUAAAUUAUUUUUAACGGUGAGAGCGAUUUGCAUCAAGACAACAUUAAUGAUAGUAAUAGUGGCAGGGUCAGGUUAUGCCAAAUUAAAGUACAAUACUUCAAUCUCCAAGUUGAGUAUAGUGUUAGGCCAAAAACCAUAAUUUGACCAACAAAGCUUCAUCUUGCAUCUGUGUGGAAAUGUUUGUGCCUUAUAGUUCGUGUGGCUUUUGAUUUCGCGGUUAGAAUUGAUUGUCAAUUUUCUUUACCUUACCCAUUCAAGCUGGCAGAUAUCAGAAUGGAUGGUUAGUCAUGAAGAAUACAAGUUAUCAGACACUGACUAUGCUAUUCGUAUUGACUUGAUGACAAAAGUUUUUGGUAUUGAUGCUGCUGAACGCUAUUUCGAAGAUUUACCUCUGACUGCAAAGACAAGUGAAACUUACACUGCUCUUCUCCACUCUUAUGCUGCCGCAAAAUUGACUGAAAAGGCCGAAGAACUUUAUGAGAGGAUAAAGGGGUCAAAGCUCUCGUUCUCUGCCCUUCUCUACAACGAGAUUAUGACUCUGUACAUGUCAGUUGGGCAGGUCGAGAAGGUUUCUUCCGUUGUAGAAGAACUGAAGAGACAGAAAGUUGAACCAGAUAUCUUUACUUACAAUCUUUGGAUAAGUUCAUGUGCUGCAGCUCUAAACAUUGAUCAAGUUCAAAGGAUUCUGAAUGAAAUGAGAUGUGACUCCGGUUGCAAUGAUGAUUGGCAGAGAUAUAUCAACCUUGUAAAUAUUUAUGUAACUGCCAGCUGUCUUACAAGUGCCGAUUCGAUCUCUCCUAUCGAAAUAGAGAAAGGCAUCACACAAAGAGAAUGGAUAACGUACGACUUUCUUGUCAUGCUGUAUGCAGGCUUGGGGAACAAAGAUAAAAUUGAUCAGAUAUGGAAAUCUCUAAGAAUGACGAAACAAAAAAUGACAAGCAGAAACUACAUAUGCAUUCUUUCAUCGUAUCUGAUUCUUGGGCAUAUGAAGGAAGUGGGAGAAGUUUUUAAUCAGUGGAAACAGUUGACAACCACAGAGUUCGAUAUAUCUGCCUGUAACAGCGUUUUGAGUGCAUUUGAAGAUGCCGGGUUGAUGGAGAAAGCCAACGACUUACAUAUGCUUCUGAUUAGUGGGAACUGCAGUCCCACAAACAAGUAGGAGCCUGUUGCAAUUAAAUGUGGGAACACCUCCAUGGAAACUGUACUUGAGAGAGAAAAGAAAUCGAUUACUCGGUGUCGGUGAUUGAAUUGCAGUUACAAGAAAUGGCUGACUGUUGGUACUGGUAAUCGGUAUUUUUACCCUUUUUCUGAAUGUUGGUAGGAUCUACUGAUUCCUGAAAUUUAAACUAUUUGCUUUUGUUUUCCAUGAUUGAUGGAUGAAUAGAAAUACGUAGAGCUGCUGUUUGAUUUGAUCAUAUGUUUAUAUAUUUUAUGUAAUGGGCAUAUCUUGCAGCAGCCUUGUUGAUUUGAUCAUAAAGAUUUCAAAAAAUUUAACGCAUCUAACUUGAACCCGAAUUUUCUGAAAUCCAAAUGGAUCCAAGUCUGGAACUAGCUUAGACUCAAAAUUAUACUAACACAAAUAGAAUAGGAAGUGGUUUGAAAAUUUUUAACAUGAAACAAUUCUAAAAUGAUGUAAAUCCCCCAGUUUGCAGGUCUAUUGCAGGGUCCUAUAGAUAGAUGAUAAAUAUGGGUCAAGAGACUUUGUUUAUUAUUACUGUUGUUAUUAUAGAUUUUUAUAAUAUCUGUUCUUUUUGAUACAAUGAGUACUUAGAAUUAUUUAUAAUUCAUCUUCAACUCGGAGGAUAAUGUGUUUUAGCGUACUUAAACUCACGUCCUUCUCACUGGCAACGAUACUAAUGUCAAUUGAACUAAAACUCAAUUGGUUUAUAAUUAUUAUUUUCAUCUUAAUUGAAAUUAUAGUAAAAUUUAGCUCUUUUUUUUUUAAAUUUAAAAAGUUGUGUUAACAAUCACGCUAAAAGGAGAUUAUGAUUUGCAAAAAGCUAUACAGAAAACUGUUGGUUUUUCCCUACUUGUGACCUACAAACAAGUUGAGACCGUCAAGUUAAACUAAACCCACAGAAAGAAGAAAAAGAAGAUUCAAUAAGAAAAAGAAGAAAAAAAUCACAACAAAGAUGGCAAAUAUUUCAUAACUAGAGGUGCUGAAGUGUAAUCUUGAAAAAAUUCAAGUUCAAAAAAUAAUAAAUGUGUAUUUAUUUAAAUUUAAUUAUAAAAAUAUUACUAUACAAUUAUUAUUUUUAUACUUUUUAAAUAGUUUAAAAAAAAUUAAAAUCCAACCCAAGUGGCAGAUGAAUUGGAACGAGGCAUCCAAUCCAACCAUGAACAAGUAAGCAAAACCCGAUUAUCAAGUUAAGCAUUGAUAAAUGGAAUUCACAUUGAAGUUUGAAAUGCUUUAUAUCCCAUAUAUUUCAAUGCAGUGAACAUUGGAAUCUUCUAAUAUUCUUCUUUACGCAAUUACCUCUUCUUUUUAAGUAUAUUGUCUUCUACCUAGCUGGCUACUUCAUAAUAAUAAUCCCCAUAGUGUAGGCUAAAAUAAAAAUAAAAAUUAACACUAGUAUUUAUGAAUGUGUAUAUAUUUUAAAAAAAUUAAUAAUGUUAAACUUACUUUAUUAAAUCAAUAAAUUUUCUUAUUUAAUAAGAUUGUUGUCACUUAUCAUUCGUGUUUUCGCAAACCUAGAAUUAAAGAUUAAGUUGUCUAAUGGAAUCCCCUACUUCUAAACCCAUCAAUAAUAUAAUAAAAAAUGAUUAAAACAUGCUCUAAGUCUCUGUAUUUUUUUAAAAAAUUUUGAAAUUUAAUCACCCAAAAAUUUUAUUUUCAACAAUGUCGUUCUUCUAUUUUUCAUAUUUCGAAAUUUAGAUCCAAUUGUUAAUACUGUUAAAUUUUUUCAUUAAAUUUGUUAGUGUGACAUUUUGAAAUAAAAACAAAUACUCUCUUAAUAGCCAUGUAACUAAAAAAUUGAUGUUAUACUAAACUAGCAUUUAACGAAAUAAAUUUAAUACCAUUAAUAGUUGGACUUAAAUUUUAAAUUCUGAAAAACAGAUAAGCCAAAUUUCUAAAAUUAAAAACAUAUGAAUUAAAUUAUAAAUAUAUGAAAAGUUUACCUUAAGAAAUAUAUUGGAGCUUUACCUUAAUUUCCAUAAUCCUCAAUAUAUAAAGUGGGGUUGCAAUAUUAAGCAAUAAACUUGCAUUUCCUAUGCUUUCUUUUAAUUAAUUUUUAUUUUUAUUUGCAACCAAACUUAAAAUACAAAUCACUGAACGUGAAGUGAACAUUAAAUUAAAUAAAAUGUUAGCUUUUUCCUCUCUUACACAUCUUCGUAUCUUACUUUCUGCCUUAAAUUCUGGAAUUUAUUUUGCUUUCUAUAUAAUUUUUUUUCCUCCUUUGGUGAAGCCAUUUUUCAACUUUAUGGGUCAAAAUAGGCCCACUCUACAUUUAAUGGAAAGAGGGUAAAAUUUUUUUAUUGCAUUCAUGAGGUUAGAGUUAAUUAAAUGGUGUAGUAUUAUUACUUUAAAAUAUCAUGCCAUUCUUAAACAACGUAAUAUUUAAUUCAACUUAUUGUAGCUUAAUUCGAAUCAUUAUAUUUAAUCUAUAAUUAAAUUAAUGUCACUUUAUUUAAUAAAUUCUAGUCUCAUAAUAUUAAUGUUGUUUCAAUUGUUACAAAAAUGAUUAAUUUGGUUGUUUUUCUAACCUACAAAGAUGUUUAUACAAUAAAUUAUGAGAUUUUAUCAAUUUUGAAAUCGAUGGACUACGAUGUAUCACCGUAUCUUGAUAUUAAAAGAAACAUUUGCCAAUUUCUUAAAUUUUUUUUUUUAAAUCCUAUAAAAUAAGUAUUUUUUUUCUUAAGUGGGUUUCAACAUUAAGCAUAAUUGACUGCCUUCUUGUAAUAAUUUAAUCGCCAACAAACUUAAAAUGCAAAUUAGUAGAAUGUGAUGUGAGCUACUUUAAAAUAUGUAUCUUACAAUUCAUAUGCCUUAAAAUCUGGACCUACUUUUACACUUUAUAUAAGUCAAAUAGAUAACAUGCUAAGAGAUACAUUACUUUAUAAGUGGAAAAUAGUUUCCCACUUUUUGAAUUUCCAUUUCAUUUCCAAUUCCUCCCCUUUUUUCUCUUUUAAGUUUGUAUAUAUAAAAUAAAUUUCAAUUAUAAUAUGGCAUAUAUAUUUUGAGAACUAUGAAUGUUGAUAUUUUUGUCAAAGUGAGAGAAACGUUCCCAAUAUUUCAUUUCAAAUAAUCAAACUAUGUGAGAGAAACCCCAUAUUUACCCCAUAGCCAUGAACAAUUACUCUCCUGCAUUCCAUAGACAUAAGAGCUUGAAACAAGAGAAGAACAUCAUGUUGCCAUUCUCUUGUUACUCUCCCAAGCUAUCCCUUUACAUCCUCGCGACAUGUGUAAUCCUUUUAAUGUUGUUACAGAUCCGAUCCCUCCACACGGUUCUUCCCACUUCCUCAUCUCCUUUACCUUCACUUUCACCUUCAGCUUCUUGGUCUCUCUUCCAACAAUGGCAAAACUUGGUUCUCAACCGGACCUUGGCCGCCGUCUCGCCUGUAAACUGCACCCAAAACCCGGAUUCCAUGAACCAAAAGCUUCGAGAUUCCAUCACGUUCCUCCCGUUGAAAGACCUGCGUUUCUCGAACCAGCCCCUUGAUGGUCACACAUGGUUCAUGAGUUCCAUGUACGACACACGCGAGGAAGGUGAGGUCCAAUACCAACAGUUCCCUUCAGAACCGUCCAAAGGCCGGUUCCUUUGCCUUAAAGGCCGCGACACACACGACGGUUCAUGGAACUACUACGCCUUGGCAUGGCCCGAAGCGCUUCUUACAAACGCCACCCUAAUGAAGGGCCUCACUUUCGUGUCUUACAACCAUUACAACUACGACAACAUAUGGCAUGGUCUGUCGGCUGUCAUGCCUUUUGUCGCAUGGCAUAGGAAAAACAGCUGUGAAAAACCAACGAGAUGGGUGCUUUACCACUGGGGUGAACUUAGGUUCAAGAUGGGGACAUGGUUGAACUUGUUAAUGGAGGCUACGUUUGGCCAAGCUCCUUACAUUGAAGAGUUUAAUGAUGUUGAUGAUGAUCAACCUGUUUGCUUCGAAAAGGCUGUUGUGAUGAGGCACAAUGAAGGAGGGAUGUCGAGGGAGAGAAGGAUGGAAGUUUAUGAUCUGAUGAGGUGUAAGGCUAGGGUUUACUGUAAUGUGAGCCUUGAUAGAAGGGAUAGCGAUGAAAGACCAGACAUUGGGAUGACUUUGCUAAUGAGGAGUGGAGCAAGGUCUUUCAGGAACGAGACGGCAGUGAUUGGGGUGUUUGAGAAAGAAUGCAAAAAGGUGAAGGGUUGCCGGUUAAUGGUGGCUUACUCCAAUAAUCUCACCUUUUGUCAACAGGUAAUGGCAAUUUUUAUUUUAAUCGACUUGAAUUAAAUUUCUACACUUUUCAACACUAAUUUCUUCGUCUACUAUUCAAAUCUACAACUUUUAGGUUAAUCAGCAUUUUGUUAGCAUUUGUGCGUUACACGUGAACACCAAAACCCCCCUUAAAUAAAGCUAUAGUGGGAUGUUGAGAUUGAUGACAUGCUAAUCCCACUCACUAACGUAUAAAACAGAUAUGUGGGCUACUUUUAAAUUGAGUGAAUUCCAAUUUUUGAAAUUGAAUAAAUUAUUUUAUCAAUAAAUAACAACAUUUCAAAGCAAAGUUUACAAAGAUUUCAAAUUAGUCCCAAUAUUCUAAAAUCUCCGACAAUAUCUUCCAUGCAACUUAAAAGUAUUGUUUGAUUCAACACAUUAAAUUUCACAGAUUUAUCCGCAAUACUUAUAUCCCAAAAUCAACUCUAAUACACAAUUCGUGACUCCUCUUUCAGAUCAUAACAGCUGAUAUUUAAUUUAGAAGUUAAUUACAUUAAAAAAUUUUGGUAACUGAAUUUACAUGUGUGAUGAUGAAAUUGCAGGUGAAGCAAAUGAGUUUAACAGAUAUUCUAAUAUCACCCCAUGGUGCCCAACUGACCAACAUGUUCCUAAUGGACCGAAACAGCAGCGUUAUGGAGUUUUACCCCAAAGGCUGGCUAAAGCUUGCCGGCGUCGGCCAAUAUGUGUACCAUUGGAUAGCUAGCUGGUCUGGGAUGAGGCACCGAGGCGAAUGGCGAGAUCCCAACGGGGAAAGCUGCCCUUACUCCGACGAAGAUCACCGGUGUAUGUCGUUCUACAAGAAUGGCCUAAUUGGCUACAAUGAGACCCAUUUUGCGGAGUGGGCUAGAAAUGUUCUAAAUGAUGUUCAAACAAAGAGAUUUGAAGAAGAGGGUACCAAAAAUGGGACAGCUUCUAUGAAAACUUGUGAUUGCAAUUAAUCUGGUUUUUUGUUUUUUGUGUUUUCUGGUCUUUUGAGGGGCAUAAUUAAUACCCAAAAAAAAAUCCUUUCAUUUUCAAUUUUAAUUUUCAUUUAUAGGGGUUCUUGUAAGAACAAUGAUCCCCAUUCAUAUGCAAUAGUAUUUUAUUUUAAUUUAUUCUAUACUGUUAUUUCAACUAUUGGUAGAGUGGUAAAGAACAGGUCUAAAUUGGAUCCUUGAACAACCCCUAUCUUAUUUUCUUUUUUUUUUUUUAAAAGAUUUGUCUCUUAAUUCUUUGGAUUUUCGGAGUAACCUCAUUAUCAAACUCCAAUUGACGAAGGAAAAACUACAAGUUAAGCGGGUUCAAUAACAUUGGUAAGUUUGACUUACACACAUGAAUGACAGAUGAUUUGUGUAUUGAAAUCGAGUUUGAAAUCAAAUCAAGAAAGAGUGAGAAAAUUAUUUUCUAGUCCCUCUAUUAUAUUGAAUUUUGAAAUUUAAUCUUUUUAAUUUAUUAGUACGUAUAAAAUUAUAACAAUCAUUUAACUAACAUGUAAAUUUAUUAUUAAUUAUGGUUGAUUAAAUUUCACAUUAUUUUGAUUAAUAAUAAAAAGAAAGAAUUAUAUUGCUCUUUUCUUUAUACAAAGCCUAGUAUUACCUCUAACCCCUCUCCACCGUUAAAUUAAAGAAAAAAUUAGAAUUAAAUGUAUUUAAACUCACAAUCUUUAAAUUAUUAUAACAAAAAUUGUGCGAAUUGAACUAACAUUUAAUCCACGAAUUACAUUGCUAGUAAGUUGUUUUAUCAAUUUCGACUUACCAAUAAUAUUUAAAAAUAAAAAAUUAAAUUAUACCAAGCGAUUAAAUCUUUGAUUUUUAACAUCUCCUUUAAUCAUCGUGCAGACAAAACAAACUAUAAAUUGGGCCCUCCAAAAUUUGUGGACCCUGCUAGAAAAACAAAACAAUCUGUCAGGCUGUUAACUUUUGAUUCAAAUUAUGGAUUUCUGUCUUUAUAUUAUACUUACUGUUAAAAUAUGCUCUAACAUUGAUAAAAUUACCAUGGAGUUAUAGUUGGAUUCUACUUUCUCUCUUUUAUUAAAAAGGUUUCUGUAAAUUAAAAAAAAUUACAAAUUAAUUUUUCUUUUAAAAUUUUCAUUCAUAUGUGUUGUUAAGUGGUUAUUUAGAUUUUUCAUAAAAAUUUAUGUAAGUGACAUAGAAUUAAAAAAAUGAGUAGGAUUAGGUAAAAGUACCGUGGAGGCUCCUGUAUUAAGAGCUGGAUUACAUUAUGUUCUCUCUACUUGAAAAUUGAGUAAAUUAGUCCUUGUAUAUUAAAUCAAUAAGCAAACUGAUCAUUUUGUUAAAAAUUCCAUUUGUUUCCAUUUUUAAAUGAUGAUAUAACUGACAGAGAAACUAAAUAGUGACACGUGGUAAGCCACAUGUACCUCAUGCUAAUGUGGCACAUUCUGUCACAUCAAAAAAUAUUUAAAAAAUUUAAAAACCUAAAAAAUAAAUAAAUUUAAAUAACUUUGUAAAAAUCACAUCCAAGAGGAACCUAGACAAAUGGUUGUUUAUGUUCAUACCAGACGUGAUUUUUUUUAAAAAAAUAUUUAUAAAAAAUGUAAAAUUUAUAAGGAAUGAAUUUUUUGAAUUAUUUAAAAUUAUUUUAGAAAAUAUCAAAAAUGAACUUGACAGUUAUUUAUCCAAGUUCAAAUGAAAUUUGUGCUUUCUACCAUUGAAGGGGAUGAUGAGCCAAACAAAGCAUCGAUAAAGUUUGGUUUUAUCUUGAGUUCUGUCGAAGCCAAGAGGGUCAGAGAGAAUGAAAAGAAGGCAAUGAAGUAUUUCUUAUAUUGUGGCCUGCAUAGGAUGCGAGACUAUCCAAAGCAAUCUAAACUUUCUAUGAUCAGUAAGGAAGAAGAAACAGAACAAGAGAGUGAGGCUUUAAAGUUUGGAUUAAUGAUACUCAAUUCUACGAAAGCAAAGAGGGAUUGCAAGCAGAAAGAGUUGAUGUUUGUAGACACCAACAUUGCAGAUUGAAGGAGGUGUGCUCUUGUUUAUAAUUGUAGAAAACUGUAGGUAAACUUGAUAUCUCAGUUAGCAAAUUGACUAAGAAGAUCAAGACUGUAAAUUCCAAAAAGACCCUAAUUGGGGAGUAGCAUAAUGAGUUAAGCUACAAAUCAAUCAGUGGAAAAACAAGGAAGAAUUCGAGGUAAUUUAUUUAGAUGAUUAUGAAUUUGUUCUUGGCUUGAAUUUUCUUGGAAAGAUUAAUGCUCUAUUGGUUCAUUUUUUCGAUUAUAUAUGUAUCUUGGAUACUCAGUAGCAACAAUACAUUAUGCUGGCGAGUCGAUACAUGAGGGGUGGAACCAAGGUAUUGUUAGCAAUCCAACUAGCCAAGAAUGUUUCAUGCGGUGGGAACAUUAACUUGGUAUAUCUGAGUGCUAUGAAGACUCCUUCAAAAAUGCUAGAGGUGUAGAAAAUUGAUAUAACCUUCCACCUAUGAGAGCGGUGGGUUGUGCAUUAGACUUUGUGGAAAAAUUAGUAUUGCAAAUUGGGCAACUAAACAGAGUAAAUGCUAUGAGCGAGGUACAUCUCAAACACUUAUCUAGUGUUUUACAUUAUGACUUACCGUUGGCUUGGCAAAGACAUAAGAGCCCUUUCAAUGUUAUAAAGCAGGUAAGCCGAGAGGCUUACAAACCAAGAUUAGCAACAAUACUCAAGGUUAACACAGUAUUCAAUGUGGGUGUGUCAAAGCCUAUUUGCAAGGAUCAAAGGUAUCCCAAUCGAGGUAAGUCACAAUAGGGCUGAGUAAGAGUAAUGAACUCUUGUGAAUGAGAUAUACAAAAGAGAGAAACAAUUCAAGUUAGAAGAUGACAAAGAAAUAAGUCAAGGCAAAUGUUUCAAGGGUCAGAACUACUUGAUAUAGAAACUAGUUGAGAAUCAGUCGAGGAAAUGAGACGAUUCUAAGACAAGUUAAACCAAUCUCAUCCCGAGGACGCGAUGAGGGCAUCGUGAGAAUGGGUGGGAGAGAAUGUCAAAGGCCAUAGAUCAAAGCCCGUGAUGAAUACAUACAUAGCAUCCUAUAGAGGUCAACUGAUUAAAUGGGGCUCAUUUGACCCAAUUGAACUAGCCUGAUUCGUGGAAGACAUGGAGAAGCUCAUCUACUAGAAGCCAUGAUGGCUCAAUAAAACACUCUAGUUAAACUAGAGUUACUAUGGUGAAUAUUGUAAACCCUAAGGGAUAAAUAUUGUAUAGAUUUUAAGUCCCUUAAGACUCUCAUAUUAUAGAUAGGCACUAAUCUCAACAGUUGAUGUAAUUCAAUUUGUACUGUUGGAUCUAAGGGAGCUUGAUUAUAAAUAAAGGUCAUUCCCCUCAUUUGUAAUCACAUCAUCCAUUUAUUUCAUUCAAAUUUAUUGAAUAUAUUUGAAAGCAUUUAUUCAAGCACUUGGUGUGCUAUGAUUUUUUUGUGGCUUUUCUGUUUAAUUUAAGCUCAUUAGUAUUUUGUGUUUGCUUUCACUUUCUUCCAGUACCUUAGAGAAUUUCCUCUAAGAAUUCUCAUUUUUAAGAGAUGAGCUAACUCAGGUGGAUUUGAAGCAAAGGAAUCGCCUAACGUAACACCCCAUUUUUAGUGAAAUCUAAACAGUGGUUUCGGGACCACAAAUUUGAGUCCGGAAGAAAAUUUAUUUUAAAAUUAUUUUAUGGUCUAUUGUAUGAUAGAAAUAUCGUAAAAAUUUUUGUUAAGAAAAUUUUACCGAUUACAUGUUUAAUUGAUAAAAUGACCAAAUUGCAUAAAAUGUAAAAAUUGAGUUUUAGUAGCUAUAGGUAUCAAAUAGCUAUAGAAUUCAAAAUUGGAGGUCCUUAUAUGAAAAAUAGACCGUUAAGAGGAGUUAUUAGAUAAGUAUGAUGAUUCAUCCAUGGAAAAUUAAAUAAAUAAAAUGACUAAAUUGGAAAGAUGAAAUAAUAAAAGAUGAUAUUUUAAUUAAAUAAGAAAAUAUCAUCAUUUUAUAUCAUCUUUUCCAAAUUAAAGACAUGGAAACCCUCGUUAUAGGUGUUGAGAUCAAGCAAACUAUUUUGGCUUAAUUAGGUAUGUAUUCCUUGUCUCGUUUUCAAUAUUUUUAUGUUUCUGAUAUCGUAAUAGCUUAAUCUAGCUAUCUCAAGGAUUAAUUUGUAAAGUUAUCAAAGUAUUAGGGUUUUUCCAUGGAUGAAUAUGUAUGGAUUAUGAAGUUUUAUGGUAUAAAAUGAAAGGUUGUUGAUAGAUAAACAAUUUUGGUAAAGUGAAUUUUAAUGAAAUUGUGAUUUAGGGACUAAAUUGAAAAGAUGUAAAAUUCACAAAAUUUUUUUGAAUUUUAUGAAAUACAUGGGCUAUCAUUUUGACAUAUGAAAUUUUGCUAGGCUAGAAAUAAGGAUUAAAUUGCAUGAAUUUCAUUUUUUGAGCCUAAGGACAAAAUUAUAAUUAAAUGAAAGUAUAGGGCAAAAUGGUAAUUUUUCCAAAGGUGUGAAUUGAAUUGAAUUGAAUAUGAAUUGAUAUUUAAUUCAUUUAUAUAGAUUCAGAUAGACCAAAUAUGGAGUUAGAACGAGGAAAAGAGAAGGUAUCAGAUUAGUAGAUUACAAAUAAACGAACACUUGUCGAGGUAAGUUCGUGUAACUAAAUUUUAUAUAUUUAAAUGUUUGAAUGGAAUGGUGUAUAUGUGAAUUGUAAAUUCCAUAUAUAUAUAUGAAAUUGAUCACAUAUCCAACAAUGCUAGAGAAAUAUUAAGUCCCGUUUGAAUAAAUGAAAUUCGAUGGAUACAGGAUUCCCGAAUUGGUUGUGGUCCUGCAUGUGUUGCAGACACACCACAGCUUAAAAGAGUGUACUGUUAUUAGCUCUCAUGAGCAUCCCGGUAUUUGGCUCUCACGAGCUUCUCGUUAUAUGGUUAUUGCGAGCUUCCUGUUAAUAGCUCUUCGGAGCAUCCCGAUUGGUUGUGAUCCUAUAUGUGUUGUGGACACACCGCAACUCUUAUGAGUGUCCCGAUAUAUGGCUCUUCGGAGCUUCCUGAUUAAAGGUUCUUUCAUGAACUUAUCGAUUAAUGGCUCUCCUGAGCUUCUCGAUACUGGCUCACUUAAACCUUCCCGUUAUUGGCUCGUAUGAGCUUCCCGUUAAUGGCUCUCCGGAGCUUCCCGUUACAUGGCUCACAUAAGCUUCCCAUUACAUGGCUCACAUGAGCUUCCUGUUAUAUGGCUCGAAAGAGGGCUUUCUAUUUAUGUGCUCGUAUGAGCAUUCCCGAAUACGAAUUGCCGGGUUAUAGUUUCAUACACUUUAUAUGUAUUACCCGUGUAUCCAUCGAAUAAUGAAUGGUUUGAUGGGAAAAGUUCUGAUAUGAAGUAACAUGAGUUCAAAGUGAACUAUUAGCUAUGUAUAUCUAAAUUAUAUAGAAAUGAUAUUAUUUGAUAUAUGUUGAAAUAUGAUAUGUCUAAUAUAAGAAUGUGAAGCAUGUUAAAUGACUUAGUUCACCCAUGAUUAUGAUUUAUUACAUGUGAUUACUUGGCUAAUGUGAUAUGGAUAUAUGUUAGGCUAUGGCCAAGUUGGGUUGGAAUAUAUUUGUAUGCUUACCUUAUGUGUGAAAUAAUGGUAAGUUAAAUUACAUGUUAUAUGAACUUACUAAGUAUUAAAUGCUUACUCUGUUUUAUUUCCUCUGUUCUAUAGUAAUUUAGAAGCUCGUUGGGUUGGAGGCUUGUUUAAGAUAUCCUCACACUAUCUAUCAGCUUAUAUCGGUAUAUAUAGUAAUUACAUUUUGGUUAUAACGACAUGUAUAGGUUAAAUUUAACCAAUGUUGGCAUGUAAAUGUUUUGGUUGAAACUAGCCAUUGACAUGACUUGUGAUUGGUAUAUUUUGAUAUGUGUAUAAGGCCUUAUCAUAAUUGAUGUGUUUUGGUAUGUUUGAAUGACGAAUAGUUAAUUGGCAUAUUGAGACAUGGUUUGAUUUGGUAUAUUUAAUACAAAUAAGCUUAUAUAUAUAAUUGAUCAAUUUGGUAAGAUUGGAUACUUGGAUAUAUGAGAUAAUAUGUUAUAUUUAAUACAUGAAUUUGGCUUGUUUUGGUUGCUUGGUUAUGGCUUAUGAAUGUGCUAUUUGAUGUGUUAGGUUGAUGCCAAAUUUGGGUGAGAAAUGUGGCCUUGGAAAUGACUUAUUUUCGUCCACACAGGCAGAGACACGGGCGUGUGUCUCGGCCAUGUGUGACGCACGGGCUUGUGGUUUGGCCGUGUGUCCCUUGCAUAUUAAAAAUUUCAAAACAGAAUGCUCAAAAUUGAUCACACGGCCUGGAACACGGGCGUGUGGCUUGGCCGUAUGACCCCUGUACCUAUUUAAUGCAAGUUAUUAUGCUCACACAACCUAGCACACGGGCGUGUGACUUGGCCGUGUGAUCUAAGUCAGAAAGUUACAUGCGUAUGGACACGGGCUGGGACACGGGUGUGUACUCCCUGUACCUUGGAAAAAUUUUGAUAUUUUGCAAAAAAUUCUCUGAGUUCUCGAUUUAGUCCCGACUUGAUUCGAAGGUGUAAUUUUGGGCUUCGAGGGCUCAUAUAAGGGACAAUAUGAUUGAUUUAUGUUUUUUUUAUAUGAAUGUGAAGUGAUAUGAAAUGUCUGUAUUUGAUCUGUAAAUUCUGGUAAUGAUCUAUAACCUUAUUCUGGCGACGAAUAUGGGUUAGGGUUGUUACACCUAAGGCCGCGCGGAUUGCCAAACUAAAGUUCUAGCCCCAUGACACUAGGAGGUAGAUUGCAUUUUGCCCUCUCUACUUAAAAAAGGGGCAAAUUAACCCAUGUAUGUUCGAAAAAAGUGCAAAUUGGACAUUUCGUUGAAAAUUCCAUCCAUAUGUGUUGUUAAUUGAUGAUUUGGCUUUCUUCAAUUUUUUUUAUAUAAGUGACCUGGAAAUAUAUGAUGAGUAGGAUUAGGUAAAAGUACCAUGAAGGUCCCUGUAUUAGGAGUUGGGUUGCAUUUUACCCCCUCUACUCAAAAAAUGGGCAAAUUUGUCUCUAUACGCCAGAUCAAAUAGCAAACUGGUCUUUAUCUUAUAAUUUCUAGCAAUUUCUACUGUUAAAUAUUGAUGCAGCUGAUGAAGUAACCAGACACUAACUUGUGGCAUGUCGCGUUCAUCUCAUGCUAAUGUGACAAAAUCUUAAACUAUAAAAAUAUAAAAAUUACAAUUAUUUAAAAACCACAUCUAGGAUGAAUCUGUACAAAUGUUUUUCUUGGUUUAUUUCAUCCUGGACAUGGUUUUUUAAAAAAUUAUAAAAACUAUAGAAAAUUUAAAUAUUAUUAAGAAUUAUAAAAAUUUCUAAAAUUAUUAAAAAUGAACAAAUUAUUAAAAAAAAGUGCAGAAUGAUAUUGGAGAAUGGUUGUCCAAGCUCAAAUGAACUUAGAGAAUCAUUUGUCCAGAUUCACUCUAAAGUGGUUUGUUAAAUAAUUAUAGGAAAUUGGUUAAAGUUUUUUAGAAUUAUAAGAAAUUAUAAAUAAAUUUUAAAAUUUUUAAAAAUUAUAUAUACACAUAUAUUAUGUUUGAAGAUUUCAAAUAUACCCAUACAUGUAUCUUCUUAAAUGAGUUGAUAUUUUUAGUUAAUAAGUUGAAGUCCAACUUUAUUAAUUUCUUAUAAUUUUAAAUAAAAUUUAAAUAUUUUUCAAUAAUUAUGUAUAAUUUUUAUCAUUAUUUAAGAAAUAAAUCCAGAAUAAUCCUAGGUAAAUGGUUGUCUAAGCUCAUUUGAACUAGGAGAAAUGAUUGUCAAAGUUCAUUUUGAACAUUGUUUUUAAUAAUUUAUAAAUAAUUAUUUUAAAAAAAAUAAUUCAUUAUGAAUUUUAAUAACUUAAAAUAAUUUUCUAUGAUUGUUUGAUAAUUAUCUAAAAAAAACCCGUGUCCAAGAUGAACAUGGACAAUAACUUGUCUAGGUUCAUUCAGGGUGUGAUUUUUUUUAAAUAAUUAUUUCAAAUUAUUUAUUAUUUAUUUUAAAUAUUUUUUUAUGUGAAAAAAUGUGCCACAUCAGCAUGAGGUACAAGUGGCACAGUACGUAUUGCUAUCUAGUUCCUUUAUCAGUCACGUCAUCACUUAAAGUGGAAAUUGAUAAAAUUUUUAACAGAAUGACCAGUUUUUUCAUUAUCUAAUGUACAUGAACAGAUUUGCUCAUUUUUUUUUAGCAGAGGAGGACAAAAUGUAAUUCGACUCGUAAUAUAGGGUCUUUCAUAGUACUUUUACCUAAUCCUACUCAUCCUUUAAUUCUAAGUCACUUACAUAAAAAAAGAAUUAGAAAAAUUCAAGUCAUCACUUAACAACGUAUAUGUAAGGAAUUCUUAAUAGAAGGGUCAAUUUUUGCACUUUUAUUUUUUCUAGUGUACAAGGGUUAAUUCGGCCAGGUUUUAGUAGAGGGGGCAAAAUGUAAUUCACCUCCUAGUGUAAGGGCCUCUAUAGUACUUUUACCUCUAUGAUCCUGUAUUUCUCAUACAUUUAAAUUUUUUUUCUUUUUCUUUUUAUUUUGAGAAAUUUAGUCCUCCUAUUUUUUUAUCUAAAAAUAUAAGUCAAUUUGUUAAUACCGUUAAUUUAUUUGUUAAAUUUAGGUCCAUUAUAACUUCAAUUUUGUUAUAUGGUUAUCAAACAAAUACUUUUCUAUUUCAAAAUGUCACACCAUUAAAUUUAAGAGAAUUUUAGCAGUAUUAACAACUACACUAAAUUUUCUUAAAUCUAAAAAAUAGAGUGACUAAAUUCUUAAAAAUAAAAAUAAUAUGAUAAUUAAAUUCUAAAUGUAAAAAGAAUAAGUGGAUUUGGAGCAUAUUUUAAACCUACACUUAAUUUAGGUAUUUAGUGUGUCUAUAUACAUAUAUAUUAAUUUAACAUAAUUUAAUCAUCCUAUUAUUAUUAAAGAAUUUUUUUUAAUUGAUGUGAAAUUCUUUUUAUAAAAAUAAUAAAUCAUUACCUUAAAAAAACAUGAGAUUCACCUAUAAAAGUUUAAAUAAUAAAUUAAUAAAAAUAAUUAUUUUUGAUAAUAGUAUUUUUAUUUUUAUACAACCGUUAAACUCAAAUAAAUCAUCCAAACUUUUAAAUUGGACACUACACAACCUCUAAAUUGCUACAAUAAUAAUGAUAAUGAUGUCACCUGAAUUAAUACUUUAUAGUUAUAAUUUUUUAAUGAUUUAAGUUAAAAAUAAUAGUGUUAAUAUUAUAAUUAAAUUAUGUGAAAUUAAAAUAUAAAACUUAAAUUAAAAAUAACGAUAUUAUCAAAAUUUGCGGCAUUAUUCUUUUGAGUUUGAAAAUUGUGUUAAAAAUGUCAAACAAGUCUUUCGUAUAGUUGGCAAAGGUAGAGUUUUAGAUUUUGAAUGGCAAACAAGUUAUUUUAGUUUUUUAUUUAAUUUUUAUAUCUUUUAGCCCUUAAUUUUGUACUAUUUGUUAAAUCACCUUAAAAUGGAUAGAAUAGUUGACAUUUGUUAACUUUGCUGACGUGUGGCAUACACUUGAAUUGCUAUAUGAGCAAUUAAUUUUUUAAAAUUUAAAAAUUCAAAAUUUUUUAAAUUAUUAAAAGUAUCAAAAAGUAUAAAAAUAUUUUAUAAUUUUUAAAAAAUUAAUUAAUUGCUAACGUGGCAUACAUGUGGACUGCGGCGUGGAUGCCACAUAAGCAUACUUAACAAAUGUUAAUUUUUCAAUCUAUUUUGAGGAGAUUUGACAAGCAAUGCAAGUUCAAUGUUUAAAAUAAGCGAAAAAUUAAAUGGAGGAUUAAAAUGGUUUUUUUAAAGAUUGAAGGCCAAAUAAGUCAUCAUACCAAUUAUUUAUCACUAUAUUAUUGGCUAGUUGAUGUAGGGAUGGCAAUGGAGUGGAGCAGGGACAAAUAUUUCUAAAUACACUACCGAUCCACAAUUGGUACGUUCUACUCCACCACCUGUCCGCUCCACUAUGGAUGUAUAAUCUUGAAAAUCACUACCAUCUACAUGGAUGUUGGAUCCAUCCAUCUUUGUCCUACCUCGCUCUGCUUUAAUUUAAAAUUUUCUAAUUACCUUUAAUAUUUUUAAUCUUUUUAAAGUCAAGUAAAUAUUUAAACAUAAUUCUUCAAAAAAAUAUUUAAACAUAAAAUAUAUGGUUUUUCUAUAUUACGCUAUUACAUUUUUAUCAUUUUAAUAGUUUAUAUAUACAAAGAUAAAAUGAUAAUUUUACAUAGUGAAGUGGGUCGGGUGAGAUAAACAAUUACAGUAACCGCUCAAUGCUUUCUAUACAAAAGAAAACAUUCACCCCUCCCCUCAUUUACUUUUUAAAUAAAAAAAUCCACUCCAAAUCAAAAUCUAUGAGAUGAUUUGAAUUUUGUCUAUCCCUAAAUCAACCACUCCUUUUAUCAUAUCUUUUCUGAAAGCACGACUCCUUUUAUUGUUAAUCAUCGAGUUAAACAAAAUUGAAUGUAUAAUAUUUUUAGUUUUAUACUAAAUUUGUUCUAUACGUGUAUGAACCUCUUGCUUAUUCAAUUCGUUCGUGAAAUUAAUCAAUUAUUUAUUUAUAAAUUUAUAGUAUUAAUAGAAUCUCUAAUUUAAUUAGUGUUACGGGUUAAUCGGAUACUAACUCGGUUAAGAAAUUAUGAAAAUGUUCUUCCGUAAUUAAAAUGAGUCAUAUUAUUCAAGGGCAUUUUAGUUUUUUCAUUUUAACAAAAACCAAGAAAAAUAUGCAUAUAGUGAGAUUUCAACCCGUGCCAAUUAAAUUAGUAAAACCUUAAGUUUACCACUUAACUAAAGUAUUAUUUUGAUUUUUUUAUACAUUUUUUAAUAUGCACAAUUUAUUAUCUUCCCCAAUUGUAUAUCUAUACUAUUAAUAAAGUUAUUGAUUGAGUUAGUGUCAACCUCAACCGGGUCACUAGCUCAGUUAGAAAGUUAAGAGAAUAUCCUUUAAUAAUUAAAAUAAGUAAUAUUAUUCAAGGGUAUUUGAGUAUUUUCACUUUAAAAAACUAAUAAAAACAUGCAUAUAACGAGAUUUUAUCCCAUACCAAUUGCAUUAGUAAAACCUUUAAUUUACCACUUAGCUAAAGUUUUAUUGUAAUAUUUUAACAUAUUUUUUAUUUUAUUAUGCAGAUUUUAUUACGUGCAUCAGUUGUGUAUGUUAAUGAUGUAACAAAUUAACUCAAAACAAACUCAAGAUUGAUGACAACACCAUAAUAAACAAUUUAGGCUAUUUUUUUUCAUUUUAAUAACAUACAUAUUUCAUGUGUUAUUAUUAAUUAGUUUCAAAUAAUACGUUUCAUUAUUUAUUGUAUAUUAUAAUUUUCACUGAUGUAAUAAAAUUUUGAAUAUAUUUUAAUAUUAAAUUAUGAAGAAAGCGAAUAUAUAAAAUCUUUUAAUCAAGUCGUUGGAUUCUAUUUCGAGUGAAGCUAUAUUAACACUCCAUUGAGUUGAAGUCAAAUUUUAAAUAGCGAAACUUGAAUUAAGAGCUUAAAGUCCUCACUAUUUAAGCUCGUAUUUACUAAUCUAUGAUAUUUUAAGAAAAAAUGCAAAUUCUUAAAACAAUUUCCAACACAUCAUGAAAAUGUUUAAAAUGAACCAACUCUCAACAGGGUAUAUAUAUUAUUCAUUUUGCAGUGCCCAAUGUCCAGCCUCCAAUUUUAUCGUCUGUGGUCCUAAAAUAAAAAUUAUAAACAAACAAAGACCCAUAAAAUAGUAUUAGAGAGAGACAUUUGGAUGGCCCCAUUUUCUACAAUAAUGAAUGGCAAUAAUAAACCAAAAUUUGGUAUUAAAUAAGAGUGAUUGGUAGUAGUAAAAUUGUUAUUUAUCGAUAAAGAUCGUGUUACAUCCAGCAAUACAAAGUUAUAUGCUUUUUAUUUAAAUUUUUUAUAUAUAAUAGGAAUAAAUAAAUUUUAACAUUUUCGGUAUCUAUAUAAUCUUCUUUUAAAAAUAAUUAACGAGGUUUUAAUAUUGUUGAUAAAAUUUGAGAUUUUAAAUUAUUGAGUAUUGAGAUUCGAAUCUCAUUAUACAAAAUUGAUAUAUGCAGGUCUCCAAUUCUACUUUAUGUUAGUACAAAUCUCUGAUGAGGAAAAUCUCGAACACAGGAACAAAAUUCAAAUGGAAAAUGAAGAAACAAGAUAAGGCUCCAAGGCGUAUAUCAAGCCACUAUCUUUAAGGUUAUAUUCGCCCCCACCUAUCUUCAGGGUGCAAAAGAGUUUCAAGCAAAUUAAUCUCGAUGAUACAAUGAAGCUGAUGACUAUUUACGUUUUGCACUGACGAGAAUCGUCCACUAAGCACUGAGCAAUGUAUAACAAGAAACUCAAUUUCUACAAAAGAUUUCUGUAGUAAUACAUUAUAGAAUAAUCUAAUAAUAUUAGAAAAUGGAGGAAGGAAAGAAAGAAUUUUAGAACUUGUUGGUGUGUUUUCCAAAUGAAAUCACAUUCCUAUUUAUAAGAAUUCAAUAAUUGUUUUUUCUGAAUAAUAAUGUCUUUAAAAAGACACAUAAUUAUUUAUUUAAUAUUAUUAUUUGAAUAGUUAUAAUUUUGUUAAAAAUCAAGUGAUAUGACUCUUGAUCAAUAAUCAAAAGAUUUAACUUUUGAUCAAUAAUCAAAAGUGUGCCAUUUCAUUUAUAGUUAUUAAAACACUAUAAGUAUUUAACAAUAUUCUAACACUUUAUCAUGUGUGGAUUUCAAUUAGUUAUAUCCUACCUAUAAUUAUACUGUUUUUUACACUUUUAAACUUUCAAAAAUAAUAUAUAUAUUUCUGGUUUGGUGGCAAGGAUCCAUCAUUGACCAGACAGGGGACAAAGAUUUGAUAAUUGAGUACAAAAACCUUUAUGGGGACGUAUUAAUUUUUUUGUAAAAUAAACUUUUUUUGGCUUGACAGAUAAGAUAAUGUUAUGUCAAAUAAUAGAGACGGUAUACACUUAAUUAUUUUUAUUAAAUAUAUUAUCUUUCAAUAUGACAAAAAUAUUUUUGUAAAUAUUAUAUUAAUACACAAAUUAGUUAAAUUAAUUGAUAGGUACUAAAAAUAACAUGUUUUAACCUCAUUCUUAAUGCAUUUUUGGGUGAUUAUUCGAUGUUAAUAUUAAAUUUUAUGCUUCUAAUCCUUUAAAUUCAUGUUUUUAUACUUAGGAGAGCAUUUGGGGACAAAAUAAGCGAAAAACGAGCAAUAACCGGAAAAUUUGAGCGAGUUACAAGAACCACACAGGUUGAACCAUUCCACACAGUCGUAUGAGACACACGGGCUACCACAAGGCCAUGUGGCAAGCCGUGUCGAUUUUGCGAAUUGCACUCCAAACAGUGAAAAAACGUGAUUUUCAAUGUUUUUCAAGCAUUCUAAGACCUAUAUAUGAAAAAAAAAUAAGAAGAUAGGAGAGAGCCGUUAUAGAAUAUUCAAUAAAACAACUCGAAAAACACCAUUGAUGUAACACCCCAAACCCGUGUCUGUCGCCAGAUUAGGGUUGCGAGGCAUUACCUAUCAAAGUACAACUCAGAACAGACAUUCAUUUCAAUUCAAGUACCAAAUAAUAUAAUCAUUUCAAUUCUAUUCAUCUAGUAAAAUUUUAAACCAAACUAACAUGCUUCGAUUCUAUAAUUCGUACACUACCCAAAUUAAUAUUCAAACAUUAUAACCAAUGAAUCAUGGAAAUCGAGUACUUAACUUAUAACUAAGUACGAUUUAUUUCGUAUACCAAUCAUAUAUUAAGACAUCUAUUCAUAUAAAUCUAUUUCAUUAACUACUUUCCAAAAACACUAUUUAUAAAUGUGCACUUCUUCACAUUUUACUAAGUCAAGCCAAACCACAUGAUUUAUUAAACAUUAAUAUAUAUAUAUACACACGACAUUAACAACUCCACAUAAUGGUCAAAUAUAAAAUUUGGUUUUACCAUAUUAUGCACAUUUUACCAAAAUAAUAACUACCAAUUAUAUAUAUAAGAGCCGAAUCAAAUCAUACAAUAAUUACAAUACCCCUUGACUAAUAAAUAUCCAAAAUACCUAUCUAUCAUUUACUAAAUUCAUAAAUAACAUAUAUGACACAUUUUAAACUCAAGCAUUUAACUUAACAACUUAACCAUUAAUUACCAAAAUCAUGAACAAAACAUAUCAUAGGCAUGGAUAAGUAUAUUUUACCUAUUAUUAGCCAAAAAUAAAUACACACCCUUUUACCAUUUCCAAAAUACAUAUGCACAAUCGACCUUUUAUCGAUACAUUCAGUCAUAAAACUUACCUUCCGACAAUCCAACCAAUUUCAUAACUUGAAUCAAAGCUAACUGUACCAUUUAUAACCGUACAAAAAAAUCCAAUAUACAAGCAAUCAUAUAAAUAUAACUUAGCUCAUAUAAACUUAUCAUGGUCUAAAUCACAACCAUCAACACAUUAACAUCACAUAACCGAAUCAUAAAACAAAUACAUUACACAUAUAUAUAUCAUGACUGAAAAUUCACAACCAUUAACAACAUGAGCAAGCCAUUUUCGCAUGGCUUGGCUAUAUAUAAACACAAUUCCAAAAUCAACCAUAUCAAGCUACACUAUACAUGCCAUAAGUCAUAAAUACAAGUUUUCUUUCAAGGUACAAAAAUAGAUAUCGAUAGUGUGAUGAUGUUCCUCAACGUUCCUGAGCUCAAGCUAGCUUUCAAAAUCUAUAAAACAAAACGAAUAAACAUACGAAGUAAGCUUGGAAAGCUUAGUAAGCCAUAAGCAAAUAAAUUAACACAAGAACAUUCAUAAUUCAUUUCGAAACAAACAAACCUAACUAACUCCAUAUAUAUAAUCCAAUUUCUCAUAAAGUUCACACGAUCACGAUAAUUAUCAACACUUGCCUUUUCUUUCAAAGUUCGUAUAAAGUUAAUACUUACCUUAAUCGUUUAAAUCGAACUCACAUUCGGUCUUACCAUGUCUUUGCCCCUAGAACCAUUCGGAAUAAAAAAGGAUACUUAGACGGCUCAAAAAGAUCGUGCAAUGCCAAUGUCCCAGACGUGGUUUUACAUGUAUUCAAAUAACGACGCCACUGUCCCAGAUAGGGUCUUACACGAAAUCAUAUACGAUGCUAAUGUCCCAGACAUGGUCUUACACGUAAAUCUUAAAUCGAUGCCAACGUCCCAAACAUGAUCUUAUACGAUAUCACGUAUCGAAAUUCCUGUGGUUCGUAUGGCUUUCGGAUGCCGUAAAUCAAUCGAAUUAAGCUCGUAAUUAAUCAUCCUAUGCUAAAUUCAAUUCGACAUUGUAGUAUCAUACACAUAAUUAAGUCCGGCUAUGUAUGAAAUAAAUACAUUCAAUUUAACAUUAUUUAUUCACUUACGAACUUACCUCGUACGGAAACAAAUGGAUGGAAUCGACUACUCGACCACUUUCGACUUUUUCCGAUCUAAUUCCGUUUUCUUUUGUUCUUGAUCUAUAUAAAUUCAAAUUUGGCUAUUUAAUAACACAUUUUAUUCAAAUUUAUUCAAAAAUACAAAUGGGAAAAUUGCAUUUUAUCCCCUAACAUUUCACAUUUUUCACAAUUUAGUCCAUAUUUCACAAAACACAAAAUACUCAAAAUUUCACUACACCCAUGUUAGGCCGAAUUCUCCUUAGGUCCCUAGUAGCCCAUUUAUUUCAUUUAUUUCACGUUUUGACUCCUAAGUUUACAAAUUUCACAAUUUAAUCCUUAAUACACAUUUUUAUCAAAAAUUACUUAAUUAAACAUAAUAAUCUAACAACAUAUAUUUAUCCUUAAUGAAAGCUAAAUGCAUGGCCAUUUUGCAUUUUAUUUUAUCUAAUAUCAUGUUAUUUAAUUUUUACUAUUUUAACCUUAAUGAAAGCUUAAUAUAAAUUACUUGAAUCAUGGACAUAAAUGUCCACUAACCUUAUAAUGGCAUAUUAACCUUUUAAGGACUUCCCAUAAAUCAAAUCAUAACAAAUUAGCAUAUUAACAAUGAGAAUGCCAUUUUUAUUUUUUAUGCGAUUUAGCCUUUUUCACAAAUUAAACACAUAAACAGAUAAAUUACAUCACAGAAAUUUCACACAUGUCAAUUCACAUACUAUAAGCAUGGAAAGUAAUAUUAAAAUUUUAUUCUGACUCAGAUUUAUGGUCCCGAAACCACUGUCCGACUAGGAUCUAAAUUGGGCUGUUACAAUUGAAGCCGAUUCUGAAGCAAAUUUCCGUCAAGAUUGAAGACUUUAGGAGAUUAUUAUGAGUUUUUUUUUAUUUCUUUGAUUAUAUUGUCUUUUGGAUGUUUUUAUUUGCAAACAUAAACUAAUUUUCUAAAUACCUAAGGAGAUGAACCCUAAGAUGAAUUUUGUCAUUUGAUUUUUAUUUUUCGCAAUAAAGACUUAGAUCUUAUUCUCAAUUAUGUGUGUUUAAUUCUUGGUUUGAUAUUCCUAGAUUAUUGAUCCAUGUUUGAUGUACUUAAAUCAGAGGAGGAAUGACCCUGUUUAAGAGUAAAUCUAGCGUAAUUGAAUGGAGUUGCAUGCAAUCCUAAAAAUAGGAUGACAUAAAUAUAUCGGAUUAGAGUCAAAUCUAAUAGGAAAAUCCAUAGAUCGAGUUAAUGCGAUAAUAAGGGUUUUUAUUAGAAAGAAAUUUCAAUUAAUCAAGUCAGAGUCAGUUGCUAUUAUUCGUUAAAUAGGGAUAUUAGCAUAAUUUAGGGAUUUCUCCAUAUCAAAAUACUAAGUGAAGAAAUUGGAUAAAUUUAGAUUGAUAAUGACAGAUGAAAUCUAGGUGAAUUCUUUCAUGGGUAUUGUUUUGCUUCUUGGUUGUUUACUCGAUUAUUUUCUUAAAUUGUUCUUUGUCGCGUUCGUAGUUAAUUAAUUUAGUUAAUUUUAGUUUUAAUCAAUCACUCGAAUUUAUCGGUUAAAUAAUAGAAAUACGGUAAUUACUAGUACUUUUAGUCUUCGUGGGAACAAUAUAUCUUCUCAUAGUAGCUAUACUAUUAAUUGAUAGGUGCACUUACCUUAGUUAGAUUUUUAGUUGGUUUACGACUACAUCAAGUUUUUGGCGCUGUUGUCGGGGACUAAAAUAUUAGAAAAACUUUAUUUCUAUUAAUUUAGUCAUUUUUUAUUUUUAUUUUAAUAUUUUUAUUUUAUUUAAUUUUUACAUUCUAAUUUUUUGUUUGUUCGAUUCUGACAGGUUCUUUUGCUUUAUGACUAAAGGAAACUCGUUGGAACCGUUAGUGUUUGAUAGAAAAAUUGAAAAGACUGCUUGCAAAAAUCGUAGAGAGGUUAGAGAAGCAAAGCAAGGUCAACAGAUUUUAAUAGACGAUCAAGAGGAAAAGGACAUUACUAUGGAGAUGGAAAAUAAUCAAAAUAAUCAGUAGCCUCUUAUAUCUUCUACUCCUUGUACUAUGUUUGAUUAUGCUAAGCCUACUCUGAUUGGGGCUAAAUCAAGUAUCGUCAAGCCGACUAUUUCUGCAAACAAUUUUGAGCUGAAGCCAAACACAAUUCAGAUGGUACAACAAUAUGUCUAGUUUGAUGGGUUACAAGAUGAAGAUCCAAAUGCUCGUUUGGCUAACUUUCUAGUGAUUCGCAACACAUUCAAGAUUAAUGGCAUUACUGAUGAUGUCAUACACUUACGGUUAGGGGUGUGCAAAAUUCGGGUAAAACCGAAAAAAUUCGGUUAACCGAAACUUUCUAGUGAUUCGCAACACAUUCAAGAUUAAUGGCAUUACUGAUGAUGUCAUACACUUACGGUUAGGGGUGUGCAAAAUUCGGGUAAAACCGAAAAAAUUCGGUUAACCGACCGAAUUCGGUUAAUUGGUCAGUUAACCAAAUUUUUUCGGUCGGGGGUCGGUUAAUUAUUUUUUGAUUUUUCGGUUAACGGUUAAUUCGGUUCGAAACUGGUCGGUUAACCGAAUUUUUUCGGUUAACCAAAAAAAUUAAUAAAUAAAAUUAUAAUAUAUAAAUAGGCCCACUAGUCACCUAAACCCAAUCUAAACCCAAGUAUUCAACCCAACCCAAUCACCAAACCCAACCCAAUCAUAAAAUUAAAUUACAAAUAAUUUAAUAAAUAAAAAUAAAAUUUUAAAACUAAGACUAAAACUAAAGUCUAAAAAUAAUUUAAUUAUGUAGUGAUUCAAUUUGGUUAAUUCGGUUAAUUCGGGUAAUUCGGUUAAUUCGGUUAAUUUGGUUAAUUUUUAACCAAAAAUAAAAAAAAACAUAUAAUUUUUGGUUAAUUCGGUUAACCGACCGAAUUAACCGAAAAAAUUUCGGUUCGGUUAAUUUUUUUGAAAAAAAUUUCAGUUCGGUUAACAGUUAAAGAUUUUAAAAGGUCGGUUAAUGUUAUUUCGGGUCGAUUAACCGGCCGGUUAACCGAAUGAACACCCCUACUUGUUAAUGUAAAUUCUUUUAAUUCAGCAACUGAUUUUUUUCUAUUUUGGUAACUUAUCAAGUAGACUCUCGAUUAUAAAAUUUUUUUGACCUUUUCCUUGUCCUUAACCUAAGCCCCAUUACAACAUUGUAAAGACCUAUUGAUUGGUGUGUCAUCUCAUUUAUAGUGGUGGAGAUUUGAAUUUCAAGUAAGCCUAUGGUAAUAACAUUUCUCGUUUGACCGUUGAGUGCUUAUUAUUUGAACCUUAAACACUUUAAGUGCUUUGAGUGAAUAUUUAGUGAGGAUGUUAUUUCUUGUUGAGUUUGAAUUUCAGGUAAUUAUUGAGAUAGGGGAGAUGCCUAAUGUUUUUAAAGCUUAAAAUUCUCUGCUUGGAUUGCUUGUGUUAUUUAGUGUCAUUUUAAUGUGAAUUUCCAAUGCAAGAUUACCUCUAGAUUAUCCUAAGACAUUAUCAGUGGAAAUAAUAAAUUGAGAGAAGUUAACUUGAUUGUGGGUUGAGGAUUUUUCUUGAGGACAAGCAAACGCUUAAGUGUGGAGAUAUUUGACAGGUGCCAAAAGUAACAUGUUUUAGCCUCAUUCUUAAUGCGUUUUUGGGUGAUUAUUCAAUGUUAAUAUGAAAUAUAAUACUUUAAAUUCAUGUUUUUAUACUUAGGAGAUCAUUUGAGACCAAAAUGAGAUAAAAACGAGCGAAAAUCGAAAAAUUGGAGUGAGUUACAAGAGCCAUAGGGCCUAGACAUAGUUGUGUGAGCCACACGGGCUGCCAUAUGACCAUGUAGCAAGCUGUGUCAAUUUCGCGAAUUGCACUCCAAACAGCGGAAAAACAUGAUUUUCAGGGUUUUUCGGGCAUUCUAAAACCUAUAUAUGACCAAAAUAAGAAGAUAGGAGAAAGCCGUCAUAGAAUAUUCAUGAAAAACAAGUCAAAAAACACCAUUGAAGUUGAUUCUAAAGUAGAUUUUUGUCAAGAUUGAAGACUCACAGUUGAUUUCUUAGGAGAUUAUCAUGAGUUUCUUUAUUUCUUUCGGUUAUACUGUCUUUUGGAUGUUUUUAUUUGCAAGCAUGAACUAAUUUUCUAAAUACCUAGGGAGAUGAACCCUAUGGUGAAUUUCGUCGUUUGAUUUUUAUUUUAUGUAAUAGAGACUUAGAUCUUGUUCUCAAUUAUGUGUGUUUAAUUCUUGGUUUGAUAUUUCUGGAAUUUUUAUCCAUGUUUGAUGUGCUUAAAUCAGAGGAGGAAUAGACCCGGUUUAAGAGUAGAUCUAGCGUAAUUGAGUGGAGUUGCAUGCAAUUCGAGAAAUAGGACAACAAAAAUCUACCGGGUUAGAUUCAAAUCUAAUAGGGGAAUCCAUAGUCAAAUCUUUAAGCAACUCAAGAUAAGUAUUGAAUAUUUAGAAUAUACUUUUUAGUUUAGCUCGAUUUAAUUUGAUCCACCAAGCUUGGGACUUUGAUUGCUUCGUUCCAAAUUUAAACCAAUUUUUAAGAUAUGUUUCUAUUUGUAGUUUAGAUAUCAAGGAUGGACUGAGAGUAGUCCAGAGUAAUUACAAGAAUCGCAACCCAAUGAUUUUUGUUGCCAAAAUUUGCCAACUCAAACAUGGCAAGCUGUUGAUGCAUAAUAUCAACGGAGAUGUGGAAGGAAGAGAGGGGAAGGUGUCUAGGAAAUUUAGUUCACCCAUUCUAGGACCAAGAGUAAAAAAAGUAGAGGGACUCAGGUACAAGAAUUUGAAAGUUUAGUAUGUUAGGGUUUUGAGAGUGGAGAGGAGUCCUCUUACAAUGUUGAUACCUUUGAGUAUUUAUAGGUAAGUAAGAGUUCCUACCCAACUAUGCCACUUAGUGGGCCCCAGGUAGCCUAAUGGAGGGUCUAACUAGGUCCAAAUUGAAGUAGGGAUAUAAUAGUAGUCCUCCUAGUCGAAAGGUAGGUUAUAAAGUGACCCUGCCUCGAGACCAUUUGUAAAUUAACUUUGCCGGUGGUAGCUGCUGCAAAUAAAGUAGCGGGGCGGAGGGUAAAAUUUAUUGUUCAGAUAACCCCAGGAAUGUAUGAUUCCUUGCAAGGCUAUUGAAAUUCAUUCGUACCCUUAAUAAUGUGUGGGCUGAUGGUGUUUCUAUUUAUGAGGAUGCAAUGAGGGCGUUGCGAGAAUGAGUGGAGGAGAAUGUCAUGGGCUGCAGAUCAAAGCCCGUAACGAAUGCGCAAAGAGCACCCCAUAGAGGUUAAUUGAUGAAAUGGGCCUAAUUCAACCCAGUUGAAUUGGUCCGAUUUGUGGAACAUGUGUAGAAGCUCAUCUACUUGGCCUUGGUGGCCCAGUGAAGCACUUAUGAAAAAUUAGGGUUACCUUGGUAAAUAUGAAAAGUAAUCUUAGAAGAUUUAUAAUAUGAUAAGAUUUGAUUUUGUAAUCUUAAAGGAUUGAGUCAAUCCCUUAAGAAUCUCAAUUGUAGAUAGGCUUUAAUCUCAAUCGUCGAUGUAACUCAAUCUGUACCGUUGGUUUUGGGGGAGCUCAACUAUAAAUAGAGGCAUUCUUCCUCAUACACAGCUGUAAACCUUCAAAGUAAUAGAAUAUUUUUUAGAGCAUUUACUCAAACACUUGUGUAUUAUUUUUCUGUGGCUUUUUGUUCAUUUGUAGCUUCUUUUAUCUUUCGAGUUUGUUUUCGCUUUGUUUUGGUGCCUUAGAGAAAUUCGAUGAGAAUUCUCACUUUUGUGAGAGUUAGGUUGACUUAGGGGAGUUUAAAAUCAAGAAAUCUCUUAAAAUUAUAUGAGUUACGAAACGAAAAUUCUAACCCCGUGACACAAUAUCCUAAACAACUACCAAAUGCAAUAUCCAAGUACAUAUGCUACAUCAACCUAGAUAUGACAUUCUCCUAAAUAUUAUAGUUUCAUAAUGCAAUAGUAAUAAUAAUGCAUUUCACCUAAAAAAAACAAAAAAAAACGUGAUAAUGUAUAUAAUAAAUCAAAAGAUGGCAAAGCAAUUCAGGGGCAUUCAAACUUUUGCCAGGAUAAAAUUUAACAUCAAAAUUAGGACUGGAAAGAAUCCAUAUGAACUGUGUUGAAUAGAUUGGUAUUAUAAUGUUAGUUAGGCUGCAAAUCGAAUAUUAAAUGUUAAAAUUAGGUUCGGAUUCAAUUCCAUCUCAGAAAAUUAAUUUUUCUUAAAUUAAUUGUUUAUCUAAAUAUUAAUAUAUUAAUAAUAUCUAACACAAUCUUUAAAAAAAAAACUUACUUUCAAAAUAGAUAAAAUCAAAACCAAUGAAACUUGAGUCGAACAUGAUAGAUUAAAUUUCAGAGAAAAUUUUAAAAUCUCAUAAAUAUUAACAUUAAAUAAAAUCUAUUUGAAAUAAAGUCUUCAUGAGAAACUGAUUAGUGCAAGAGAACUUUUAAUGUUAGAAAAAUUAUAUGAUUAGUAGAUAAAUUAUUCAAAUAAAACAUGGUGAUGUAUACAAUAGUUAAAUUGAAAUGGUGAUUGCUCUAAUGGUCUAGAAAUCUGUGGAUUAAAAAUUGAUGGUUCAUACUGCAAAUUUCAGAGUUGCCCAACUUUUAAAUUCAUUAUAAAGGUGUUUUUUCCUGAUUCAUUAUCAAGUUUAAUACAGAAUAUUACCCAAAAAAAUCAUUACUAAAUCAAAUAAAUCAAUUUAGAAUUACUCAAUUUAUUUCUAAGAUUUUCUAAAAAUAAAAGUUAAUAAACCAUUAUCAAGGAAUAACUUUAGAAAGCAGAAUUAAAUUAAUUAAGUUCUUUUUUCAAGAAAGGGCAACGAAUAAACUAAAAGUCAAGUUAAAAGAAAUGGAAUAAAAUUACCUUCUUCUUCUUUGAACAAAGAUGUGUUCAAUCUAAGAUCAAUUAAUAAUAGUUUCCAAUAAUCAGGUUUAAUUGGAAAAGUGGAAAAAAUCCGAGUAAGAGUUGAUUUCAGCAUUAUCGUGAUGAACAAAAAUUAGCUUAUCACAUAAACGAUUGAUGUGUGUUCGGUCUACAUUCACCGUACCAUUGUAGAACAGUGUUAAACGAAGAUAGGGAAGUAGGAGAGAGGUGAUGUCGAGGAAAGCUAGUUCAUCCAUUUUAGAUGGAUUCAGGCAAAGGUGGUUGAGAGUUUAGUGUGUUAGGGUUUUUAGAGUAGAGAGGAGUUCCUCUACAAUGUUAAUAUCUUCCUAUGUUUAUAGGUAAGUGAGGGUUUUUACCUAAUUAUGCCAUUGUGCUGGAUGACCCAAUAGAGGUUUCAACUGUGCUCAAACUGAUCUAGGAUAUAACACAAGUAUUUUAAGCAAAUAAUAUUAUUAUCUGUUGACAUUUGUUUAGGCCCCGUUCAAAAAUUGCCUUCAACUGUUAUUAUCCUAAUUAAGAAAAAGAAAACCCUUAUUUUUGACAAUCUUGGCAAACAGGGAUACGAUAGUUUUCUUAGAAGUGGGGUUUUGGAGAUGUUUCCCAUGUGACCUACCUCUCGAACAGCUGCCCUCUCCUCUCAAAGGCAUUGCCACUCGAGAGCGGGUACGGCUUAUGUAGCAUCUUGCCCUUGUUACUAUCUUUUUUCCAGAGGGUGAAGGCAAACAAGUCACCGUAAAAGAUAGGGAUGGGAAUGUUGCUAGUUCAGGAAUUUGACCAUGGUUGAAGGAUGCCAAUUGUGGGAAGUUCUUCAAAAUGUGGUGACACUUUGGUGUCCUUUUGCGAUUUGGUCGAUGUUGAGUCUGCACAAUCACAAUUUUUAUAAGGGUAGCUUGCCUUUUAUGAUAGGUGAAAAAUAUCCUAAUGUUGCUAUCUUUAGCAACAACAUUGUCGUGGAUCAUUGUAAUAGUCUCACCAUUGCUUUCUUUUUGCUGGCAGAUUUCUGACUUGAUUAAGAGAAAUCUUUAAAGUAUCGUUUAUCGGAAGAUGAUAAAACCCUCAACAUAUCUGAAAUUAUUUUUAUGAAGUAUUUAUGCUUGAUUUUAACUCUAGAAUUUUGUCUAUUAUCAUGGGGCACCUUUUACAAAGAGUGUAAGGUGGUUCACAUGAUAGUAAAGAUCCGCGUUGGCUAACAUUACUUUUUAAAUUAGCCCUUAUAAGAGAUAGAAUUAUCUUUUAAAUUAGCCCUUAUAUUAUUAAAUAGAUUAAUUUGAUCUUAAACUAUUAAAAAAAAUAAAGGUAAAUUAUAGUAAAAUUAACAUUUACAAUUAAAAAAUGACAUGAAAAUCAUCUUUUUCAUUUGCAUUUAACUCAAAACAAAAGAUUUCAUUUGUAAAACUAUAAAAAGCUUUUAAAAUGUUAACUUUUCUAAUCGUAAAUGUUAUUUUUUAAAACAAUAAAUGCUAACCCUAUUGAAAUUUAAACUUAUUUGAUUCUUUUUAAUAGUAUAGGGACUAAAUUGAUCUAUUUAAUAAAAAAUAGACUAAUUUAAUCUGAUCACAAUAAUAAAGGGACCUUUUAAGUACAUUCCCCUUUUUUUUCUAUUUUCGGAAAAUUUAAUGCUACAAAAAAGAAAUUCAAAAAUCGAAAAAAUUAUAAAAAAAGAAAAACAAAGACAAACGAGCUAGAUCAGUAACAAUGGAGAAAUUAAUGAAAAAAAAUGAUCCUAAAACUAAAACAGUAAAAAUUUCUUCACUACAGCCACACAGUUUGUAUGAAAACUCCGUGAGAAAACCGACAAUUCAACAUAAUUCCAAGCAUCCCAUGUGGGAUUCUUCCAUUUUUUUUCCCCACAUUAGCUACCUCUCUGUCGUCGUUGUUCUGGUUCUUAGGAUCUUUUUUAGUGUAAGAGCCAAUUUCCAGUUGAAAAAUCAAAACCCAGGUUUCAAUUCCUCUUGGGAUUUCUUUUUUGUAUUUCGAAACUAUGUGGGAAUCCGAGACUGAGUCUGUUAGAGGGAAAGAAUUCGGGAAUGGAUUCUUUAGCUCCACCAAACAUGGCUUCAACACUGAUGGAUUUCAGCUUAAGGGCCAGUCCUGGUAUAUAUUGAAAGUAUCUUGUUUGUUUCCUGAGAAUAAAAAAGAGAAAAAGUUAGAGAAAAGUUAGCUUUUCUGAAAUAUUUUGAUUUUUUUUAUGCAGGUACGUUGCCACUGAUAUUCCAAAUGACCUUCUAAUUCAAGUCGGAGAUAUUAAUUUCCACUUGCAUAAGGUAGCUUAUUGCGCUGUUUACAAUAUGUUCGAUCAAAUUACUCCUAAAAGCUUCUUCUUUUUUUUCUAUUGGUUUAGAAUCAUGUAACUCACUGUAUUUCAUUAUUUUCUCAAACAUGGUGGGAAAGUAGUAUCCUCUGCUUUCUCGAAGUGGGAAAAUGAAUAGGCUUAUCUACGAUUCAAAAGACCCAGACCUCAAAAGAAUUGUUUUCGAAGAUCUUCCAGGAGGGUCCGAGGCUUUUGAGCUAGCAGCCAAAUUCUGCUAUGGACUUGCAGUGGAUUUAACAGCAGGGAAUAUAUCUGGUCUCAGAUGUGCUGCCGAGUAUCUUGAAAUGACUGAGGAUUUGGAAGAAGGCAAUCUCGUAUUCAAAACCGAAGCGUUUCUUAGCUAUGUAGUGUUAUCUUCAUGGAGAGACUCCAUUGUUGUGCUGAAAAGCUGCGAGAAGCUCUCACCAUGGGCUGAGAACCUUCAAAUCGCAAGAAGGUGCAGCGAGUCGAUAGCUUGGAAGGCUUGUGCCAAUCCGAAAGGCAUCAAGUGGGCAUACACUGGGAAACCAAGUAAUGUUUCAAGCCCCAAAUGGAAUGAUUUGAAGGAUUCAAGCCCCAGUAGGAACCAGCAUGUUCCUCCUGAUUGGUGGUUUGAAGAUGUUUCGAUCCUCAGGAUCGAUCAUUUCGUGCGAGUGAUUACUGCAAUCAAAGUGAAAGGGAUGAGAUUUGAGUUGAUUGGGGCAGCAAUUAUGCACUAUGCUGCCAAAUGGCUUCCAUGUUUGAUUCAAGAUGGUGAGCUCCAAGCAGAUGAAAUGAGCAUAAGCAGCCAUAGUAAUAGCUGGAAAGGUGGAUUCCAUAUGAUCAUUCCCGGAACUAAAGAUGACAAUCUCUCGAUUCAAGCCAAGGAUCAACGGACCAUUGUUGAAAGCCUCAUCAGUAUCGUACCACCGCAAAAAGACAGUGUGUCGUGCGGCUUCCUUCUCCGGCUUUUGCGGGCGGCAAACAUGUUGAAAGUGGCACCGGCUUUGGUGACCGAGUUGGAAAAGCGAGUCGGGAUGCAAUUAGAACAGGCAACAUUGGCUGAUCUUCUCAUUCCUAAUUACAACAAAAGUGAGACAUCGUACGAUGUGGACCUCGUCCAGAGGCUGUUGGAGCAUUUCCUUGUCCAGGAACAGACAGACAGUUCGAGUCCGAGUCGACGGUCUUUUUCGGACAAACAGAUGUACGAAGGAACACAUAGGGGAAAUAAUCUGAACCCAAAAAGCCGAGUGGCAAGGCUAGUUGAUAGUUAUCUCACAGAGGUUUCUAGAGAUAGAAACCUGUUGAUGACAAAAUUUCAGGUACUGGCUGAAGCUUUGCCCGAGUCUGCAAGGACCUGUGAUGAUGGGCUUUAUCGAGCAAUUGAUUCCUAUCUUAAGGUAAUCUAUUUGACAUAUAGAUGUGAGAAUAUAAUCUCAAGAAAAAUCUUUUAAAAAAAAAGUCUAACUAUACGCUUAUCAAAUAGAUACUCAUAUCAUAUACUCACACUAGAGUUGGUAAAAAAAUCGACCCAUCCCACCUUGAUGCCAUCCUAUUUCUAGGUGCGUUAAUGUGCAAUACCAAUUAACAUGCAGGCCCAUCCGACACUUUCGGAGCACGAAAGGAAGCGACUCUGCCGUGUAAUGGACUGCCAAAAGCUCUCCGUUGAUGCCUGCAUCCACGCAGCUCAAAAUGAAAGGCUCCCGCUGCGGGUGGUGGUUCAGGUACUCUUCUCGGAGCAAGUGAAAAUCAGCAACACGUUGGCCAACGCCAUCACGCUCAAAGACCCUGCAGAAACUCGGUACCAGCCAUUGAUAACCAACCGCAAGACCUUGCUUGAAGGAACGCCGCAAUCGUUCCAAGAAGGCUGGGUCACAGCAAAGAAAGACAUCAACACGCUCAAGUUUGAGCUGGAUGGCGUGAAGUCAAAGCACGUCGAGCUCCAAAAGGAGAUGGAGAACUUGCAACGACAAUUCGAAAAGAUGUCAAAGCCGAAACCGACGUCUGCGUGGAGCAGUGGGUGGAAGAAACUUGGUAAACUUACUAAGAUGACAACCGUGGAAAACCAUGACAUUGGACCUCAGAUCUCAACUACAAUUGAACAUGUUAGAAAACCGCCUAGAAGAUGGAGAAAUUCAAUUUCAUGAAAUAAAAUUUUGAAAAUUAAGAUGAAAAUAAAUAAAUCAACGGUUGCCAUGGAAAUAAUGAAACGGUGCCUUCACUAUUUUUUCUAUUCUAAAACGCAAUAUUGUAAGAGUUGAAUCCAUGAAAAAAUUGAUUUUUAUUUUAAUAAAUUGAAUUGAUAAUCAUAUUUGUUAAUUUUCUAUUUUAAAAGGUGAACUUGUCAUCCAAAUUUAUUUAUUGCCGCCGUUGUUUGAUUUGCCAAUUUUCUUUUGGGAAGAGUGAUAAUUUUGCAUGUUUUCACCCAAACCUCAAACCAUCAUUAAUUUGUUCAUUAUUAUUUGUAGAGUGUAAUUUUUGUUUAUCUUAGAUUAUAUUUUAGUCACUUAUGUUUAAAAUUUUAUAUUUUAGCCACUUACAUUAUCAUGUUGUCACUGAGUCGUUAAUUACCGUUAACGGUAAACUAACGUGACACAUUAAAUCAUCAUUUCAAACAAAAAUUUUAGGUUAAAUUAUACAAUUGGUCCCCACAAUUUUUUUUUGUUUUGAGCAAUUUGAUUUUUUUCUUUUAUGUUCUUUUAACUUUCUUUUUUUUUCUCUUUAUUUUUCGUUCUUUUUUGUUUCUCCGUCUGUUUUCCUAUCUUCUCCACUUCUUUUAACAUAUCAGAAAGUCGAAUUGGCAGAGAAGAAAAAAGCAUGGUAUGGGUUUAUGGGUUUUAGUUAGUUAUAAGCAAUGAUGACUUUUGACUUCUUGCUUCUUUCUUCACUACCAAUUCGACUUCCUAAUACGUUAAAAGAAAUGAAGAAGGUAAGAAAACAGAGGGAGAAACAGAAGAGAAUAGAAAAUAAAGAAAACAAAAAGAAAAGGAAAGUUUAAAUAACAUAAAAGAAAAAAAUUAAAUUGCUCAAAACGAAAAAGAUAUGGGAUAUGUUGUAUAAAUUAACCUAAAUUUUUUGUUUGAAAUGUUGAUUUAACGUGUCACGUCAGCUUCCCAUUACACCGUUAACUGCAAUUAAAGGCUCAGUGACUAAAAUGUUACAACACAAUAACGUAAGUAACUAAAAUGUAACAUUUCAAACAUAAGUGACUAAAAUGUAACUUAAGGUAAACAAAAAUGACCAUUGGCGCAGUUUACCCAUGUCAAAUUAUGGUUUUAAUUUCAAUUUGUAUUGAAAGAAGUUUUUAAUUUUUAAUUUGUUUUUAGUUUUUUAUCUUUAAUUUAUAUCUUCUUCUUCAUCUUCCUUCCUUCCUUCUUUCAUGCCUUUGAUUGCUGUACGCCAUGAACAGUUCAUCCACCAAGCCAAUCAUCACCUUCUUCUCCAUGUCAUCCCCUCCACCAUUUCAGCUUCAAAGCAUGUGUAGUUUGUUAACAGUAACUAGUUGAGAUUGUUAGUAUUUUGAAUGCAGUUAUUGCAGCCAACAAGGGGUAUAAAUAUACAACCUGUUGUACUUGAUAAACCACUCUUUGAAAUAUACAGUUUUCUAAAGGGCUGAGUAGAGAAACCGAAACCUCACCGUUUAGUUCAGUUGAGACUUUGUUUUAUUCAGUUCGGUUUUGAAUUGAUGUUACCAUUCAAAUCUCAUCAUUCAAUUUAGGUUCAAAAUUUUCUACCUGAAAUCCAUUUUAUCCAAAUCAAACCAAAUAAAAAAUAUUUAAAGAAAUAAUCUUAAUAAAAUAAUAAAAGGACCGUUUCAAUAUUUAUAUAAAUUAAUUAAUUUAACCAAAUUAUUAUUAUGUUAUUAAGAAACCAAAUUAUAUAAUAACUAUAAUUAUAAACAUAAUUCUAAUUUUUUAAAAAAUAGUUUAUAGAAUUUCAUAAUAUUUUAUUUAUAAAAAAAUUAUUAUUCACAAGUUUUAUACGUUGGACAAUUAUAAAUUUAAUCAUUUAUAUUAUUAUAAUGGCACAUUUAUAACUAAUUAAAGCUAGCAAAUAAUAAUUAAAUUAAUUAAGAGAUGACGUGGUAUAUCAUUAUGUAUAUAAAUGAUUUAUGUAUUAAUUUUUAUUUUUUAACAACUUUGAAUAUUUAUCAAUUUAAUGAUUAAAUUUAAAAUGUUCCUUUAAAAUAGUUUGUGAAAAUAUUAAUUUAACCAUUUAAUUCACUUUAUCAAAAAUCAUAAUAUUAGAUUUUUUUUAGCCAAAAUAAUGAAAACUUUUUUAACAAAUCUACUAUUUUGGUUUUAAACUCAAAAGGCGAAUGGAAUGAUUGGAUAGAAUUUUUGUAAAAAACUGAAGGGAAUACCCCUUAUGGUUUUCUCUGAAGAUUUGUUUUCGUUUUUCUGAAUUCAUGACUUAAUUCUUUGGUUUUGGUUGACCUCGUUUAAAGGUAGGAUAAGAUUCUAAAUGUAAUUAAAGUAGAAUAUGUUGGAAAUAUUGUACUGUUGACAGUAAAUAAAUAAAGUAAUCAUUGUUCCGUGGAAGAAUAAUUGUCUUAGAAGUGAUUUCGCCCUGAUCGGUAUAAUCAGAAAUGGACGUCGCUUAAAAGGAUUGCUCUUCUUGUAAAAAUCAAGAAAUAAAUUGAAAGAAACUCGGGUAAAUCACACUAGGUUCAAUUUUCAAGAAAGAUUAGAAGGGUCACAAACGGUCUCGCUUAAAACUCAAUCCCCUAGAUAGAAUAUCGCACUGAUGUAAUUUAGUAAAACACCAUAAUUUUUAGAGAGCAAGAACCAGAGAGAAAAGAGAGAAUUGAGUUUUCUUAUUUUUCUGUGUUGUGAAAAAGAGUAGAAUAGCCUGCUAUUUAUAUUGUUAUCAAAAUGGGUAAAAUGGUAAAAUAUCAAUGUCAAUUUCUAGAAAUAGUAGAGGAUUUUCCUCAACGGAAAAUAUUUUGCAACAAUCAUAGGACUUUCCUCAACCGAAAAAUAUUCUACAACAGAAAAUAUUUUGAAAAAAUAUUUCUGAUUUUGCAUUACCAACAUUCCCCCACUAAUGCAGAAAAAUUAAAAAAUUUUGUAAACAUGAGAAAAGGUAAAACGUGAAAAGAAUAAUAACGAUAUUAACCGCUUAAGCACUAGUAUCUUGUGGAUUUGAACUAGUACGUAGUGAAAUGAGUGAUUCUUCUCUUUAACAAGUGAACAAAUCUUGAACUUGUUAAGAUAAUAGUUAACUCAUGACAUACGACUAAUCUCAGGUCCAAUUGAGUUUCGCGAUAGAUCAACAAUUUAGCCAAUAUACCUCGGGAUGCUAGUAAGUGCUCUAGAAAAAUGGUCCAACGUCUUUCAUAGAAGGUGGUUAAUCCUUCACACUUAUGUAGGUGAUUUCAUCAAGUCUAUCUUAAUAUAGACCACUCGGACCAAAACUAUGAAAUCAUUAAGAACAUUUAAUAAGCUCAACCUCUCAGUUUUAUAAUUCAGUGAAUUCAUCAAGUCUGUCUCAAUAGAACCACCCAAACUUUAAGAUAUGAAUUCAUUAAGAGUAAGAAAUUCAACCACACACGUUGGUGAAUUCAUCAAGUUCGUCUCACUAGGACCAGCUAAACUUUGGGCUAUGAACUCAUUAAGAGCAAGGAGCUCGUCCUUAUGCAUGUACAUUGUGCGCCAUAGGGAUAAGUAAAUAUGUACGCUAUGAGUCUUUCCAUGGUUCCGUUUGACCACAUUGAACUUAGAAGACUAAGUUGGGUAUCCACCAUGAAUUCCUGAAUCAGUGGGCUUAAGACCCAUCCCUCUCAACAAAUUAAGAACUAUUUUCCUACAUAACCUUUUGGUUAAUGGAUUAGCUAGGUUCCUUUCAGAUUUUACGUACUCUAUGAUGACUACUCCAUUCUUUAUUAAGAGUCUCACAUAUUCAUGUCUUAUUCGUAUAUGUCUUUUCUUAUCAUUGUAAGCCUGGUUUUGAGUAACAAAAAUGGUGGUUUUUGAAUCAUAUAAUAAGGACACAGGAGGUGUAGGUUACCCUCAUAAAGGAAUCUCUACACGCAUAUUCCUAAGCCACUCGGCCUUUUGUCCGACUCAAUCAAGAGUUAUAAACUCUGAUUCCAUCGUGAGUGAGUAAUACACGUUUGUUUAGCAGACUUCCAAGAGAUAGUUGCUCCAUCUAAAAUAAAGACAUACCCACUUGCAGAGCUAACUUUACCAGUCACCUAGUUUGCAUAGCAAUAUCUCUCUAGGACUAUAGGGUAUCCGAAAAAUUCUAACUUCCAAGUUAUUAUACUUUAAUUUCACUCAAAAUCAUUUGGGGAAAGUUUAACUUUGAUAGCAUAGUAACUUACAAACCAUGACACUUUCUCCCACUUACUAUGCCGAUGCCCUUAUCAACAUGAAGCCACACUUUUAGCAACCUUGUUGCAUCGAGUUGACAUUUCAGUCUCAAGUCCAUCUUCAGUCUUCAAGGCCGAAGGUUAUGAUCCAUUCAAUGCACAUUAGACAUAGACUUGAACUUGGUCUCAUCUCAAUCGUUGGUGUAGUCUUGUCUAUGCCCAUUCCUCCACCGAACACUUGGAAUCAAUGCCACAACAUAUAGUCUUUAGGUUACAACCUUGAGGAACCCUUAAUGGUAUGAACCUUUGAUGACUAAAUAUUACCAUGUCUUUGAUACUUAAAAAUGCAUCCCUCUAAAUGUGGCACCAAGCGCGCUCUUGCAGCCUCAACACUAAAGUUUUCAACAUGGGAAAUUCAAACACAUUGGCCAUCCCUAACUUAGCCCCUCUCAGUCACCCCAUUGGGCGUGGCCAUCUUGGCCAACUACAACACAUGCAACACCACUGAACUUGGUUGAUCUCAAUAUCAAUUUUGGAUUUUAAUGCUCAUUCACGCAAACUCUAUCACGCUAUUUCUUUCUCCGCACAAUCUCAUAAGUUUCCUGAACAAGACAUCGCCCACUAGUUCUCUUAUUCAAGCUCUCGAACUCAAUAAUCCUCUAGUCUACUUUGGUUAAAAAUUCUAUGACACUUGGACUAAUUUCACAAAUCUCAUGUAUUAAUAGCUCAUAAUGGAUAAAGACAUCAUAAACCUUAUUCCAAACACAAGGAUCCAACGAUCCGCUCAUGGUCCUUCGAUCAACUCAAACUUAAGCUCGCUAGGCCAUCCAAGCCCAUCUUGACUACAAUGGCCCACUAGCCAACAUAAAUGGAGCUUGCAACUGCUCCAAUGCUACUUAGGCACACUCUUGCACUACCCAGGUACCUUCAAAUUGAUUGCUUCAAUAUCACACUAACAUAUUUAUAAAUCCAGUUUUCCCUUCAUUGUCUAUUUCUUUUUCUCUGUUUUGAGAUUUGAACCCUAAGACCCUUUUGGAUUUCACGAUACCUAUAAUUUAUAGUUAAGUCUCAUAGGCUCAACUCUCAACUUGGAACGGGCAAGCCAGAGUUAAACCACCCGAGAUCUGAAUCAACAAAGCCAAACCCGCGUUCCAGCACCUUGAAGCCCCCCACUCAGUUUACAAGCUCAAUUUCUAAAUUGCCUGUGGGAGCCUUCAUUGGUUCCAGCAGCGAGAAAUGAAAACUAGUCUCACAUUUAAAUAGUAGCAAAGAAAUCACUUCUAAAUUGUUUGAAAUAUACUACUACAAACAAAACCGUUAGCAUUGACAGGAAACCAGACUAAGUGCUGUGGAAGAACCACUGCCUUAGAAGCGAUUUUGCCUUGAUCGGUGUAAUCAGAAAUGGAAGUCGUCCCCCAAGGUUAACACAAUACUUCCAAAAUCAUACACCUGAAUAAGGAAGAUGAAUCUCAAAAGGAUUACUCUUCUCGUAAAAGUCAAGAAAAAAAAUUGGAAGAAACUCGAGUAAUCACACUAGGUUCAAUUCCCAGGAAAGAUUGGAGGGGCUACAGAUGGUCCCAUUUAAAACCCAAUCUGCUAGACAGAAUAUCGCACUAAUGUAAUUUAGUGAAACACCAGAAUUUUUAGAGAGCAAAAACGAGAGAGAAAAAAGAGAAUUGAGUUUACUUGUUUUUCUGUGUUGUGAAAAAUGAGUAGAAUAACUUGCUAUUUAUAUUAUUUUUAUCAGUUUCCAAACAUAAUAUAAAAUUUCCCUCAACAUAAAAUAUUCUACAACCGUUUAAAAGAAUUUUCUCAAAUGAAAAAUAUUCUAUUACAGAAAAUAUUUUUAAAAAAAAUAUUUCUCAUUUUGCAUUCCCGUAUAUAUUUAGCAGAUGCCGAAAAUAAUGAGUAAAAAAAUGGAGGUUACAGUAAUCAUUACUUCAUCAAAAGAACGUAAAUAUAUAUUCCGUAUAAGUAAUAAUGUAUCAAAAUCAAAGUAAGAACAAAUAAUGGGAUUUGGAAAACUCCCAUACAUAAAACAACAACAACAACAACUGAUUCUCAAAAUCGAUAGACAAAGAUGGCUCAAAGCCUAUAAGAUCUUCAGAGAGAAAGUAAACAAGCUAUAUGCUACGUAAAAGAACACAUUUAAAACAAAUCCAGUAUGUAGCAGCAGAUUUUAUCUGUCAAUAUUAUACAGUAAAAGAGGAUUUUUAUGGACCAGAAGAAGGAGAAGGUGGUGGAGAAAAGAAAGGAAUAGAGGGAAUUGUAGUUGGGAUUGUAGGGACUGAAGGCAUGCUUGGCAGAGGAGGCAGUGUGGCCCUUGGAACACUUGGCAAUGUUGUAGGAAGUGGAGGAAGCGCCCCAGGCCUUGGGAAAGAUGGUAUGGAUGGCUGUGGGAGAUUAGGGAUAGAUGGGAAUAGUGGGAAUGUGGUUGUAGGCAAUGUUGGCAUUGGAGGUAGUUGCUGAAGGUGACGAGCUGCAACCCCAACAUCAAUGCUUGCAAACGACAAAGCCAUGAAGAAUCCCAAAGCAAAGCAAUUGAAAUAACCCAUUUUGUCCAGAGAUUUUGAAACUAAUUAUAAGCAGAUGAAACAAAGAUUUUUUUAAUCUUGAUAGUUACGGGUGAGGAAGACAAAGGAUGGUGUUGGGGUAUAUAUAGGCCUUGGAGCAGUUGGUAAUAUUGGAUGAUAUAUGGUCGGAAAGGAGGAAACUUGGUCAAUAUUAAAGGUUUUGGUAGGUCAUCUUCUCUUGCAUAUUGGGGUUUAAAACAGGUGAAAUGCAGGUGUGGUUGGCAUAGAAGCUACCUCAUGUAAUAAUGAAGUCAGCCCACUUAAUUAAACAAAUAUACUACACAAAUCCUCCAGGUUAGCAAAGUUUCUGCUAAGUGGCUGUUAUCUAAGAACACUACUGGAAUUGUUUUACUUAACAUGUUAGGUACCAUACUAGUAUUUUCAAAGUUGAUUAUAUCAGUAAACUUGAGUUGUUGGGCGUUAAGCAACAAGUCGAAUUACUAUUUAAGGGGUGGAUUACCUGCUUAAAAUUUAAGCUUUAUCCAAGAAUCUAGAUAAAAAUAUUAUAAGUGAAAAAUAAUCUCAUUAAAAGAAAAAAUAGAUCCAUUUAAAAUAUGUAUCGAAUUCAAACUUUCAAUAUCGAAAUCUGAGUUAAACUUAUUUUCAAGUUUUUAAUAUGAUAUUUUUCUUUUCUUUUAUAUAUUAUAUGAUUUAUAUCAAAUUAACCUAAAUAUAUUAGACUAUAACAUAAAUAUUAAAAGUUAUGUUAAAUUGUUUUUGUGUAUAAAUUUAAUAAAUAUAUAGGUGAUAGUAAAAAUAUAUAAUUAUGAAAUAGUAAAUAAUUAUAUUUUAAAAUUUAAAAAAACAUGGACAAAUUUAAACAGGUUUGGAACAAUCAUUUAUACAUAUAAAUAAGCUUAGACAAAUUUUAAUAUUUAUAUUUCGAGCAAAGUUGAAUUUGGAUAACUAUGAUCUCUUUUGGAUUUCAUGACAACUAUGGUGAGAUCACAUCUCAGAGGAAUGUGCCUUUUUUAUUAUUUUUUAAUACUAUCUAAUAUCUUUUUUAGAAAAUAUGAGUUUUACAAAUAUAGUUAAAGAGUUUAGCUCAAGUCACAUACAAUCUUAGGCUCAAUUUUGGAACAACCGAUGAUUAAGGAGGAAAGGUUAUUGGAACAUAGGAGAAUGCUUGUGGCUUAAAUACAACAAUGCUUUAUUAUACAAGGCAAAGUUAACAAUACAAUGGGGAAAAUCCACGUAUAAGUCAAUACACAAUACUAAUGAGGGUGGGGUUAACUUAUCGCAGAUACUCAAUUUUGAUUAUUAACAUUUUAUCUUUUGUUUGAAAUAAAAAAUAUAUAUUUUAGGAAUUUUAUUACGAAGUGUAUCUCUUUCGGAGGAACAAUUCUUAUUUAGAAUAAUUGUUGUUAAGAACAACUGUUGUUCGAAUAAUAACUGUCCAGAAUAGCUAUGUUCAAAACAAGGCUUUAGUUAGAACAAUUUUCAUCCAAUGUAGUUGUUAUUUGAAAACAACUUUUGUUGAGAAUAGCUAAAGUUCAGAAUAACUCUUGUUUAGAAUAAUGAUGCUUUAAGAAUAACAAUGAUUAGAACAACCAUUAUUUGGAAUAACUUGUAUUUUAAACAAUUUUGUUUUUCUAGAAGAGCUAUUAUUCAAAACAAGCUUUACCAAAAAAAAACAUCACCAUGGAACAACUCUUAUUCAGAAUAGUCUCUACAUUGAGAACAACCAUGUUGAGAACAACUUAGGUUUGGAACAAGUCAAAAUAAUCAAUUGUUCAAGAACAACUCAUCCAAGAACAACCGUCGUCUUGCAUUUCAAGAGAUGUUCAACGAAAAAUUUUUCACAUGGUACCACUUCACUAAAGUAGAAGAAGUGGAAAUAACCUUGAAAUAUGGCACGGUUCUUGGGUUCUUCACUCUUAGGAUGUUCUUGAGAACUUGGCUUGCUGGAUCAAAUAUGGAGGUAGUUAAGAGUUCUCCUAUUAACCUUUUCCUAUAAUACUGAGUGUUUUUCCCUCUUUUCAAAAACAUAGUGGAUUCUUCUUCACUACUUACAAUCACCAACAAAAUCUUUCACUAUUCGUUUUUAAUCAUUAAUGAAAUUGUUACUGAGAAUUAAUUACAUUAUUCAUAUUAAUUAUCAGUUUUAUAACUCCUAUUCUUGAAACACUAUAAACAUGAGUAUUUCACAACAGCUGAAAGGACUUUUGGUACUUUUGGCAUUUUUAGCAUUUUGAACUCUUAAAGGAUUCUCUUAGAAAUUCUCUUAACUUACUUCUUUGUUAAGCUUGAUCGGCAGUCAUAUUUUCCUUUUUCUACUUUAUCGGUCACCACCUACCGCUGCGAUCAGUGCUACUAGAUCUACUCCAAUCUUCCUCUCCGCCUUCUUCUAGUAUUUCUCCUUCACUUAUUUGCAACUCUUCCUCUCUCUAUCAAAAGAAUCCUCUACACCUAUUUAUACCCAAAUCCUCUUACACCCAUUGGACCACAUUCCUAAGCCUUCUUGGCUAUCUAAACCGACCAAACCCUAUUGAUCGAAAAGAGGCGGUUUAGCACAAGCGGAGUUGCUCUAGCACCUAUAGGUACAGUAAAUAGUGCCCCAGGUAAGCAAUCACCUAUGUGAGGUGGUUUAAGCCCCACACACUCAAUUCACGCAUCCAGGUAGGUACCCAUCUACCUGGCACAUUUGGAAGGCCCAUUAGGGGUGACAAGAUGUUGUUGGCACCUCGUCUAGUGGCCCUGCAAUAGGCUUACCUAACUGUUACCUUGUCUCGAGCAUAUUCACACCUAGCUAGUUUGGGCGACCGUGCAUGUUGUUUAAUUGGCCCCUUGGCUUCCAAGAGUAAUCCCUUGACUCCGAUAACUUGCUUAUGCCUUGAGAAUGUCCAAAACCUUAUUUAUCGAAAGGCCCCCAAGCUGCGUGUUCAGUGUUUCCCUUACAUGCUUCCUUGUUGAAUUGCUCCCUUGUUGCUCGAUCCAAGCACCUCAAUCUCUCAAGCCAUGGCAAGCUCCUUUAGCUUUAGUGAGUAGGAACUCACUCCAAUGUAAAGAUGUUUUUACAAAUAUAGCCCCAUUUAUUUUUCUUUCUCAAUCUUUCCUUUAUUUUAUUGGAUUUAAAGGUAGAUAAUGAUCAGGUAAUUUGUUUCCUUAAUGUUUUUUUAUCAAAAUAAAACAUAGUUUAACUAUAUUUGUAUACAAAGUGAAUACACGAAAAUCAUCAUCUGGAUAUGAUAGCAAAUUAUAUAUGUAAUAACUAUAGAAAGUGAAUACAUUAUAAAUUUUGUUAUUGUUUUUAUAUAACAAUUUAAUAAAUAUAUAAAUUUUAUCAUCAUAAAUAUAAUUUUAAUUCUUAUUUAGUAUAAAAUUAUUUUAAAUAUUUUAUUUUUAAUGUACCUAUGGUUUUAAUAUUUUUAAUUAUUUUUAGUAAAAACAUGAUUUAAUUUUUAAUAUAAAAUUGUUUUAAGUAAUUAUUUAUUACAUUUUAAAUUAAUGUUUUUAAGAGUUAUUAUCAUUGUCACUUCACAGUUACAACAGCAUUUGAAUCUAAAUAAAUAUAUCACCAUUGAUUGUAAUUUCACCGCCAUAAUAAUUAAUGUCAUCGCCAUUGUUGUUUUUAAUCUUAUCGAAGCUCAUCUCAUCAAUCAUUCAAGGCAUCAGCUCGAACCUAUCCUAUGAACACCUAAUCCAAAUAGAUUUGUCAAUUAGUUGAGUUUGGUUAGUUUUGGAGUAAGUCAAUUAAUUAGAUGAAGUUUAUUCGAUUCUAAAACUUUUAGGCCAAUUUAGGUUUGGAUUAUUUCGGUUUCAAGUCAUUUUGGCUUUAGAACAUUAGGGUGAAGUAAUUAGAUAAUCUAAUGUUCAAGUCAUUUAGAAUUACUUGUAUUGAUCAUUUAGAGUUUAAAUCAUUUCAAAUUCAAAUUAUUUUAAGUUUUGGUUUUUCUAAUCCCAAAUAUUUUUUAGUUCAAUUUAUUAUUUUUUUAUGAUUAAAUUCACAUCUUUUGGAAUUUGAAUUCAAAUUAGUCAAUUAGAUUUGUCAAUAUUAAAAUUAAUAAGCUUUCCUCCAAGUUAAACCUGUUGUAUGGCAUUAAGUUACCUACACGCAAGAACCUGCAAGUUAGAACUAUCAAUUUGAAGUGUUUAACUGUAGUGAUCACUGUAAUGCCCAAUUUUGACCCUGGCCGACUAAAAAAAAAUAAAACCAAUAUAAAAGCAAAAAAUAUUAAAAGACCAUUUAUAAAUAAAACAAUUCAAUUACAAUGGGCCAAAUUCGGGUUUUUUAGCCCGAUCACUAAAAGAAACCCUAGACAUUCAGCCCUAGCACGAGCGCCGCAACAGCUUCCAGCGAUGUUCUCCCCAUGCCUCCAUGCGCUGCGUCGUGCCACAUCAUCGUACGGCCAUUCCUGCAACAAGCGAAAGACGAACAACGCAACACCAAACAAAAAAAGGACAGAUAACAGUUGUAAAAAAUUCAGAUUUUGAUUAUUUCUUUUGGAUUUUUCGGCACUAUAAAGGCCGAUUUAAAAAAAUCUGUAAAGGAAGAGACCCACGAAUAUUGUAUGAAAGUUUUUUAAAAAGAAAGGCAAUAGAAAGAAACAGUUUCAAGAAAGGUGAUUGGAAAUUUAUUUUAUUUUGAUUUCUUCUUUCUUUUUUGCUUCUUCAAUGUUAGUUUUAGAUUUCUUGUUUGCAAAAGAGAAAAUAAAGGGAAAUAAAGGAGAAGGUUACCUGGUAACGCCUUCAGAUCCGCGCGAGGAGGAGCUAAAAAGCCCCUAGAGGUGCAGCUCCGACCACUGUUGAGUGUAAUCGCAGCGGAGAUGUGGUGUACUGACGGCGGUGAAGGCUAGGGUCAAAACCUUAACUGAGAAAACAAGAAGCAAAUUUUUUUUUAAACUAGGCUGCUAAUGUUUUUUUUAGAAAAUUUUAUUUAAAUAAUAAUAUAAUACGGCGCCGUUUUGAGCUAGGGCUCCUAGCGCCCAAACGACGCCGUUUAGCGACCAUACCCGAUGACCCAAUCCAACCGUGGCUAGAUCCGCGCGUUUUAGUAGGGGGAGGGAUAAUUGCGCUCCCGGUCCUCUCUCUUUUGUUCUGGGUUCAAAUCGGUUCUUUUCUUCUUUUUUUUAAAUUUCGCCCUUUAAUUUUCUUUUCAUUUUAUUUUAGUCCAUGCCGCAACGUAGCGUUUUGGAGGGCUGGGAAUAUUUUUGAAUUAACCCUCCAUGUUAUUCGCGCAUUGUACAUUGGCCCUUAUUUUGUUUAUUUAUGUUUUUCCCGAUUAAUUUUGUUUUAGUUGUAAUUUAAUCCUUUUUGUGUUAUUUGUUUCUUUUUAAUUAGUUUAAUAUCUCCAUUAUUAUUAUUAUUAUUAUUAUUAUUAUUAUUAGUUUUUUUACUUAAUCUUAUUAUAUAGAUCCUUUUAUUUUAUUAUAUGAUAUUAUUUUAUGUUUUUACGUAUUAUUACUUAUUUUCACAAAUAUUUUACUAUAUACAUUUUAUAUUAUCUUAGUAUAACUUAUAUAUAUAUUUUAAAAUUCAUAUAUGUAUAUAUAUACGUUUAGCUCCAAAAUUUUUCAUAAUAAUAUCUUGUGUUUUUUCCAUACAUAUAUAUAUUGAAUUAUUUUAUGCACAAAUAUUCUAUUCCUUUCAAAUUUGCUAUUCUAUUUUACUUAUUUUAACUUUAUUAUAUAUUAUGACUAUAUAUACUAUUAUUUACAUUAAGAUUUUUUACUUAUAUAAAUCAAAGUGUAUAUAUAUAUUAAUUUUAAGAUUUAUUCAUUUUUUCCUUACAAUUCUUCCGUUAAAAUUCAUUUAAACAUUUUAUUUGUUUUUUAGUUCUAUUAUCAAAUCGUUCCAAAUCUUCAUAUUAAUUACUUUUUUGGUAUAAUCUUGUUUAUAUUUUUAAAUCCUAAAUUUAUUUAUUCUCACUUUUAUUUUUUACAUUUUAUCUUCCUUUUAAAUUAAUAAUUUUUGAAUGUUGAUGUUGAUAUUGGCAUAAUGCAUGAUUGAAACCAUUGUUAUUGUAUUUAUUGAUUUAUUGUUCAUCACUCAUUGAUGUAUAUUACUAUUCAAAUUUUGAAUGAUUCAUUGUUUAUUUAAUCACUGCGUUUUUUUUACCGUGUUUCAAUAAAAGCAUUAGAAUCAUCUUAUUUUGCAAUUUGUCAAAAUACCCGCUAUUCAUGAUUCUCGUGAGAAUUGUGCCCUAACUUACUGGGCUUCAAUUUUUCUGAUGAAUUUAGAUAGCCGAGUAUCUCUUUUAUAAUAAAACCUUAUGAUUUCUAAAUAAAGCUUUUCGGGAUUUCAAAAUGUUGGAUUCUAACUUACUGAAUAUGACAUUUUGUUAUCUCGAGUUAAGGAUUUUAAAAUAAAGGCAAUAUUCGACGUUUAGGAAUGUCGAGAAAUUGAACCCUAACUUACUGGAUUAUGAUUUCUCGAUUGACCCAAAUAGCCAAAUAUCCUUCUCAAAAUGCAUGAAUUUUUAAAAUUUAAUAAAAGGACAAACCUAAUUUCUAAUAUUGAACUGUUGCACUCUAACUUACUGAGUUUGACAAUUUAUCUCUUUGAAAUAAGUGAGUCUUAUCAUCCAAUUCAUUUUAUUAAAAUUUUCUUUUCAAAUGAUCGUAUUUUAAAACCUUUUCAAAUUCUCGACACUAAGGCAUUAAACAUUUGAUUCGGUACCAAUUUUGGGCGUCACGAGGGUGCUAACCCUUCCUCGUGCGUAAUCGACUCUCGAACCUAUUUUUUCAAAAUUCGUAGACCUAAAAUCGUUUUCACAAUGAUCCGAUUACACCUCAUUAAAAGAUCGGUGGCGACUCCCAUUUUAUUUUUGAAGUCGAUCCCCAUUUUUUUUCAAACAUGAAAAAGGUUUCGACAGCUUGGCGACUCCGCUGGGGAUAAAGAGAGUCAAGCCGUAAAAUUGAUUGUUUUUUGUCUUAUUGUCGAAAAUUAAAAAUUUGAUUUGAAAAAUUACGAUCCUCUCUUUGCAUUUGUUUGUAUGAUUACUGUAAAUUAAGUUUUAUACCUUGGCAUCAUAUUGCAUAAAGACUAUUAGUCUUUCCCUUUUAAGUGGGAGCGAGAAGCUACUCCUUCGUGAGGUUUUCACCUCCGUGCAGGAUAGUGGAUCACUUUCGAAAUACAUCCGUACCUAUGUCUUCGUGAGAUCUUCAUCUCCGUGUAGCCAUAGGGAAAUGUAUUCCCCUGAAUCGAACUCGGUCUGUAUGAGCUUAUAAUGGGUGAGAAUCGAGGAAUCUGUUGGUUUGGGUACAUUGAAUUUAGAGCCAAACCGCAUGUAGAAAACCUUAGGAACCCAUCCUAGGUAGAGCCGCUCCAAAUCCCUAUUAUUUACCCGACUAGGUACUUUUGAUUUCCUUGUUUGCUUCUAUUUUGUACUAACCCCUCUUGUUGUGUUUUGAUUAUGAUUGCAUUGCAUUUGCAUCUUAGGAAAGAGAUAUUGAUCCAAGUCCGAUUACUAAAUUAGAAAGCUUGUCAUGGAAUACGGAUUCCUUGAUAAAGUGGAAAAUAGUACAACUGCCCGAAUAUAUUCCAAAAAACACAGGAAUGGUGAUGAAAGAGUUCGUGACUUUACUUCGUGGCCCGAGGAUUCAAGAUGAUUGUCUAAGAGCCUUCGACGUUCCAAUUCUCUUAAAGAAGCUAUUGAGUAUCACGAGGGUAGGCAAACAAUGGAUCGUGAUCAGAAUCAAGAAAAAGGGAGCUAGUAGUAGCAUCUAUUGGAAAUUUACGGGAACAUGCGGAUGAAGGAAAAUAUUGAUGUUGUCUCUUGGAAUAUAAGGGCGAGGCCGUAUAUAUAUCCGCUUUAUAUAAAGAAAUUUGCCUUCUAGUAAAGUUUUCUAAAUGUAAUUGAAUCAGAAUCAACGUCUCUUUAGGCAUGCAUUUCAUGCAUCUGCAUUACAAAACAUCAUAUGCAUUAAAAUCCAUUGAAAGGGUCUAAUUGAGUAAAUUUAUUUCAGUUAAUUUGGAACACCAACACCCUUACGGUAUCCAAGCAAAGGUUAGAGAAUUGGAACAAAGGUUGGAAAAAUUAGAGCGAAUGUAGAUGCAGAUGAAGGAGCAAUUGACCAAAUUUCAACAGGAAAUGAGAGAUCAGAUGCUAGAAUUACAGAGAACUAUGAUGAGCCAGUUCGACCGAUUGCUAGCUAGAGAGUUAAAAGAAGUGAAAGACUCGAUGAUCCACUUUGGGGUUCAUAUGGAAGAUCUUGUAUACUCCCCAGAUUAUACUCCGAUAAGUGUCCAGGUCUAACCAGAUGGGCGUCCACAAGGGGCACUCUUUACUAUCAGAUCCCAACAUUAUCAGACCGGUACAUCAACACCGUGAAUUGCUUGACAGGCCUAGGAUCCAAUUUGAGGAACAAUUUUCCUGUUGCUUUUGUUAAACAAGCAGAAAUAAAACAAUCAAGGGUGGAGUACCUAGAUACUACAAAGGCCCCGAGGAAGAAGGGGAAUAAAUGGGAUAAUACAGGCAGGUAUAACAAGGGCCACUCAAAACCAGUCACUGCGGGCCGGCCAAAGACAGAAACCACUAGCCAUCAAAGCCUUUUAAAGAAAGAAUCUUACACGAAGACAAACACUGAGAAGCUCCAGUUCACACCAAUUCCGAUGUCGUAUAAGAAGCUGUAUCAAAGCUUAUUCGAUGCGCAAGUUGUUGCACCUUUCUACUCAAAACCCCCAAAACCUCCGUACCCUAAAUGGUAUGAUACAAGCGCGCAAUGUGAUUAUCAUGUGGGAAUUACGGGGCACUCAGUAGAGAAUUGCAUUGCCUUCAAAAAGCUAGUUGAAAGACUCAUCAAUAUAGGUGUUUUCAAAUUUGAUGAUUCAUCUAGUGCAGAAAAUCUGCUACCCAAUCACAUUGAUGAUGGGGUGAAUACAAUGUAUGAAGAACUAUUAGGAAGCUUUCACAUAAAUGUCGUAUAUGAAGACACAAAGGAAAAGUGACCUUGUUCGAUAUCCGCCCUUAUAAAUCUGGAGUGUUCUAAGCAAUUGGACUGCGGAAGAAGUCCCUGUAGUUUUUAGAACUCAUUUAGAUUAAUGUUCAGAAUAUUUUGUUAUUUUUAGCCUAAAAAUGAUAGAAAUUCCUUUGUGAAAUAGGCUCAUGUCUGAACGUCAUUAUUCUAAUAAAAUACAUUUUUGCAUUCAUUUUUUAGCCAAUAUUCUUUUAUUCUUUUCGAAUAAUUAUUCUUUCAUUAUUUUUGAUUUUCUUUCACAUCAUUCUUUCAUUCAUAAUUAUAUUGUACAAAUAAUUAUUCAUAAAUUCACACAUUCUUUUGUAUAUUCUUUUGCACUUACUAUGGGUCCCUAGAUAUCAAUGACAUGAGUGACACUACUGCAGACUUUGGAUCUCCUUUUGAGCGAGGCAUGUGUUUAGAGGGAUCUCAUGACUUUGAAAAUGACAUAGAUCGUAGCUUAUCUCCGAACUUGUUGAGGAUGGUAGAACAAGAGGAUGGACAGAUCCUACCUCACGAAGAAUCAUUAGAAAUUGUGAGCUUGGUGAAGAUUAGAAUUGACUUGACCGCAAAGACGAAGCAAGACCUUGUUGAGUUACCUCUAGAGUUCAAAGAUGUCUUUAUAUGAUCAUACCAGGAUAUGCCCGGGUUAACCGCUGAUAAUGAAAUCUGCACAACAGCACGAUGUCAGAAAUUUACAAUAUGAACGAUGCAAUUCUUUACCAGGGCAAUGCCUUUCUCGUUGACUCAGCAUAGCUUUGCCCAUUUGAAGUCAAGUUCCCAUCUCUUCAUGUUUUGUUGGAUUUUAUCCUGAUUGAAGAAGAAGAUCCAAAUUUUUUCAUCAUAGCUAAGUUUCGCCCCAAAAAGCUCUACGAGAGAAAUCUGAUAUUAAAGAAGAUUUUUUGCAUGCAAUAUGAAGGUGGAAGAUCUUAUGUGGGAGACUUUAUUGAAAAAGCAUUGGUUCUGAUCAAAAGGGAUAACAAGGACUUGCCUAAUCCCAAGAGUUCAGAUCCAAUUUUAAAAAAAAAGAGCAAAAAGAAAAAAAAACAACAAAAUUAAGAACAAAAAGAAAAAAUAAAAAAAUCAAAGUCAAAAUAAAAAUAUGAAAAUGAUAAAAGGAAAAAGAAAAGGAAAAGAAAAAGAAAAGGAAAGGCCAAUGCGAAAACCCGCAAAGGGCGCUUUGUGACCAAAUGUGGUUUUGAGUCGAAAACCCGAAAAGCGCGACUCAAAUUUUGAGCAAAAUGGGGCAUGGACAUCAUUGAGAUCAUUAAUUACUUCAUCAAAUGGAUAGAGGCUGCUUCAUACGUCAAUGUCAUCAUAUGCCGAUAUAGAAUUCCAGAGAAGAUGAUGUUGAAAAAUAGAUUGAACUAGAACGAUAACACGAUGGCUGAGGUUUGAAAUCAAUUCAAGACUAGACACCACGGUUCGUCACAGUAUCGCCCAAAAUGAGUUAGAGAAAAUAACUGAGACUUACGAGGGCUAGCAUGUGAAGUUACCAUUUGCCCUUCUUAUUUUUCGAACGUUUAUCGGGACUUCAAUUGGGGCAACACUAUUUUCUCUGGUUUACAAGACGGAAGUAGUUAUACCUAUUGAAGUAGAAAUCCCUUCUCUCUGGGUAUUAUUUGGAUGAAGUAGAAUGAAUCCAAUCUGAUCAAAAGGAAAAAGGCUAAAAGCUAUUCAUCAUGGACAUGUGUACCAGAAGCGAAUGAUGUGAGCCUAUAAUAAAAAGGUUCAUCCUAGAGAAUUUCAUGAGGGGGACCUGGUGUUGAAAAAUAUCCUUCCUAUACAAAAGGAUUUUAGAGAGAAAUGUAUGCCAAAUUGGGAAGAUCCUUAUGUCGUAAAGAAGGCCUUUUCAAGAGGAGCUUUGAUUUUGGGCGAAUGGAUGGUAAAAUCCUGACUAAUCCGGUAAAGCCAGACUCAGUCAAGAAAUACUUUGCCUAAAAAGGAGGAAAGACCAAGGUGAAAACCCGCAAAGGGCGCUUUGAGUCAAAAAAAUGAAGAGGCCAAGGUGAAAACCCGAAAAGGGCACUUUGAGACCAAAGGGGAUUUGAGUUGAAAACCUAAAAAGGGCGGCUUAAAUAUUGAUCAGAAUGGGGCAUGAGGUGAUCAGAGCAAUUCAAAUUUCGGUCAGAUUAGGGCAUGUGGUGAUUUUGCUAUACUUGAAUCAAAAGGAAAGGGUAGGCGACAUCUUGGGGCAUCGACAAAGCACUGUAGAUCUCCUAAACACAUGUCAAACUCAGAAUGGUCUUUAGAAAGUUUGUACAGAGAAGUUCAAGUUGCAAUAUCUGGGGCACCAAAUUUUCAUAUUGAAUUUGUUGUUCUUGGAAUACUUCAUUCUUUUCCAAGAUACACAUUCCCAAUCAAUUUCUUUGUUAUUCUUCUUUACUAUUUUUGGUAAUUUAUUCCUUUCAAGCUAUGCUCAGAACCAACUUUAUUUUUAUCCAUUGUUAUGACCUUCUUGCAAGCAUGUUGCUUUUAAAUAAUGAUUAAUUGACUAAUAAAACUUUCACAAAGGAAGUUUUGCAUAUUACUCUGAAAAGUUUCUAAAUAAUACAAGAACCUAAAACAGGACAAUUGUUUAGAACACACCAAAUUUAAAGGUUGGAAAUUUGAGAAGGAAGAGUCUAAAUUUGGACUUUCUCUUUGGAUUUUGUUGUCAAAUGCAUUGAUUGAACAAAAUGACAAGAUGUCAUGUUGGUGACAAAGCUUAAAUAAAUAAGCAACCAAUGAUCAUUAGGUAAUAGGAAGAGGUUUCCUCAGAGAAGAAAGCCUUCAUUUGAGUAUGAAACUUUGGUACGACAACCUGGGAAUGGCGUAAGGGACCAGAAAGAUUUAAAUCUGGUAUCCUUGAAUUGUGAUAGGAAAGGAUUGAGGAAAAGCCACAUAUUUCUAUCAUUGGAUUACAGUGGAAAAAUGAUGAUAUAAAUUUUGUGCCCUAAUGGAUUGAACUUUGAGGUUCACAGUGGGGGCAAUCUAGCUAAGUCUUUCUUCAGAAAACCCAGCCGAGUAAGAAGGCGUUAUAGUACGUCAGUGAUAAAGCUUUAAUAAACUUCGAGCAAUGAUAACUUAAGCGACAAAAAAGGGGAUCGUUCUUAAAAAUAGCAUUCUACAUUCAUACAAACACCAUUCAUACAUAUCUAGUUAGGAGCAUUUGAUUCAUUUUGAUCAUGACAUCCUAAUCAUUAGGCAUAAUUAGGUUCAUUAUACAAGUCAUGUUCCCCAAUGAACAGAUCUGGGAAAUUACAGAUCUUGUCUCCCUAAGCAGUAGCGGAACAGAUCAAAGACGGUGAAUCUUAUCUUCAAGAGUAAGGAAGCAGAUUUAAGCCACAAGUCCUAUAUCCCUGGUCAGUAGUGGAAUAGGUUGGGAAAUUACAGAUCUUGUCUCCCUAAGCAGUAGCGGAGCAGAUCAAAGACGGUAAGUCUUAUCUUCAAGAGUAAGGAAGCAGAUUUAAGCCACAAGUCCUAUCUCUCUGGUCAGCAGUGGAGUAGGUCAAAGAUUACAGAUCUUAUCUCCCUAAGCAGUAGUGGAGCAAAUCGAAGACACAAGCCUUGCCACCCUCGGUUGUAGUGGAGUAGGUUGAAGAUAACAGAUCUUGCCUUCAUGCGUCAACAACGAAGCAGAUCGAAGACGAAAGCCUUGUCUCCCUGAAGUUGUAGUGGAGCAGAUUGAAGCCAGUAAUCUUAUCUCCCUGAAGUUGCAGUAGAGUGGAUUGAAAUAAUAGAUCUUAUCUCUCUAAAGUUGCAGUAAAGUAGAUUACAUUAGGUCUUAUCUCCCUGAGGUUGCAGCGGAGCAGACUAAGAAAGCAAGUCUUAUCCCCCUAAAGUUGCAGUGGGGCAGACUGAAGAUGGUGAGUCUUAUCUCCCUGAGUUUGCAGUGGAGCAGAUUGAAGCCAAUAAUCCUAUCUCCCUAAAGUUGCAGCGGAGUAGAUUGAAAUAAUAGAUCUUAUCUCUCUAAAGUUACAGCAGAGUAGAUCACAUCAGGUCUUAUCUCCCUGAGGUUGCAGCGGAGCAGACUGAGAAAGCAAGUCUUAUCCCCCUGAAGUUGCAGUGGGGUAGAAUGAAGAUGGUGAAUCUUAUCUCCCUGAGGUUACAGUGAAGCAGACAGAAGAAACUAGUCUUAUCUCCCUGAAGUUGCAGUGGAGCGGAUUAAAAUCAUAGAUCUUAUCUCUCUGAAGUUGUAGUAGAGUAGGUCGCGUCCAGUCUUAUCUCACUGAGUUGUAGUGGAGUAGACCAAAUAUAGCAAAUUUUGUUCUCUUGAGAAGUUACGAGUUACAGAUCCUAUCUCCCUGAUGUUGCAGUGGAGUGGAUCGAAGCACCAAUCCCUAUGCCUCUGAAGAUGCAUUAGGAUGGAAUGAGGCUACUUAAAGAAGAAGAGACCAAGAUCCAGCACGACCGGGCAAAAUUGGCCAUUUAAAGUCAUUACUCUGUUCCCGUUACAUGACAACGAGCAAAGAGGGGCAGCUGUAAUGCCCAAUUUUGACCCGGGCCGACUAAAAAAAAUAAAACCAAUAUAAAAGCAAAAAUAUUAAAAGACCAUUUACAAAUAAAACAAUCCAAUUACAAUGGGCCAAAUUCGAUUAAGCCCGAUCACUAAAAGAAACUCUAGGCAUUCAGCCCUAGCACGAGCGCCGCAACAAACGAAAGACAAACAACGCAGCACCAAACAAAAAAAGGACAGAUCACAAUUGUAAAAAAUUCAGAUUUUGAUUAUUUCUUUUGGAUUUUUCUGCACUAUAAAGGCCGAUUUAAAAAAAAUUAAAGGAGGAGACCCACGAAUAUUGUAUGAAAUUUUUUAAAAAGAAAGGCAAUAGAAAGAAACAGUUUCAAGAAAGGUGAUUGGAAAUUUAUUUUAUUUUGAUUUCUUCUUUCUUUUUUGCUUUUUCAAUAUUAGUUUUAGAUUUCUUGUUUGCAAAAGAGAAAAUAAAGGGAAAUAAAGGAGAAGGUUACCUGGUAACGCCUUUAGAUCCGCACGAGGAGAAGCUAAAAAGCCCCUAGGGGUACAGCUCCGACCACUGUUGAGUGUAAUCGCGGCGGAGAUGUGGCGUACUGCCGGCGGUGAAAGCUAGGGUCAAAACCUAACAGAGAAAACAAGAAGCAAUUUUUUUUAAAACUAGGUUGCUAAUGUUUUUUUUAGAAAAUUUUGUUUAAAUAAUAAUAUAAUACGGCGCCAUUUUGAGCUAAGUUUCCUAGUGCCCAAACGAUGUCGUUUAGCGACCAUACCCGAUGACCCAAUCCAACCACGGCUAGAUCUGCUCGUUUUGGUAGAGGGAGGGAUAAUUACGCUCCCGGUCCUCUAUAUUUUGUUCUGGGUUCAAAUCGGUUCUUUUAUUUUUUUUAAUUCCGCCCUUUAAUUUGCUUUUCAUUUUAUUUUAGUCCAUGCCGCAACGUAGCGUUUUGGAGGGCUGGGAAUAUUUUCGAAUUAACCCUCCAUAUUAUUCGUGCAUUGUACAUUGGCCCUUAUUUUGUUUAUUUAUGUUUUUCCAGAUUAAUUUCGUUUUAGUUGUAAUUUAAUCCUUUUUUGUGCUAUUUGUUUCUUUUUAAUUAGUUUAAUAUCUCCAUUAUUAUUAUUAUUAUUAUUAUUAUUAUUAUUAUUAUUAUUAUUAGUUUUUUUUACUUAAUCUUAUUAUAUAGAUCCUUUUAUUUUAUUAUAUGAUAUUAUUUUAUGUUUUUACGUAUUAUUACUUAUUUUCACAAAUAUUUUACUAUAUACAUUUUAUAUUAUCUUAGUAUAACUUAUAUAUAUAUAUAUUUUAAAAUUCAUAUAUGUAUAUAUAUACGUUUAGCUCCAAAAUUUUUCAUAAUAAUAUCUUGUGUUUUUUCCAUACAUAUAUAUAUUGAAUUAUUUUAUGCACAAAUAUUCUAUUCCUUUCAAAUUUGCUAUUCUAUUUUACUUAUUUUAACUUUAUUAUAUAUUAUGACUAUAUAUACUAUUAUUUACAUUAAGAUUUUUUACUUAUAUAAAUCAAAGUGUAUAUAUAUUAAUUUUAAGAUUUAUUCAUUUUUUCCUUACAAUUCUUCCGUUAAAAUUCAUUUAAAUAUUUUAUUUGUUUUUUAGUUCUAUUAUCAAAUCGUUCCAAAUCUUCAUAUAAAUUACUUUUUUGGUAUAAUCUUGUUUAUAUUUUUAAAUCUUAAAUUUAUUUAUUCUCACUUUUAUUUUUUACAUUUUAUCUUCCUUUUAAAUUAAUAAUUUUUGAAUGUUGAUGUUGAUAUUGGCAUAAUGCAUGAUUGAAACUAUUGUUAUUGUAUUUAUUGAUUUAUUGUUCAUCACUCAUUGAUGUAUAUUACUAUUCAAAUUUUGAAUGAUUCAUUGUUCAUUUAAUCACUGCGUUUUUUUUUUACUGUGUUUCAAUAAAAGCAUUAGAAUCAUCUUAUUUUGCAAUUUGUCAAAAUACACGCUAUUCAUGAUUCUCGUGAGAAUUGUGCCCUAACUUACUGGGCUUCAAAUUUUCUGAUGAAUUUAGAUAUCCGAGUAUCUCUUUUAUAAUAAAACCUUAUGAUUUCUAAAUAAAGCUUUUCGGGAUUUCGAAAUGUUGGAUUCUAACUUACUGGAUGUGACAUUUUGUUAUCUAGAGUUAAGGAUUUUAAAAUAAAGGCAAUAUUCGAUGUUUAGGAAUGUCGAGAAAUUGAACCCUAACUAACUGGAUUAUGAUUUCUCGAUUGACCCAAAUAGCCAAAUAUCAUUCUCAAAAUGCAUGAAUUUUUAAAAUUUAAUAAAAGGACAAACUUAAUUUCUAAGAUUGAACUGUUGCACUCUAACUUACUGUGUUUGACAAUUUAUCUCUUUGAAAUAAGUAAGUCUUAUCAUCCAAUUCAUUUUAUUAAAAUUUUCUUUUCAAAGGAUCAUAUUUUAAAACCUUUUUAAAUUCUCGACACUAAGGCAUUAAACAAUUAAUUCGGUACCAAUUUUGGGCGUCACGAGGGUGCUAACCCUUCCUCGUGCGUAACCGACUCCCAAACCUAUUUUCUCAAAAUUCGUAGACCUAAAAUCAUUUUCACGAUGAUCCGAUCACACCUCAUUAAAAGAUCGGUGGCAACUCCCAUUUUAUUUUCGAAGUAGGUCCCCGUUUUUUAAAUUUAAAAGUGGUUUCGACAAUCACUAUGGCUUAGCAUUGCAGAAAACUAUACAAACAAAACUAUAUAACACCAAGGAUUCCAAUAUCUUUGAUCCACAAUACAAUAAGUGAUUUACACCCUAUCACUCCCCAAGUAUAGAGGUCUUACCUUUGUACCUAAAGACAAGCGCACUCACUUCCCUGAGAAUUUAGGCAGUAAACUCUCAACAGUGUUUACAAUAAUAGUUUGCACUCUCUCAUAAAAUAUUUCCUCAAUGAACAAAUUAGAAUGCUCUUAAUACGCUCUCAUAUAAAACCUAUAAAAACCUCCAAACAUAUAUCAAUUUCGGCUACCUAACAUAGAAUCUAAGUGAAUACAAAAUAACUCUAUAACCUCCUUAACCUGACCCAGAAGUUACUAUUGGAUUUGAAGCUUACAUUGGCCACUGAAAUGACUUAGUAAAAAAAUGAUCAGAUUCUCAGAGAUUUCCCUUUUAAAAUAAUUUGCCUAUUUUAUUUCGGAAAAAUUGUAGUGGGCUUCUCGUAGUUUUAUUAUUCUAUUUUGUUUAUUAAUUAUACAUGCUUACAAUCACCAAUUUGUAGGUUCGUCCAAUUAUUUAACUUAACCAGUUUUAACGAUAUUGCAUGCAAAAUACCAAAAUAACCCAAAAUAUAGAACCCAUGCCACAAUCUGUAUAAAAAUUAGUGAUAAAAAUUAUAAUAUUAAACUGAAAAAUCUAGACGAGACCUCUGAACACCGAGUCUGGGUCCUAACCUCUCAGGUUACCUGUAAGAUAAUAAGAUAAGAGAAUGAGCGAUAAAACUCAGUGUGAGUCUUAAUAAUGAGAAAUUAGUGUACCAAAGAUCACAAAAGCAUGCAAGUAAACAGAGAUAACAGUCCUAACUGUGUCACAAAUCACAGUGUUUCAGAAUGUUUAGAAUCACAAAGUAUUCAUAAUGUAUGAACAUGACCCUAAAUGUUGGUGUUAUUUCCUACCCGUCCAUCCGCUACACACCAUGAUUUCUCUGGAACUCAUCCAUUCGUACACACCAUAAUAAUAAGAGUCGUAGCUCAUUGUGGAUAAACCACCAGUAACAGUAACUAUUUAUAGAUAAACUUUCAGUAAUUUACGGUUAAACUGCUACUAAAAAUUUGUGGACGAACUGCCAGAACUCCAAACAGUACUCUAGUGUUGCAGCUAUACCGCUAGAACUCCAAUAUUUGCGGAUAAACAACCAAGACUCCCAUAUUUACGGAUAAACCACUAGAACUCCUCUGUCACCAAUCUUUCCAACCCUAUGCAACAGAAUGGCAUAACAUGCAUCACGAAAUCAUGUACAAUAGAGAAUAGUGGCAUAUAUUAACAUGCGAUCAGUAACUUGGUAACAGUGGCAUGCUUUACAUGCAAUCAGUAAAUACAUAACAGUAAACAUGCUCUCAUGCAUUCAAUAGAACAAGUAAUAACAAUAUAGUAUCAUACAUUAGUAGUUUAUACUUAUUCAAUCGUAGUAGACAACCCUUAGGCACAUUUAUACAAUCAUAGAAGUAAGCACAAGUCACAUUCGACUAUUACGAAUAAGGGCACAUAUGCAUUUAAUUUACACAUUCAAGGCUCACGGCAUUUGGUUAAUCUCAACUUGGUAACAUACACAAUCGGUUAAGUCUUAUAACAUUCACCACGUAAUCGGCCACCCACAUCACUUACCAGACAUUCAGCCAUAACCCAAGAAGACAUACAAAUUCGACCAACUUGCAAAACACAUGCAUACAUUUCAGCCAACUUACAAAACACAUACAACACAUUCGACCAUGGUAUAAGGGUUACACACACACACUGAUCACAAAUGUUUAAGACACACACCUCAAUGCACGUCUAUAAAGCACUAUCAAUUGUUUGAAGCACCACUACGAUUCGGAUCUUGGUCGGUUCCUUUCAGAUCUAAAAAUUGGAUACAAAGUACACAAAAAAAGAUAAGAUUCAAUCAAAUGCCAAUAUAAGAUUCGACCAACACAAGAAAAAAGAAAUGCGAUACGAAAUUGGAUCUAAUUUUAAUAUCAACUUACUCUUCCACCAGAUUUUAAAUCUGAGAUGACAAUUGAUCAAAGAAUUCAAAUGUUCAUCGAAAAAGUAGAAAGAAAAUGGAGAAAAAAGAUAUGAGCAAAGAGCAAAAAAAUUUCCACAGCAAUGGUGAAAAGAAUAGGCGACACAACAAAAGUAAAACUAGGAUUUAGGGGAUAACAAAAUAAAGAAAAGAGAAGAAAAUUGAAGAAGAUGAGAGAAAAAGGGAGGAGGGGGUGGUAACAGGAAUGAGCAGAUGAUGAAGAAAAGAGAGGCUGAACAGGAAAAAUAUAUAUAUACUAGGGUUUUAUUAGACUUAUGGACGACACACUCUAGGGUUUGGGAAGCAAAAAUAGGCUGAAAAUAAAGAUAUGUGAGGGGAGGGAAUCAAAAUCAGGUCUCAAGGAUAAUUUUACUAACACUUAAUCAUUAGACUAGUAACUCAUUUUAUCCUAACAAACACACAUAAGAUAACCCUAAAAAAUCAGGGUGUGACAACUCUCCCCUCCUUAAAAGAAAUUUCUUCCUCGUAAUUUCCUGCUGAUAUACCAGUCAUUUAGCCACAAAGUCUGUUACCCCUCUUUUCAACUCAGACCACCACUUUUUCGCUACACAACUUUGAUUCUAGUGCAAUUCUAGGAAAAAAUUCACCCUAAACUUCUAAUAGACAUAUCUUAAAGAACUAAUUAUAGAAACAUUACUAACAGAUUCCUCCACCCCAAUUUCCUAGUUUUAACAGAAAAAAUAUUAACAUCAAACGAUUGAGCAAAACCAAUAUUAAUCAAUGCAAAAUAAAAAUUUUGAAUCGAUGCUAGCUAUAUAAACUAAUGUUGUCUAUCUAGCAUCGGUUUUGGUUAGACCCCUCGGAGAUAAUUGUCUAGCUCUCUGAUUCUGAACUUGUACCUGACCAGGAGGAUGAUGUGGACAAUCCUUUAUUUGAUACUCGACAAACCCACAUCUGAAACAUACACCCAUAUUUUUAUAACACUCAACCGGAUGUCGCUUAUCACAAUAUCUACAAACCUUAAUCCUCACUGAUCCAAUAGAACCUCCAGCAUUAGCUCCUGCAUUAAUUUGUCGUGGCUUCCAUUCUCUAGCCCUCUCAUGCUGAACUUAUUAUUUUCCCUUGGUCUUCUCAACCAAGGCCUCAAACACUCUUUCCUGAUGAGGGGCAACUUGGAUUUUCAAGUCAUAUAUGAGUCUAUCUUCAAAUCGCAAGUUUUUGUCCUGCUUAGUUGUCAUCAUACCCUCAGCAUAACAGCUCAAUCUAAAAAACUCAGCCUCAUAUUCAACUACUAACAUGUCUCCUUGCUUAAGUUAUAUAAAUUCCAACCGAUGGGCCUCGACAUACGAAGUACCUACAUAUUUCUUUUGGAAGGCCUCUUAAUAGUAGGUCUAAGUUAUACGCUCAACCUAUGUACCUCUAACCACAGAUUGCCACCAACUAUAGGUUUCGUCCCUCAGCAAGGGCAUAGUACCCGUAAGGUUCUGUUCCUGAGUGUAAUCCAUAUCCUCCAAAAUCCUUUCAGUGGUCUCUAUCCAAUAUUCUACCACUAUAGGAGUUGUUCUAGCAACACCAGUAAAUAACUUGGCCCUAUUAGAUCGAAGCCUCUUAGUAACGAGCCCACAAUUUUUAGUCUCAAUCUAAGCUCUAGCAACUAUUUGUAAAACCCUUAACAUGGCUUGGGUCACAGCCUCAUCCCCAGUCUCUUGAUUUUCGCCUUCAGUGGUAGGUGCAUCAAUAGUGUCGUUCAUCUCUAGGUUGGACAUAUGUCUUAGAGAUUCUCAGAAACCUUCUUUUUAAAUCAUUUGCCUAUUUUAUUUCGAAAAAACUGUAGUGGACUUCUCUUAGUUUUAUUAUUCUUUUUUUAUUAUUAAAAAAUACAUUCUUACAUGCUUAUAAUCACCAAUUUGUAGGUUCGUCCAAUUAUUUUAACUUAACCAGUUUUAACGAUAUUGCAUGCAAAAUACCAAAAUAACCUAGAAUAUCGAACCACAAUUUGUAUAAAAAUUAUUACAAUCCAGAAUAGUGAUAAAAUUUAUAGUAUUAAAUUGAAAAAUCGAGAUGAGACCUUCGAAUGUCGAUUUCGGGUCUUAAACUCUCUGGUUACUUAUAAGAUAGUAAACUAAGGGAAUAAGCUAGAAAGCUUAGUACUAGUCUUAAUCAUAAGAAAUCAGUGUACCAAAGAUCACAAAAGCAUGCAAGUAAAUAGAGAUAACAGUCCUAACAAUGUCACAGAUCACAGUGUUUCAGUAUAUACAGAAUCAUAGAGUAUUCAUAAUGUAUAAACAUGUCCCUGAAUGUCAGUGCAAUUUCCUACCCAUCCAUCUACUACACACCAUGAGCUCUCUAGAACUCAUCCAUCCAUACACACCGUAACAGUAAGAGUCGUAACUCAUUGUGGAUAAACCACCUGUAACAGUAAAUAUUUACAGAUAAACUUCCAGUAAUUUGCAUUUAAAUUGCCACUAAAAAAUUAUGGACGAACCGCUAGAACUCGAAAAAAAAUAUUCUAGUGUUGCGGUUAUAUCAUUAGAACUCCAAUGUUUGUUGAUAAAUCUCCAAGACUCCCAUAUUUACGAAUAAACCAAUAGAACUCCUCUAUCACCAAUCUUCCCAACCCCAUACAACAGAAUGGCAUAACAUGCAUGAUAGAAUCAGGUAUAGUAAAGAAUAGUGGAAUGUAUUAACGUGUGAUCAGUAACGCGGUAACAGUGGCAUGCUUUACAUGCAAUUAGCAAAUACAAAAUAGUAGACAUGCUCUUAUGCAUUCAGUAAAACAAGUAAUAACAAUAUGAUACCCUAAAUCAGCAGUUUAUACUUAUUUAAUCAUAGCAGGUAACCCUUAGGCACGUUCGAAUAAUCAUAGAAGUAAGCACAAGUCACAUUUGGUUGUUAGGGAUAGGGGCACAUAUGCGUUUAAUUUACACAGUCAAGGCUCACGAUAUUCGAUUUCCACAAUUUAGGGUUCAUGGCAUUUGGUUAAUCUUAACUUGGUAACAUAUACAGUCGAUUAAGUCUUAUAACAUUCACCAUACAAUCGGCUACCCACAUACACUUACCUGACAUUCAGCCAUAGCACAAGAAGAUAUACAUAUUCAACCAACUUGCAAAAAAGAUACAACAUAUUCGACCAUGGUAUAAGGGUUACACACACACUCUAAUCACAAAUGUUUAGGGCACACACCUCAAUGCAUGUCCAUAAAGCACUAUCAAUUUUCCAAAGCACCACUACAAUUUGAAUCUAGGUCAGUUCCUUCCAAAUCAGAAACUUAGAUAGAAAUACACACAGAACAAAAAAGAUAAGAUUCAGUCAAAUACCACUAUAAGAUUCGACCAACAUAAGGAAAAAGAAAUGAGAUACGAGAUUGGAUCUGAUUUUAAUAUCAACUUACUCUUCCACCGAAUUUUUGAUUUGAGAAGACAAUUGAUCAAAGAAUUCAAAUGUCCAUCGACAAAAAGGCCAAAUCAGCUUCGGCCAAAAUGAAACUUGUUAUUUCAAAAAUAGUAACAAUGAAUGAAGAUAAGAGAAAAAAUUGUAACAGCCCGAUUUUGACUCUAAUUGGACAUAGUGGUUUCGGGACCACAAAUCCGAGUCUGAAAAAUAUUUUAAUAUUAUUUUGUGUGUUUAUGAUGUGUGAAUUUAAAUGUGUGAAAGUUUCGUGAAUUAAUUUUGUUGUUUAUGUGUUUAAUUGACAAAAGUAUCAAAUUGCAUAAAAUGUGAAGUUUGAUUAUUAAGGUGUAAAGUGCUUAUUUGAUGGUGGCUUUUAAAUAUGAGGUUCUUAAAGGGCACCCAUUUUAAAAGAUAGUGGACGGCAAUGAUAGUUAAUAUAUACUUUUUAUAUAUUAAAUAUAAAAGUUAUAAUAGUAAUAGUAUAAUAUUAUAUUAUUAUAUCAUUAAAACAUAAAAGAAAUAAGUUUUUUUUCUUUCUUCAUUGUUUGUAUCACCGAAACAAAAAGAAAGAAACUUUGUUCUUCAAGCUUUAGCAUUCUGCCAUCUUAGGGAUUUCAAUUCAAGGUUAGUUUGAUUUUAGUUUUUGAUAAUUUUUACGUUUUUGAGAUCGUUGCUUUGAAUACUUCAAAACCCAUGUCUUAAUUUUGUGAAUUGAUGAAUAUUUUGAAUUAUGCCAUUGAUGAAUAUUUGUGUUUUGGGAUGUUUGAUGAUGAAUAAUGGAAGAUAUGUCUUAGAUUAACAUGUUUUGUAUUGGUAUUUUUGAUGAAUUUGAGUAUUUAGGGCUAAAUUGUGAAAAUAAAUUUUUGAGGGACUAAAAUGUGAAAUAAAUGCAAUGUGUGGACUUGUAUGAGAACCAUGAAUAUUCGGCCCUUGUGUGUUAUGGGCAAAUUUUGUGUAUUUUGUGUUUUGUGCAAAAAGGACUAAAUUGCAAAAGUGCAAAAUGUUAGGGGUAAAAUGGUAAUUUUCCCAUUUAUGUAUUGUUGGACUCAAAUGAAUGUUUUGAUGAAUAAAAAGGUUAAAUUUGACUAUGUUUAGAUCAAGGAACGAAGAAAACGAAUUUGGAUCGGGGGAAGUCGAAGAUAAUCGAAUAGUCGAUCGUGUUUGCUGAUAACCGAGGUAAGUCUAUUAGCUAUUUAAUGUCAUAAAAUCAGUAUAUAAAUAAGUAUAUGAGCUGUUUUUGGAUGAAUUAUAAUUAAAAAUAUGAUAGUUGAAAUAAUUAAAAGUAUGAGUGAAUUAUAUAUAUAUUAUGCAAAUCCACAUCUAUAUGUUCUCGUAUUGAACUUAGGUAUGCCAUUUAUACAAGUUUAUAAGGGGUUCGACUAUGCAACUAUGCAUGUAUAUGUUCUUGUGAUAAAUUUAAGUAUGAAACUUAUAUAUGAAAAAGGGAGAUUUGAUUAGGUAUGUAUGUUCUUGUAAAGGUUCUUGAACGGGAUUGAAGAGAUGAAAUUAUUAGCUUGGAUUAUCUUAAUGUGUUCGAAAGUACGAUAUUAAUAGUAUGCUUCAAUGUGUUAAGUUAUAUAUAUAUAUAUAUUCGGAUGUAUAAUUUAGAUAUUGAGUUGAAUUUGAUGACUGAACUUUUUAUACCGAUGUGGGUUAAGGAUAUAGUUUAUAAAUUAUUGAGCUGAAUUUUUAUGUAAAUUCUAUAUACCAUUAUGAUAUACAACUCCUAUGAAUUGAGAUUCUUUUGUUAAAGCUCAGUAUCAUUCGGUUUAUCGUUAGUGACAUAAUUCAGACUAUAAGUCUAGCAGGCUUAAUGCCGGUGACACAUUUCAGACUAUAAGUCUAGCAGGCUUAAUGCCGGUGACACAUUUCAGACUAUAAGUCUAGCAGGCUUAAUGCCGGUGACACAUUUCAGACUAUAAGUCUAGCAGGCUUAAUGCCGGUGACACAUUUCGGACUAUAAGUCUAGCAGGCUAAGAGCCGGUGUAUUGAAUCAGGUUUUAAAACCUAGCAGGCUAAAUGCCGGUGAAUCCGUUUAAAGCAUGUGAUAAUAUACAAUUGAUACCUCUAUGAUUUUGAUUAUAUGAAAUCGAUGUAUACAUAAAUGUUCAAUCACAUGAUUUUAGUCAUAUUAACUUGAUGAGCAUAUAUAUAUACAUAUAUUUGAUCUAAGCAAUUGAUAGAUAUGUAUAUAUAUAUAUGUUGCAUUCGACAUAGGUGGAUAUAUUUAUGUGUAUGCAUUCAGCAUAGGUGAAAAUAAGUGUAUGUAUCUAUGCAUUCGGCAUAGAUGGGUAUAGGUGCAUAUGUGCAUUCGGCAUUUAUGGAUGAUAAGCAUAAAAAUUUGGCUUUUGAUAUAUGUAGUUGAAUAGUUGUAUUUAAAUGGAUUCGAUGAAGUGCGAACAAUAAGUACUCUAGAAAUCAGUAUAUGCUGUUAAGGAUUAUGCUAGUAACUUGAUUAUAUGCAUAUAAUGUAUAUACAUUUGUCCGUUUAUGUGUAUUAGAUAAAUAUACAUCCUUUUAGACUUAAACAAAAUGACUCAAUAAAGUAGUGUUUGAUUAGUAAUCACAUUUGAUGAUUGUAAUUUCAAUAAAUUCACUUAAAGAAUUAUAUGAUUCUUUUAUAUGUAUUAUAGAUAUGCUGUAGACUUACUAAGCUAUAAAAGCUUACUUUGUUUGCUUUCGUUCAUUCGUUUUUAUAGAUUUUUUUUCUUUGGAGACGCGUUACGAGCUCGGGGAUCAUCAGCCCGCCCAUCACACUAUCGACUUCUUUUGGUAUUUUGUUAAAUAUUUGAACUCGAUCUUAUGGCAUGUAUAGGCUUGAUAAUGUUUUGGAUAAUUUUGAAUCCUAUUGUGUAAAUAGCAAUGCGAAAAGAGUUUAACUUCCAUGCUUGAAUUUGAUUAUAUAUAUUCAUGAAUUGGACUUGCAUUUGGAAUUAGAUAUUAAAGUUAUGUUUAUGUGAGCUUGGUUUCGUAAUGCCUCGUAACCCCGAUUCGGCGACGGAGACGGGUUAGGGGUGUUACAAAAAUGAUGCAGCAAUGGUGAGAAAAAGUCAGCAGAGAUUUGACCACAAAUGGAGUAAAGUAGAAGAAAGAAAAUGGAGAGAAAAGAGAUGAGUUGAAUGCAAAAAAAUUGGUAGCAAUGGUUAAAAGAAGGGGUGGCACAACAGAAGUAAAACUAGGGUUUAGAGGACAGAAGAAUAGAGAAAAGAGGAGAAAAUUGAAGAAGAUGGGAGAAAGAUGGAAGAGGGGGCGACAAUAGGAAUGAACAAAUGAGGAAGAAAAAAAAGGCUGAAUAAGAAAAAGAAACUAUAUACUAGGGUUUUAUUAGGUUUAUGGACGACAUAAUCUAGGGUUUGGGAAAUAAAAUUAAGCUGAAAAUAAAGAUAUGCAAUGGGAGGGAAACGAACUCAGAUCUCAAGGAUAAUUUUACUAACACUUAACUAUUAGGCUAGCAAAUCAUUUUAUGCUAACAAGUACACAUAAGAUAACAUUAAAAAAAUCGAGGCGUAACAAAGUCCUUAAAAAUAGUUAUUACCAUAUCAACAUUCAACGCACAAUCAAUCGAAUAUAUGUUCUCCAAAGUCAACAAUGUAAUGUCGAUCAAAUCUUCAUAUUCUAAGGACUUAAUUGAUUCACUUGAAUCCAAUUCAAUCUUCAAAAGUCAAUGAUUGAUUUCCAAAGAUAGACCACAAUAUCUUCAAUAUAAUAGCACAUUAACAAAUCCAAAUAUAUUUUUCAUUAAAUUGCCAAUCCAAAUGAUGCAAGUAAUUAAACUAUCUCAAUAGUAGUUUGCAGUGAGCACUACCGAGUGCCAUUUAGCAUCAAUCGACUUAUCUUGCCUCCACAACAUGUAUAAUAUAUAUAAGUAUGAGUUUGGAACAAUUUUUGAAUUGACAAGAAUACCCUUUAUUUUCUACCAUAUUACUAAAUUGAUUUUUAAAAAUAUUUAUAAUUUAAUUUAGAAUUAUUAGUUAUAACUUUCUUUAUUAAGAAGAAAUUGUGAUAAUUUUAUUCACUCUAAAAUAGAAUCAUAACUUGAAUAGUCUAAGCAUGCUCAUUGGAAAUAACUAAUAAAUUAAGGUUAAAAUAUUAAAUUUAAAAAAUCCAAAUUAUUUUUAGUUUUUACAAGUAAUUUUUUUAUUUUCAUAUUUAUUAGUGUAAUAAAAUAAAGUAAAAACUUGAAUAGAAGUCUAAGUAUAUAAAAAAAAGAUUAUUUUUAUCAUUUAAUACUUUUUUAGUGAAAAUAAAGUAGAACAUUAUAAAAAACUAGAAAGGCACUAGAGGAAAAGUUUCAAAUAACUGUAAACCCUUCUCCCUACCAAAAGCUAGCUUGGUGAUGCUAUCAACUUCCAUGUUUUCGUCUCUAGGAACAUGUUCGAUUGACCAAACUUCCUCAUUUUGCAAAAGUUGCAAGAUAAAUCUGAGUAGCAUAGAAUUUGAUCCAUUCGAUAAAGACUCAUUGGUAGUUCCAAUGACUUCCAUAUCAUUUGUUUGCACCAAAAUUCUAUCAUGUUGUCUACCUUGUGCCAGUGUCACGCCAUCGAGUGUGCUCCACAGGUCAGCUUCAAAAAUUGAACAUUUCUCCAAUCUUCGAUUGUAGCCAAAUAUCCAAUCUCUAAUUAUGAUUUCUCAAUACGCUACCUGCCGCAGCACAACCUGUGUUAGUUUUAACAGCUCCAUCAGAUCUUAUGUAGAUCCACCUUUCUAUUUCUGCUAUCUCCGCUUUUGAUGUAAGUGUCACAGCAAUGUCUCCCUUACAAGCUAUAAUAUAUUGAUUAGCCCAAUUGUGCAAAACUUUGACAAUCUCCUCUGCACUCCACGAUACCCUAUUAAAGGUGCUAAUAUUCUUGUUUUCCAAAUUUUCCAAGCAACUAGGCCAAAAAAGCACGACCAAUCGACAUUCUUCCAAGCUAUGUUUAGACAAUUUUCCAAAUUAGACUCAAUCCAUUCUUGCAAAUUACCUGUAAAGAAAAUGGUUAGUUUAUGGGGGGAUGAUUCGGCUCCAUUCGUUCAAAUCUGUGUCGCAAUCCUUUAUAACAUGUAACAUGUCCUCUACUUCAUGUCCACAAAUUAGACACCUGGAGUCACUACCCACAGCACGCCUUAGUCAUUCUACUUGAGUAAGUAACCUCUAUUUUAAAGCCAGCCAAAGAAAAACAUGCACUCUUUGAGGUCCCUUAACCUUCCAUGACAAAUUCCAAGCUUCCUCCCUAGGAUUCCACGAACUCUCCCUAAUCUUACAAUAAACACUCUUGAUAGAGAAGCACCUAGAAGAGGUUCCCAACCAAUAAAGUAUGUUAGGCCCUGCUGCAGGAUGUAGGGGAAGAAUUCUCGUAAUAUGCCCAAUUAAAUCUUCAAAAAGCCAAACUCGAAAAAGUUCUAUGUUCCUUCCUUUGUAAUCAUCUCCCUUAAACAACAAUCUGUGGCGAUAUUGGCACUUGCUGGGAUAAGGUUAAUUAGUGGGCCAACUUCCGAAAUCCAACUAUCCCUCUAACACUUAAUGGAGUUGUCGUCUCCAACUGACCAGAAAAUAUUUUCUCUAAGCAGUGGUUAUACCUUAGAUAAAGCUCUCCAAAAAAAAUAGCAACUACCUACAAAGCCUUCAAUCUCGACAAAAUGUUAAACCCUAACUUUAAUUAGAAAGAUGGUGUUAUGAUAUUUUAGCUAUCGAAACGUAAGCCCUUUUACAAGUUUUGGGUUGACAAAUUGAGUUCCAACUAACAAGGGUUAUUUUUUUAUUCCCUACAGUGGACCCCCAAAUGAAUUGUCAAACAAUACUAUCAAUUUCAUCACAAAUAUCUUGCGUUAUUCUCAUUGACUACAUGAAGUAACUAGGUAUUGUGAGAAGGAUCGACUGAGAUAAGGUAACUUUGCCAGCUAGAGACAAUUGCCUAACAUCCUACCUUUGUAACCUAGACUUAACUUUUUCCACCACGAACUUCAAAGAACUAUCGAUUACAUUUUCGUGAAAGAGAGGAACUCCCAAGUAUGAACCCAAAUUAUGCACCUUACGGAACCCAAGCAUGUCGCACAGACUCCUUGCCAAAACAUCAUCCAUACCUUUGGAAAAGAAAAUGUUCAUCUUGUGAGCAUUAGAAAAGCCACAAAAAGUAUCCAACAUGUCCUUAAUUAAUCUGGCCUAGUGUUCAUCUACUUUUCCAAAGAUAACAAGAUCGUCAGCAAAUAACAAAUGAGAAAGUGGCAGACCUGAAAUGGAUAGGUGAAUAGAAGACCAGAUACCAAAACUUAUCAAUGAAUUAAUACUUUAACCCAACCAUUUCAGGUAGAGAACAAAAUGAUGGGGUGAUAGAGGACAUCAUUAUCGAAUGCCCCUUACAAGACUGAAUUUUUGAGUCGGCACCCCGUUCUAAAGGAUCUGCAUAGUAGAAUUUGUGAUGGCAGAGAUAAUAGCAUUCCUAGGGAAAUAUGAAAUGGAUGCGGCUUGAAGGGAGGCGUCAAUAAAUUUCCAACUAACCUUAUCAUAAGCUUUCUCUAAAUCAAUCUUAAUAGCCAUCCAAUUUUUAUGUUUGCUUCACAUUGAAUGGAUAACUUCUUGAGCCACUAUGAUGUUGUCUGUGAUUCCUUCCAGCAAUAAAGCCAGCCUAUUCAAAUUAUAUAAUCAUAAGAAAAACCACCUUAAAUCUAUUUGCAAUCAUCUUGAUUACCAAUUUGUAAAGAACCAAACAAAGGCUUAUAGGACGAAACUGAGAAAAAUUUUCUAGAUUACGAACCUUAGGAAGCAGUAUAAGCAAAGUAUUAUUAAGCUCUCUAUCAAUGACCUGUCCAUCAAAAGGUUUUCUUACCCAGUCAUAGAUAGCGCUACCAAUUAACUCUCAUUGGCUCUGAAAAAGAGAGCGUGAUAACCAUCACUAUUAGGUGCUUUCAAUGUAGUCAUAUCAAACAUGGCGGCCUUUAUCUCUUCAUUCGAAAUUGCUUUUCUUAAGAGCACCUCAUCAUUCUGAUCAAGUUUAGGGAAUGAACUGACGGGUAUAGUUGUCGUGGAAAUCGGUACCUCACUAUACAGUUUCUUAAAAAAGCUAACUGCUUCAGAUUAGAGCCUCUCAUCCUCGAAAAUCCAAUCACUCUCUUCAUUCUUCAAAGUAGAAUUUUUAUUACGAUUUCUCUUCUGAAUCGUGCGCGAGUGGAAGAAUUUAGUGUUUCGAUUCCCAAAUUACAACCAAUCACAUCUAGCUUUUUGUUUUCGAAGAAGCUUUUCAUGAUGGAGAGCACACUCCAAUUCCUCUUGUAUCUAGUUUUCCAUAUUGUUUAAAUGCUCAGAAUCAAGUUUCUCUAAGGCUUUUUGAACAUUAGACAAUCUAUGCAUCAAAUUCCUCUUGCGUAACCCAAUAAAGCCAUACAUAGAACAAUUCCAAUCUUUAAUGUCAUUAGUGAAUAAAUUUAAAGAUUAAACCAUAUUACCUUUAAAACACCACUUCUCUUUGAAAAAUACCAAAAAUUUAGGGUGCUCAACCCAACCUGCAAGGAAUCGAAAAGGCCGGCCUUGAGGCAAGGUAGCAUCCGACAUAAGAGAAAGCAAUAGAGGUCUAUGAUUUAACUUAAUUCUCGGUAGGUGAGUGACAAAAUAGUUUGAGAAUGCUCGCAACCAAACGUUGUCUCCAAUUUCCCUAUCGAGUCUUUCAAAAAGACCUCUUUGAUUUCAAGUAAAUGGGGGCCCUUGAACCCCAAAUCCUACAAAUUAGACAUCCCAAGAAAAUCAUUAAAAAGAGUGCAACCUUUCCCAACUGUACGCCCUCCUUUAUUCUCAUUAGAUGAAAGCAAAGCAUUAAAAUCGUCGAUAGUCAUCUAAAGGGUGUUGCCUAUCGGGAUAACAAAUAAAAAGUCUUCCCAAAGCUUCCUUCUCUUUUUGUUUAUUCAAGCUUCCAUACACAAUAGCAAUAUGAACAGGCAAAAGAAAAUCAGUCUUAAGAACAUGAAUGCAAAUGAAUUGGGGUUACUACAAAGAAUUUCAACAGAAAUCGAGUCUUUCCAACCAACCCAAAUGCCUCUAGAGAAUCCAAUAGCCUCCACCCUGUGAGAAAAUUGAAAACCCAAGCUUGAUAUAAUUUUAUCGGUUUUGAAACCGCUUACCCUCGUCUCCAACAAACUCACAAUAUCAAGAUUAUGCUCUCUAUUGUAUUCACGGAAUAUUCUAGGAAAUUUCGGAUUGACACAAUCCUGGCAAUUCUAAGAAAAAACUGUCAAAUUCAUAAAUAAAAUAGAUAAAAGAAGAAACUAGCUUAGAGCCCCUAAGCUCUAGAUUUUGCAUUCCUUUCGAAGCAUCUAAUCUUUUGUUAUUUUCCGUAUCAAAGUGGGUAAUAAUUAACUCAACCAAGGAGCUUAUAGAUUCAGACAACAGAACACAAGUAGAACCAGCUAAUUUAAAAUUAUAUAUGCGGUUACAAAUGAUUCGAUUAAGCUUUCUACCGCUACGAUUUGUUUCACCUUUGUCGCUUAAACCCCAAGAUUUGGAAAUAAGCUUUUCAUUUUUAACCCCACCAUCUUUUACGUCCCCCAUUAAUUGACCUUCUUGGAAGUAUGAUAUUCCUUAAAAAAUACGGCCGAAUGCUUCCCAUGAUCUAAAACAUUCUUAUCUAAAACCACCACCACUCCUUUCAAUUCUUCAGAGGUGGGAUUGAAGUGAGUAAUCGUCAUGUUGAGGUUACUUGAUACAUUAGAAAACUUUGGAGGAUCACUAACAUGUUUGAUUGGGGGGCUUAUGAAUUGAUUCUAGCCCAAUUAUGUGGGCCAACGACCGAACAUUAGUUUGGUUGACUGUAAUAUCUAUUACAGUCCGAGUGGAAUAGGGUGUUAUUCCGGGAAAAGCCAGCAUAGUUAUUCCCUUUCUUCAGCACUGAAUCAUGAGGAGUAAAUUUUUUCCCUAUUUUCAUUUUUUGCCCCUAACGUUUCUGAAACAGCCCCCUCCCCCCUCAACUUGACAGCCUCUCUCAACCACCUUCCUCAGUCGAUACCAUCAAAUCUGCUGUUUUGUUUUUCUAAAUCCAAAAAUUAGGUCUUCGAAUUGUUCUCCCAUUAAGCUAUUUUGUCGCUGAAACAAACAUAUCAGCUCAAAGGAAUACUUGAAAUCCAGUUACCCUUUCAUUCUCGCCCUACUUCUUCUCAGGUUUUUUCUUUCUUUUUCAAAUUUUAUUCAGUUUUUUUUUUGUUUUUUUAUUAUUUCAUUUUGGUCUUAACUUUGAUUGUUUUAGGUUUUUUUUUUUAAAUCUCAUUGUUUUUGGUUGUUGACUUGGAUUGAAAUUAAUAAAUUCGAUUUGUUUUCCUUUUGGAGAUUGUGAUCUUGAUUGCUUUCUUCAAAUUUGUCAGACUAACAAAAUUCUCAAUUUUUUCUUCUUUGUUUAUGAAGUUGUAUAUUUUAUUAAUUUCUUUUAUGGAUUUUGAUUUGAAAUUUUAGAUUAAAAAAGCUUAUAGAAAGAAAGUAUGGGAAUCGUAUCCUAACUUGUUUCUAGUUCACGAAAAGCAUUCGGCGGAGUCUAAGUUUAAGUUGGUAAGCAUCGAUGUGCCUUUAAAAAUUUCACCCAGUUUCUAAUAUAUUCUUUGAUUGGAAUGCACAUCUUCGUUGGGGCCAGAUUUGAAUUGUUGUUAUAUGGGUACCGGAAACUGUGUUUGGUGAAUGAACGAGAAAAGCUGGUUUUUUUCUAAAAUGCAAAGUGUUGAAACAUAUCUUGUCUCACUGUACAUACUUUUUUGAAAAGAAAGAUUAAAGAAAGAAAGAAAAUAUCCAAUAAAUUUAUCCCUUUAUAUAUAUCCAAAGUUCACAGGGGGAUUUGAAUUAUUGGGAAAUGGAGUCUCUGACUUUAUCCUUUAAUGUGCUUUUCACUAAGAAGUCCUGAUGCUGGCGAGAGUAAUUUGGCUGUUUUCAAAUAGUUGACAAUUUCAGGCUUUAACUAGAGCUAGCAGGUACUUUCUCAUGGAAGAACCUUUGAUGUUUACGGCACAUUCUAAACAAUGUUUUAGCUUUGGGCAAUUGUGCUUUAAUAUCACCUUCUUAUGCAAAAAUAAAAUUAUAUCAUACUAUGUGCAUGAGAAAUGACAAUGGACCAUCUGCGGUAGGUCCUUUAGCUAGGAAGAUAUCUCUAGUUUUCAUUUUGUUAAACAGUCAACUUGUUUUAUCUCUUGAUAAUUUAGUCAUGUAGGAGCUAUUGAUCCAUGAUUGGAGUUUUUACCCACUCUUGGAUUUGUAGUAUCUGAAAAUCUGCUCGGCCUUUCCUAACUAGUUUAUCUGAAUAAAAAAAUAAUUUACAUAUAUAAAUAUAGGUGUGUAUUAUUAACAAAUUAUAAUUUCAGUCCAUAUACUACCUCAAAUUUGACGAUAUAGUCACUUUGAUCUAAUAAUACAAAUACCGAACUGAAAAGAAUCCAUACAUGUAACUACAACAAAUAAAUGGAAGUUAACAAUUAAAGAGCCUACAGUCUGUUAAAUUUUAAAUUGCAACACAUGUAAAAUUUUGUUCAAGAUAUUGUUAUUUGCUAAACAAAGAGUCGGUUUUGUUGAAUGAAAUUUAAUAAAGAAAUUAAUUUUAGGUUUUACUCUUGUAAAGAUAUUUGUAAUUUCUAUCUUGUGUCCUACAAAGAUUUUUAAUAUGUAUUGUUCAUUUUUCUUUGGUAGUGUGUUAUUGUUUCCUCUUCUUUUUUGGCUUGAUUGAUUGCUUACUCCACCAAUAGCUGAGCUUCUUGUAUUCACUGAAUCACUGUAAGUUUUUUUGCAAUUAAAUUCUUUGAUUUUGUUUUUCUGUUAUUGAUAUUAGUAUUGCUGUAAUGACUCGUCUGCCUUUAAUAGUACAAAGUGAGAGACGUAAAAGAAUUGAUCUUGCAUUGACAGUAUGGUUGCAAAUGUGUACAGUUGCGAGUUAGUUCUUAGUUACAUUGGAUGCCGUCCAUAGCCUAUGUACUUAUAGACCAAGGAUUAGAUCAUAUAUUUUAGAUUUUUAUGCAAAACAGAUUAUGUGAAAAAACUUGUAUAUGCUAGUGACAAGACCUAUAUUGAACAAGUUAGGAUGAAUAGAAUUAUUUUUUUUAAACUAUGUGAGAUGUUACAAACUUUAGGAGGAUUGAAGUCGUUAAGGGACAUGCUUGUUGAUGAGCAAGUGACCAUGUUUUUACAUAUCAUUUCUUAUCACCUUAAAAAUCGAGUUAUCAAGUAUCACUUUAAUAGGUCUAAGGAAACCGUUAGCAGAUUAUUUCAUAAUGUUUUAAAUGUUGUCAUACACUUGCAAGAUGUGCUAUUUCAAAAGGCAGAGCCAAUUACAGCUAAUUUUACAGACCCAAGGUGGAAAUAGUUCAAGGUAUUGGAAUGACUUCCAUAUAUAGCUUGUCGAAACCAUUUUCUUGAUAAAAGGGGUCGACUUGGAUUUUGAAAACGAAAAUGAACAUAGAAGUCGCCACGAAUCCUUUUUUGAAGAGGAGAUCGGGUCACCUCAGAAAAUGAUUAUUUUUAAUAAACGGUUUGAUUUAUUAAAACAACGCUUUUUGGUCUACGAAAUUCAGAAAGAUAGGUUCGGGAGUCGGUUACGUACGAGGAAGGGUUAGCACCCUCGUAGCGCCCAGAAAUUGGUACCUAGUUGAUUAAUUAGUGUCUUAGUGUCAAGAAUGGGAAACUUUGAAGAGAUUCAAAAUACGAUCUUUUGUUAAAAUGCUAAAAAAUUUCAAGAAAAGGACAUAUUUCACGUUAAUCGAGAAAAAAUUAUAUCCCGUAAGUUAGGACACAAUGUUUUUAAAUUCCAUUUUUGAGAAUAAAUGCCGAAAGAUUUAUUUAUUUGAAAGAUAUUCAAUUUGAUUAUCCCGCAUUUGGAAAAGAAAUCAUGUCCCGUAAGUUAGAACACGAUCUUUUAUUAAGUCUUGAGAUCGCUUAAAACUUAUGUUUGAAAAGAUUCGUGUAUUUAGAUUUAUCGAGAAAAUUGAAACUUCGUAAGUUGGGGCACGACUUUUUCGAAUCUCAAAAUAUGUAGUUUUACUUGUUUUAAAGUCAUGUUUUAUGCAUUAAAUAAAAUUAAUUUAACACAAAAUGGCAGAAAUAAAAUACGGUGUUAAUAUACGUAAUAAAACAACGAUGAAUGUGAUGAUGUAAGCAUAAAUAAUACAAGCGACAACAACAAAAAUAAAAUAAAUAAAUAAAUAAUGACAAAUUAAUUAUAUAUAAAAUAAUAAGUAAAUAAACAAAUAGAACUAAAAUGUUUUUUAAAAUGAUAAUGGACACAUAAAUAAAUAAAUAAAUAAAUAUCAAGUAAAACAAAAAUAACAAUAACAAAAAUAAAAAAAUAUCUAUGUAUAUAUAUAACAAAGCUUGAAACUAAAAAAAGAUAUAAAUAAGUAAAUAAUAAUAUUAAUAAUAGAAUAGCAAAUAAUCUAAAGUUUAAAAAAUACAAAAGAUAUAAGUAAUUACAUAAUAAUAUAUAAUAAGACAUAUGUUUAAAAUUUAGAUAAGUAAAUAUAAGUAGAAAUAUAAUAAUAAUAAUCAUCAUCAUCUAAGUUUUGAAAGUAUAUAAAAUAAUAAUAAAUAAAUAAGUAAAAAUAAUAGGGGCAAAAUAAAAAAUAAAACAAGCCAAAUAAGAAAAUUGAAUAAAUAAAUAAGCUAAAUUGAUUUAGGGACUUAAUCAUAAUUCGAACCAAAUUUAAAGGAUAAAUUAAAAUAAAGUAAACAAAUAAAAAAUUUAAAUGAAAAGUGUGACAACAAACGAGGACCAAAUAAGUAAUUAUUUUGAUUUUCAGACACGCGUCCCUUCUCCCGGAAGUCAGUGAACCGAGGACUAAAUUGAAUGCAGGAUGAAAUUAAAGGGUAAAAUCUUUAAAAAUAAAAAUAGUGAAAUUAGGACUGAAUUGAAACAACCCAAAAAGGCGGAAGGGCUAGGAGCGCAAAUAUCCCAUUAGCUGCGGAAACACGCGGAUCCUAGAGUGGGUCGGGUCGGGUCGGUCCGAUUCAGGUCAAAACGGCGUCGUUUUGGGGCUUAAGGAUGCCGACCAAAACGGCAUCGUUUCAUUUAGGCUAUUUAAACUAAAUUUUUUUAUUAAAAAAAACUCAUUUCUCCCUCAAAACAAAAAAAAAAAUCUAAAAAACUCUCCCCCCUCUCUCAAAGCCCUCAAGUCCGGCCUUGGCUCUGGCAGUUCGCCACCGUGCCGGCCAUCGGUCACCGGCGACGACGCCACCGUCUACGGUGGCCGAAAAACCUAAAAGACGUUGCUUCGAACGUUUUGACCUCUGGAGUCCGAAUCUAAGGGAAUAUUUCCCGAGAAUCUUUCAAAAAACUUAAAAAAAGGGCCGAAAGGGCUUUCGGUAAGUUUUUUUUUUUUGAACUCUUUUCCCUUUCUUUUUAUUUUCGUAUCUAAAAAUGAAAAAAAAAGGUAGAAUAAAAAUAAAACAAAAAUUAAAACGAGAAUAGCAGUAAACCUUUUGAAAAUUUUUUCUAUUUUUGAUUGAUUUUUUUUGUUUCUUUUUUUUUUGUUCCUCUUCCUUUAAUACAUUUGUUUGAUCUGGCUUUUAUAGCCGAAAAUAAAAAACAUGCUACUGUUUAUUGCUAUUCUUUUUGCGCUGCUUUUGUUUCUUUUUUCAUGUUUGUUUGCAGGUCUUUGGCGAAGGCGGAGGAGAGGCUUGCUAUUUUGGUGCAAGUGGAGGUAGCUAGGGUGUCAGGCAGGCCUCGGGACGAAGCGCGGGCGUUGCGCCCGAGGAGCGGCGGCGCAACUAGGUGCUAGGGUUUAGGGUUUUCUUUUAGUUUGUUUAUGUUUUUAGGCCAAUGGGCCUAUUUUGUAUUUGGGUUUGUAGUUAAUAAUAAUUUGUUGUUUGUAAAUCGGGUCCGGGCUAAAUUGGGCCUCUACAUAGCUCAUACAUAAUUUAGUUGAUUUAGAUUUAAAUAUAGUAACCUAACUCGAGGUUUUAUGUAUGUGAUAUAGAAUUGCUUAGGUGCUUUAGAUGGAACCCACAUCAAGAUUAGGGUUUCAACAGUUGAUAAACCUAGAUAUCGAAUGCGAAAAUGUGACAUAUCAGCAAAUAUGUUAGGUGUUUGUAAACAUGAUAUGCAUUUUGUUUAUGUUUUUCCUGGUUGGGAAGGUUUUGUUGUUGAUGUACGGGUUCUUCAAGAUGGCAUUAGUAGGAGACACAGACUAAAAGUUCCUCAUGGUAAAGUGCAAAAUUGGAGGAAUUUGAAUUAAUUUUUUAGGAUCAAACUUUUUUGGGAAAGUUAACCAUGAUAAAUAGUUUUCUUUUUUAUAGGUUGCUAUUAUCUAGUUGAUGUUGGUUGCACAAACUAUGAAGGAUUUCUCACGCCUAUUAGAGGAAAAAGAUAUCAUUUAAAUGAAUGGCGUCAGGGUUACCAACCAAGUACUCCAGAAGAAUUUUUCAAUAUGAAACAUGCUUCAGUGUGCAAUGUUAUUGAAAAAUGCUUUGGGUUAUUAAAACUUAGAUGGGGAAUACUUAGAAGUCCAUUACUCUAUCUUGUGAGGGUGCAUAAUAGAAUCAUUAUUGCAUGUUGUUUGCUCCAUAAUUUUAUUCGAACUUAUGAGUCUUGAUCUUAUUGAAGCGGAGUUGGGAGAAGGAUUGGCUAGUAAUGUGAUAGAUGACGUUGAAUCGAAUAUCGUAAAUAUUCAUCCAUCAGAUACAUGGGCUACUUCGAGGAUGGAACUAGCCAAUCAAAUGUUCUAUGAAUGAAAAGUAUAUAAAAAUUAGUUAGGUUUAUUAAAACAUAGUAAAAGGUUAAUUUGUUUAUGUUAUUUCAUGUAUCUAGUUUACGAAACUUUGGUGUUGUUUGAAUUUUCUUUAUGUAUUGUACUAAACUUGUUGAAUUACAACUUUAAUUUAUUUUCUUUUGAUUCGUCAUGUAUUAUAAUUUUAUAAAGUGUCAACCUUUUGAUUCAUAAUAUCGAGCGUAAUCUUAAUUUGCAUUUUUUCUUAAGAUUAUUAUGUCAGGUUUUUCAUAAUCAAGUGUUUCUUCUCAAAAUUCUCGAGGAAUCAAAAGGAAAUUGGUUCCAGAAGAAGAGGUUACGUUGGUUUCUUGUUUGGUCGACUUGUACAAUGUUGGAACCUAUAACACAUAUACGAGAUUCAAGGCUGGCUAUUUAAAUGAUUUGGAAAGAAUGCUAGAAAAAGUUUUACCUCAUGCUAUGUUGAAGGCUAAGCCUAAUUUUGAAUUGAGGAUUAGGACAUUGAAAAGGAAUUGAGUAAUCGUUUACGACAUGCUUAGUGGAAAAGACAAUAGCGUCUUUGGUUGGGACGAGGAUAGACAAAUGGUUGUUAUUGAAGAUGUUAUGUGGAACUCAUAUAUAAGUGUAAGAAUUAUUUCUUAUCUUUGUCGAAAUAAUUUUUUUGAAAACGGGAUCGACUUGGAUUUUGAAAAAUAAAACGAGUAUGGGAGUCGCCACCAAUCUUUCUUUGAUGAGGUGUGAUCGGACCACCUUGAAAAAUGGUCGUUUUUAAUAAACAAUUUGAUUUUAUCAAAACAACAGUUUUGGUCUACGAAAAUCAAAAAACGGGUUCGGGAGUCAGUUACGUACGAGGAAGGAUUAGCACCCUCGUAACGCCCAAGAUCGAAAUUUUUUUAGACAAAUACAUAUUUUUCUCAUUAAUCGAGAAAGAGAAUUACGUCCCGUAAGUUAGGAUGCAAUGCCCAAAAUUCUCGAUACAAGAAUGAAUGCCAAAAAAAUUUAUUUAAAAAAAAAGAUAUUCAAUUAUCUCGAGUUUUAGAAAAGACCAUGUUCCGUAAGUUAGAACACAAUCUUUUAUUAAUUCCCGAAAUUAUUUUAAAAAUGUUUGAAAAGAUUCGUGUAUUUGGAUUUAUCGAGAAAAUCGAAACCCCGUAAGUUAGGGUACGACUUUUCCGAAUCUCAAAAUACAAAAUGCUAUUCAUUUAAAACAAAUUUUGAUAUAUCGAGUAAAAUGAAAUACAGUGUCAAAAAAAAAUGUGAAAAUGGAUUAUAUAGUUGGCAUGCAAGACAAGCAAGAAUAUACGAUGACCAACAUGAACAACAAAGUGCGAGUAAAAAAACAAAUUAAAGAGAAACGGUAAACAAACGAGUUGAAUUAAAAUGCUUUUGAAAUUAAAUGGGCAUAAAGGCAGACAUUACACGAAACAAUGGAACAAUAAAAUAUAUCCAUAUGUAUAUACACAAAAUUAUAAAAAUAAGAAGAAUAUGUGCAUAUAUAUUAUGAAAUAUAAAAAUAUAUGUAAGAAUGUAUAUAUACAUAUAUAUAUGUAUGUAAAUUAAAAUAUGUACCUAUGUGUCUAUAUGUAUAUAAGAAUCAUGAAGUAUAAAAGAAUAGAUAAAAGCGUGUGUAUAUGUAUAAAUAUUUAUGACAAUCAAAGAAAAUAUUUGUAUAUACAUAUAUUAUAAAAAAUGUAUGCAUGUAUUUAUAUUUUGAAAUUAUAAAAUAUGUAAAAAAAACAUAUAAAGAUGAAAAACCGGAAAAUGUAUGCACGUAUAUAUGUUAAGAUAUAUGUAUAUAUAUUUAUAAAAUAAAAAUAAAAAAUGUAUAAGUAUGACAUAUAUAAGUAAAUUAUGAAAGUAUGUAUAUGUAUGUAUUAAAAUACGUGUAUAUAUAUAAGUACAUAUAUGUAUAUAAAAAAUGCAAAAUAUGCAAAAAAAAGUAUAUUCAUAAUAAUUUAAAAAAUGUAUGUGUAUAUAAUAUAGAGAACGUAUGUAUAUUUGUAUUUUAAAAAUAUAACAUGCAAAAGAUAAAUAUGUAUGUAUAUAUAUUAUGAAAUCUGGAAUUUAAAAAACAUAAAUACGUGGCAAUAUUAAUAAUAAAAAUAAUAAUAAUAAGAGUACAUAAAUGACAGAAGGACUAGUUUGAAAUCCAGGUAGAAAUUUAAGAGCCAAUUUGGAAUAAACACAAAUAUGCGAACCCCAUUGAACAUGCACAGAACAGAGAAGGAUCAAAAGGGAAAUUAAUCCCUGCCCCCUAAAACGCUGCGUUCCAAUAAGGAUCGAAGUGCGACAUGCAAGAAAUUAUGUGGCCUUAUUGAAAAAAUCACAGGGGAACCACAUUGCACAACAGAGAAAACACGGGGGACCAUUCGUGCAAAUAUCCCCCCAAAUGAAAACACGCGGAUCCUGAGAAAGCGAGUCGGGUUGCAUGCGGGUGGCCCUAUACGGCGUCGUUUUGGCACCGAGGGCACUAACCCAAAACAGCGCCAUCCUCAUUUAAUACUAAAAUCAAAAUUUUCCUUUAAAAAACAUUUCUAUUUAGUUUUCUUUAAAAAACAGAGGGGAGGGGGAAAAUUCUCUGCUAAGGUUUUGACCCUAGCACCUCCAUGCCGCCGCCGUCAUGCCCAUCGUGAAGCCACCACGAGCGGCGCUCGACACCAGGUAAAGCGCCUUUUCUUUUAUUAUUAUUAUUAUUAUUAUUAUUUUAAAAAGGUAUGAAACAAAGAUGAAAAAAAAACAAUAGAAGAAAAACUCGAAGUGAAAAGAAAAGAACAAACCCCCUUCAAACUGUUCUCUGAUUCUUUUUAAUAGUUUUUGGUAUCAUAUCCGUCCCCUUUUACAAAUUUCAUUUGGCUUUAUAUAGCCGAAUCCUUACAGAGAAAGAAAGAAAAAUAAUAAUAAUAUUUUCUUUUACAAUUUUGCUAUGUUUUCGAUUAUUCUCACUGUUCGCAGUUCGUGGUUCGCUGCAGGGAGAACGCGAUGGAGCGCGGGGCGACGUGCGCGACGUGCGGGAGCUGCUGCGGCGCCAGUUUGCUGCUGCGCUGAGGAAGGGAAGCUAGGGUUUCUUUUUGUUUUUUUUUGGUUCUAGGCUGAUAUGGGUUUGGGUAAAAUUGGAUAUUGGGCCUUAGUUAUUUGGGUUAAUUUUGGAUUGGUGUAAUCAGUAUUUGGGUUAAGUUAGUGGUUUUUGGGUUGGUCUUAUUUUGAGUGGGCCAGGCAAAAUAGGCUAUUACAGUCUUUAUUAUCUUAUUUUGACCAAGCUUAUAUCUAAUGUGGGUUCCUUUUAUUAUGACCAACUUAUUUCCAUAUAUGCAAAAGAUCGAGCCAUUGAGAAAGAUGCUCAAACAGUUGUUGAUAUUGUUGAAGAAAUAGAUGCUGAGGAUGUAGCUACUGCAAAUAAUCUUGAAGAAUGAAACAAUUAUCGUGGAUGUGAAGAUGAUGUUUUCUUGGAUGAGAUGGAUGUCUCGGCUACACAAUCGCAACCGUAGAAGCCAAACCAAGAUGGUUCUACAUAUUCAAAAAAGCAAAAAAAGAUUUCUGAUGGAAGUGAAUAAAUUUCUACUUCAAUUACUGAUGAUGCCAUGUUAUUGGGGGAAAACAUAUGGACUGUUGGCCUUGAAUUAAGUAGGAGCAUUGCCUCCGAGAAAGUGAUUCAAGAAAGUGCUCAAAAAUUAUAUCUCGCCUUAUGCAAAGUAGAAGGAUUAACUGAGGAUGAGCGUUAUCGUGCGUUGAGCAAAAUUCCUGACCAUCCAACGCAAAUGCUCAUUUUUUUCAGUCUACCUUUAGUGCAAUUGGAAUGGGUGAGAAAAUUUCUUUCUGACCAUUAAAAAUCAUGAUUGUGUUGGUGAUGUUUUGGUAACUUUUUGUAUAUGUAAUAUUUGGAUGGCAAGAAGCAAUUAGUAGAAUGCCACAAACUGUUGUAACUUUUUGGUGUUGUAAAAUUUAACAUACAGAUUAUAAUAUAUAAGCUAAUGACAUCAUGUAACUUUUUGCUAAUAUAUGAAUAUUAUGUUUGGAUGUAAAAUAUAAUUCUCGAGCUAUUUAUUAAUUCUAAUAUUUUUUCUUUUUAGUUUAGAAGAUAAUUAAAUUAUUUAUUUCGCUAAUGAUAUUUUAGUACAUUAAAUAUGCAUUGUAGUUUAAAAAUUAUAAAGUAAGUUAUUUAUUAAUUCAUAUUUUAAUAAUAAUUAUAUUAAGAAUGUUAUUAAAUUAUAUAUUAUUUUAUUAAAUUGUAUUUAAUAAAAUUAUGUUAAAAUAUGAUUAAAUUAUUUAUUAUUAUUAAAUUAUAUUUAAUGAUAUUCUUAUUAAAAUUUAAUAAUAAUAACAACAAUCAUCUACUUAAAAAAAAAUUCUGUUAAGGGUACUUUGAUCAUUUAAAUAUUUUCCUUUAUACUAUUAAAACAUUUAUUCCAUUCAUCUAAACAUAAUAAUAUUAUUACAGCUCUAUUUCAUUCUAUUCAACCAAACAACUGAAUUACUAAGUACAGCUCUAUUCCAUUACAACCGUAUUCCAUCCCUCUAACGUGUUGUAAGGGAAUUUUACAAAUGUUUGUUAUCACCCAAAUCAGCUACUGCCAGUUCCGUUGCAUCAAGCUGCAAUUUUGGCCCAAGUAAAUUACCUACAGAAUUUUCCUUUGGGUUUUUUUAUCGAUUGCAACCCAGCAGAGGAAAAGAAAGGUCCAGCCAUAAUUUUAAAUGGCCCACUACUUUUGUUCUGCCUCUGGGCCAACGCCUUAGCUACCUGCCCAACAGACCUCAAGCCCAAAUCUGUUCCAUCAUUUGAAUCCAGCACAUGUCCGUUAACCCCUGUAGACCGAACCUCCCCCAACUUGGGCUUACGGCUUGCACCAUUUGUGAGUGGACAAGGGCCUUCACCAACCUUGUUUUUGCACGAGUGUUCCUUACUUUUUUCAAUGACCACUGCAUAUCUGGAGCCCACAUCUAAAAUUCCAAUGCCCCAUAUUAACAGCUAUACCAUUCUCUAGACUUUCAUUAUUUUCCACGAAAUUUGCGCAGACAGAUUUUCCUUUCCUUUUGAAUUUCCACCUUUAACCACCGAAAUCAUCUCAACCCUAUCAUCUGUCCUCAAUUCCUGAUUUUCCAAUCCCUUCAAUGCCGAAAAUAUUGAUCCCAAAAUUUCCUUUUCUGUGUCACCCUCCCUCUGAUUUUGCAGAUUCCUCAGUCCUCGCUUGAAUUUUUGCUCCACCACCAUCCAAGGUCCGAAUGCCAGUCCCUCACCACCAGUCGUCGAUUCCGUUACCUCCGAAAAACCACUUAUUUUCCCGGUCUCAUUUCCUUUACCAGUCGCCGGUGAAGCACACAACUUCUUCAGAUGGCCAUAUUUACCACAGGAAAAGCAAAUGGUAGGUAGAGCCUCGUAUUCGACCCGUUGUAGUUCUCCAUUUACCAGCACUUGAGAAACCAAGGGUUUGUCAAGAUCAACAAACACAGCCAUUCUCGCAAACCGACCCCUGGUUUUGCUAUCCGUAUUGAAGUCGAGUUUGACCACUUUUCCCACCAACUCUCCAAUUACUUCUAAAAUUCUUCUUUUAUACAUGAAUCCUGGGAGCCCCGAUAGCCUGAUUCACGCCAACACCAUACUCGGGUAAGGUUUCUUGGGAUUAAAAGAUUUUUUCCAUGGGCGAACAGUAAGGUAUUGGCCAUAAAUGGUCCAUGGUUCUUGCGUAAGGGCUGUGUUGUAAUCCUCGACACACUGAAGUUUAGCCAGAAAGUAUCCGUUCACAUUAUCCAUCAGAUGGAACGGUUUUGAUGGGCGCCAUAAACUGUUGGUCCAAUUGUACAAGGCGUCAUAACCAAUAUUACGGCCCAACAACUUCAGAACCACCAUAGUUUCCAUAUCCUUGAACAAGAUCUGUUGGAUACAAUCUGAAAAUUCUAUAGCCGGAAUACUAUUGAAAAUAGUUUUUUUAACAUCGCCUUCUAGGAAUUCAAAAUCUUCAGUGCAUUCGGUCAUCAGUCGACCGGGAUUCAGUGACCGGAGCAGUUUCCAGAGAAGAAGCCAUCUUGACCGAUAUCAUUUUCAAUAUAUAUUAUUAAACAUCAUCAAUAUUGUUUUUAUCCUUUUAUUACCACUUAAUUAGUGUAAGAGUUUUAUACAAUUUAAAAUCUAAGUUUAAAUCUAUAAAUAACAUUUAUUAGUAGCAUUUAAGAAAAAUUAUUAGUAUAAAGAAAGAAAAUGGUUAGCAUUAAUAAGUUCAAAGGAUCUCAAAAAGAAAUAUUCAAAUGACAUAUUAAUGGCACUGGAGAGCACCAGAAAGAUAUGUAAGAUUAUUUUAUCACCUAAUUAUCUUAGAUUUUUGGGUGUUUCUAUUCUUACAUUAGCCAGCUGGUGACCAAAAGAAAUAAUUGAAUAAUUGGGUGAUCAUUUUGUAACUUUUCAUAGUUAGAUGAUCUAAAAAGAAAUGUACUAUUAGUUAAGUGGCUACUAGUGUAGUUUGUCCUAUAAUUAAUUGUGCAUGCAAUAUAUAAAUAUAAGAUGAUGUUAUAUGGAUAAUUGUAUUAAUAGUUUACAAGAAUUGAAUCAAAUCAAAAUUUUAUGCAUAAAUUUGCUCAAAGUCAAAGCUCUUAUAUAAUAUUGCACAUUAAACCAAAAUUUGUGUAAUGUUGAAAUUUAUCACAUACAAUAAUUCUUACUUUGUCAAAACAACAUAAAUGUAUAGGGUAAACUACAUAGAUUAUAAAAAAAAUCCUCAUUUUAGGCAUCCAAAAUAUUACAAUUUAAGCACCCACGUUACAUGCUUCAUUCAUUUUGGUCACUCUCAUUAAAAGUUCUAACAAAAAUCUAACAUGGCAUUUUUUUUGACAAGUGGAUCAAUCAUUGGAUGCCACAUGGUACAAUUUACCAUUGCAUACCACUUUAAACUUGAAAGGACUAAAAUAUAAUUUCCCCAAUACUAAUUAUUAACCAAAUGAAUAAAUUAGUAUUGAGUAAAUUAUAUUUUAGUCCAUUGAAGUUUAAAGUGGUAUGCAAUUGUAAAUUGUGCCAUGUAGACAUCUAAUGAUUGAUCCGCGUGUCAAAAGAAAAUGUCAUGUAAGAUUUUUGUUAGAGUUGUUAACGAGAUUGAUCAAAAUGAAUAAAUUAUUUAAUGUGAAUGUUUAAAUUGCAAACAUUUUUAUUUUUAGUGUUUAAAAUGAAACUUUUUUAAUAUUUGAGUGACUAUCUAUCUAAAUUACCCGAAUAUAUAUCCCAUAUAAGUGAUAGCGUAUCAAAGUACAACAAAUUACAAACAAAAAGAAAGUACAAGAAAUAAUGGGAUUUGGGAAACUCCCAUUCAUACAGACAAAUAUAUGUGGUGAAAAAAAAGAACAUACAAUACUCAAAAUCAAGAGACAAAGACGACUAAAAACACAUUCAAACAAAUCCAGUAUGCGGCAGAUAAACCAAAGGGUAUUUCAAGGAGUAGAAGGAGAAGGUGGUGGAGAAAGGAAAGGAACAGAGGGGAUUGCAGUUGGGAUUGAGGGCAUGCUUGGCAGAGGAGGCAGUGUGGCCCUUGGUACACUUGGCAAUGUGGGCAACCCUGGCAUUGUAGGAAGUGGAGGAAGCGCCCCAGGCCUUGGCAAUGCUGGUUUGGAUGGCUGUGGGAGAUUAGGGAUAGAUGGAAGUGGGGGGAGUGUGGUUGUAGGCAAAGUUGGCAUUGGAGGCAAUUGAGGCAGCUGCAGAAGGUGACGAGCUGCUAACCCAACAUCAGUGCUUGCAAAUGACAAAGCCAUCACGAAUGCUAAAGCAAAGCAAUUGAAAGAUGCCAUUUUUCUAGAGAUGUGAGUCCAAUUAAGCAGACGAAAGAAAGCUCUGGUUUUGAUAGUUGUGGAGUGAGGGAGAGAAAGCAUGGUGUUGGGGUUUAUAUAGGUCAUGGAUCAGUGGAGUUGGUAAUGUUUGAUCAUGUAUGGUUGGAAUGGAGAAAACAUAGUCGAUAUUAAAGGAUUUGGUAGGUCAACUUCCCAUGGGUAUUGGAGUUUAAAACAGGUGAAAUGCUGUUGUGGUUGGCAUAGAAGCUUCAUCCAGCCACUUAAUUAAACAGUAUACUUAAACAAUCCUCCAGGUUAGCAAAGUUAUUGCUAGUUGGCCAGAUAUCUAACAGAAUUAGGAUUUGUUUACUUAACAUGUCAGGUAUGAUACUAGUAUUUCCAAUGCUGAGUUGAGUGGGCUUUAACAUACCUUCAUAUAGAUUUAUUAAUUUUGACUUGAAGUUGAAAUGAUUCAAUCAAGUAUUUUGAAAUGACAAAUAAAUAACUCAAAAUGACCUAAAUUUGAAGUAACUAAGAUAUGAAAUAAUCAAAACCCAUAAUGACUCAGCCAAAAAACUCGAGCCUCAAACCCAAAUUAAAUUAAAUCAAAAUCAAAAUUUAUUAUAUACAAUUGCACAAAAUUAACAUAAUUUAAGUGUCAUAGUGCACAUAAAAUUAAAAUUUAUGUUUGACAUUAUAAAUUGAGGCAAUAUUCAUGCUUAAAAUUUUGAGAUUUAUUCCCUUAAUUAAAGUAAUAUGUCAAAUAGAAUACUUGAACAAUCCUCCAUGUUGGCAAAGUUUAUGUAAAUUAGAAGCGAACUAAAUAAUUAGAAUAAAUCUAAAGCAUGGCUUACAUAUAAUUUAUCCACAAUCUGAUUUAAACUUUGGUCUUCAAGAUUUCAUGGUCUCAAUUUAUGUCUUAAAAUUUUAACAUCAUUUUAGGUUUGUUAAAAAGUCAAAAGUUUAGAAAAUUAAAAUUGUUGCUUGAGGCGUGAAUAUACCUAUUCCUAAGGAUAUUCGCGGAUUUACUACCUCUCAGAAUUUAGUUGGUAUCAUGUGCAAAGAAAUAAAUGGCAAAAUUUACCCAUUUAAAUGGAAUUGAGCUAUUAAGCUCAAGCCUCAUGUGCGCAUACAUAUUUUCUUAUUUUGAGUCUUACAAGUUUAUAGUAAACCAAAUCUAUAUAAACAUCAUUUAAUAGGUAUAUCUAAAAUAUGUGUAAUGUGUAAUUCUUUAAAAUACAUGAAAACUUUCAAUAUGGUUUAGGUCAUUUUCGGAUUUGUCUUAUUUUAGGUUCAAAUCAUUCGAAUUUGAGGCUAAGUUUUUCAUGUCUAAUCAUUAUUGAUCUGAAUCAUUUUAAAUUUUGAUCAUUUUAAGUUCGAGUUAUUUUGUGAUCAAAUCAUUUCAAGUUUAGAUAAAUUAGGGUCAAUUCGAAUUUGAUUUAAUUACGUAGUUAAUUUUUUUAUAAUAAAUUAAGUUGAAUGAAAUUUGGAUUGAAAUUUAUUUAGUGUGCUUUUGUGCUUAAGUCGAAAUUUAAAUAUCUACCUCUGAAAUAAAUAUGUUAAGACAAUUUUAUUUUAAAAACAAUAAUACCACAGAGUUGAUUUGAGAGAUAAGUAUGUUAAUUUUUUAAUCUCAACCCAAAAAAUAAAAUAUACGCUUAAGCCGUUCCAUCCCAAAAUUUUACAUAAUUCUUUUAUGUCAUAUUAAAUAUAUGUAACGUCCUAUAAAAAUUGUCAAUAAAUUAUGCCUAGCGACAACAUUAUUCAAAUCUAAUUUCAUUGUUAAUACCUAUUUCUAUUUUUCUUCUACUGUCUUCAACUUUAAAUAUAAAGGGAUUGAAAUUUUAAGAAUUGAGAUUUCUUUUCUUUGUAUUUGUGGACGUUUGAUUUUUUAUUUGAUUUUAUUUUCCUUGAAAUUGAUAGAUAUCUUUUCAGAUUUAUCAAUAUUUUUUAAAAUUAUUUAAGAUAUGUAUAUAAAUAUAUUACAAAUAUAAAAUGAAUGAAACUAAAUACAUUUCAAAUAUAAAAUAUUCAUUAAUAAACUUAACAAAUAAAAAUUUAUCAUUCAAAGAAAUCCAAAAUUAUUAAUAAUAAUCCAUCAUUUAAUAUGAAAUUCUAAAGAUUUAGCUCAUUUACUUAAUAAAAGAAGGUGAAAGGUGGACAAAUUUUUUUUGAUAAUUGGGUGAAUGAUUUUUUCUUAAUUAUAUUUUGAAUGUGAAAGUAUAUUCCAUUUUUUAAAAAACUUUACAUUCCGAUGUAGCAUUUUUAAUUAGUCACGUUUCAAUUAAGUUCUUAGCAUAAUAGUAAAUAAUUAAAAGUUUUAUAUUUUUAAUAUUAUUCAUGCAUAGGACAGUGCACUAUGUUCUGGUAGGUGUGACUGGAAUUGACCGGAAUGAGUUGGUGCAACUGGUACGGACCGAAAUUUUCACCAGUGUAGAAAAAGGGUGUUGAGUGUUUUGCAAUGUUAUUGAAAUCAGACCAAACAGACCGAGAACCAAUGAACCCGAGAACUAGAGUAAACUGCAGUUAAAUUGCAAAUCGUUAGCCAAUUAAGUUGUAUUUUUACAUUUCUAGAUUGGAAAAAUAGAAAUUUCACUUCAAAUCCCUUGAGCUUUUGUUACACUUUAUCUCAGCAUUCAAUGGAAUAUAACACAACAUAAAAAAAUAACUACCAUUUCUUUUCUUACUUUUUCUACUAAAAUAAGUUUUUUUUUUCUGGUAAAAAACCUAAGAUGGACUUAUAACAUUCUAUCAAGGUGGGUUUUAAGGUUUAGGGUUUUUAAUAAUUAAUAUUAUUUUAUAUUGUUGAAUAGUAAAUUAAUUGUAUUUGUGGUUGAAUCUAUUAGAUCGAGAAUUAAUGAUUUGAUUGAUUUGAUUAUUAAUUUAAUUUUAAAAAUAUUAAUAUUUUGGUAUAAAAUUAAAACAGUGCACACAAAUUAGUAUAAUCGAAACCGACCACCCUAAUUUAGUACAUAAUUUGACAUUCAUAUAAAAUAUUAUCUCGGAAAUAUAUUGAAAGAGGGAAAGUAAUCGUAUGUAAAUGGAUAACUUGGAACAGAUAAUGAAGCAGGAAUCAUUAUAUCAGCAGUGUCAUCUUCUCGAUGUAUGGCUGCUCACUGUCUUGACUGCAUUUAUCAAUUGAUUCUUUUCUUAAUUAGCCAAACUCAUGUUAAAAAUGGUAUAACAGUAAUUAAUUAUUUCAUGGACAGAACAUCAAUAUAUAAAUACCCCAUAUAUAAUAAGCAACAACGUAUCAAAGUACACCAAAUAAUGGGAAUUGGAGAACUCCCAUUUAUACAAACAAAUAUAAGUAGGCAAAAUCAAUACUCAUAAUAAAGACACAAAGAUGACUAAAAACCUUAUUAAACCAGAUCCAGUAUGCAGCAGAUAAAAAAAGGGGGUAUUUCGAGGAGUAGAACGAGAACAUGGUGGAGAAAAGAAAGGAAUAGGGGGAAUUGCAGUUGGGAUUGUAGGGACUUAAGGAAUGCUUGGUAGAGGGGGCAGUCCUCUUGGCAAUGUGGUAGGAAGUGGAGGAAGCGCCCUAGGGUUUGGGAGAUUAGGGAAAGAUGGCAAUGGUGGAGAAGAGAAAGGAAUAGGGGGAAUUGUAGUUGGGAUUAUGGGGACUGAGGGAAAGUUUGGCAGAAGGGGCAGUCCUGUUGGCAAUGUGGUAGGAAGUGGAGGAAGCGCCCCAGGCCAUGGGAAUGAUGGUCGGGAUGGCGUUGGGAGAUUAGGGAAAGAUGACAAACUUUGCGUUUGAGGCUGCUGUAGAAGGUGAUGAGUUGCUACCCCAACAUCAAUGCUUGCAAAUGACAAAGCCAUCAAUAAUGCUAAAGCAAAGCAAUUGAAAAAGGCCAUUUUUGUUCAGAGAUUUCGAAACAAAUGAAGCAAAUGAAACAAAGUUCUUUAUCUGAAUAGUUGUUAGUGAGGAAAACAAAGCAUGGUAUUGAGGUUUAUAUAGGCAUUGGAGCAGUGAAUAAAAAUCCCCUGCCCCUAAACAAUGCCCCAUUCAUGCCCCCAAAACAAAAUAGCGCCACGUGUUUUUUUUUGUAGUUUAUUUUUUAAAUAAAAAUUUAUAAUGAUUAUUAAUUUUUAACUUAUUAUCAACGUUUUUGUUUUAUUUUUAUUUUCUAUUAAUUUUACCUAUUUUUUAGUUAACAAAUUUAUAAUGACUUAGAGUUAAUUUAACAGAGUUUUUUAUAAUCGUUCUUAUAAUAAAAUUUUACAAGGUGGGAAUAAGUCCCACAAUGAUAAAAUGAUCCUUAAAUUUUGGGUGGUGGCAUGCCUUUAGUCAAAGGAUCAGCUAACAUCUGCUCAGUGUUAAUGUGCUUAAUUACAACUUUCUUUUCUUUAACAUGUUCCCCUAUUCCUAGAUACUUAAUGUCGAUAUGUUUACUUUGACUUUCACUUUUGUCGUUCUUAGCCAUAAAGACAGCAGUUGAAUUGUCACAAUAUACCAUAAAUGGCCUAGAAAUCGAAUUCACAAGUCUAAGCCCAAAAAUGAAACUCUUCAACUAUACUCCAUGUGAGGUAGCCUCAAAACAUGAAAUGAACUCAGCCUCUAUAGUGGAAGUAGCAGUUAAUGUCUACUUGACGCUCUUCCAAGAUAUCUUCUGUUGGAAAAUAAUUAUUGAGUGAUGAAUGAUAAUUGUAUCUCUUGGUUUAAUAUUGCAUUUUUCCAUACAGUUGUAUCUUUUGAAAAAAAUGUAUCUCUUGGUUUAAUAUUGAAUUUUUUCAUUCAUUGUCUCUAUUCACUCAUGUCUAUUGAUUUUUCAACAAAUCUUUUCAUUCAUUUUCUCUCCUCUAUAUAAAGCCAAGUUAGGAGAUUUCAAAAACAUAUAAUCAAAACUAUCAAUAUCAAAAAGUUCUUCUAAAUUCAUUUCUCCUGGUAAUAGAGAAAUGCAAGAUUGUGUUCAAUUAAUCACUGUUGUUGUGCUACUACUGUGAUUGUUUGUUGUUGUAUCCUGGGUUACAGACGUCCAACAUUACUCAAAGCACUGAGGAGAGGACGAAUUUGUCUUAAGGAAAUUGUUUAUACAGGACUUGACAAAAUUCUUCUUCUAAAUUUUAACUUUGUCCGAUUACAAGUAUUCUGUUGUGUUACUACUACUGCAUUGUAUUGCAUUAUCAUUGUUAUUGACAUAUUAAUACUACAUAUGAUAUCAAAAUUUUUACAUUCUUAAGACAUUAAUUGUUGUAGUUUUAAUCUAAGGCAUACAGAUUGCCAUCAUAACUUAUUUAAGAUUGGUUUAUACUUUUGUUUCAGAUUUUAAUUUAUUUAAAGAUUCUGGUUUUUUAUUCCGAUUACGGAAAUGUCUCAUACAUCAAACAACUCAUCCAAUUCAAAGGCUGAGGCGAUUGUCACUGCUCAGGCUCAGGCUACAAGCCAAACGUUACCUGUGACUAUGAGUCACAAUGAAAAGACUACGAAAUUAACUGGAGAGAAUUUUAAAACAUGGCAACAGAAAAUGUUGUUCUAUUUGACCAUGUUGAAUAUGGAAAAAAUUCUGAAGGAUGACACUCUUAUUUUUAGAGAGGAUGAGGAAUAUGCUAUUACCGUCUUCAACAUUUUCGAAGCAUGGAACAACUUUGAUUUCCUAUGUCGUAACUACAUUUUAAAGAAUUUAUCUGAUGAACUUUAUGAAGUAUAUAGUAUUAAGAAAACGUCUAAGGAAUUAUGGGAAUCGCUGGACCAUAUAUACAAAAUUGAAGAUGCUAGUGCUUAGAAAUUCUUAGUUUUCAAGUUUUUAAACUUUGUAAUGGUUGAUUCUACAGUUGUUGUAAAUUAGGUGCAGGAAUUCCAACUAAUCAUUCAUGGUAUUCUGGCAGAAGGGAUGGAGAUAAGUGAACCUUUUAGGUGGCAGCCGUUAUUGAAAAACUUCCCCUUGUAUGGAAUGACUUUAAGAACCAUCUUAAGUAUAAGAGAAAGGAAAUGAUGGUGGAAGAUCUGAUUGUCAGACUUCUAAUUGAAAAUGAUAAUCGAGGUGCGACUAAAAGGCUAAACAAAGCAACCAAUCCUAACCUUGCCAAGGCAAACGUAGUAGAAGCCAAGAAGGACUCCAAGAAAAGAAAACAUUCUCAGACUAGGUCUAAACUAGGACCAAAAUGCAGUGUUUUCAAGAGCCAAAAUUACAAGGAAAAUGCUUUAAUUGCAAUAAGAUGAGACACAAGUCAUCCGAUUGUAGGCUUCCAAAGAGGGUCAGAAUAAACGAGGCCAACGCUGUGGAAAAUAUUUCUAAGGAAGUAUUUGAUCUUGACCUCUGCGCUGCAAUUUCUAAAGUCAACUUGGUUGAUUCAAGUCCAAGAGAAUGGUGGCUUGAUAUUGGUGCCACAUGUCAUAUUUGCUGUAACAAGGACUCCUUUGUUGAGUUGGUUCCUUGUGAGAAAGGGGAGAAACUCUAUAUGGGCAAUGCUGCAACUUCCAAGAUUAAAGGUAAAGGUAUUGUGAUUUUGAAGUUGGCUUCUGGCAAAAAGUUGAAACUUCAAAAUGUGUUGUAUGUGCCUGACAUACGCAAGAAUCUUAUCUCUGGGACCCUUCUAAGUAUACAUGGCUUUAGGAUGAUAUUUAAAUCCUAGAAGUUAGUUUUGUCAAAAGGGGGAACAUUUGUGGGAAGGGGAUAUGUAUUAAAUGAUAUGUGGAAACUCAAUGCUACCUCUGUAAAAGCUAAUACUAUGAAUAAGAAUAAUGCUUCUUCUUCUAUUUAUAUGCUUAAGUCAUUUGAUUUAUGGCAUGGUCAGCUUGGACAUCUUAAUUAUAAUACUUUAUGUAGAUUAAUUAACUUAGAGCACUUUCCUUCAUUUCACAUUAAUUAUAAUCAUAAAUGUGAAAAGUGUGUUGAGGCAAAACUAACAAGGUCUUCAUUUCAAUCUGUUGAAAGACAUACUGAAUCACUUGAUCUAAUACAUAGUGAUAUUUGUGACUUAGAAGUUUAUUCAAACUAGAGGAGGGAAAUGUAUAUUUGCUUAAAAGAAAAGAUGAAGCUAUAGAGAAAUUUGUUCUCUAUAAGCAAGAAGUUGAAACCCAACUUAAUAAAAGAAUUAAGAGGGUGAGAAGUGACCGUAGUGGUGAAUAUGUUGAACCAUUUGGUAAAUUUUGUGCAGAACAUGGUAUUAUUCAUGAAGUGACACACUAUACUCUCUCUGAUCCAAUGGAGUAGCAGAUCGUAAAUCGAACCCUAAAGGAAAUGAUGAACGUAAUGCUAGGAAGUUCUGGGCUGUCACAAAACAUGUGGGGGAAAGCUUUUUAUAAGCGAACUACCUUUUAAAUAAUGUGCCUUGUAAGAAAAAGAAGAAAACACCAUAUGAAUUAUGGAAGGGCAAGAAACCUUCCUACAACUACUUGAAAGUGUAGGGGUGUCUUGCAAAGGUAAUGGUUCAUUUGCCGAAGUAAAUGAAAAUAGGUCCUAAAAUGGUAGAUUAUAUUUUCAUUGGUUAUACACACCACCACAAUGCAUAUCAGUUUGUUGUACAUGAAUCAAAGAAUCCUAAAAUUUACAAGAAAAAGAUAUUAGAAUCUAAAAAUACCUCAUUCUUUGACAAUAUAUUCCCUUGUAAAAACUAGGGAAGAUGGGUCAAGUUCAACAAAAUGAACUUCAGAAACUAUUGAUAGUUAAGACUUUCAACAAGAAGUUGAAGUCAAGGUAGAACCAAGAAUAAGUAAAAAGGAAAGGGUGGAAAAGUCCUUGGGAUCAGAUUUUCUAACCUAUAUGCUAGAAACUGAACCUCAAACUUAUAGUGAAGCUAUAUGCUCAUCUAAAAACAUUUUUUGGGAAGAUGCUAUCAAUAGUGAAAUUGAUUCCGUCAUGAAAAAUCAUACGUGGGAAUUAGUGGAUCUACUUUAGGGAAUUAAACCACUAAAUUCUAAAUGGGUUUUCAAAUGAAAAAUGAAAGCAUAUGGAACAAUUGAUAAGUACAAGGCCAAAUUGGUUAUAAAAGGUUAUAAACAAAAUGAAGGCAUUGAUUACUUUGAUACAUUUUCUCCUGUAUCAAGAAUAACUUCUAUAAGGGUGAUAUUUGAUAUUGCCACUUUGCGGAAUCUAGAAGUUCAUCAAAUGGAUGUUAAGACAACUUUUCUAAAUGGAGAUCUCGAUGAGGAGAUUUACAUGAAACAACCUAAGAGUCUUGUAGCUCUAGGACAAGAAAGAAAAGUCUGUAGAUCGGUAAAAUCUUUGUAUGGACUUAAGCAAGCACCAAAGCAGUGGCAUGAAAAGUUUGACAGUGUCAUGAUAUCAAAUGGAUUUAAAAUUAAUGAGUGUAACAAAUGUGUAUGUCAAAACCACUGUUGAUGGAUAUGUAAUUCUAUGUUUAUAUGUUGAUGACAUACUCAUUGUUGGAAGUAACAAUAAAAUGGUAAAACGUACCAAAAACUUGUUAAAUUCAAGAUUUGAUAUAAAAGAUAUGGGACUUGCUGACGUGAUAUUGGGUACCCAAGUCAAAAGGUCAUCUGAAGGUCUCAUAUUGACUCAAUCACACUACAUAGACAAGAUUCUUGAUAAAUUUGGCAAGGAUGAUUUUGGUGUUGCCAGACUCCGAUAGAUAUAAAUCAACAUCUAUCCCAAAACAAAGGUGAAAUUAUUGACCAAGUAGAAUAUGCAAGAGUCAAAGACAGUCUAAUGUACCUUAUAAGUUGCACUAGACUUGAUAUUGCUUUCACUGUAAGCAACUUAAGUAGAUUCACAAGCAAUCCAGGAGAGAACCACUGGAAAGCGAUUGUGAAGGUGUUGAUAUAUCUUAGAUAUACUUAGAACUACAGAUUAUAUUAUUCCAGAGAUCCUGCUGUGUUAGAAGGAUUCUCCAGUGCCAGUUGGAUAUCUAAUAUUCAAGAUGCCAAAGGCACAAGUGGCUAUAUUUUCACAUUAGAAGGAGGAGCUGUGUCAUGGAAAUCCUCAAGGAAAACAAUUAUAACAAGAUCCAUAAUGGAAUUUGAGUUUGUAGCUCUAGACAAAUCUAGAGAAGAGGCAAAAUGACUACGAAAAUUUUUAGAGGAUAUUUCUAAAUGGCCAAGGCUUGUGCCCACAAUAUGCAUAUAUUGUGAUAACCAAGCAACAAUUGGUAGAUCACAGAAUGUAAUGUAUAAUGGUAAGUCGAGACACAUGCGUCGUCGACACAAUACCAUUAGACAAUUAAUCUCAACUAGAGUUAUCUCUAUUGAUUUUGUAAGAUCAAAAGAUAACACUGCUGAUUUGUUAACCAAAAGGGUAAACUGAGAUCAAGUUGAUAAAACAUCGAAAGGAAUGAGACUAAAGCCUAUGAAUAUUUAAGGCGCUAUGUGAAGGAAAACCUAACCUAGUUGACUGGAGAUCCCAAGAUCUAGGUUCAAUAGGACAACCUACUUGCAUAGACCUUGUGAGGUCACUGUGGGGGUUCUUAUCUUGAGUUCAUUCCUAUGAUGAAAAUAAUGAUUAAAAUAUGGAAAAGGUUAACCAAUGCUUUUAAUGACCAUUGUUUGUUUCAGUGAAACAUACAACAUAAGUCACCUAUGUGAGAGUGAAGUGAAUUCGCUUUAAGGAGACUAUUGGGGCAUAAUUCUCUAAGCUCUUGUAGAACCAGGAGGAUGUUCACGGCUAUAUGAACAUUCCCAUGAGAACCAAAAAUGUUACCAGGGAGGUAUUUGUGUGAAGAACAUUAUCGUUUACACAAACGGCAAAACAGUUCAAGGACAUCGCGUCUACUGGUUAGCUGGUAAAGUAAAUAUACUUUUACAAGGGAAGGUUCAAAGGUUGAUGCUUACCUAUCCUAUGCAAAUAUCGAACGUAGAAUCUAUUACCUCUUUGAGUCUUGUUGAUCCAUCAACUUCAUUUAUGUGGGGGAUUGUUGGAAAAUAAUUAUUGAGUGAUGAAUGAAAAUUAUUGAGUGAUAAUGAUAAUUGUAUCUCUUGGUUUCUUAUUGCAUUUUUCCAUAUAGUUGUAUCAUUUGAAAAAAUGUAUCUCUUGGUUUAAUAUUGAAUUUUUUCAUUCAUUGUCUCUAUUCACUCAUGUAUAUUAAUUUUUCAACAAAUCUCUUCAUUCAUUUCCUCUCCUCUAUAUAAAGCCAAGUUAGGAGAUUUCAAAAACAUAUCAUCAAAACUAUCAAUAUUAAAAUUUCCUUCUAAAUUCAUUUCUCCUGGUAAUAGGGAAAGGCAAUAUUGUGUUCGAUUGAUCACUAUUAUUGGGCUACUACUGUGAUCAUUUGUUGUUGCAUCCUGGGAGACAUACAUCCAACGUUACUCAAAGCACUGAGGAGAGGAUGAAUUUGUCUUAAAAAACUAUUUAUACAGGCCUCGACAAAUUUUUUCUUCUAAUUUUUAACUUUGUCCGAUUACAGGUAUUUUGUUGUGUUACUGCAACUGCAUUGUAUUGCAUUAUCAUUGUUAUUGACAUAUUAAUACUACAUAUGAUAUGAAAUUUUCUUACAUAGCUCCGCCAGCAAACAUAAAUAUAUAACCUGAUGUUUAUUUACAUGAAUCAACACAACUAGAAAACUCUAAAUUGGAGUAGACAAUCACCUCCAAAUUGUCUUAUUGUUUGUACGUAAGUAUGUAGUCCUUUGUCCCUUUAAAACAUCUCAAAAAUUUUUUGUAUCUCUCUAGUGGCCAAUACCUGGAUUACUCUGAUAUCUUCCUGUCGAGACUAUAGAGUAGAAUAUUAAAAAAAUGGCUUGAUUUUCCAUUGAUUAAGAAGGAAUAUAUAUACACAAAUUGGGCAACAUAUAUAGGAACUAUUCUAAAUUUAGGGGAUUGCAACUAAUUACAAUAUAGAGAAAAUCUUUGGGAAUUAAUUCUCUAAUAUGCCCCCUCAUGAUAUAGCUCCGGAGGAGACACCAAUCUUGACCUUUAAUUCUUGGAAGUGUUUUUGUGCAAGAGGUUUGGUAAAAGCAUCAACAAGUUGAUCUUUUUAAGAUUCUAUAGAGAAAAGGAUAGAGCAAGUUUUCUGGUUCCAUUCUGAACAAGAGCAUUAAAGUCAUCAAUCAUAGCUUGUGUUUGAGAUCUUUUAAGGCUUGGUUAACAGUAUGAGGCUCAACGUUUGAUCAUUGAGGAAGGAUAGUAGUGAGAGUCAUAUUAGUUAGGGGCUUGUGGAUGUUGUUUUUUGCUCUAGUGGUCACGUGAUAAGUAUUUUUGAUGGGUGAGUUGAGUUGUGGUUGAAGUAGAUUUAGUUUUAGAAUUGUGUGGUUCAAGCUAUAAACUUUUAAUUAAACUAUGUCCAAGUAAGAGAGAUUUGAGGACUGGGGUGAGCAAUCGAUUGGUAAGGGGGUUGGGAAACCGUUUGGGCAUGUAGUGAUGAAUGUUGACAUGAGGAAUCCUUUUGUGGAGAUGUAUUGAGUGAGCUACGUGAAAUGGGGAGAAUUUGGAUUAAGGGAAGCCAUUUGGAAAUAAUCUCUGGAGUGUUACAAGAUAGAUGGGACUGGUGAGUAGUAAAGGGAAAGGAGUUUUCAAGAAAUUUGACAUGAUGAGAAAUAUAUGUUUUAGAAGUGGGCAGGUUAAGACAGAUAUAGACACUUUGUGUGGAAGAGUAACCAAGAGAAACACAAGGUAUGGAACGAGAGUUAAGUUUAUGUUGAGAAUAAGGAUGAAGCCACAGAUAACAUAAGCAACCGAACACCCAAAGUUUAGUGUAGUUGGGUGGAGACCCAAAGAUUUUUUCAAAAUGAGAUAAAAUAUGUAGUGUGAGUGUGGGUAUACGGUUGAUGAGUGACUUGUAGCCAAAUGUAGUAGUUAAUUCGGUUAUUUUUGCACUUAAGGAGGUUGUUUCUUAGGCAAUUUAGUAUUUCAUAUCAUGUUUUCGGUAUUGAGCACUUAGGAUUAAAUAUUAGUAAAAUAAGUGUUUUAGACACAUUUUGUGAGUGUUGUGACCUAUUAGGCUGACACGGGCCUUAGGUAGUGGUAAUAUGUUAAAUUGAGUGUGUAGGAUUGAUCUGUUGUAAUUUGGUGUAGUAGAUUAAACUAGUUUUAAUACUUAAGGAGCUUAAAUAUGAAAAUUUUCAUUAUGUUUUAGUUAGUUUUCUUAUUGUAGUUUGAAUUCAAUAAAAAGUGUAAAAUGAGUCUUUUUAUGACCUUUGGGGUUGAAUGAGACCUAAAGGUGAGCUAACGUACUUAGUGAGUGUGUAGGACACCAUUAAAAGGAAUAGGAACUUAAGGUUGGUCACUGUGUUGCAACAUGGGAAAUUCAAUGUCGCAACAUAGGGAGCAGAAUACAAGAAUUACAAGACUGCCUUUGGUGUCACAACACAGCCAUAGGAUGUCACGACACGCCCCUGAAUCCAAACUUGAACUAGAGUACACUGCCUUCAAUGUCACGGCACAGGCACUGAGUGUCACAACACCGACUUUGCAUGAGAAGAAUUAAGAGCGAGGGUCAUUUUAGUCCGCACAAUGAAAAUUAACACAAAAACGUCAGCCAACCUAGGAUUAAUGACGAUGACAGAUCCUAACUCUAUAAAUAGGCUCAGUUAACACUUGUUUAGGGACAAUUUUUACAGUUUAGAAUUAUCUUUGUAAUUUUAGUUUUAGUUUUCUUUUCUUUCGGCUUUAGAUUUCUUUUUAUUAUUUACGUUCGUGUUCUUCAGAUAACUUGAUUUGUAGACCCAAUCAAACUAUUGUGGAUUUUUGUGCUUUCAUUAGUCAAAUACAAUCAGGAUUCUCUUAACCUUUAUUCUUGGUUUAUUCUUUAUACAUAUCUUAUUUAUCAAGUUUAUUGUGUUUAUGGAUUCCAUGAGGAACUAAUCCUCUUAUGGGACGUUAGUGAGUGGAGGUGUGAUUAACUAAUUACUAUGUAGGGUUCUUUUAGCGGAUUAGUUUUUUAGGAGAGGAAGAAAUUAGACCCUAGGCUUGACGACUCUAAGAAGUCAAUUAGGUGGGAAUUAACUCAAAAUUGGUAUGGCCUAUCUGUGAACACCUUAGCCCCGAAUCGGUCUAGACUGUGAGGUCGAGAGAUAAGUAGUCUUUGCCAACUCAUUUGUUUAGUGGAAGAUCGAGAGAUCCUGUUAGGGUAAUGACUAGUUGAUUGGAUAGAAACCUAAAAUAGGAAUUAGUUAAGAUCACUGAAAUGAGCUAAUUACCCAUGCAUAGAUUUGAUUAAGUUUAGGUUUCAGUUAUUCGAAGUUCACUUUAUUUAUGCCAUUUUUAUUUAUUUAUUUUUAAAAACCUUAAAAUCUCUUCUUUAUGUUCUCUCGCAAUAUAAUUUAUGUAAAGUACUAAUUAAUUCUAUUUGUGUUUAGGUUAACUUUAAUUUAGUACUCGUCUCCCUUGGGUACGAUCCUUAGAGUACUCACCUACUUUGUUGUAAAAAAUCUAUUACAACCUGACCCGUAUACUUACGGACCCCACCUCAAUAUUAUAUCUUUAGUUGCAAUAUUCACACUCUAGACGUUAGUACAUCCAGAGGCGGUCAAGUUGUUGGCGUCGUUGUCAGGGAGGCAAAACUACUAGAUUAAUUUUAAUUUUUGUGUUUUUAUAGAAUAAUUAAGAAAUUUAUAAAUUAUAUAUAUAAUUUUUUUACUUUAUUUUCUGUAGCGCCCUAUUCCUAACCCUUAAGGAGGAUCUAGGAAUAGUGUGUUAUAGCCUUAAAGUCUUUUCCUUACAGAAAUGUAUUUGGCGGAACCUUAGGUUUUACAAAAAUAGUUAGGUAUAUGCUAUGGCAGUAAUAUAUAAAACAUUUAAGCUUAAGGACCCAAACACUUUUAAAACAUAAAACUUCAUUGUAAAAAUUUAAAGGAAGAGAACAGUUUGGCGAAUACAAAUUUUAGUUACAAAAUAUUGUUCUUCAAAUUUUAAGCAUUGACACCACCCUCAUUUGUCAUAUGCAAAAUGUAUCCUCUGGUGUAGUCCUUGAAGGUUCCUUUUAUUUCUUCGGUGGUCAUGAGAAGGGAAGAUAAACGGAUUAAGUUCAUAGAACUUAGUGAGUUCUAGAGUGACCAUUAGGAUAUCUAUACGUCAUAGAGACAGAAGGACUCUUUCCAACUCAGUAGAUCAUACAGUUCACCCAUUGGCGAAUUCACCACACAAAUUGACUUCAUGUAGCUCGCCUAUUGGUGAAUACUGAACUUACACAGACUUUAAUAGAAUAGGACUUAUUUUGGUGCAUACAUUGCGUCCAUGUAUUCAUGCAGACAACCUCCAUCGUGCUAGCCAAAAACCCUAGUCUAUGUUUAGAGAUCGUAUCGUUUAUUCAUUGCUUUUUCCUCUGUUAUGCUUUGCCAAUUUGGUUUGCAUUACACUCUCCCUACCAGAGGCUACAUAACAUCAUUCAUGUAUUUUGAUCUGUCGGUUCAAUGCUCUUUGCAAUAAAGGUAAUACCAUGAAUUCACUUCUUUUGUUUUGGCCAUAUGGUUCUGUUUUCAGAGUAAGGUGGGUAAUGACUCAGAACGAAGUAAGGCCCUUUCAUUUUUUGCAUAGACAUGCAAAUCCAGACUUUUCACCAGACAUGUAAACUUACCUUGAAUGAGGCAUGUACAACACACACAUUGGGUAUGAAGGAACUCGCCAGAAGGUGUAGUAGAGACUAAACAAUAGGUCACUUGCCCUUUUCUUGAGAGCCUUCGGGAGUUUCUUGAGCUAUAACAUAAAUAGUUAACUUAUUACACCAUGCUUUCUGAAGAACUAAACAAACUUUCAAGAACACUUAAUUAAGAAACCCGAAUCUAGAAGUUUCCUUCCUUUAGUCUUUAGUCUGUCUGUAAUGUACGAAACCCUAGGACCUUAUAAAUAAUAACAAAAAUAGCUAUAUUUUCAUCAUUAUUUACCAGGUUUUAUGAUGUUUAAGUUAGUUGAUUACAAUGAGUUCUAAUCCUUCAAACAGGCCUUGGCUCUAACGCUUUCCCAAAAAAUGCAGAGAAAAUUUUGAAAGGAAGUAUGAAUUGCCAGAGAAAGUAUAGAAAUUGCUUAGGAAGCUAAGGUUGGCUUAUAUAGGUGCACAAGAAAGGAAAACUUAGUGGACAAGCUUAUUUGCCUCCGCUAACUUUCUUUUGGUACCCGUGACUAAUAGUUUUCUCUCUCAUCUUAAAUGCAUGUCCUUUCAUUUUUAGAAACUUUGUCCAAUCCUGACUAGUACUCAUUAGGCCACCUAAAUAGUUUAAGCAAAUAAUAAAAUAACAAUAUAUUUAUCGUUCCUACUAGAUUAGGGAUUUAACAAUAGGACUGACUAUUUUCAUCUAUUCGCUGGGGCAAUGUAUACUUUAUCGAAGAGUCUAGCAAACCUUAACGCUCUCCUUAAUCAAGGCUUCGUCCAAGGGUGUAUUCGUAGACCUUAAGUACCUAAUAAAUUUGUAAUCAUUUUCUUACUCGGGGGCCACAUUAUAAGCAUAAGUUCAAUUAACAUUACUUAGGUACUACACUCCGUCGGGCGAGAUGUUACAACUCUCCCCCGCUUAGGAAAUUUCGUACUCGAAAUUCAUACCUGAAAAGAAUUAUAGAUAUUGUUCUUUCAUUAUGCUCUCCCUUUCCCAAGUGAAUUCCUUAGUGUUAUGAUUCCUCCAUAGUACAUUUACUAAGGGAAUUCUCUUAUUCCUCAGCAUUUUAAUUUCCUUGGAUAAAAUACGGAUUGGCUCUUCCUCAUAAGAUAGGUUUGGUUCAAUCUCAAGCUAUUCAAUUUGUACCACGUCCUCAGGGUUGGAUCUAUACCUUUGCAACACUGAUACGUGGAAGGCGUUAUGAAUCUUAGAUAGUUUAGGAGGCAAAGACAAUUUAUAUGCCACCGGAUCACAUCUUUCCAGAAUUUCAUAAGGUCCCACAAAUCUUGGGCUUAGCUUUCCUUUUUGGCCAAAUCGUAUAAUCCUCUUCCAAGGGGAUACCUUUUUAUAAUAUUGAUUAUUUUUCCCUCUUUUUAGAAACAUAGUGAAUUCUUCUUCACUAUUUACUAUCUCCAACAAAACCUUUCACUAUUCAUUCUGUAAUGCCCUAAAAUUUUGAGAAUUUAAUUGUGAGAAUCUGCAGUAAUUAAUUUCUAUAUCUGUGGCUAUGUGUUCUGCUAUCGUGUUUAAGGUCUGGAGUUCGAGUCGCAUCGUUAAAAGUUUUAUUAUUUUGAAAACAACCCCUAUCCAUGCGUUACAAGUUAAGUGCAAUUCUGCGUGAAUCUAUGUCAGGAAUGAGCCUGUUGGUUCACUGGUUAAGCAUCUGUAUUCUAUAUGGUCCCGAGUUCGAAUCCCAUCGUAUGCAUUAGGAAAUAUUUUGCUUGUUGUCGAAAAACUUGCUGGUGGUUAAGACAAUAUGUUUCAAACGUUCUUUUUCUUUUUCUUUUCCUCUUACGUUUUUCUUCCUUCCCUUUUAUUUUCUUUUUCCUCUUCUUUUGCUUUUGUUUUUUUAUAUAUCAUUAGAGCUCUGUUGAUGAUAGUUAGACUCUCAUUCUGAUCUGUUGUACGAGUUAGGUAAGUACAUCUUUUGUGAUAUCAAUUGUAGUAAUUUGUUAAGAGUUCUAAGAACGCCAGUGUCAUAUUGUUGGUUGUUUGCGUUAAAGAAUGAUUUCGCAUUGUUAAACGAUAUUGGUUCCUUAUUUUAGGAAUAGGUGUUGGAAAUAGUGAAUCUCGGCAGGAUAAAUCGAGUAGUCGCAAGUAAUCUUUCGGUAGGUGACAAUUUUGUUGAAGGUUUUGUGUCGACAUAAGUUUUUGUGUUUAAUUGUGCUUCAUUGGCAUUAAGUUCGGUUGAUUAAACGAUUGGAUGGUUGUUUUAGGCAUUAGGGACUCUCUAUAUUCGUAUUACUUCAAAAUCUCUUCAGGUGCGUAUAGAAAACCUUAAAUUCUGUGAUUUUCGGACGCCAAAAAAUGUGGCAGUCAAUGCCACAUGGCUAGCUACAUGGGCGUGUGCGCAGGCCAUAUGAGCCACAUGACCGUGUGCCAAGCCAUGUGGGUGGCCGUGUAACUCACUGUUCAUUGAUUUGGAGCCACACAAGUAAGGCACACGGGAAUGUGUCAAGGCCGUAUGUGGCCAUGUUAGUGUAGGGUUCCCACGGGCAAGGACACGAACGUGUGUCUAAGCUGUGUAACUCUCUAUUUGUGACUUAGGGCCACACAGCCAGGGUCCGUUAUGUCCAGGUCGUGUAACUUACUGUUUAUGUUUUAGAACCACAUGGGCAGAGGACAUGGGCACGUGCCCAGGCCGUGUGAGUCACACGGUCAAGGACAUAGGCGUGUUUCUAGGCCGUGUGGCAUAUAAAUAGGGUCUGAAUCUUGUUUUUGAGGCCAUGAGUGUUGCCCAACACUAAUAUUGACCUCCCCAAUGUGUGAAUGAUCUAAAUUUUAUUGUCUGAGAACUUUCUGAUGCUCUAUAACUGACAUAUGAAUAACAUAAUUGUGUAUGUACUAUGAUAGUUAUUUUUGAUAUUGAACUGUUCUAUCUAAUCGUGAAAUAAUUUAGAAUGAUUGGACACAUAUUGUGUAUAUUUGUACUUUGCAUUUGCAUGGGUUAGGAUAUUUUGAAGAAGGAAGUAAUAUGCUCUGAAUUAGUGGUUAAGCCACAAUGCGUAUAAUUUUGAAUUUGGCGAUUUGUCGCAUUUUGAUCUAGCAGCUAAGCUGCGCCUCUGUAAACGUGUUAGACAUACACUCUAUGGUGUGUAGUGUUGGUUGGGCAUUGAACACCCUUAAUGGUGUGUUAGGAUGGCUGAAGACGGUGUGUAGAGUAUGGGGUUAGUAAUAUUUGCAUCCGAAUCUUAGCUGUUCUGUAUGUGAAAUUGAAAUUGCUUCUGCAUAUGCAACUGAUCUGUUCUGAAUCUGAAUUGAAAUUUCUUCUAUUACCAAAAUGAAUCUUGGGAUUCGAGAACUAUUUGAUAAAUGUGUUCUAAUUGAAUGAACGUCUUUUACGAACUGAGUUCACAACUCAUUUUUUUGAUUUGAUUUCAAGUGGUUUUCAGGCUUGAAUGGGUCGGCACCAUGGGAGUUCGGUCAAGCUUUUAUCUUUUCUUUAAAUACUACUAUUAGGGGUUUUGGUAUUAUAUGAUAUUAUGAUGUUUGAGAAGAUUCUAUACUUAGUUAAUCGUGGUGUUUUAUAAUUUAUGCUGAAUGGUUAUUUUGACUACGUUAUAAAUGCGGUAUGUUUAAUGUUGAUGAUGUAACCCUCUGGACUUGGUUUGGACGUCUAGGCUGGUUUUAGGGUGUUACACAUUCUUAAUAAUUAAUACAAUUGUAACUGAGAAUUAAUUACAUUAUUCUUACUAAUUAUUAAUUUUGUAACUCCUAUUCUUGAAACAUUAUAAAUAGGAGUCUUUCUUAAUAGGUGAAAGGACUUUUAGUACUUUUGGCAUUUUCAGCAUUUUGAACUCUCAAAGUGUUCUCUUUGAAAUUCUCUUAACUUACUUCUUUGUUAAGUGCGACCGGUAGCCAUAUUUUCCUUUUUCCACUUUACUGACUAUCACCUACUACUGCUAUUAGUGCAAUCGGAUCUUCUCCAGUCUUCCUUUUUGCCUUCUUUUAGUAUAUCUCUUUCACUUGUUUGUAGUGCUUCCUCUCUCUAUCAAAAGAAUCCUCUACACCUAUUUAUACCCAAAUCUUCUUACACCUAUUGGACCACAUUCCUAACCAUCAUUGGUUAUCUACACUGGCCAAACCCCAUUAGUCGAAAAGAGGUUGUUUAACGUGAAUAGGGGUGCUCUAACACCCAUAGGUGCUGUAAAUAGUGCCCCAGGUAUGCAAGCAUAUAUGUGAGGUGGUUAAAUCCCCACACACUCGAUUCAGGCAUCCAAGUAGGUAAUCAUCUACCUGGCAUAUCUAAAAGACCCAUUAGGGGUGACAAGAUGUUGUCGGCACCUCGUCUAGUGGCCACGCAACUGGCUUGCCUGUCUGUUACCUUGUCUUGAGCAUAUUCACACCUACCUAGUUCAGAUGACCGUGAAUGUUGUUUAAUUAGGCCCUUGGCUUCCAAGAGUAAUUCCUUGACUCUGGUAACUUGCAUGUUCCUUGAGAAUGUCCAAAACUUAUUUAUCAAAAGAUUCCCGAGCUGCGGGUUUAGUGUUUCUUUGACAAGCUUCCUUGUCCAAUUGCUCCCUUGUAGCUCAUUCCAAACACCUCAAUCUCUUAGGCCAUGACAAGCUCCUUUAGCUUUAGUGAGUAAGAACUCACUCCAGUGUGAAGAUGUUUUUACAAAUAUAGCCCUACUUAUUUUUCUUUCUCAAUCUUUCCUUUAUUUUAUUGGAUUUAAAGGUAGAUAAUGAUCAGGUAAUUUGUUUCCCUAAUUUUUUUAUCAAAACAAAAUAUAGUUUAACUAUUUUUGAAUACAAGGUGAACACACAAACCUAUCCUAUGAACACCUAAUCAAAAUAGAUUUGUCAAUUGGUUGAGUUUGGUUAGUUUUGGUGUGAGUCAAUUAAUUAGAUCGAGUUUAUUUGGUUCUAAAGCUUUUAUGCCAAUUCAGGUUUGGAUAUAAGCUUGCCUCCAAGUUAAACUUGUUGUAUGGCAUUAAGUUACCUACAUGCAAGAAUCUGGAAGUUAGACCUAUCAAUUUGAGGUGGUAGUUGUUUUUUUAUAAGGAUGAAAAUAUAUGUUGCCAUUUUAAGUUACUUGUUAGUUGAAGUACAAAAUUGUAAAUGGAAGUGUGUAAUUGUAGCGAUUAGUAUGGCUUAACACUGCAAAAAACUGUGCAAACAAAACUAUAUAACACCAAGGAUUCCACUAUCUUUGAUUGAAAAUAUAAUAAGUGAUUCACACUCUGUCACUGCUCAAGUAUAGAGAUCUCACCUUUCUAGCUAAAAACUAGAGCACUUACCUCUAAAUUCUCAGCAAACACUCAAGAAUGUUUACAAUAACAGUUUUCACUCUCUCAUAAAAUAAUUCCUCAAUGAACAUAUUAAAAUGCUCUCAAUAAGCUCUUAUAAAAAACAAUACAAGCCUUCAAAUAUAUAUAAAUUUUGGCUACCUAACAUAGAAUCUAAGUGAGUACAAAGUAACUCUGUAACCUCCUUAACCCAACCCAGAAGUUAUUGUUGGAUUCUGAAGGCCAUAUUGGCCACCGAAAUGGCGCAAUAAAAAAAAUGACCAGAUUCUCAUAAACUUCCUUUUUAAAUCAUUUGCCUAUUUUAUUUCAAAAAAAUUGUAGUGGGCUUAUCUUAUUUUUAUUAUUCUCUUAUUUUUAUUUAUUAAAAAAACAUUUUUACAUGCUUAUAAUCACCAAUGUGUAGGUUCGUCCAAUUAUCUAACUUAACUAGUUUUAACGAUAUUGCAUGCAAAAUACCAAAAUAACCCAGAAUAUCAAACGCAUACCAAAUUCUAUAUAAAAAUUAUUACAGUCCCAAAUAGUGAUAAAAAUUAUAAUAUUAAAUUGAAAAAAUGAGACGAGACCUCCAAAUGCCGAGUUCAGGUCCUAACCUGUCAGGUAACCUAUAAGAUAGUUAUAAGGUUUGGGAAGCAAAAAUAAGCUGAAAAUAAAGAUAUGAGAGGGGAAGGAAUCGAAAUCUAGUCUCAAGGAUAAUUUCACUAACAUUUAAUCAUUAGACCAGUAGCUCAUUUUAUGCUAACAAACACACAUAAGAUAACAUUAUAAAAUCGGGGCGUGACGACUCUCCCUCCUUAGAAGAAAUUUGUCCUCAAAAUUUCCUACUGAUAUACCAUUCACUUAGCCACAAAGUCUGUUACCCCUCUUUUCAACCCAAACCAACACUUUUUCACUGCACAACUUUGAUUCCAAUGUAAUUCUAGGCAAAACUUCACCCUGAACUUCUACAGACAUCUCUUAAAGAACUAAUUACAGAAACAUCACUAAUAGAUUCUUCCACCCCAAAUUCCCAGUUUUAACAGAAACAUUAUUAACAUCAAACAAUUGAGUAAAACCAAUAUUAAUCAAUACAAAGUACAAAUUUUGAAUGGAUCAUAAAUUACCUGCAUUGAUAUUGGAUACAUCUCGGUCCUCUCAAUGCCUAGCUCCAUAAACCAGUGUCGACUAUCUAGCUCGAUUUUGAUCGGACCCCCCAAAGAUAACUUUCUAGCUUUCUGAUUUUGAAUCUGAUUCUAAGCUUGCAUCUGACCAGGAGAAUGACGUAGACAAUCUUUUAUUUGAUGCUCGACAGACUCACAUCUGAAACAUACACCAAUCUUAUUGUAACACUCACCUAGAUGUCGCUUAUCACAAUAUCCAAAAACCUGAAUCCUUAUUAAUCUAAUAGAACCUCCAGUAUUAGCUCCUGCAUUAAAUUGUUGUGGCUUCCCUUCUCUAGCCUAUAUCAAGGGUUGUAAAUACGAGCCAGUAGGUCCUGAAUCCCUCUCAUGUUGAACUUUAUUCUUUUCCCUUUCCUCACUCUCUAAGUGCUUAGUCUUCUCAAUAAUCUUGGUUUUCCUGAUGCAGGGCCACUUGGAUUUUCAAGUCAUAUCUCAGCCAAUCUUCAAACUGUAGGUUCUUGUCCUUCUCAGUCAUCAGCAUACCCAGAGCAUAAUAGCUCAAUCUUAAGUUCUUUAAAUUCAAACCGACGGGCCUUGACAUAUGAAGUAUCCACAUAUUUCUUUUGAAAGGCCUACUAAAAGUAGGUACAAGUUAUACGAUGAGCCUGUAUACCUCUAACCAGAGAUUACCACCAACGAUAGGCUUCGACCCUCAAAAAGGGCACAGUACCUUUAACCCUCUAUUUUGGAGUGCAGUUCAUAUCCUCUAGAAUCUUUUUAGUGGUCUCUAUCCAAUAUUCUACCACUAUAGGGCUUGUUCAAGAAGACUCCUAAAUAAUUCGGCCUUAUUAGAUCGUAGCCUCUCAGUAAUAAGCCCACAGUUUCCAGUCCUAGUCUGGGCUUUUUUCAAGCAACCCUUUGUAAAACGCUUAACAUGGCUUGGGUCACAGCCUCAUCCCAAGACUCUUGAUUUCCACCUUCAGUGAUAAGCGCAUCAACGGUGUUGUUUGUCUUUAGGUCAGGCAUACAUCCUAAAGAAGAAAAUGACUCAACUUUAGCCACUUGACGUCGCCCUUCACGGGUUCGCAUACCACAAGCUCGUGUACCACUAUAUUCAUAGCUGAUUAUACGGUCUUAAGUUUUAUCUACAGUUUGAGAAAGAUACAAACUCUAAUUCAUUCUUGAAAGUUUUCACUUCUAAUGUUUAUAUUUUUAAGCAACACAAUCCUUAGUGUUUGUCUAUAAUUUCACGCGUACUAUGAGGACCGACAUUCAUUUUUUAAAAUAACACUGUCUUUUUUCAAAAUAUUGUGGCAUGCUUUUUUUCCAGAAUACCACUUUUCAAAAUCAUGCAUGCAAACUCACUUAAAACCUCAGGCUGAGUUUAUGAACCAAGCUCUGAUACCACCAAAUAUAACCUCUCUAACCCGACCCGAAAGUUAUUGCCAGAUUCUAAAGGCCACAUUGGCCACUGAAAUGGCUCAAUAAAAAAAAUUAGAUUCUAAGAAACUUCCAUUUUAAAUCAUUUACCUAUUUUAUUUCGAAAAAACUAUAGUGAACUUCUCUUAGUUUUAUUUUUCUCCUUUUUAUUAAAAGAAUUCUUACAUGCUUAUAAUCACAAAUUUGUAGGUUCGUGCAAUUAUUUAACUUAACCAUUUUUAACGAUAUUGCAUGCAAAAUACAAAAAUAACCCAAAAUAUCGAACCCAUACCACAAUCUGUUUAAAAAUUAUUACAGUCCCGAAUAGUGAUAAAAAUUAUAAUAUUAAACUGAGAAACUGAUACAAGACCUCCGAAUGCAGAGUCUAAGUCCUAACCUCUUAGGUUACCUAUAAGAUAGUAAACUAAGGGAAUAAGCUAUAAAGCUAAGUGUGAGUUUUAAUCAUAAGAAAUCAGUGUACCAUAGAUCCCAAAAGCAUGCAAGUAAACAAAGAUAAUAUCCUAACAGUGUCAUAGAUCAUAGUGUUUCAGAAUAUACAGAAUCACAGAGUUUUCAUAAUUUAUGAACAUGUCCCUGAAUGUCAAUGUAGUUUCCUACCCAUCAAUCUGCUCAUUUUGUAUAAACUACCAGUAAUUUACGGUUAAACCACUAGUAAAAAAUUAGUAGACAGAUCGCUAGAACUUCAAACAAUACUCUAGUGUUGCGGCUAUACCGCUAGAACUCUAAUAUUUGUGGAUAAACCAUUAGAACUCCCAAAUUUAUGGAUAAACCACCGGAACUACUCUGUCACCAAUCUUCCCAACCCUAUGCAACAGGAUGGCAUAACAUGCAUGAAAGAAUCGGGUACAGUACAAAAUAGUGGCAUGUAUUAACCUGCUAUCAGUAACUCAGUAACAGUGGCAUACUUUACAUGCGAUCAGUAAAUACAAAGCAAUAGGCAUGCUCUCAUGCAUUCAGUAAAACAAGUAAUAAAAAUACAAUAUCCUAGAUUAGCAGUUUAUACUUAUUCAAUCGUAGCAGACAACCCUUAGGCACAAUCGGGCAAUCAUAGAAGUAAGCACAAGUCACAUUCAGCUGUUAGGGAUAAGGGCACAUAUGCAUUUAAUUUACAUAGUCAAGGCUCGUGACAUUUGAUUUCCACAAUUUAGGGUUCAUGGCAUUUGGUUAAUCUUAACUUGGUGAUGCGGUCGUUGAAAGCACCAAAAAUAUCAUAUCCCUAAUAAAUAAUGAAAAAGAAUAGUAAAAGGGAAGUAGGGUCUAAUCCUCAGGGACUGGACUUGCAAAAUAUCUUGUUCCGUGAAAUCCCAGGCAGAGUCUUGCCCAAGACAACUUGCGUGCCUAAAAAAAACAGAAUUAAAUGUUUGGAUUUGAAAAUGAAAAAUAAAAUAAAAACAAAUUUAACAAUAUUGAAUCAAAAAUUAGAGAAAUUAAAAAUAGAAUUGAGAGAAAGGAAAUUCUUAUGGGAGAUUCCAGCCUCCAGUUGUCACGUUCCGCCUUGGGUUCAAUCCUCGGCUUUUAGAUGAUCCUUCCCAAACCGAAUAAGCCAGUUAUAGUGGAAGAGGACGCCUACGACCACCAGCUCUAAGGAUUUAGACUUACGAUGUGUUGGAACCUGACUCUAGCCAACAAUCGCUUCUGUGGGAUCGUCUUAUGCUAGAUCAACGCUUCUCAAUGGUGAAUCCCACGCCAUUUUGUCUCUUGGGCUCGCCAACCUCUGACGCAGUAAGCUAACGAACCGACUGUGCAACCUUCCCAAAACAUACAAAGCGAUCGCCUUUGUAUACGUUGAAAAGCUUACUUCUUAAGGGACAUGGACGGAAGCGUCUGCCCCGUAGUGCGGAGAAAUGAUGAAUACUCAGCGAGGAGGCUAAUUAAGAAUUCUAAGCCUCAUGAACUCUUGUGGGGAUUUUUGACAACCUUCGACUAGAUGGGUUUAGUGGCUCAUGGUUGUGGUAGAAAAGAAAAUAAAUAAAUAAAAAAUAAAGAUUUUAUUAAAAAGAAAUAUGAGAAGAACAAAAGCAUAAACUUUUGGGGAGAGAGUGUUUUUAGAAAAAUAUCUGGGAUCCCCUUUUGAGUCACUUCACCCCCUAUUUAUAGUGCUAAGGGAGAUAGUCUAAUCCUACUUAAAUUCCUAAAAGAUAAAUACAUUUAAUUGAAGAUAAAUAAAGAUAAAAUAAAAUCCUAAAAAUAAUCCUUAAUAAUUAUCUCAAUAUUAAUUAUCCUAAUAUAAUUAAAAUAGAGUUUAAUAGAAUAAAAUCUCUUCUUUUUGCAUUUCAACCCUUGUGUCCUCCAUGCUUGCACUUUUGGCACCAACUUUUCCUUGUGUCGCACAUUGGCCCAUUUUAUCUCUAAAUUCACGCUUUUGGCCCUUAAUUUUGCUUUUGCCUCAAAUUUAGUCCCUAUGAGAUAAAAGAUCAUAAAUAGCUCAAAUUAGCAGGAUCAUACUCAGAAUAAAUACAUAAUUAAUACAUAAAAAUCCGUUAUUCUGGAGUGUUAUCACUUGGUAACAUACACAAUCGGUUAAGUCUUAUAACAUUCACCAUACAAUCGGCCACCCACGUACACUUACUUAACAUUCAGCCAUAGCACAAGAAGACAUACAUAUUCGAACAACUUGCAAAACAUAUGCAUACAUAUUCAACCAACUUACAAAACAAAUACAACACAUUCGACCAUGGUAUAAGGGUUACACACACAUACACACACUCCAAUCACAAAUGUUUAGGACACAUACCUCAAUACACGUCCACAAAACACUGUCAAUUGUUCGAAGCACCACUACAAUUCGGAUCUGAAACUUGGAUAUGAAAUACACACAAAACAAAAAAUAAGAUUUGGUCAAAUACCAUAAUAAUAUUUGACCAACACAAGGAAAAAGAAAUCAAAUACGAGAUUGGAUCUGAUUUUAAUAUCAACUUACUCUUCCACCAAAUUGUAGAUCUGAGAUGAAAAUUGAUCAAAGAAUUCAAAUGUCCACCAACAAAAACAUUAAAUAAGCUUCGACCAAAUGCAAAUUGUGAUUUCAACGACAAUAAUAAUGAAAGAAUAUGAGGGAAAGAAUGAUGCGACAAUGGUGAGAAAAAAUCAACAGAGAUUUGACCACAAAUGGGGCAAAGUAGAAGAAAAAAUAGAGAGAAAAGAGAUGAACCGAGUGCAACAAAAAUUCGAUAGCAAUGGUGAAAAGAAGAGGAGACACAAACAAAAGUAAAACUAGGGUUUAGGGAUAGAAGAACAGAAAAAAGAAGAUAAAAUUAAAGAUGGGAGAAAUAGGGAAGAGGGGUGGUAACAGGAAUGAGCAAAUAAGGAAGAAAAGAAAGGCUAAACAGGAAAAAAAAAAUAUAUAUACUAGGGUUUUAAUAGGCUUAUGCACGACACACUCUAGGGUUUGGGAAGCAAAAUUAAGCUGAAAAUAAAGAUAUGUGAGGGGAGGGAAUCGAACUCAAGUCUUAAGGAUAAUUUCACUAACACUUAACUAUUAGGCCAAUAACUCAUUUUAUGCUAACAAACACACAUAAGAUAAAAUUAAAAAAUCAGGGCGCGACAAACUCCUUAAAAAUAGUUAUUACCAUAUCAACAUUCAAAGCACAAUUAAUCAAAGAUAUGCUCUCCAAAAUCAACAAUGCAAUUUCGAUCAAAUCUCCACAUUCUAAGUGUUGAAUUUGACUCCUAUUUCAGUCAAAUUUGAGAAAUAACCUUUCAGUUAAACUCUGUUUAUUUGUUUCAAUCAAACUCUGAUUAGUCUAUAUUAUUUUAUUAUUAUUUGACCUAUGAAUUUAGCUUCACUACACCAAAACAGGCUUUUAGCAGCGCUUUUAGUGGCGCUUGGAUAAAAAACGCCGCUAAAAAUCGAGCAUUAGCGUCGCUUUACAAAAAACGCCGCUAAAGAUCGAGCAUUAGCGGCGCUUUAAGGAAAGCACCGCUAAAAAUACCUUAAAGCGCCGCUAAAAAUAAGAAUUAGCGGCGUUUUUUGAGAAAAUGCCACAAAAAACCUAAGCCCAAUGACAUCGUUUUUUGACCUUUCGGGGCUUUAGCGGCGUUUUUAGAGAAGCGCCGCUAAUGCUCCGGGCUUUAGCGGCGUUUUUGGAGAAGCGCCGCUAAUGCCGGUGUUUUAGUACAAACGCCACUAAAAUUGUAGAUAAAAAUGACAACGUUUAGCGAACACUUAUAACAUAAUUGCGGCAUUUUUAUAAAAACGCCACUACCACAUAACCUUUUGCGGCGUUUUUGUAAAAAUGCCACUAAUAAUGUAGAUAAAAACGACAACGUUUACAAAAGACUAAUAACAUAAUUGCGGCGUUACCUGAAAAUGCCACUAACACAUAUCAUUUUGCGGCGUUUUGGCAAAAACGCCACUGAAAACCUAGAUAAAAAUGACAACGUUUAAAAAAGACAAAAAACAUAAUUGCGGCAUUUUUUGUAGAAACACCACUAAUAUAACUCGUCUUGCGGCAUUUUAGUAAAAACGCCACUAAAAAAUCAGACUAAACGAAACUGUUUUGCUAUCUUUCAAUGAAUAUUUGUGGCAUUUUCACGAAAAACGCCACUACUGGUCAAACUUAAAAUUAUUUUCAAAUUAUUUUAAAUAAUACUAUUUUAUUUUUUUCUAUUUGUAACAUAUAUUUUUCUAUGUUUUUAGCAUAACCCUUAAAUGUGAAAAAAUAAAAUUUAAACCCUAAAUCAUAAGCCCCUAACCCUUAAACUCUAAACCUGUAACCUUUAAACUUUAACCUCUUAAACCCUAAACAAUAAACACUAGACCAUAAACCUACACCAUAAAUCGUAAACAAUAAACUCUUAACACUAAACCAUAAACCUUAAACUUUAUACCCUAAACACCCUAAGCUAUAAACCCUAAAUUAACCCUAAAAUUGUAAAUCAUAAAUUAUAAACCCUAAAAUCAUAAAUCUUAAACCUUAAACCCUAAACCCUUAACCCUAAACCAAUAAACCCCAUGAACCCCUAAACCCCUAACCUAUAAACCCUUAAACCCAAAACUCUAAGCCACUACCCCUUAGACCUUAAGCCCAUAACCCCUAAACCAUAUGCUCCUAACCACUAAACACUAAACCAUAAACCACGAAUGGUAAAUCGUGAACUCUAAACUUAAAACUCUAGUCCCAAUAUAAUAAACAUUACUUCAUAAAUCCUAAAACCCUAAACUAUAAAAAUUAAACCUUAAAUACUAAACACUUAAACCUAAAAUAAAUUUAUUUUUACUUGUGGCGCUUACAAGAAAGUGCCACUAAUGUCUCUAAACCUCCACAACAAAACAACGACGUUUGCUUAAAUAUAUUUGCGGCGCUUAACAUAAAGCGCUGCUAAUGCUUGACAUCUGCGGCGUUUUUAAAGUUACGCCGCUAAUGUAACUAAACCUUAACAACAAAAUGUUGCCGUUCGCUUAAAAAUUUUGCGGCGCAACGUAAAAGCACCGCUAAUUAUUGAAUUUUGCGGCGUUUAUGUCUACGCGCCACUAAUAUCUCUAAAAUCUGAAAAAUAAAACGACGUCGUUUGCCUAAAACUAUUGCUGCUAGUGCUUGACAUUUACGACGUUUUUCCCAAAGCGCCACUAAUGUCCCUAAGCACAACAGGAAACGACGUCGUAUGCUUAAAACAUUUUACAGUGCUUCCUCUUACGCACCGCUAAUGAUUGACUUUAGCGGCGAUUUCUUCAAAGCGCCACUAUUGUGUCUAAAACUCAACAAGAUUAAAAUGACUUCGUUCGGUAAAAUCUUUUGUGGCGAUUCAAGAAAGCGCCGCCACUAUUGUCCCUAAGACGGCGCAUACUUAAGACAUUUUCCAGCGCUUCCUCUAAAGCACUGAUAAUGAUUGACUUCAGCGGCGCUUCUAUAAAAGUGCCACUAUUGUGUUUAAAAGUCAACAAGAAACGACGUCGUUCGGUAAGAACUUUUGUGGCGCUUUGGGGAAAGCGCCGCUAAUACAUGAUCUUUUGCGGCGCUUCUUUAUAAACGCCACUAAUGCAAUCAAACGUAAACCAAAACGGCGUCGUCUGUUAAUCAGUUUUGCGACACUUCUUUAAAAGCGCCACUAAUGUCUUUUAAGCUGACAAAGAAAACGGUGUCGUUUACCUAACUCUUUUGCGGCAGUUUUGGUAAAUUGUCGCUGUUGCCUAUAAUUUACGGUGUUUUUUUUCACUCACCGCUAUUGCUUGGUUUUUGGCAGCGUUUUGUGUUAAAACGCCGCUAUAGACGCCACUAAAGGCCUGUUCUGGUGUAGUGAUACAUCAAAAACUCCAAAUAAGUAAUAAAUUCUAGGAAUUAAUAGAAAAUAGUCUAAAAUUUACAUGUGGCCACCGUCGAGUUCUCCACUGCACUGACCCUUCAAGUCUGAGGAUUACCUGUACAUAUUAAAUAGAGAAAGGGUGAGUUUUCGCAAACUCACUGUGUAAUCCCCACAGAAAACAUGCAUACAAUCAACAGAAUUUAGUUAGAUACAGUCUGGGGCUCGUGCCCAUCACAGAAUCAGUUUGGGCCUUAGCCGGUUCAGAUAUAGUCUUAGAAAUACAUUAGGGCCUUUGCACAUAUCAGAUACAGAAUGCAAAUAUAGUAAAUCAGAAUCAUACCCACCAGCCUCUACACAUCAUCUCCAUCCAACCUUACACACCAUGUGGGGAUUAAAUCAACCCACCCAUCCCUACACACCAUGCUGUACCAAAAUGCAGCACAUAAUCAGAAGGUUGCAGUUGAGCUGCCAGAUAACAGGCUUAAUAGCUUUUCGGACACUUCCUCCAAAUAUCAUCAACCCACCUCGAUGCAAUGCAACAUACAAAAUAUAUCAUGCCAUUAUGCAAUUAAUAGUACAUACAUUCAAAUAUCAUAAGUCAUGCUUGGUAUAGAAAUCAGACAGACAGAUCACACAUAUAGGGGUCCAAGUAAAACUUAUCGACCCUACAGUAGGUCCACAGUCGACUUGGGUGACCCAUGCAACCUUACAGAACUUUUUAAAAAAAUGGGCUCACACGCCCAUGUGGCCCACUUGGCCCAAAUUGGCCUUGGCCACGAGAUCCAUAUUUAAGGUAACCCGUGCUAGUUAAUUAUCCAUAUAUGUUUUCACUAUUUACUUAUAUGUUCCUUCAAAGUUGUCUACUUGAGUCACUAUUACUAAAUUAUUUAUAUCCUGAGGUACAGAAUUCUAAAUUAAGAUUUGCUUGAUGUCUUUGAAACUAGACUCAAAUAGCUUUCUACCAUAAAAUUUUCAGAAUUUUUGGUUUAGCCAAUAAGUACAGUAAAAUCUUCAAACUUACCCCUGUUCUGUUGUUUGACAGCUUCGUCCCUUCUUUGCUAAAAAUUAAUUAUCUCUUAGUAAAAAAUUUGGAUGAUGUUUCCAUUUGUUUCUAUUGAAAAUAGACUCAUUGAUAAUUUAAACAUGUAAAUUUUAAUCCCUAAUUAUUUUUCUCCAAUUUUUGAUGAUUUUCCAAAGUCAGAAUAGGGGAACCCGAAUUCAAUCUGACCUUAUCUCACAAAGUUUAUUAUACCUCACAAUUUACAAUUCCAUUACUUAUAUAGUUUCUUCUAUGAAAAACUAGACUCAAUAAGCUUUAAUUCCAUGUUUUUUUCAUCCUCUAAUUUGAUUUCCACAAUUUAUGGUGAUUUUUCAAAGUUAGCCUACUGUUGUGAUUUUUCAAUAAGCUUUAAUCCCUUUUUUUGUGUUUUGAGUACAGACCUGGUUUUAUUUGAUUCUAAAAUAGUCCCGAGCACUCCAAAGCCUAUAAUCAAGAAACUAAACAUCAAUUUAAUGGAUUUAUAAUCGAAUUGACAACCAAGAACGAAUUGAAACCCAACUUAUCACCAACGAUAACCCUCAGUUUAACUAUUGUUCAGACGAGAACACUGAAUUUACUAGUUCAAGCCUCCCCCUAUGCCCAAAUCGCAGAGAAAAAACAUUACAACUUUAGUUGUUAAGAGAUUCAUGAUUGAAACAAAGAGAAACAUUUACCGAAACUAAGCGAUCACUAACCGUGUAUGAAAACGAAGGAAAAUAAAUGGAUUAGGGAAAAUCAAGAAGAAGAAAAAGAAGAGAAAGAUGGAAAAACUCAAAGAAUUUUGGCAAGAGGAGAGAGAGAAGAAUAGACGACAUAAUUUUUUUUGAAAAAAGAGUCAAAAUUCGGUUAUGGGAAAAAAAUAAAUAGAAUCCUGAUAACCCCCAAAAUCAUGUCCCCUAAUUCCCACUACACAUCCACUACUCAGAAUUCUCCUAUUACACAACUCUAUCCCGAAAUUUGAGCAAAAAAAUAAUACCCUUGCCUGCAUAGGGAUUCGAACACAAGACCUCCACCACAAUAACACACCAUUUAACCACUAGACCAACAGGCCCAUUCUGAUGUAAUUUACCCAACAAUCAAAUAAAAUCCUACUAAACAAGAGUAAGACCUAAUUCAUUCAAAAUACCAAAAUUUUCCCAAGCGAAGGCUUGAACUUAGGACCUCCCAAACACUCCCAGGACACAUAACCACUAAAGCUGACAGAUAUUUGUGCAUAUUUUCAUAAUAACGAAAUUAGAAAUUUUGGGGCGUUACAUUAUAAAUAGGCUCUUUUACAACCUUAUAAAAUACACCCAUUAGAGAUUAGAACUCAUAACACAUUUAGAGAAUUUUAUGUUUACGUUUUGAGGGUUCUUUGUUUUCGAGUUUUCGGGGUUUAGUUUUUAUCUCCAUCUUUUGUACUCUUUAUUCUUUUGCCAUUAUAAUAAAAUUAUCUUUUCCCGUGGUUUUUUUAACUUCUUUGGAGGGGUUUUUCCACGUUAAAUUUGUGUGUUCAAUUUCUCAAUUUAUUCUGCUAUUCUUUUUUACUUGUUGCUUAAUCGGGUCGAUCCCAACAAGUGGUAUCAGAGCUAGUUUAAUUUUUAUAGAUUAACACAUUUAGAGAUGUUAGCAACAAGGUUUGAAAUUGAGAAGUUCAAUAGUGAGACAAAUUUCAAUCUGUGGCAAGUUUGGAUGAUAACAAUUCUAGUUCAAACUGGCUUGAAAAAGGUUGUUACUGGGAAAAAGCCUGAGAAUCUAAAUCAAACAGAAUGGGAAGAGCUUGAUGAAAAGGCCUUAUCUGCAAUCCAAUUAUGCCUUACGGAUAUGGUAUUGCAGGAGGUAUUGAUGGAGAAGACCUCAUCCGCCUUGUGGAAAAGGUUAGAAACUCUUUAUGUGACUAAGUCUCUGGCUAACCGUUUAAUGUUGAAACAACAUCUAUUUAUGUUUUGCAUGAACGAAUGUGAGCUUCUUAAAGAUCACAUCAGUCAAUUCAUUACUCUUUUAAAUGAUUUAAAGAACGUUGAGGCUCAUAUUGACGAUGAAGAUCAAACUAUGCUAUUAUUUUGCUCUUUACCCCAUUCAUACAAGUCUUUUAGAGAGACCCUGAUUUAUGGAAGAGACAAAAUCUCGUUAAAAGAUGUGAAGGGUCAUUUUUUGAGAAGAGACAAACUCGACAAUGAGUUUGGUUUGGAUAGCAAGGCAGAUAGGCAAGCUUCCAUUUUGGUAGCAUCAAAGAAACGAGAUAAAAUGUGUCGCUAUUAUAAAAAGUUAGGUCAUGUCAAAGCAGAUUGUUAUAAACUGCGAAAUAAAAGAGCUGUUAAGAGUAACGAGGAAGAUGUAGCUGAUGCUAAUUUGGCCGAUGAAAGUGGUGAUGAUUUCUUGUUAGUGUCAACGAGCGAUAACUCAAAGCUCACGUCUGAGUGGAUCCUAAAUUCGGGAUGUUCUUUCUACAUGUGUCCCAAUAGAGAAUGGCUCUCCACAUACAGUUCGGUUGAAGGUGGAGUUGUGCGCAUGAGAAUGAUUCAUCUAGUAAGGUAAUUGGUAUUGGUACUGUUAAAAUUAGGAUACACGAUGGGACGAUUAGGACACUCUUAGAUGUCAGGUAUAUACCUGAUUUACGAAAGAAUCUCAUCUCAUUGAGUAUUUUAGAAUUAAAAGGAUUCAAAAUCAACAUUGAGUCGAGCGGCAUUAAAGUAUCUCGUGGAGCUCUCGUUUUGUUAUAAGGUAAAAGAAUCGUCAGUCUUUAUAUUCUGGAAGGUUCUAUAGUGACCGGUGAAAUUGAACGUCUCUUGUCCGUUACGGAGUCGAAUUCAACUCGUUUGGAGUGGAGGCAACUUGGUCAUAGGAGGGAAAAAGGUAUGACCGUUUCGUUGAAGAGAGGUUCUUUUUUGGAUGUAGGUUUUGAAAAGUUAGGGCAUUGUGUUCAUGAAAAUCAGACUCGGGUUAAUUUUAAUUCGGUAGUGCACAAGUUGAAGGCUAGAAGUCUUCCAGUUUCUAAGCACAGAUUCAACUCAAUUAAUUCUCUGCAUAGUUCAAGAUAGGCCUGUGGCAGGCUUUGGCAAAGAUGGCAUUGUGAAAAUAUGAGUCAAGGUGGAGAUUUGUUGAGUAUGACUCCUAUUUCAGUCAAAUUUGAGAAAUAAUCUUUCAGUUAAACUCUGUUUAUUUGUUUCAAUCAAACUUUUAUUAGUGAAGAUUAUUUUAUUAUUAUUUGACCUGUGAAUUUAGCUUAUAAAUAGGCUCUUUUACAACUUUAGAAAAUACACCCAUUAGAGAUUAGAACUCAUAACACAUUUAGAGAAUUUUGUGUUUACGUUUUGAGGGUUCUUUGUUUUCGGGUUUUCGGGGUUUAGUUUUUAUCUCCAUAUUUUGUACUCUUCAUUCUUUUUCCAUUAUAAGUGGUCUUUUUAUACUCUUUGGAGGGGUUUUUCCACGUUAAAUUUGUAUGUUCAAUUUCUCAAUUUAUUCCGUUUUUUUUACUUGUUGCUUAAUCAGGUUGAUCCCAACACUAAGGACUUAAUUGGUUCACUUGAAUCCAAUUCAAUCUUCAAAAGUCAAUGAUUGAUUUCCAUAGAUGGACCAUAGUAUUUUCAAUAUGAUAGUACAUUAACAAAUCCAAAGAUAUUUUUCAUUAAACUGUCAAUCCAAAUAACACAAGUAAUUAAACUACCUUAGUGGCAAUGUGUAGUGAGCACUGUCGAGUGCCACUCAGCAUCAAUUGAUUCAUCUUGCCUCAACAACAUGUAUAAUAUACCUAUAAGUAUGAGUUUAGAAAAACUUUUGAAUUGACAAGAAUACCUUUUAUUUUUAACCAUAUUACUAAAUUGAUAUUUAAAAAUAUUUAUAAUUUAAUUUAGAAUUAUUAGUUAUAACUUUAUUUAUUUAUUAAGAAUAAGCUAUGAUAAUUUUAUUCACUCUAAAAUUGAAUCAUAACUUGAAUAAAAGUCUAAGCAUACUCAUUCUAAAUAACUAAUAAAUUAAGGUUAAAAUAUUAAAUUUAAAAAAUCCAAAUCAUUUUUAUUUUUUACAAGUACUUUUUUAUUUCCAUAUUUAUUAAUGAAAUAAAAAUAAAGUUAUAACUUGAAUAGAAGUCUAAGUAUAUAUUAAAAAAAGAUUCUUUUUAUCUUUUAAUUACCACUUAACUAGUCUUAGAGUUUUAUAUCAAUUAAAAUUUAAGUUUAAAUCUAUAAAUAUAAUUUAUUAUUAGCAUAUAAGAAAAAUCAUCAAUUCAAAGAAAGAAAGUGGUUAGCAUUAAUAAGUUCGAAGGUUCUCAAAAAGAAAUAUUCAAACGACAAUGGCACUCGAGAGCACCAGAAAGAUAUGUAAGAUUAUUUUAUCACCUAACUAUCUUGGAUUUUGGGUGUUUCCAUUUUUACAUUAAUCAGCUGGUGACCAAAAAGGACAAUUGAAUAAUUGGCUGGCAAUUUUGUAACUUUCAUAGUUGGAUGAUCUAAAAAGAAAUGUACUAUUAAUUAAGUGAUUACUAGUGUAGUUUGUCCUAUAAUUAAUUGUGCAUGCAAUAUUUAAACAUAAGAUGAUGUUCUAUGGAUAAUUGUAUUAAUAGUUUGUGAGAAUUGAAUCAAAUCAAAAUUUCAUGUAUAAAAUUGCAUAAAAUCAAAGUUCUUGAGUAAAAUUGCACAUUAAACCAAAAUUCAUUUGUAGUUUUGAAAUUUAUCACAUAUAAUAAUUCUUACUUUGUCAAAAGAACAUAAAUAUAUAGGGUAAACUACAUAGAUAAUCACUCAACUAUAAAAAAUUCUCAUUUUAGGCACCCAAAUUAAAAAAAGUUUACAAUUUAAGCACUCAUGUUACAUGGUUCGUUCAUUUUGGUCACUCCCAUUAAAAGCUCAAACAAAAAUCUGACAUGACAUUUUUUUGGCACAUGGAUCAAUCCUUGGGUGCCACAUGGCACAAUUUACCACUGCAUACCACUUUAAACUUGAAAGGAGUAAAAUAUAAGUUACCCCAUACUAAUUAUUAACCAAAUGAAUAAAUUAGUAUUGGGUAAAUUAUAUUUUAGUCCUUUCAAGUUUAAAGUGGUAUGCAAUGGUAAAUUGUGCCAUGUAGGCAUCCAAUGAUUGAUCCGCGUGUCAAAAGAAAUUGUCAUAUCGGAUUUUUGUUAGACUGUUAACGAGAUUGAUCAAAAUGAAUAAAUUAUUUAACAUGAAUGAUUAAAUUGCAAACAUUUUUAUUUUUGGUGUUUAAAAUGAAAAUUUUUUAAUAUUUGGGUGACUAUCUAUCUAGAUUACCCGAAUAUAUAUCCCAUAUAAAUGAUAACGUAUCAAAGUACAACAAAUUACAAAAAAAAAUAAAGUACAAGAAAUAAUGGGAUUUGGGAAACUCCCAUUUAUACAAACAACUAUAUGCGGUGAAGAAAAGGAACAUACAAUACUCAAAAUCAAGAGACAAAGACAAUUAAAACCACAUUCAAACAAAUCCAGUAUGCAGCAGAUAAACCAAAGGGGGUAUUUCAAUAAACCAAAGGGUAUUUCAAGGAGUAGAAGGAGAAGGUGGUGGAGAAAGGAAAGGAAUAGAGGGGAUUGCAGUUGGGAUUGAGGGCAUGCUUGGCAGAGGAGGCAGUGUGGCCCUUGGUACACUUGGCAAUGUGGGCAACCCUGGCAUGAUAGGAAGUGGAGGAAGCGCCCCAGGCCUUGGCAAUGCUGGUAUGGAUGGCUGUGGGAGAUUAGGGAUAGAUGGAAGUGGGGGGAGUGUGGUUGUAGGCAAAGUUGGCAUUGGAGGCAAUUGAGGCAGCUGCAGAAGGUGACGAGCUGCUACCCCAACAUCAGUGCUUGCAAAUGACAAAGCCAUCACGAAUGCUAAAGCAAAGCAAUUGAAAGAUGCCAUUUUUCUAGAGAUGUGAGUCCAAUUAAGCAGACGAAAGAAAGCUCUUGUUUUGAUAGUUGUGGAGUGAGGGAGAGAAAGCAUGUUGUUGGGGGUUUAUAUAGGUCUUGGAUCAGUGGAGUUGGUAAUGUUUGAUCAUGUAUGGUUGGAAUGGAGAAAACAUAGUCGAUAUUAAAGGAUUUGGUAGGUCAACUUCCCAUGGGUAUUGUAGUUUAAAACAGGUGAAAUGCUGUUGUGGUUGGCAUAGAAGCUUCAUCCAGCCACUUAAUUAAACAGUAUACUUAAACAAUCCUCCAGGUUAGCAAAGUUUUCGCUAGUUGUCCAGAUAUCUAACAGAAUUAGGAUUUGUUUACUUAACAUGUUAGUUAUGAUAGUAUUUCCAAGGUUGAUUGUAUAAAUAAAUUUUCUAUGGUUGAGCAUAAAAUUGUUGUGAGUUAACCUACAGCUUCGUAUAGACUUAUUAAUUUUGACUUUAACUUGGAAUGAUUCAAACAAGUACUUUGAAAUGACAAACAAAUAACUCGAAAUGACCUAAAUUUGAAGUGACCAAAAUCUGAAAUAAUCGAAACCUAUAAUGACUCGGCCCAAAAAACUCGAGCCUCAAACCCAAAUUAAAUUGAAUCAAAAUUAUAAUUUCAUGUAUAUAACUGUAGAAAAUUAAAGUUUAUGUGUCAUAUUGUACAUUAAAUCAACGUUUACGUUUGACAUUACAUAUUGAGGUAAUGUUCAUUCAUAAUUUUGUGAUUUAUUCCCUUAAUUAAAGUAAUAUGUCAAAUAGUAUACCUCCUGUUGGUGAAGUUUAUGUACAUUGUAAGCGAAUUAAAUAAUUAGAAUAAAUCUAAAGUAGGGCUUGGGCCUCCAAGAUUUCACGGUCUCAAUUUAUGUCUUAAAAUUUCAUAUUAUUGUCCUUAAAGAUAUUUACGAAUUUACGUAUUUCUUAGGAUUUAACUUAUAUCACGCGCAAUGAGAAAAUUGCAAAAAUUUACUCAUUUGAAUGGAAUUGAGCUAUUAGGCUCAUGCCUCAUACAGGCAUAUCCAUCCUCUUAUUUUGAGUCUUACAAGUUUAUAGCAAACCAAAUCUAUAUAAACAUCAUUUAACAGAUGUAUUUAAAAGAUGUGAAAUAUGUAUAAUUCUUUAAAAUACACGAAAACUUCUAAUAGGGUUUAGGUUAUUUUUCGAUUUGUCUAUUUUAGGUUCAAAUCAUUCGAAUUUGAAGCUAAAAUUUUAAUAUCUAAUCAUUAUUGAUUCGAAUCAUUUUAAAUUUUGGUCAUUUUAAAUUCGAAUUGUUUUGUGAUCAAAUCAUUUCAAGUUUGGAUUGAUUCAGGUGAAUUCGAAUUUGGAUUUAUUAUUAUUAUUAUAAAUUGAGUUUGAGUCAUUGCAUUGCUUAAGUAAAAAUUUAAAGAUUUGCCUCUGUGGUUUGCAUUGAGCUGCUUACGAGGGAGAAGUUGGAAGUUAGACUUACCCAUUGAGGUGGUAGCGGUCUUGCCUUGGAAUAACGCCAUGUACAAGUUUGAAAAAAUACAUUUAUUAACAGAAUUUUAUUUUAUAACAUUCUCGGAUCCUGAAACACUUGUUUAAAGGUGAUAGUACGACGACGUUGAUUUCUUUUAUCACCACAAGUCUAAUUAUAUAUAUUGGAUUUAAUUUUUUAGUCCCAACCCCAUAAAUAAAAUAUACAUGUAACGUCUUAUAAAAAUUGUCAAUAAAUUAUACCUAGUGACGAAGUUAUUCAAAUCUAAUUUCAUUGCUAAUACCUAGUUUUUUUUUUCUACUGUCUUCAACUUUCAAUAUAAAUGGAUUGAAAAUUUAAGAAAUUUAUGUUAUUUGACAUAUCUUUUCUUAAAAAAUUGGUGUUUAGUAUAAGAUAAUUAGUAUCGUAUCAGUGGAUGUUUGAUUUUUAUUUUUACUAGAAUUGAUACAUAUCUUUUUGAAUUUAUCAAUAUUUUUUAAAAUUAUUUAAGAUAUGUAUAUAAAUAUAUUACAAAUAUAAAACGAAUGAAACCAAAUACAUUUCAAAUUAACAUAUUUAUCAAUAAACUCAACAAAUAAAAAUUUAUCAUUCAAAUAAAUCCAAAAGUAAUAAUAAAAAUCCAUCAUUCAAUAUGAAGUUUUAAGGAUUUAGCUCGUUUCCUUAGUAAGGUGAAUGGUUUUUUCAUAAUUAUAUUUUAGUCUUUAUAUUUUGAAUGUGAAAGUAUGUCCCAUUUUUUUUAAAACUUUACAUUCUUGAUGUCCACGAAACUAACUAAAAAUCUGACUAAGACAAGUGCAUCUAUCAAUUAAUAGUAUAGCUAUGGUGAGCACAAAUAUCGUUACCACAAAGAUUAAAAGUACUAGUAAUUAUUGUCUUUCUAUUAUUUAACUGAAUAAAUCGAGUGAUGGAUUAAAAACAAAAAUUAACUAACGAACAUGACAAAGAAAAAAUAGAAAGAUAAUCGAUUAACAACCAAGAAGUAAAACAAUACCUGGGAAAUAAUUCACCUAGAUUUCAUCUGUCACUAUCAAUCUAAAUUACAUAAUUUCUUUACUUGGUAUCUUGAUACGCAGAAAUCCCUGAAUUAUGCUAAUAUCUCUUUCGAGAGUAAGAGCAACUGACUCUAGGUUGAUUAAUUGAAAUUUCUUUCUAAUUAAAACCCCUAUUAUCGCAUUAACUCGAUCUAUGGAUUCCUCAAUUAAAUUUGACUCUAAUCUUGUAGAUUUAUGUUGUCCUAUUUCUAGGAUUGCAUGCAACUCCACUCAAUUAUACAAGAUCUACUCUUAAACUGGGUCUAUCCUCCUUUGAUUUAAGCACAUCAAACGUGAAUCAAUAAUCUAGAAAUAUUAAACCAAGAAUUAAGCAUACAUAAUUGAGAACAAGAUCUAAGUAUUUAUUGCAUAAAAUAAAAAUCAAACGAUAAAAUUCAUCAUAAGGUUCAUCUCCUUUAGGUAUUUAGAAAUUUAGUUCAUGAUUGAAAGUAAAAAUAUCAAAAAUAUAGUAUAAUCGAAAGAAACAAAGAAACUCAUGAUAAUUUCCUAAGAAAUCAAAUGUGAAUCUUCAAUCUUGACGGGAAUCUGCUUUAGAAUCUGCUUAAAUGAUUUUUUUGAGUUGUUUUCUUGAAUAUUCUAUGACAGCUCUCUCUUAUCUUCUUAUUUUUUUCCAUAUAUACGUCUUAGAAUGCAUGAAAAACCUAAAAAUUGCAUUUUCCCGCAGUUCAGAGUGCUAAUUCACGAAAUCGGCAUGGCCUGCCACAUGGCCGUGUGUAAGGGGCCAGCUCGUGUGACCCUUGUACCUUGCUUCGAUUUUUUGGUUUUUGUUCGUUUUUCACUUGUUUUGCUCCUAAAUGCUCUCCUGAGUAUAAAAAACAUGAAUUUAAAGGAUUAGGAGCAUAAAAUUAAUCAUUAACAUCGAAUAAUCACCCAAAAACACAUUGAGGCUGAGAUUAAAACAUGUUCCUUUUGGCACUUAUCUAAUAUCCCUACAAUUAAGCAUUUGCUUGUCCUCAAGCAAAAUCCUCAACUCACAUUCAAGUUAAUUUCCCUCAAUUUAUUGUUUUCACUGAUAAUGUCUUAAGAUAAUUUACAAAUAAUCAUGCAUUAGAAAUUCACUCUAAAGUGACACUAAACAGUACAAACAAUCCAAGCAGAGAAUUUUUAAGGCUUAAAAACAUUAGGCAUCUCCCCUAUCUCAAUAAUUACCUGAAAUUCAAACUCAACAAGAAUUAUCAUCCUUACUAAGGAUUCACUCAAAGCACUCAAAGUGUUUUAAGGUUCAAGUAAUAUGCACUCAAUAGUUGAACAAGAAAUGUCAUUACUAUAGGCUUUCUUGAAAAUCAAAUCUCCACCACUAUAUAAAUGAGAUGACACACCAAUCAAGAGGUCUUAAUAAGGUUGUAAUGAGGCUUAGAUUAAGGGUAUUGAAUAGGUUAGAAGAGUUGGUUUUAAUAGAGAAUCAAAUGGAUAAGUUACCAAACUAGAAAAAAAUCAGUUGUUGAAUUAAAAGAAUUUACAUAAACAAGAAAUAAAUAACGAAAAUGAGCUUUUCAAUAGAAUAUGAAACUAACGAUUCAAGCUCAAUCAAAUUUUUUAAUUUUUAGAUUUUUUCACUUUUUUUUUUCAAACAGAAUACAAUUCAACAAUACAAAUUAUAGAACAUAGUUAGACAACUAAGCAAAUCAGGUCUCGAAAAAAGUGGUCAAUAAAAAGGAUAAUUUUACAACAUAGAUAUAGGUUAUGUGUUAACAUUAAAGGGUGAUAGAAAAAAUGUAUUAGGAUCAACGAGAUUUACUAGGGGUUAAUUCAACGGGUAAGCUAUUUAAAGGUUAAAUGGGUUAAAUCUUAAAUGCCUCUAUCAUCUCAAUAUAUCAAAUCAUUAAUGUGGUCUCGACAUAUAUAAACGAAGCAAGUUCUAGAAUAACAAAUCAAGUUGACAUACUCACAAUAGAACCAACAGGAAAAAAAUAUAUGUUAUAUAGGAUCAAAAGCUCACAAAAAAUUAUGGUUUUGAUGUCAAACUUGCAAAUUUAAAAUUUCAAAAUAAUUCUUUAGUUCAGGGAGACAACCUAAAAUAAUAAUUUUUGAAAAACAACUUAUCAUGCUUGACUCUCUCGUGUCUUAAAAUAUUAAUCACACAAUGCACAAAUAUCCACAAAUUAUUCCCAAAAUAGAAUCACUAAAAACUCUAAAUUAAAAAAAUAACUUUAAUGAUAGGUUGAGAAAAUCACUUAAACACGAACAAUAAUUCAUGGAGACACCUAAAAUAAUAAUUCUGAAAAACAACUUAUCAUGCUUGACUCUCUCGUGUCUUAAAAAUAUUAAUUACACAAUGCACAAACAUCCACAAAUUAUUCACAAAACAGAAUCACUUAAAACUCUAAAUUAAAAAAAAAAUAACUUCAAUGAUAGGUGUGAGAAAAUUACUUAAACACACAAACAAUAAUUCAGAGAUUUCAUCACAUAGGCAUACAAACAUCCACCCCACACUUAAGAUGUACAUUAUUCUCAAUGUACAAACAAAUAUAAACAAAAUACGAAAAAUAUCAUAGGGGAGGAAGAGAACUAAAACUGCCUUGAAUUUAGAUGAAUUCGUUGGAAUAGUGAAAACCAGAAUCAUAGGCAAUUCUAAAUGAAGUACAUGUUUCCGAGCAAACUAAUAAAAAAUAGAAAAAAAAGAAGAUAAAGAGAUACAAAAUAGAAAAACAACUGAUAAAAUAAUAACACUAAUGUUUAAAAUAAAAAUAAAAAUAAAAUUAAACAAAUAAGUUGAAGAAUAAAAUAAAAACGAAUAACAAGAAAAAUAAAAAUAAAAAAACAUAAAGCUAAAUAAAAUCUAAAUAUUUCAAAAGAAAAUAACAAAAAAUUCUAAUACUAGUUUAAUAACAAAGUUAGCAGAAUAAAAAUGAAAAUAAUAAUAAAUAGGAUGGUUGGUUUGGAGGGUACCAACGGUGGUGUUGGGGGAAGGAAAAAAAAUGAAAACCCACUGGCAUUAAAAAAGGGUACAUGGCCAUGUGAUAGACCAUGUGAGCCACACGGCCGUGUGGUCAGACCAUAUAUUUCUUUGAAGCUAUGUGGCCUAUUAGAAAAUUUUAAAAAUUUGCUCCAAUGUUCACACGACCUGUGACACGCCAGUGUCUCCAGGCCAUAUGUUGUUACCGUUCGCUUCUCCCACGCCCGUGUACAUGGGUGUGUGGGGCACACGGCCGUAUCUUUAGGCCAUGUGCCUUCGACUCAGACCGUGUGGUCAAAAAAAUAAUUUUGAAAAAUUAGCUACAGUGUUCACACGGCAUGUGACACGCUUAUGUGUCUAGGCUGUGUGUCCUACACGGUCGUGUGGUCUACCCCAGACCAUGUGGACCAAUUUUUUUUCCAAUUUUUUAAAUAUUUUUUUCAAAUUAUUUUUUAAUUUUUUAGGUAAUAAUAAAAAAUAAGUGUACUAAUCACUCAACAUAAUUAAAAUAAAAUAUAAAAAACCACACUCAGGUUGUCUCCCGAGGAUCACAUAUUUAAAGUCUAAGUUCGACUUCCCUUUUCAAGAUAACGGUUAAAGCGGAUCUUGGAGCUGGAGCUCCUUUCUCUCGUUAUCAAUAUCACCACCAAAAUAAAGUUUGAGUUGAUUACCAUUUACCUUAAAUGUGUUGUAUUCAGGACAUGUUACCUCAAUGGUUCCGUAUGAUAAUACGUUCAGUACCACAAUUGGGUUCGACCCUCUUGACUUAAGCUCUGCAAGGAUCAUUCGUGGAUCUGACUUAUCUACCAGCACUUUGUCUUCAACUUUGAAUUGAUUUAUCCUCUUUACAUGCGCGCCAUGGAGUUGUUUUGUUACUUCUUUGAACGUUCUCGAUUUCUCAUAAGGCUUUGGUCGCCAUUCAUCUAAUUCAUCAAGUUGCACCAUUCAUUUUCCACUCGUCCCUUGAUUUUUAUCACCUUGAAUAGGAUACGAUUCUAACACGUAUUCGUGAUUGAUUUCCUGCAAAGAUUGUUGAGUUGCACGAUUACUAACAUUAUUAGAAUAAUGAGUAUCAUCUCACUCAUUAGAAACUCUCACAAUUUCAUGUGUUGGAAGAGUAAACCCUCAUAAUGGUCACUAACUAUAAUUACGACAAAGACAAGUGCACCUAUCAAACAAUAGUAUAGCUAUGGUGAGUAUAGAGUAUAGUAUCCACGAGGACUAAAAGUACUAGUAAUAACUCUUUUUCUAUUAUUUAGCCAAUAAAUUAGGGUGAUUGCUUUUAAUCUAAAUUUACUAAUCUAAAUUAACUAAGAACACAACAGAAAAUGAAAUAGGAAAUAAUCGAAUAAUACCAAAGAGAAAGACAAUACCCAGGAAAGAAUCCACUUAGACUUCACUUAUUAUUCUGAAUAUGAAUUAAAUGAUUUAUUCACUUGUGUCUUGAUCCAUAGAAAUCCUUAAAUUAUAUUAAUAUCUCUUUCGAGAGUAAGAAUAAUUAACACUAGGUUGAUUAAUUGAAAUCUCUUUCUAAUUAAAACCCCUAUUGUCGCAUUAACUCGAUCUAUGGAUUCCCCUAUUAGAUUUGACUCGAAUCCGGUAGAUUUAUGUCAUCCUAUUUCUAGGAUUGUAUGCAAAUCCACUCAAUUAUGUUAGAUCUACUCUUAAAUAGGGACUUUUGCUCCACUAAAAUAAUCACAUUAAACAUGAAUUAAUAUCCCAAAAAUAUUAAAACAUUAAAUAAGCAUAUAUAAUUGAGAACAAGAAUCAAGUAUUUAUCAUGUAAUUCAGAAAUCAAAUAAUAAGAUUCAUCAUAGGUUUCAUCUUCCGUAGGUAUCUAGGGAAUUUAGUUCAUAAUCUGAAAUGAAAACAUCUCAAAGUCAGAAAAACCACAAGACAUAAAGAAAUUCACUAAAACUUCAAAAGAAGUUAAAAGGAGAUCUUCAAUCUUGAAGGAAAUCCGCUUCUGCGUUGGCUUCGAUGGCGUUCUUUGAGUAAUUUCUUCAAUCUUCUCUGAGUGCUCCGUUAGGUCUUCUUCUAAUUGUUAUUUAUAUAUGUAAAAAAAUAGAACGUCGGUAAUGAUAAUCUAUUGUAAAGAAAAAGAGAGAAAAAUAAAGAACACACAGAUUUUACUUGGAAACCCUUUCGAGAACAAAACCACGGGCAGAGAAGAAUAUAAUUCACUAUGUCAAAUUUGAAUAAUUAUAAGAGAAGUAGACUAUGUCUAUUUAUAGACUUGUAAAACCAUAUUCUAAUAAAAGUGUAGUAAGAUUGAAACACCUUAUUCUAAUAAAUAUCAAAUAGAUGGAGCUUAAUAAGGUUUGAAAAACCUUAUUCUAAAAUAAAAUAAAAGAAGUGUAGUUCUAUAUAGAUUUUACUUUUAUUUUAUUUUACCAAUGUAUUUUAUUUAAAUAAGGAUUCGGGUCACUUAAUUCUAACAAUCUCCACAUUGACACGAAUUAUCAAUGAACAAGUUCUUCAUCGUGAACUCUCAAUGAACAAGUUCUCCAUCUCUUCCAUAAAACCCUUUAAGGGUUUAACUUCAACAAUGAACACCAACCAAGUCUAAGCAAUGUUCAAACUUGGUUAUAAGAAGUGACUUAGCAUCAUAUCUGUAGGAUUUUCAUGAGUACUAAUUUUGCUCAUAACAAUAUCACCACGAGAAAUAAUAUCACGAACAAAAUGAUACCAAACAUCAACGUGUUUUGUUCUCUCAUGAAACAUUUGAUCUUUUGUAAGGAAGAUGGCACUCUGUCUUUCACAAAAUACUAUACUGAUUUGAAGGUCUUCAUUGAGUUCACUAAAGAGUCCCUUCAACCAAAUGGCUUCUUUACAAGCCUCAGUAAUCGCCAUGUACUCAGCUUCAGUGGUAGACAAAACAACUGUAGUUUGCAAAGUGGCUUUCCAAUUGAUUGCACAACCUCCGAUUGUAAAGAUAUAACCUGUGAGAGAUCUUCUUCUAUCAUGGUCUAUAGCAAAAUUAGCAUCAACAUACUCAAUGACUCCAUCUCUAGUUCUUCCAAACUGUAAGCAAACAUCAAUAGUACCUCAUUAGUAUCUUAAAAUCCAGUGAACUGCUUUCCACUGUUCUUUAUUGGGAUUCGCCAUGUAUCUGCUAACUGCACUGACUGCAUAUGAUAAAUUUGGACGUGAACAAACCAUAGCAUACAUGAGAGAUCCUACUGCACUAGAGUAUGGAACAUGUAACAUGUACUCAAUCUCAUCAUCUGAUUGUGGAGACAAAGCUGAUGAAAGUUUGAAAUAGGCUGCUAAAGGAGUACUAACAAGCUUAACAUUCUGCAUAUUGAAAUUGCAAAGAACUUUCUCAAUGUACCCCUUCUGAUUUAGGUAGAAUUUACUAGCUUUUCUAUCUCUGAGAAUCUCCAUACAAAUUAUCUUCUUUGCUGGUCACAAAUCUUUCAUCUCAAUUUCUUCACUUAGUUGUGCUUUGACCCUUCUUAUCUCCUAUUUAUCUUUCAUUGCUAUCAACAUGUCAUCAACAUAAAGGAGUAGAUACACAAAAGAACCAUCACUAUUUUUCUUAAAGUAAACACAACUGUCAAAGCUACUUCUUUUUAAAUCAUGAGAAUUCAUAAAGGAAUCAGACCUCUUGUACCAUUGUCUUGGUGACUGUUUCAAACCGUAAAAGGGACUUUUUCAGCAAGCAAACAUAGUCCUCUUUUUUUGAGACUGUAAAACCCUCUGGUUGUUGCAUGUAAAUAUCCUCCUCAAGUUCUCCAUGCAAAAAUACAGUUUUUACAUCUAACUGCUCAAGCUCCAAAUCAUGCAUGGCCACAAUACCAAGCAAAACUCAAAUCGAACUAUGCUUCACAACUGGGGAGAACACAUCUGUGAAAUCCACUCCUGGAAUUUGACUAUAACCCUUUUCAACAAGCCUUACUUUAUAUCUGGGUUCUUCAACUCCUGGAGUCCCUUCUUUCUUUUUUAAAACCCAUUUAUAACGAACAACAUUUUUACCUUUAGGAAGUUUCACAAGAUCCCAUGUUUUGUUUUUGUGGAGUGAUUCCAUCUCUUCUUACGUAGCAAACAUUCACUUUUCUGAGUCUUCAUAGCUAACUGCAUCAGAAUAAUUAGAUGGCUCUUGGUUUGCAUCUAUAUCUUCAGCCACAUUUAAAGCAUAAACAACUAGAUCAACCUCGACAUAGUUCUUUGGAGGUUUAAUUUCUCUUCUAAAUCUAUUUUUGGAGAAAGAGUAUUGUGGUAAAGAUGCAACUCUAUUUUGAAUUUUUGUACUGGCUUAAGUAGUCGACUCUAUUGUAGAUUCUGGAUUAAUUUGAUGUUCCACUUGCUUUUGAUUUUCUUUAUUGGAAGAGUCUUUAAGAGAUAAGUUAGGUAGCAUAGCAGUUUCAUAAAAAAACAUCUCUGCUAAUCACAACUUUUCUAUUUUCAGGACACCAUAACUUAUACCCUUUUACACCAGCUUUAUAACCAAGAAAAACACAUUUAAUGGAUCUCGGUUCAAAUUUUCCAUUAUCAACAUGAGCAUACGCAGGACACCAAACCAUACUUUUUGUGAAGUCUUUUUCUCAAUGACAAUGGAUUGAGAUCGAUUGAUAAAAAAACAUACAGUAGAGGCUGCUUCGGCCCAAAACGACUUUGGUGAGUUGGCAUUUGACAACAUAUAUUGAACUUGUUCCAUGAUCGUUUUGUUCAUUCGUUCUGCAACACCGUUUUGCUGUGGAGUAUGAUGAACUGUCAAGUGUCUCACGAUCCCUUCUAACUUGCACAGUUUAUUAAACUCAUCAGAAUAGAACUCUAAGCCAUUGUCUGUGCGAAGGUAUUUUAUUUGUUUUCCCGUCUAUUUUUCAAUCAUAGUUUUCCAAGACUUAAAUGCGGAAAACAUAUCACUUUUCUUCUUCAGGAAGAACGCUCAAACUUUUCUGGAAAAAUCAUAAAGAAAAGUUAGCAUUUAAUUAGCUCCACCUCUCGAAGGCACUCUAGAUGCCCCCACAUAUCAAAAUGAAUAUACUCCAAUGUUCCCUUCGUGUUAUGGAUUCCUUUGGUGAAUCGAACUCUCUUUUGCUUCCAAAAAAUGCAGUGCUCUUAGAACUUCAGUUUUCAAAUUCCUUGCCCAUCAAGAAGUCUUAUUUUGCUCAAUUUUUCCAUCCCAUUCUCACUCAUAUGCCCUAGGCUCAUAUGCCAAAGUUUAGUAAUAUCAUCAUCUGACAAGGAAAAGGAAGCGACAGUUGCAUCACCAGUAACAGUAAAACCCUACAGAACGUAUAACUUCGCGGUCUUUCUCUGCCCUUUCAUCACAAUGAUGGAACUUUUGAAAAUCUUCAAAACCCCACUUUCAGCUGUGUAUUUGUACCAUUUUGAAUCAAGAGUACUCAAAAAAAUUAAAUUUGUCUUCAAUUCUGGAACAUGUCGUACGUUACUAAGUGUUUUGACAACACCAUCAAACAUCUUAACUUUAAUUGUUCCAACUCCUGCAAUUCUACAUGAAGCAUUAUUUCCCAUCAAAACAACACCUUCAGACACUAUUUUGUAAGUUGUAAAUCAAUCCUGAUUGGGACUCAUGUGGAAAGUGUAGCCCGAAUCAAGGAUCCACUCCUCGCUCACUUUAGAAUUGUUUACAGAAGCGACUAAAAGUUCACCACCGCUGUAGUCUUCUACAACAUCAGCUUUACUGAAAUUUUCUGGUUAUUUUCCAUUUUGAUUCACAGCCUCCCUUUUGAUCUUGUUCUGUAGCUUAUAGCACUCAAAUUUAAUGUGUCCUUUCCUCUUGUAGGAGUUACAAGUUUUACCUCUGUUUGAAGACUUUGAUCUACCCUUAGAUUUACCGUGAGGAUUUCCCUAUGUCCUUCCACGAUCAUUAUUAACAUUCUAAUCUUGUUUUCCACGAACAAUGAGACCCUUUCUUUGAGAGUUGAUUUAACUAAAAGAUGCUUCAUCUUAUCAUUCAAGGUUAAAGAAUCAUAAACCUCAUCAUCUGUGAGAGACUCGCGGCUAUAUAAAAUCGUACCUCUAAAGGUUGAAUAAGACGGGGGCAACGAACAAAGUAGAAUCAACCCUAGAUCUUCCUUAUCAUAUUGAACCUCCAUGGCCUCCAAGUUUGAGAGAAUUUCUUUAAACACUGUUAAGUGUUCGUGCACAGACGCACCUUCCUCUAAACGAUGAGCAUAAAGAUGCUGCUUCAUAUGCAGCUUGCUAGUUAGAGUUUUCGACAUAUAUAUUUUUUCCAACCUCUUCCAUAAUCCAGCGACAGUCUUCUCCUUCAUCACAUCCUGUAAAAUUUCGUUAGAUAAAUGUAGAUGUAACUGUGUUAAUGCCUUUUGAUUCUUGCGCUUCUUCUCUUUCUCCGUCAAUGUUGAAGGCAUUUUAUUUACCCCUAGCAGGGCUUCCUCUAAGUCCAUAUGUGCAAGAACUGUCUGUAUCUUUAUCUGCCACAAUGUGAAUCUGGUGUUGCGAUCCAAUAGUGGAAUUUCAUACUUCAAAGAUGUCAUUACCGUGAUUGAGAUGAACAACCCAAAAGCUCUGAUACCAAUUUGUAAAAAAAUAGAAUUUAAGUAAUAACAAUUUAUUGCAAAGAAAAAGAGAGAAAAAUAAAGAACACACAGACUUUACGUGGAAAUCCUUUGGGGGAAAAAAAACCACGAGCAGAGGAGAAGAUAAUUCACUAUGUCAAAUUCGAAUAAUUACAAGAGGAGUAGACUAUGUCUAUUUAUAGGCUUGUAAAACCAUAUUCUAAUAGAAGUUUAGUAAGAUUAAAACACCUUAUUCUAAUCAAUAUCAAAUAGAUGAAGCUUAAUAAGGUUUACAAAACCUUAUUCUAAAAUAAAAUAAAAGAAUAGUUCUAUAUGGAUUUUAAUUUUAUUUUAUUUUACCAAUGUAUUUUAUUUAAAUAAGGAUUCGAGUCACUUAAUUCUAACAAUAGACUUUAAAAUGCUCAAGAAGCCUAAAAAUUGAGUUUUUCCGCGUGUUUAGGAAACAGGGUGCGAAAUCAACAUGAGUUGGCACAUGGGCGUGUGGCCAGCCCGUGUGACUCAGACGAGCGUGUGGCCAAUCCAUGUGGAAAUGCUCAGGCUGUGUGGAUGCUGAAAAUAACUCUUUUUGCUCAAUUUUGGCUUCUAUUUUGCUCAUUUAGCUCCCCUAUGCUUUCUUAAGUAUAAAAACAUGAAUUUGAAGGAUUAGGAGCAUCAAAUUCACUAAUUUACAUAAUUAAUCAUCCAAAAAUGCAUUAAGAAUGGGAUUGAAAUAUGUUACUUUUACAGCUUAUCAAAUGUCCCCUCACUUAAGCGUUUGCUUGUCCUCAAGCAAAAUCCUCAACUCACAAUUAAAAAUUAAUCUUUCUCAACUUAUAAUUCUCAUCAAUAAUGUUUGGUCAUAAUUCACAAAUAAUUAUACAUUGAUAAUUCAACUAAAAGAGCACUAAAGAUUCAAACAAUCCAAGUCGAGCAUUUUUAAAGCAUGAAAACAUAAAUAUUUCCCCUUAUCUAAGUAAUUACCUUUAAUUCAAAAUCGACAAGAAUCGACAUCCUCACUAAAGAUUCACUCAAACCACUCAAAGUGUUUAAGGUUAAAAAAUAAGCACUCAAUAGUCAAACAUGAAAAGUCAUUACCAUAGGCUUGCAUGAAAAUCAAAUCUCCACCACUAUAAAAUGAGUUGAUACACAAUCAAAAGGUCUAUAAGAGAUUGUAAUGGGGCUUAGGUUAAAGGUGUGGAAAAAGACUAAAAAAGAUGGUUAGAAUCGAGAUCGAAUUGAUAAAUUACCAAACUAGAAAAAUAAACAAAUGUUGAAUUAAAAAUAAUUACAUCAAUCGAAAACUAUUCAAGAAUUACUCGAGCUUAUUCUCAAAAAAUGAAUUUAACUAUUUAAGCUCAAUUAACAUAGAACUAAGUGAUAAUUAAUAUAUAUGUAUUUUUAUUUUAUUUUUUAAAUUUUCUUCUUUUUUUAGAAUAAUAAGAAAUAAUUUAGCAACUUAAACAAAAAGCUUAAUAAAAAAAUUAACCAAAUCAAAUCUCGAUAACAAUGGAGUCAAUAAAAUAGGAAAAAUUCUCAAUGAAGAAAAAAUGAGUUAUGGGUUAACAUUAAUGGGUAAAUCAAGAAACGGUGUGUUAAGCUCAAAGGAGUUCACUAAGGGUUAAUUAUGUAGGUAGGCUUUUUAUGGGAUAAGUGGGUUAAAACCUAAGUGCCUUGAUCAUAUCAGUAUAUCAAAUCAAAGGUGUGGUCUCGACAUGCAUAAUUGAAGCAAGUUCUAGAAUAAAAAAUCAAUAUUGACACACUCAGAACCAAUAAUAAAAAUGAGCAAGAAAAAUGUAUGCUCUAAAGGCUUAAAAUCUCACAAAAAAUUAUAGUUUUUGAUGUCAAUCUUGCAAAUCUCAAAUUUCAAGGUAAUACCUCAAUUGAGGGAAACAACCUAAAAUUUUUUAAUUUUGAAAAUAGACUUAUCAUGCUUGAUCCUCUCAUAUCUUAAAGUUUAAAACAACCAAUGCACAAUUAUCUAUGAAUUUAAUCUAAAACACAUCAAUAAAAAUCACAAAUCGAUAAAAAAUCAUUCUAAUAGUAGUAUGAGAAAAUUACUUAAACACAAGACAUAAUUUAGAGAUUUUCUAUUAAUUAUAUAAAUAACCUCCCCACACUUAAGAUGUACAUUGUCCUCAAUGUACAAACAUAGAUAAUCACAUUAUAAACAGAAUAUCAUAAGAGAGGAAGAAAACUGAAACUGCCCUGAAUACUGGAUGAAAUCUCUAGAAUAGUGAAAAGUGAUGUUGUAGUCAAAUCUAAAUGUAGAGCACGAUUUCGAACAAACUAAUAGGAAAAUAAACAAAAAUUGUGAAGAAGAUUAAGGGAUUAAAACUCAAUUAGAAAUGACCAUAAAAAUAAAAAAUAUAGUUCAAUAUAUAAGAACGAAAUAAGUCUAAGAAAAUAACAAUAAACAUAAACAUAAAAAUAAAAAUAAAAUAAAACAAAUGGACUCAAUGGUCCUCAUCAUCAGAUGCGUCGGUGUCGUGAGUCGUCGGCGCUGAGGAGGAGAUAUAGAGAUGCUGACAGGUUUGCUGCAAUGUCGCAUCAAUACUGUCGAACCUCUGAAAGCAAUGCUACUUGAAACAAGUGAAUUGCUCGGAGAGGUCUGCUAAAGUAGCAGUAGAAGAAACAGGAAGGUGACUCGAAGGUAGAGGAUGAGGUGGAUCCUCGUGAUGGAAGGGGACAUCAUCAGUGAAGUCCUUGGGUUCAUUCUAAGAGUGAGAAUGAACGAAUUGGUACUGAGCAAGAUCUACUCCACGACGGCGCUCAAUCAUCCUCAUAUGGAUCAUGCUCGAGCUUCUUGUGGGGACAUCUGGUCACGAGUGUAAGUGUAGGGGACUACUUUGGUGUGUCGAGGAGAUCGAAGUGUCGAGCAAGUCGAGUCACAUAAAGGCCUAAACAGAUGUGACCCUUCUUGUGGCAGUCUGUCUGAUGGUGGAAGGCUAAGGCGAUGAAGUAUGCCAAAUCAAAUAUAUCCUCGGUGGCCAUGCUCCAUAGAAAAUAAACAUCAGUGGUAUUGACGACUCUAGUGCUCUCUCUCAUACCGGUCAAACUGUGAGCUAAAAGGGCAUGAAGAUACCGUAAGGUCAGAGAGAGUGAAGUCGCGUUCGAGUUACUCGCAUCAUAAAGUGUCCUACUCACCUUAAGCUCUGGCCAACAAUGAGAUGGCGAGUAAUGGAUGUGCUGGUGUAGGUGCAGGAAGUUCUCGGCACUCAUAAACACCUCAACGUAGAGUCCUAUAGCAGUGCUAAACUCGGGGACACUCAUAUGGCACACCAAACCACCAAGUCUAAAAGUAAUGGUGCCCGAUUGGUCAUUAGUCAUCAUUACCUACUGUAGAAUAAAUGUAGAACAAAACUCCAAAGUAAGCUCUAUGUAUGUGGGCUCGAUGAUGGAGAAAAAUUGGUCCUACGUGGCUGUAGUAAUAAAGACGCGCACGUGAGUAGCUAUUUGGACCUACUCCAAAGCGGCCCAAUCAAUACAUCGGCCUAGGCCGAGUGGGUGCUGUCGAAAUAGUUGAAAUAAAUUCUCUUGGGGCUCCGUAGAAAUUGGAGAUAAGGGUGGCGGGCCUCGACAGAAGCGCUCGAAGAAGAGGUCGUACCAAGGGUCUUUCGCUUUUUCGAAGCAGGGACGACUACCUUAGACUUGCCUCAUGUUUUCGUCAUGGUGUGCCUGGAAAACUAAAUAAUUCAUCAAUAAAUAAAGCAUCACCAAGUAAACAAACAAAGAAGCUGAGAAAUAGUUGUGUAAAUUAACAUACGACACUAAGAAUCAUCCUAAGACGCGCAUCGAAGUCUAAAUUGCCUAAAUAGAAAAUUCAUUCCAAAAACACUAUUUACUAGUAUCAGCCAUGUAAAAAUAAUAACAGAAAAGAAAAAGAAUAAAAAGGGUAAACAAUCAAAAAUAUGAAACUAGGGAUGAAUCAUAGAUGUAAUAAUAAACUACACAGUAGCAUAAAGAAUAAUAAAUGGAUGAUAAGAACAGGAAUUAAAAAUAGUAUUAAUGUCAGGAAACAAUUAGAACCAAAAAAAUAAAAUUAUAAAACUAAGAAUAGAAAAUAAUAAAGAGUAAAUAAUGAAUAAAGAAAAUAAAAUAAAAUAAAACUAAUAAUAAUAAGAAGAAACAAGAAAAAAAUAAAUAAUAAAGAAAAUAGGACAAAUAGUGGUUGACCGACAAGGGAAUAGUGGUAGCGACCGGACGGCUGUGGAAUGGGGGACGGUGGCGGUAGUGCGCGCAAGGUGGGGGUUAAAUGUUGGUUAGAUGGUGAGAAGGGAGAAGGGAAUGGAAAGGGGAGAUGGUGAAAGAGGGAAAGGGCUAGUGGUUUGGGGCAGUUGCGCACGUGGAUGCAAUGGGUCGGGUCGAGGUUUGUGGCGCGGGGGGCUUGGUGGUGGUUGAAUAGGAGUAAAAAGGUAGAGGAGAAGGGGUUGGUGAGAUGAGGCAAAGGGAGGGGAUCUAGUCAUUCAGAUGAGGGCUUGGAAAGAGAAGGCAACAAGAGGAAGAUGUGGUGGGCGUUAGAUCGGAAUUGGGACGACGGGAAAGGUAUGGCGAUUGGAAAGGGAGUGGUUGGCGGCUAGUGUUUGUUGGGAAGGUGGGGGAAGAAGAUAAAACAAAUGAAAAGAAAAGUGGGGCUAGGGUUUUUCAAGGGUGAAACGGUCGUGUUAGGGCUCGUGUUAGGCCACACGACCGUCUCACAUGCCCGUGUGGCUCUCGUUCAGCCCGUGUGCGUUAAAAUUUUUAACCUUGUCUUCACAUGGCCUCAGACACACCCGUGUGUCAAGGCCAUGUGGCACACACGGUCGUAUCACAUGGCUGUGUGCAACCUCCUUCACUUCUUCCACGCCCGUGUGAACUCUUACACGCCCGUGUGGCUCGACCGUGUCUUGCACACGACCAUGUGCUUGGCCCGUGUAACUCUCUGACUUGUUUUAAAAAUGAAAAAAAUUAGCUCCAGGUUUCACAUGACCUAGGACACACCCGUGUGGACUAUUUUAGGCUGUGUCUCUGUCGAUUUUUGAAAAAACUAAGUCCCAAAAUCCACACGGCCAAGGACACGUCCGUGAGUCUAGGCCAUGUGGGUCAAAUGGCCAUGUCACCAGGCCAUGUAAUUCACUAUCGAUUUUUUUAAAAUUUUAAAACUAAGUCUUAAGACCCACACGCAAAGGACACGCCUGUGUGUCUAGGCCGUGUAGGUCACACGGCCAUGUCGCCAGGCCGUGUAACUCACUAUCCAUGUGGGUUAAAAAACCUACAUUUUUUUAAUAUUUGAAAAUUAAUUAAUUUUAAAAAUAUCAUGAGAUAAAAUUAAGAAAAUUAGCAGUGUUAACACUCAGGUUGCCUCCUGAGAAGCUCUUAUUUAAAGUCUAAGCUCAACUUACCUCAAAUUCGCACGGUCACGGUGGUUCACAGAGUUGAAGCUCCUCUUUCUCGCUGUCAAUUCUAUUAUCAAAAUAAGGUUUGAGUCGAGUAAUAUUUACCUUAAAAUUGUCGAAUUCAAAAUGAGUUACCUCGACUGUACCGUAUAUGAAGACAUUCAGUACUGUAAAAGGAUUUGCUCCGUUUGCAUUAAGCUCUAAAGUGGAAAUUCGAGGGUCCGUUUUAUCUAAUAGUCCCUGGUCCCUAACCUUAAAUUGGUUCGUUCCAUCCUUAUGCUCGUCAUGUCAUCGCUUUGGUUCUGCAUUGUGUAUUCUCGGUUUCUCCUUGACAUGUGUCUACCAUUCAUCUAGUUCAUUGAUCUGUAGCCUUCGUUCUUCAUGAGUUGUUCUGUUUCUGUCGAAUGGACUGGAACGUGGGUCCAUUACGUUUUUCCGAGUGUUUUCCUGAAAAGAAUUUUGAGCCACAAGGUUACUCAUAUUUACAGAACUGGUAUAAUCAUCUCGAUCAUUAGAUGUCUUAACAGAAUCACAAGCUUGGAGUUUAAUCGUAUUAUCACCUACACAAAGUAUCAAUUCACCUAUACCAACAUCAAUAAUAGCUCUGGCAGUUACUAAAAAGGGCUGAAUUAGAAUCAAAGGUACGUCGCUAUCCUCAUCGAUGUCUAAAACAACGAAAUCAACUAGGAAUAUGAAUUUAUCAAUUUUGACAAGAACAUCUUCAAUAAUACCCCUAGGAAAUGUAAUGGUUCUAUUUGCUAAUUGAAUACUCAUCCUAGUUUGUUUGGGUUUCCUGGGACCUAGUUGCUUAAACAUUUUAUAGGGCAUGACAUUAAUACUAGCCCCUAAAUCAGCCAAAGCAUUAUUAACAUUUAAACUACCAAUUAAACAAGGAAUAGAAAAACUCCUUGGAUCUUUCAAUUUGUUGGGUAGUUUAUUUUGAAAAAUGGCCGAGCAAACUGCAUUUAGCUCCACUUGCGACGAAUCAUCUAACUUCUGUUUGUUUGCCAAAAGCUCCUUUAAAAAUUUAAUGAAAUUGGGCAUUUGCAAAAGAGCUUCAAUAAAUGGUAAGUUAAUAUGUAAUUUUUUCAAAAGUUUAAGAAAUUUACCAAAUUGUUCGUUUGCGUGGUCUUUCUUUAUCGCGUUGGGAUAUGGAACACGAGGUUUAUAUUCCUUACCAACCCUUUUUUGCUCAUUUUGGCUUACCUAAACCUUACCUUUACUUACCACACUUUCUUGCAUCGGUUCUGGUUCAGAUUCAACUAACCCUUCUUCAUCUCGAACAGUAAUUGCAGAAAGCUGCUUUCUUGGGUUAGUUUUGGUGUUGCUAGGCAAGCUACCUUAUGGUCGUUCUGAAAUCAACUUCACAAGUUGACCGAUUUGGUUCUCAAGCCCUUGAAUUGAUGGUUGUUGAUUUUUAAGUGUUGUUUCAGUGUUUUGGAAGCGAGUUUCUGACACUGAAAUAAACUUCGUCAACAUCUCAUCAAGGUUCAGCUUUUUUUUCUUAUUGGUAAGAUGGUUGAAAGCCUAGAGGGGGUUAUGGUCUUUGGUUUCCUUGACCACCCCAAGGGAAAUUGGGAUCGUUCCUCCAACUUGCAUUAUGAGUGUUACUGUAAGGAUUAUUCUGAGGCCUAGAAUUAUUACCCAUAUAGUUUAUUUGUUCGUUCUCUCUGCUGGGACCGUAGGGUAGACAUUCUAGAUUGUUCAUCCUUCCUCCAUUCGUAUUGCACUGCAUCACUGGAUGUACCUGCGUAGAAACACAUAAACCAUCAAUUUUCUUAUUUAAUUGUUCUACCUAAUUUUAUAACAUGGUAACUGCAUCUAAAUUGAAAACACCGGCUGCUCAAUUAGGCUUCAUCUUCUUGACUUGCCACUGAAAAUUAUUCAGUGCCAUCUCUUCUAUAAAUUCAUAAGCCGUUUCAGGUGUUUUAUUGUUCAGAGUACCACCUGCGGUUGCAUCGAUCAAUUGCCUAGUUGAGGGGUUCAAAUUGUUGUAGAAGGUUUGAACCUGUAGUCAUAAAGGUAACCCAUGGUGAGGGCACCUUCUCAAUAAAUCCUUAUACCUCUCUCAUGCAUCAUAUAGAAUCUUUAAGUCAAUCUACACGAAAGAAGAGAUAUCAUUCCUCAACUUAGCUGUCUUAGCCAGUAGGAAGUACUUUAAUAGAAAUUUCUCAGUCAUUUGGUCCCAUGUAGUGAUAGAACCGCGUAGUAAGGAAUUCAACCACUGUUUAGCUUUGUUCCUCAACGAGAAAGGGAACAACCGUAGGCGAAUGGUAUAGUCAGAAACACCAUUUAUCUUGAAAGUAUCACAAACUUCCAGAAAGUUAGCCCUAAUGAGUAUUUGGAUCUUCAUCCUACAAACCAUCAAAAUGAACAAAUUGUUGUAUCAUUUUAAUAGUGUUUAGCUUUAGUUCGAAAUUAUUCGCAGCAAUGGUAGAACUUACAAUACUCGAUUCAGCCCCAGUUAGAGUAGGCUUGGCAUAAUCGUACAUAGUACGAGGAGCAGGAUUUGGAUUUGAAGGAUUUGCAGCAACCACAGGGGGUAGCUGAUUAUUCUGAUUAUCAGCCAUCUCGUUAGUAAUAAUAAUGUCUUCUUGCUCUUCCACUGUACUCUGUUGAUUUUGCCUUGCUUCUCUACGGUUUCUGCGAGCUGCACUUUCAAUCUCACUAUCAAAUACUAAUGGUCUCGACGGGUUUCUUCUAGUCAUAAACUAAAGGAACCUGCCAGAAGCAAAUAAAAGAAAAAAUUAGAAAACAAAAAAUAAACUAAAAAAAUAAAAUGCAAUAAAAAUAAAAGGCUAAAUUAAUAAAGAUCGAGUGUUCCGAAUAUUUUAGUCCCUGGCAACAGUGCCAAAAACUUGAUGAUCACUAAACUAACGAUAAUUAUGAUAAAGGCAAGUGCACCUAUCGAACAAUAGUAUAGCUAUGGUGAGUAGAGAGUAUCGUAUCCACGAGGACUAAAAGUACUAGUAAUAACCGUUUUUCUAUUAUUUAGCCGAUAAAUUUGAGUGAGUGUUUUUAAUCUAAAUUUACUAAUCUAAAUUAAAUAAGAACGCAAUAGAAAAUGAAAUAGGUAAUAACCGAAUAAUACCAAAGAGAAAGACAAUACCCAGGAAAGAAUCCACCUAGACUUCACUUAUUAUUCUAAACCUAAAUUAAACAAUUUAUUCACUUGUGUCUUGAUCCGUAGAAAUCCCUAAUUUAUGUUAAUAUCUCUUUCGAGAGUAAGAACAACUGACUCUAGGUUGAUUAAUUGAAACCUCUUUCUAAUUAAAACCCCUAUUGUCGCAUUAACUCGAUCUAUGGAUUCCUCUAUUAGAUUUGACUCUAGUCCAAUAGAUUUAUGUCAUCUCAUUUCUAGGAUUGCAUGAAACUCCACUCAAUUAUGCUAGAUCUACUCUUAAACAGGGACUUUUGCUCCACUAAAAUAAGCACAUUAAACAUGAAUUAAUAUCCCAAAAAUAUUAAAACAUGAAAUAAGCAUAUAUAAUUGAGAACAAGAAUCAAGUAUUUAUCAUGUAAAUCAGAAAUCAAAUAAUAAGAUUCAUUAUAGGUUUCAUCUUCCCUAGGUAUCUAGGGAAUAAUCUAAAAUAAAAACAUCUCAAAGUCAGAAAAACCACAAGACAUAAAGAAAUUCACUAAAACUUAGAAAGAAGUUAAAAGGAGAUAUUCAAUCUUGAAGGACAUCCACUUGUGCGUUGGCUUCAAUGGUGUUCUUCGAGUAAUUUCUUCAAUCUUAUUUGAGUGCUCUCUUAGGUCUUCUUCUAAUUGUUAUUUAUAGACUUUAGAAUGCUUAGAAAGCCUAAAAAUUGAGUUUUUUCGUGUGUUUGGGAAAAAAGUUGCGAAAUCGACAUAGGCUGGCACAUGGGCGUGUGGCUACACAGGCUCACUACACGCCCGUGUGAGAGUUGAAAUGCUCAGGUCGUAUGAAUGUUGAAAACAACUCUUUUUGCUCAAUUUUGGCUUUCUUUCGCUCCUUUCGCUCCUUUAUGCUCACCUAAGUAUAGAAACAUGAAUUUAAAGGAUUAAGAGAAUCAAAUUCACUAAUUUACAUUAUUAAUCAUCCAAAAAUGCAUUAAGAAUGAUAUUAAAUAUAUUACUUUUACAGCUUAUCACCUCGGCACAAGUUCAUCAUUACCCACAUUAAUAAUAGUUCUAGUAGUGCCUAAAAAUGGUCAACCUAAGAUCAUGGGUACCUCAAUAUCCUCAUCCAUGUCCAAUAUAAAAAAAUCAAUAGGGAAUAUAAAUUUAUCAACUUUAACAAGUACAUCUUCAAUAAUGCCCCCAGGAUACUUAAUUGAUCUGUCAGCUAAUUGAAUACUCAUCCUAGUGGGUUUUGGUUCACCAAGACCAAGUUUUUUUAACAUUUUAUAAGACAUAAGAUUUAUACCAGCACCCAAAUCAGCCAAAGCUUUUUCAACAUUUAAGUUACUAAUAAAAUAAGGAAUAGUAAAACUCCCUAGAUCUUUAAGCUCGGUGGGUAGUUUGUUUGUUAGAAUAGACAAGUAAUCCUUGUUGAUCUCCACAGUUGACAAGUCGUCUAACUUUCUUUUAUUUGUUAACAGCUCCUUUAAAAAUUUUGUAUACUUUGACAUCUGCAAAAGGGCUUCACCAAAAGGUAAAUUAAUAUGUAAUUUCUUAAAAACUUCUAGAAUUUUACCAUAUUGUUCAUUCAUGUGGUCUUUCUUUAUUGCUGCCGGUUAUGGGAUUCGUGGUUUGUAUUAUUUGACCACCAGCUUACGCUCUUUCUUGCUUUCAUCAACCCUAUCAUUUUUCAAAACAACUUCUAGGAUCAUCUCCUUUUCAGGCUUGACUAACCCUUCCACGCUUCGAAUAGUGAUUGUAUGGACUUGCCUCUUGCCUCUUUGGGUUGGUUUCAAUGUUUCUAGGUAAACUACCUUGCUAUCUCUCCAAAACCAGUUUAACAAGCUAUCCAAUAUGAUUUUCAAGCAUUUGACUCAAUGUUUGUUGAUUUUUUAGAGCUGUCUCAAUUUUCUGAAAUCUAGUCUCAAACACCGAAAUAAAUUUAGCUAACAUCUCCUCAAGGUUUGGUUUCCUUUCUUGCUGAUAAGGUUGCUGAAAUUUUGGAAGGGGUUGUGACCUUUGAUUACCUUGACCACCCUAAGAGAAAUUUGGAUGAUUCCUCCAUCCUUGAUUAUAAUUAUUGUUAUAAAGGUUGUUCUGAGGUCUAAAAUUGUUACCCAUAAAGCUAAUUUGCUCAUGCUCGAUGUUCGAACCGAAGGGUAAACAUUCUGGAUUGAUUACCAUUGCUCCAGUCGCAUCGCAUUGCAUUUCUGGAUUCGCUUAUUUAUCCCAACUAAAACCAUCGAUCUUUUUACUCAGCGCUUCCACCUAACUUGCCAACAUAGCAACUACAUCCAUAUUAAAAACAUUGAUUUCUUUAAUCUGUUUCAUUCUCAUAACUUGCCACUAAUAGUUAUUCAGUGUCAUCUCCUCAAUAAACUCUUGAGCUACCUCAGAUGUCUUAUUAUUCAAUGUUUCACUAGCUACUACAUCAAUUAGCUGCCUAGUCAAGGGAUUUAAACCGUUGUAAAAGGUUUGAACUUGUAACCACAAAGGUAACACAUUCUUAAAAUAUCCUUAAUUCUCUUCCAUGCAUAAUAUAAUGUCUCCAAAUAAAUUUGAGAAACUUCUUAGUCUUCUGAUCCCAAGUCGUGAUAAAACCAUGUAGAAGUGAAUUCAAACACUAUUUUUCCUUGCUCCUCAAAGAGAAUGCGAACAACUUUAAGGAUAUGGCAUUGUUAGUAAAACGAUUAAUCUUGAAUGUGUUGCAAAUCUCUAGAAAGUUAGCUAAAUGAGCAUUUGGAUCUUCAUCUUGUAACCCAUCAUACUGGACAUAUUGCUGAACCAUCUGAAUUGCAUUCGGAUUUAGCUCAAAAUUAAAUGCAGUAAUAGCCAAGAUGACGAUACUCAAUUCAACCCCAAUCAGAGUAGGCUUAGCAUAAUCCAACAUAGUACGAGGAGCAGGAGGUGCCGGAGGCUGCUGAUUAUUUUGAUUAUUUUCCAUCUCUACAAUAAUGUCCUUUUGCCCUUGAUCAUCUAUUAAGAUCUGUUGACCUUGCUUUGCUUCUCUAACCUCUCUACGAUUUUUGCAAGCAGUCUUUUCAAUUUCACUAUCAAAUGCUAACGGAUCCAACAGUUUUCCUCUAGUCAUAAACCAAAAGAACCUGUAAAAAUCAAACAAAAGAAAAAUUAAAAUGUAAAAAUUAAAUUUUAAAAAAUAUACAUUAAAAUAAAAAAUUGCUAAAUUAAUAGAAAUAAAGUUUUUCUAAUCUUCUAGUCCCCGGAAGCGGCGCCAAAAACUUGAUGUCCAUGAAACUAACUAAAAAUAUAACUAAGGCAAGUGCACCUAUCAAUUAAUAGUAUAGCUACGGUGAUCACAGAUAUCGUUCCCAUUGAGACUAAAGGUACUAGUAAUGUAACACCCCAAUAUCGUCUCCGUCGCUAGAUUAGGGUUACGGAGUGUUACAUUACAAUAUAGAACAUUUAACUUCAAAAAGAAACAAUUAUACAAAACUAAAUAAUACCAUUCCAUAACUCAUAUAAUUCAAGGUAAAAUUAAAUUUAUGGACCUUAAACCGAGCCCACAGGGCCCUAAAAAUAAUUUCAAAACAAUUAGGGGUCAUUUUGAAACAAAACAUAAAAACCUAAAAAAUUUGAAAACAGAGGUCACACGGUUGUGUGACAAAGCCCAAACCGUGUGGCUAAAAAAUAUCGUUGUGUGUCUAUUUCACACGCCCGUGUGGCUAAUUCACUCGUUUGUGUGGCUAAUUCACACACCUAUGUAUGUGGAUUGUAUAAGUAACUCUGCCCAUGUAAUAUAAAGUUAUACGGUCAUAUGGCCAGACCGUAUAGCUCGGGGUCACAUGGUCGUGUCGCCAGACCGUGUAACUCUCUGUGCAUGUGUGGGUCAAGAUCACAUGGUCGUGUUGCCAGGCCGUGUAACUCUCUUUGCCCGUGUGGACCAACUUGCACUUAAAAUAACAAUGACACACGGUCGUAUGGUGUGUUUUUGUGUGGCACAUGGCCGUGUGAUAACCCGUGUCCCAAGCCGUGUGCUCCAAUUCGUACCUUCAAAUUCAAGUUUACCAAAACAUGCCUACCUGGACAUCAAGAAACCCAAUUUUCAUCAAAUAGACUUACUCAAAACACGAUUAAACAAGCUUAAAACAAGUCAAAACAUCCAUCCUAAGUGUCUAACCAAUGUGCCCUCAUUGACACCACAAUUCAAUUUUUCAACCAAGUUGCAUUCAAAGCCCAUAACUCUUUACUAAGAACACAUGCCAAUCUUACCUUUCAUACAUACCAAUCAAGUUCACUUCUAUCAUAGUAUAGUCAUACAAUUGUAGCAUAUAGCCAAAUGAACGAAAACACUUAUUUAUGAACCAUUACAAGCCAAAUAUCAAAGAUAUAUAUUCACAUGAACCAAAAUCAUUUCAAGACCAAAAUCAUUCAAGUAUAGCAACUACCACAAGUAACUUGUAAUCAAGACGUUUACAAAACACCUAUUACAUGCUAUAUAACCCAAAAGUAAACAUUCAAAACAACCAAAAGAUAUCCAAAUAGUGUGAUUUCUUUGACUCAAUCUAAUCACCCGACUUCAACGAAAUGCUGUGUACAAAGAGAUAAGACAAAUAACAUGAAUAAGCUUUUAUAAAGCUUAGUAAGUUCGACAAUUGAAACAAAUAAGCUUACCAGAAUAACAUGAAAACUUAAAUAACAAGAUUAAUAGUCAGUAUUUCUUGUCAACCACAAUCCGUAAUAGGUGAGUUAAACACAAACGAGUACGAGUUACAUUUGAAUAUAAUCAUAUGAUAUCAAUCCGUAAUGUUAACAUGAAUUCAUAAUCAAUUCAUCGACAACUCAAUAUCAAGUCAUUUAACAAUAGAAAUGUUGCCCGAUGAACGAUAUACGGAUAUGAGUACACAAUUAUCUACCCGAAACACGCCAAACGCUCCAAUGAGCCAAUCCAACUGAAAACACUCAUUGACACCAAGUGCCUAGACCAAAAGGCUAUCAUUCCUCCAAAACCACGCCCGGGCACUAAGUGCCAAGCCCAAAGGCUUUACAUCCACCCCAAUAACACACCAAAAUCAUUGCAAUAUAACUUGAUAGUUCGCAACAAAUGAUGAACCUUGGGAUAUUCAGUGUAUAAACACAAACCAGGAAUCAUCGCCUCAUCACAUAUCAAUCCCGUAAAAUGCAUAUUAUAACCUAUUGGCAUGCCAAUCGUACUUUAUCCUACGUUCAUCCAACCCAAUAAAUAUCAUUGCUAAACAAUGUUCCAAGAAUUAACCAAUUCAGUUUAUACUAAUUAAAAGUAAACAUUUAGUAACUAAUUUAACAUUCAAUAUACAUUUCAAAUUAAAUUAAACUAAACUGAAUGAACUUCUAGGGCUAAACUGCAGUAAUAACAAAAGUCCAAGGACUAUUCUGUAACCCUCCCUUUUCCUCUGUUAUCAACUUGCUCUUGAUCUAUAAUAUAAUUUUAUUUCAAUUAUUAGCCUCAAUUUAAUAUAUUAUUCAAUUUAAUACAUGUGACUUCUUAUGUACAAUGUUACACAUUUACCCCAAACUUUUACACUUUAUUCAAUUUAAUCCCUAAACCCGAAACAAUAUUAUUUUCCAAAAUUAAACUCUAUUCCCAUAGAACCAAAUUUUUAACUAUACAAAAUAAAUUCACACAUGCUGAAAUUUCAUAAGAAAACCUUGCUUAAUUUAAUUUAUUUUCAAUUAAAUCCCUAAACUUAAGAUUAUAAAAAUUACUCAACAGAAUAUUUCUAUUUAACAACCAAACAUAGUAAUUCAUCAUUAAACUUCAAGAACACACUAAAUUCAUCAAUGACACAUUAAAAAACAUUCAAUAGUUUCAAAAUCAGAGGUACGAGUUAUCUGGACCUAGUUGUAACGAUCUCAAAAACAUAAAAGUCAUGAAAAAUUAACCAAGAAACACUUGCAAGCAAUCAUGAAUUCAAACCAAACCUCCCCCAAGUCUUCCAAUGGAGGCUCAGCCAACAUAAAAGAAAAAUGAAGAAGAUAGUACCAUUCUUUACAUUUUCUUUCACUUAAUUUAUACAAUAAAUACAAGUUUGUCAUUAUUUCAUAUUUUUAAUCAAUUUUCUACAUACCUACCGUCCACUAAAUAUGAAAAUGACUUAAUUUUCAUAAUAAAUCAUCCUAAAUUAUUUAAAUAUCCAAUUGGCACUGAAACACUAAUAAUAAUUGACUUUUUCACUUUUUACAAUUUAGUCAUUUUAAAUUAAUUACCUAUCUAAACGUUAGAAUUUAUAACCAAAAUUUAAUACAAUACUAUUUACCUCGUAUAUAUUAAAUAAUUAAUACUUAUAGACGACACGUCAGAAUUGUGGUCUUGGAACCAUUAUUUCCAACACCACAGAAAAACAGGUUGUUACAAGUAAUUACUUUCUAUUAUUUAAACGAAUGAAUCCAGUACGAAAUUAAAAACUGAAAUUAACUAAUGAACACGACAAAUAACAAAAUAGAAAAAUAACAGAUUAGCAACCAAGAAUCAAAACAAUACCUAUGAAAGAAUUCACCAAGAUUUCAUCUGCCGCUAUCAAUCUAAAUUACGAAAUUUCUUUACUUAGUAUCUUGAUACGUAGAAAUCCAUAAAUUAUAUUAACAUCUCUUUCGAGAGUAAAAGUAACUGACUCUAGGUUGAUUAAUUGAAAUUUCUUUCUAAUUAAAACCCCUAUUAUCACAUUAACUUGAUCUAUGGAUUCCCCUAUUAUAUUUGACACUAAUCCUGUAGGUUUAUGUCAUCUUAUUUCUAGGAUUGCAUGCAACUCCACUCAAUUACACAAGAUCUACUCUUACACAAGGUCUAUUCCUCCUCUGAUUUUAGCAAAUCAAACAUGGAUCAAUAAUCUAGAAAUAUUAAACCAAGACUUAAACACACAAAAUUGAGAACAAGAUCUAAGUAUUUAUACCAUAAAAUAAAAAUCAAAUGACAAAAUUCAUCAUAGGUUUCAUCUCCUCUAAGUAUUUAGAAAAUUUGUUCAUGCUUGAAAAUAAAAAUAUCUAAGAUACAGUAUAACCGAAAGAAACAAAGAAACUCAUUAUAUCUUAAGAAAUCAAAUACGAAUCUUCAAUCUUGAUGGAAUUCUGCUUUAGAAUUGGCUUCAAUGGUGUUUUUUGAGUUGUUUUCUUGAAUAUUCUAUGACGACUAACUUCUAUCUUCUUAUUUUUUUCAUAUAUACGUCUUAGAAUACCGUGUAUAAAAGGUUAGCCCGUGUAACCCCUGUACCCUAUUCUGAUUUUCUAGUAUUCGCUUGUUUUUCGCUCUUUUUGCUCACAAAUGCUCUCUUAAGUAUAAAUGCUUGAAUGUAAAGGAUUAAGUGCAUAAAAUUCAUCAUUAACAUUGAAUAAUCACCCAAAAACACAUUAAUACUGAGAUUAAAACAUUUACUUUUAUCACUUAUCAAUUAUGAUGUAGCAUUUUUAAUUAGUCAUGUUCCAAUUAAGUCUUUAGAAUAAUAGUAAACAAUUAAAAUUUUUAUAUUUUUAACAUUAUUCAUGCACUGGACGGAGCACUAUGUUCUGGUAGGUGCGACUGGAAUUGAUCAGAAUGAGUUGGUGCAACUGGUACGGGCCAAAUUUUUUUCCAGUGCAGAAAAAUGGUGUUUGGUGUUUCACAAUGUUAUUGAAACCGGAAUGAACAGACCGAGAAAUUAACCCAAGAACAAGAGUAAACCACAAUUAAACCGCAAAUUGCCGACCGGUUGAACUAGUUAAACCGUAUUUUCACAUUUUCUAAACCCAAAAAACAAAAAUUUCACCCUAAAUCCCUUAAGCUUUGGUUACACUUCAUCUCUGCUCUCAAUGAAAUCUCUGCUCUCAACAAAAAACCACUUCAUUUCUUACUUUAUCUACUAAAAUAAGUUUUUUUUUUGGUAAAAAAACCUAAGCAGGACAUAUAACAUUCAAUCAAUCAAAGCAAAGAAGAAGAAAACUUAGGAAAGAUGAAAGAUGGGGAGAGGGUAGGCGGAAAAGAAAUGAAAAAAUGAAUUUGAAAAGUAUAGAUUAAUGAAAAGAUUCUUCAAGGCUUCAUUAUUUUACCCUUUCUUAUCACGGGCCUAAAAUAGAUGUGCUUGAUUGGGUUUUAAAACUUAAAGCCUCCAAAAUAGAUGAGUUUGAUUGAAGUUUCUAAUAAUUAAUAUUAUUUUAUAUUGUUGAAAAGUAAAUUAAUUGUAUCAGCGGUUGAACCUAUUAGAUCAAGAAUCAAUGAUUUGAUUAAUUUGAUCAUUGGUCUAAUUUUAAAAACAUUGAUAAUUCGAUAUAGAAUUAAAAUAAUACACACAAAUUAGUUUAAUUGAAAUCGAUACAUAAUUGGGCCACCCUAAUUUAGUACAUAAUUGGGCAUCCAUAUAAAAUAUUAUCUUGGGAUUAUAUUGAAAGAGGAAAGUAAUUGUAUGUAAAUGGAUAACUUGGAAGAGAUAAUGAAGAAGGAAUCAUUAUAUCAGUAGUGGCAUCUUCUCGAUGUAUGGCUACUCACUAUCUUGACUGCAUUUAUCAUUUGAUUCUUUUCUUCAUUAGCCAAACUCAUGAUAAAAAUGGUAUAAAAAUAAUUAAUUACUUCUUGGACAGAACAUUAAUAUAUAAAUACCCCAUAUAUAAUAAGCAACAACGUAUCAAAGUACACCAAAUAACAGCAAUUGGAGAACUACCAUUUAUACAAUCAAAUAUAGGUGGGCAAAAUCAAUAAUCAUAAUAAAGACACAAAGACGACUAAAAACCUUAUUAAACUAGAUCCAGUAUGCAGUAGAUAAAAAAAGGGGGUAUUUAAAGAAGUAGAAUGAGAAAAUGGUGGAGAAAAGAAAGGAAUAGAGGGAACUGCAGUUGGGAUUGUAGGGACUGAAGGAAUGUUUUGUAGAGGGGGAAGUCCUCUUGGCAAUGUGGUAGGAAGUGGAGGAAACACCCUAGGGUUAGGGAAAUUAGGGAAAUAUAGAAAUGGUGCAAAAGAGGAAGGAAUUGGGGAAAUCACAGUUGGGAUUGUGGGGACUGAAGGAAUGCUUGGCAGAGGGGGCAGUCCUGUUCGCAAUGUGGUAGGAAGUGGAGGAAACGCCCCAGGCCAUAGGAAUGAUGGCCGGGAUGGCGUUGGGAGAUUAAGGAAAGAUGGCAAACUUUGUGUUUGAGGCUGCUACAGAAGGUGACGAGCUGCUACCCCAACAUUGUUAGGAUCGAUCCGAUUAAGCAACAAGUAACAAAAAAUAGCAGAAUAAAUUGAGAAAUUGAACACGCAAAUUUAACGUGGAAAAACCCCUCCAAAGAGGAUAAAAAACCACGAGCAAAGGUAAUUUUACUAUAAUGGCCAAAGAACGAAGAGUACAAAAGAUGGAGACAAAAAACUAAACCCCGAGAAACCCGAAAACAAGGAACCCUCAAAACAUAAAAACAAAAUUCUCUAAAUGUGUUAUGAGUUCUAAUCUCUAAUGGGUGUAUUUUCUAAGGUUGUAAAAGAACCUAUUUAUAGGCUAAAUUAGUAAGUCAAAUAAACUAUGCUAAUAAAUGCUAAAUAUAUUAUACUAAUAAAUACUAAAUCUUCUAGAAAGAAAAUAUAUUUUAUUUAACUUGACUUGCAAGAAAUCUCUUAGAAUUUCGGUCACACAACUCUAACAAUCUCCACCUUGACACAAAUUCUUACAAUGCUAUCUUUGCCAAAGCCUGCCACGAGCCUAUCUUGAACUAUGUAGGGAAUUAACUGAGUCGAAUCUGUGCUAAGAUGUUGGAAGACUUCUAGCCUUCGACUUGUGCACUUCCAAAUCAAAACUAGCCCUAGUCUAAUUUUUACGAACACAGUGCCAUAACUUUUCAAAAACUGCAUCCAAAAGAGAACCUCUCUCCAACAAAACAGUCAUACAUUUUUCCCUCCUAUGACCAAGUUGCCUCCGCUCCAAACGAGUUGACUUCGACUCCGUAACGGACGAGGGACAUCUAAUUUUACCAGUCACUGUAGAACCUUCCAGAAUAUAAAGACUGCCAGUUUUUUUACCUAUUAACAAAACAAGAGCUCCACGAGGUACUUUAAUGUCACUCGACUCAAUGUUGAUUCUGUAUCCUUUCAAGUCUAAAAUAUUCAAGGAGAUGAGAUUCUUUCGUAAAUCAGGUACAUACCUGACAUUUGAGAGUGUCCUAAUUGUCCCAUCAUGUAUCCUAAUUUUAAUAGUACCAAUACCAAUUACCGUACUAGAUGAGUCGUUUCCCAUGCGAACAACUCCACCUUCAACCGAACUAUAUGUGGAGAACUAUUCUCUAUUGGGACACAUGUGGAAAGAACAUCCCGAAUCUAGGAUCCACUCGAACGUGAGCUUGGAAUUAUUGCUUGUUGACACUAACAAGAAAUCAUCACUGCUUUCAUCAGCCAAUUAGCACCAUCUACAUAUUCCUCGUUACUCUGAGUAGUUAUUUUUUUCACAGAUUAUAACAACCUGCUUUGACGUGACCUAACUUUUUUUUACAAUAGUGACACCUUUUGUCUCAUUUCUUUGAUGCUACCAAAACAGAAGCUUGCCUAUCUGCCUUACUAUCCAAACCAAACUCAUUGUCGAGUUUGUCUCUACUUAACAAAUGACCCUUCACAUCUUCGAACGAGAGUUUGUCUCUGCCAUAAAUCAGGGUCUCCCUGAAAGACUUGUAUGAAGGGGGUAAAGAGCACAAUAAUAGCAUAGCUUGAUUUUCAUCGUCAAUAUGAACCUUAACGUUCAUUAAAUCAUUUAAAAGAGUAAUGAAUUUACUGAUGUGAUCUCUAAGAAACUCACCUUUGUUCAUGCUAAACGUGAAUAGACGUUGUUCCAACACUAAACGGUUAGCUAGAGACUUAGUCGGAUAAAGAGUUUCUAACCUUUUCGACAAGUAGAUGAGGUCUUCUCCAUCAACACCUCUUAUAAUAUCGUAUUCGUGAGGCACAACUGGAUUGUAGACAAGGCCUUUUCAUCAAGCUCUUCCCAUACUGUUUGAUUUAGAUUCUCAGGUUUUUUCUCGGUAAGAACCUUUUUCAAUCCAGUUUGAACUAGAAUUACCAUAAUUCAAACUUGCCAUAGAUUAAAAUUUGUCUCACCAUCGAACUUCUCAAUUUCAAACCUUGUUGCUAUCAUCUUUGAAUAGGCUAAUCUAUAAAAAUUACACUAGCUUUGAUACCACUUGUUAGGAUUGACCCGAUUAAGCAACAACUAAUAAAAAUAGAAAAAUAAAUUGAUAAACUGAACACACAAAUUUAACGUGGAAAAACCCCUCCAAAGAGGAUAAAAAACCAAGGGCAAAGAUAUUUUACUAUAAUGGCAAAAGAACGAAGAGUACAAAAGAUGGAGAUAAAAAACUAAACCCCGAAAAACCUAAAAAGAAAGAACCCUCAAAAUAUAAACACAAAAUUCUCUAAAUGUGUUAUGAGUUCUAAUCUCUAAUGGGUGUAUUUGUAACGCUAGGGUUUGUGUAAGUGUACACAGUCGUUAUCAAGUAAUAAGUAAGUAUGGAGUUAUCGUCUCCACAGGGAUUGUAUGUGUGUCGAGGCACUUAAUUUGAAAAAUUAUAUUAACAAUUUGAAAAAAUAAAAACAAAAUAUAGUUGAGAAGUGGUAUAAAUUAGAUGUAAUGAUCCCUAAUGUAAAUUAUCCAAAUAUGCAGACUAUAUGAAUGAAAUAGAUUUUAGCAAAAUUUAACACAAUUUGCAAAAAUUAUAACAUAACUGAACUAGGACAAUUACUUUAAUUAAACUUAAUUUAUUAUCAUCAUGCUUAAUAAUAUUCAAAAAAACAUUUCAUGGCAACUCUAUCUUUCAUGAGUUUGGAAACCAAAUUAGGUCCUUUUGGAAUCCUUUACUCAGUAAAUACGCAUUUUAUUGAUUCCUAUUUACUAAGGGUUUGUUAGCAUUCGUGUGAGGUAACAGGGACGUGUUAGGUUUGAAACAAUUUAAUCACACAAAUCUAAAAACUAUGCAGAUAACAGAGCCUAGUUAGGGUUGUUAUGCAACCUACAAUUUAAUCGGGUUAGGAUCUAAAUUGAGCAUGCACAUUUCAAUUAUGCGUCCAUUAGCCGUCGUCUGGUUAGGAUCGCUCAGCUAAUUCAGGUGUAUUUCAAUCAUGUAUGAACGAAAUACAGACUUGAUUUUAAUUGAAAACAUGAUCGAUUGAGGCACAAACAUUAUAAGCAUGAAUCAAAUAAAUAUUAUUUAAUCAAAACAAUCAUCCUAGCUUAAAUAAAAUUAAGCCAUUAUUGUUGUAAAGAAGAACAAAGAACACAUAGCAAACAUCUUUAUAUUAAAUUAAAGACAAGAAAGAUUAAACCCAAUUUAGAGUGGUUGGCACCCAAGACUCUGACUGACGAGACUCCAUCGCUUCUUCGCGUUGCUCCUUUGCUGAUAGUUCUCCAAUAUGGCCAACCAAGGACUUUUUAAUAGGCUAAUUUGCUAAAAUCCUUAUGCAAGGAUGAUGAUAGGUGUGAGAGCUAAGAGAGUUGAGAGAGAGGAUGAGAGAUGUGAGAGAUGAUGAGAUGAGGGAUGAGGGAUGAUGAGAAAUGAGCUCUUAUUUAUAGGUGAGGCAAGGGAGCUAGUUUGCUAAAAUUAGGAGUGUCGAUCCUUUGAAACCUCCUCCAAGAAUGGUAGGCCAUGAAUUGAGGAAAUGUGGCUGAUUUUUCCUUGAUUUUUGGUCAAUUUUAAUGCCACAACAACUCAGGACUAAGACUCGGUCUCCAACAAAUCUUCAGGUAAAUCUCUAAUUUCUUCAACUCUUCAAAGGCCUUGUAUAAUUAAACCAAAAAUUGGUUUAUAAUCAGCCAUGUGCAGCCAAAAAUUGGGUUGACUUGGUCCUCACUUUCGACAGUUUUGCAAUUAGAAGGAAACUCUCAGACCUGUCAAAGAUAACUACUUUAAUUAAUCAAUUUACUUAAUUAAUUAAACCCAAUUUUAUUAAUGAAAUAUUUACAAUGAAUUAUUAAAAUAUAACAUUAUAUUUUAUUAUUUAAUUUAAUCAUGCGUGGCCCACUUCAUAGCUUAAAAAUAUAAUAUGCUUAAAUUAAUAUAAAAUAAGUCAUUUUAUGCGUGAAAACUAUAUAAUAAAACAUAAAAUCACAUUUUAAUAAUUUCUAUGUCCUAAUUUCAUAUUUUCACAUAUUUCAUUAAUUUAUUAAACAAUUACUUGGUUUUAACAACAAUUUUAAGUAAAAAGGUGAUGAAUUAUAUAGAAAAAUCCUAUAUAUUUUUCCAUUUACACCCCCCAAACUUAAAUCAUUGCUCGUCCCGAGUAAUGUUCAUGCACAACACAAGGUCUUGCUAAGGCAAAUUUUGCUAAGAGUGUUAGUAGCAUCAAUCUUUGUCUCAUAAUCAUGCAUCAACAAAUUCAUGCUCAUAGAUCAUCUUUAUUAGCAAGUAACUCAUAUACAAACAUUUUGAAAAUUUUAUUCUAGGUUUCAAGAUAUGCCAACAUGAAUAAUAGUUUGCAUGUAUGUCAUAGCCAUAGAUAAUAUUCUUCAUUCAACACAAUUUAUCAUGAAUCAAGCAAACAAUCAUAAGGCUUAUUUAUGAUCUUCACAUGUUGAACUUAAUACUUCCUCUCCACUAAUGUAGGUGACAUAAUCAUCAAAUCAAUUGGUCUUUUAUAAGGUUCUAAUGGGGCUUGGUUUAAAGGUAGGGAUUUUAAGAGAUGGGACAUUUCGGUUUAAAAAAUCUUUACCUUUAACUUGUCUUGGAUUUCUCGAAAUUCAACCUUUUUCUUCAAGUGAACCUUUAGAACACCCCCAAACUUAUUUUGAACUCAAGCUCAUACAUUUUCCUUUUUAAAGACUAGGCGAACUUUUCUUCGCUCUUUCUUUGUCUUUGUGAUUUUUUUAAGCAUGAGCACAUACAUCUUUAUGAAAAUUUCCUCAAAUGUUGAUUCCCAAGACACUUAAGUUAAAACAGGUGCACAAAAUUAGGAAAAUUUUAAAAAGAUGGUAACCGGCUUAUAAUGUAGGUUCAUUUCAAAAACAGGCCUUAAAGCUCAAAAUUGUAGUUUCAAGGGUCUAAUAUCAUAAGGUGGGCUUGAAAAGGCUCAAACGAUCCAAAGAAAAAUGGUGUCUAUAUCAUUUUAGAUUUUUAUGUCCCCUAGGAUUUCGCCUCAAGAAAGUUACUAAGUCAAUUCUAAAGAUAUAAACCUUCAUGCAUGUCUGAUCUCAAGAGAAGCUAAGUUUUCACGGCAAACAUUACCUAAGACUAAGAUCAUAAAAACAUUCCAUUCUUCACGAUAACAUACAAUCACUCACAUAAAAUCAUCAUUCAUACUUGCAUACAAGCUAUCUUAUUAAAAAGAAUUUCUCUAAACAUUCAUUUAUUAAAACAUACUUAUGAAAGAAAUGAUUGAAACAUACUUGAAAAUUUUAAAAUUUAAGCAAUUUAUUUGCGUAACCCCCCUUUAAAAAGAAGCAAUGUCCUCAUUGCAAGAACAAAGUAUGAAUGAAACUUGAACACCAGGUAGGGUUGUCGAAACCAUUUUUUAUUUGAUUAACAAAAAUUUAGUAGUCGACUUAAAAAUAAAAAUUGGAGUCACCACCGAUCUUUUAUUGAGGUGUGAUCGGCUCACCUUAAAAAUGAUUUUGGUCUGCAGAAUUUGAGAAAAUAGGUUCGGGACUCGGUUACGUACGAGGAAGUUUUAGCACCCUCGUAACACCCAAAAUUGGUACCGAAUUGAUUAAUUAAUGUCUUAAUGUCGAAUGUUUGAAAAGAUUUUAAAAUACGAUCCUUUGAAAAGAAAAUUUGAAUAAAAUUAAUUGGAUAAUGAGACUCACUUAUUUCAAAGAAAUAAAUUGUCACACUCAGUAAGUUAGAGUGCAACAUCUUAAAUCCUCAAAAUUGAGUUUAUUUUUUUGACUUUUAAAACCUAUGCAUUUUGAGAAUGAUAUCUGAUUAUUUGGGUCAAAUGAAGAGAUCAAAACCCAGCAAGUUAGGGUUCAAUUUCUCAAAAUUCCAAAUACAGAAUAUUGCCUUUAUUUUUAGAAGAAUCCUCAUCUCGAGGAAACAACAUGUCAUACUCAAUACGUUAGGGCACAACGUAUCAAAUUCUCGAGAAUGAGCUUUUUUAUUUAUUUUUAAUUAAAGAGGAUAUUUGGUUUCCUAGAUCCCGAGGAAGAUUGGAAUCCAAUAAGUUAGGACACAAUCUUUUCGAGGAUCCCAAAUUCUGAGUGUCACGUUGUCUUGAAAGACUUUUGUAUAAAUGAUUUUGAUAUUUAAACGAUAUUAGACGUAAUCUUUAAUGUAACACGAUUGAAUGGUAAAGUAUGAGAUAAUUGGUAAUCCGAACACACACUAAAAAAUAAUGACCAAGCAAUAGAUAAAUGUUAACAAGAAUAGCAACAAUAAUUGUAAUCCUAUUAUGCAAACAUCAAUAUUACCAAUUAAACAUCAAACGAAUUAAUAAUCGAUUUUAAAACGUAUACUAAGAAAACAGGGGCAACAAGAGAAAUCAGAAUCAAUAAAUUAUACAUGCCAAAGUCUUGAAAUGAACAAUAUAUAUAUACCAAUACAUAAUAUUUUUCUUUUAAAAUAAUGCCUAAUAAAUCUGAAAUGAUAAUACAUAAUAAAUUUAAAAAUAAAUAUAUAAUAAAUCUAAGCUAAUAAUACAUAAAAAUUUAUGAUGUUAAUAAUAUAUUGUAAUUUAAAAAUAAUACAUAAUGAAAUUUAACGCUAAUAAAUACGAUAGUAAUAUAUAUGAAAAAAAAUUCAAGUGUAGUACAUAAAGUAAUAUGUACAUAUAUAUAUAAAUAGAUAAAUAAAAUAUAAAUAACAUAAUUACAAUAUCAAUAAGGCUAGUGGAGACAAUCAUAAUAAUAAUAAAGAAGAUUAAACUAAUUAAUAAAAAAAACAAAUAACAAAGAGGAUUAAGUUGAGUUUUAAACAAAAUUACAAGGAAAAAAAAAUGAGAAUAAAACAAAACAGAUGGCCAAAAUAUAAUGCACGAAUUACUUGGGGGACCAAGCAGGAAAUACUCCCUUCCCUCAAAACGCGGCGUUUAGAUCAAGACUGAAUUGAAACAAAUUCAAAAUUCAUGAGGGAAAUUUACAAAAAAAAAACAAAAAUGAAAUUAAAAUGAUGGAGUAAAAUGGAGGGAUCGAAGGCGCAAAUAGACCACACAACAAAAAUGCACAGAUCCUCCCCGGGUCGGGUCACCGUGCUAACCAUAAACCACCAAAUGGCGUCGUUUUAGAGCCAUUGGAACCGGCCUUAAACGACGUCGUUUUUUUAGACUAGAUAAAGACCACUUCAAACCCUAAAUUAGAAACCCCUUGCCAUUUUCAAAACUCAAGCCGCAAAACCUAUGUCUCUCUUCGUCGUUCGAACCCCUUCGACUCCGAUUUAGAUGGAAUGAAUAGGAACUCCGAUGACUCCUCCAACGGCAAGAUCCUCUCACAUUCUCUCUUUUUGGAUUUCGUAGAGGAGCAAAAAUAAUUUGCAUUAUAUCAGAAAAUGAAAUCUGCCAUUACUCUUUUAAAAAUCAAUCUAUUAUUAUUUUUUUGUUCAUAAUAAAAAAAUCAAAGAAAUAAAAGAAGAAGAGGAAAAAAAAGGAAAUCGGAGAAUCACCUUCAAAAAAUUUUGCUUUUUUCUUUUUGUAUUGAUAUCAUGUGUGUAAAAAAAAUACAAAGGUUCUUCCCUUUCUUUUAUAGCCGAGAGAAAAAGAAAGAGAAUAAAAUAAAAAUACAUAUCCAUUUUCUUUUUGUUGUAUUGUUUUCGUCCCAUUUGCAGGUGUACGGAGUUGGUGGACAUGGCGUGUACGAAGGAGAAGGUGCAGGCGUACAGAGGCUCGUCACGCGCGAGGGGCUUGGCUGCGGCGCCUGGAUCUUCUAGGGUUUUCGUGUGUUGUUUAGUGUUUUGGGCUCAUUUGGGGUUUGGGUAGAAUUAGAUGUUGGACCUUAAUUGUUUGGUCUAAUUUCUGCCUAGGAUUUCACGGAAGAAGAUAUUUUGCAAGUCUAGUCCCUGAGGAUUUGACCCUACUUCCCUUUUACUAUUCUUUUUCAUUAUUUAUUAGGGAUAGGAUAUUUUUGGUGCUUUCAAUGACCGCAUCAAAUUUUGGCGCCGUUGCCGGGGACUGGCAACGUAUUAAUCUUGUUUUUUGUUUCUUAUGACCAGAUCUGCUCCAGGUACUAUUGAGUUCGGUUCAAAAAUUGAGAAGACUACUAGAGCCAAUCGCAAGGAGACAAAGUUACGGAAAAAGCAGUCAGCGGAGGUUGGAACUCAAAGUAACCCAUCGCCAGAAAUAGAAGUCGACGACGAAGCUGAGUCUAGGGUUAACGAAAACCUUACUCGAACACUUGAAAGCGAAAAAGUAGAAGUCGACUCACCAGAAUAAGUGCUUAACGCUAGGGUUAACGAAAACCUAAAUCUAGCACACCAACCAAUGGCUCAAACGAUUCGGCAACUGGCCGAAGCUCCGACAGAACAAUCGCCAUUGUGCAUCUCGUAUCCUACUAUGGAUACUGAUUUUGAGUUGAAGACAGGUUUAAUCCAGUUAUUGCCAACUUUUCGUGGGUUACAAAAUGAAAAUCCCCACAAGCAUUUGAAAGAAUUUCAUAUGGUUUGUCUUAGCAUGAAACCUCAGGGGGUAACUGAGGAUUAGAUUGAAUUGCGUGCUUUCCCUUUCUCCCUAGCAGAUUCUGCUAAGGAAUGGUUAUUUUAUUUACCCCAUGGAUCUAUUACAACUUUGGCUGAUCUAUCUCGUUUGUUUCUGAACAGGUUUUUACCAGCGUCGCGAGCAGUUGAGCUAAGAAGAGAGAUCGUUGGAAUAAGGCAAAAAGAAGUUGAGUCCCUUUACGAUUAUUGGGAGUGGUUUAAGAAGUUGUGUGCAAGCUACCCACAACAUGGUAUAAUGGAGCAAUCUCUCCUCCAAUACUUUUAUGAAGGUUUGAAGCCUAUGGAGAUGAAUAUGGUAGACGCUGCUAGUGGAGGAGCAUUGGUCAACAUGACUCCCCAACAAGCGAGAGACUUGAUCUCCACGAUGGCUGCAAAUUCUCAGCAGUUUCGAGCUAAUACUGAACCCCCUAGAAGGGUUCACCAGCUAAGUAAUUCAACCUUAGAGGAUAAAGUUGAUAGACUUACUAAUAUGAUGAACUCUCUUAUUGCAGAAAAAGCGAAGACAGCUCGGUUAUGCGGAAUAUGUGCUACACCUAAUCAUGCAACUGAUGCAUGUCCCAGUUUGUAUGAUGAUACCACGGCCCAUCUGGAUGUUAUGGGAAAUUUCCCUGGGCCGCCACAAAGGCAGUACGAACCCUACACUAAUACCUACAACCCAGGGUGGAGGGACCAUCCUAACUUAAGCUAUGGGGCCAAUCCACGAAACAACCAGCCAUACCAAAAUUGGUUUCCGCAACAACCACAAGGUUCAGGUAAUUUUCUAGAAACCAUGGUCAAUAAGUUAGCAGCUAAUGUUCUAGAUUUUCAACAGCAAAAUCUUAAUUUCCAAAAAGAGACGAAGGAUUUCCAACAGAAAAUCGAGGCGUCCAUCAGAGAGUUGACCACAUUAAUCGAGAAAUUGACCUCUCAAGGGAAGCUGCCGUCACAAACAGAACCAAACCCUAGACAAAAUGCAAAUGUAGUGACGUUGCGAAGCGAAAAGGUACUGGAACCAAUUCCUAACAGGAAUCUUGCCCAAGAAAUCACCGAGGAAAAACCCGAAAAAGACGAACAGGUUCGACCGAAGACUCCAUUGCCUAAAAUUCAACCUCCAUUUCCAGAGCGAUUCAACCAGUGUCGAAAAGGUAAAGAGGACAAGAAAAUUCUUGAAACAUUUAGGAAUGUCGAGAUCAAUAUUCCGCUGUUGGACGUCAUCAAGCAAAUACCGCGGUAUGCUAAAUUUCUUAAAGAGCUUUGCACCAAAAAGCAAAAAUUAACAGGUAAUGAAAGGGUGAAUAUUGGAGAGAAUGUAUCCGCAGUGUUACAGCGGAAAAUGCCGGCAAAAUGCAAGGAUAGGGGCAUGUUUGCAAUACCAUGCAAAAUAGGUCAUCUGGGAAUUAAGAAGGCUAUGUGUGAUCUAAGGGCCUCUAUAAAUGUAAUGCCAUAUUCUAUUUAUGAAUCACUUAACGCGGGUUUUUUGACAAAAGCAGGUGUUAUCAUUCAAUUAGCAAACAGGUCUGUUGUGCAUCCAGAAGGAGUUCUUGAGUAUGUUCUGGUAAAAGUUAACGAGCUUAUUUUCCCUGCAGAUUUUUAUGUGAUCAAAAUGGAGGAGGAUAGCAUUCCUGGAUCUUCAGAUCUCCUGUUGGGUCGACCGUUCCUUAGUACAGCUAGUACUAAAAUUGAUGUUCGAAGUGGAACUCUCACGAUGGAGUUUGAUGGGGAGAUCGUAAAGUUUAAUGUCUACGACGCCAUUAGCCAUCCAAGCGAAAUUUUGAGUGUAAAUCGUAUCGACAUAAUUGACUCUUUGGUGGAAGAGAAUUUUGAUUCAAUUUAUGGAGAUAAUUCUGAACUUUAUGAAAUUGAAUUUGUUAAUGAGCUAUUAUCUCCAAAUACUAAACUGUUACCUUCUGUUAUACAGGCGCCAGAGUUGGAGUUGAAACCGCUUCUUGAGCAUCUGAAAUAUGUACUUUUGGGGAAGGGUAAUACCCUAUCAGUCAUAAUCUCCAAUAGACUCUCCACACAUGAAGAGGAAAGUUUGGUUCAUAUACUAAAAAGUCAUAAGGAGGCGAUCGGUUGGACCAUUGCAGACUUAAAAGGGAUAAGCCCUUUGACGUGCACACACAGGAUCUAUUUGGAGGAAGACACGAAACCGAGGCGAGAGGCACAAAGACGGCUAAAUCUGAAUAUGAUGGAGGUAGUACAAAAAGAAAUAAUCAAGCUUCUGGACGCUGACGUAAUUUACCCUAUUUCUGAUAGUAGGUGGGUAAGUCUGGUUCAAGUCGUGCCCAAGAAAACGGGCGUGAUAGUAAAGAAAAUGCUGAAGGUGACUUGGUACCUACCCGAGUACAAAAUGGGUGGCGCGUCUGCAUUGAUUGCAGGAAGUUGAACUCAUACACUAGAAAAGAUUAUUUCCCUCUUCCUUUUAUAGAUCAAAUGCUUGAAAGAUUAGCCGAAAAAACUCACUUUUGUUGUCUUGAUGGAUACUCAGGUUUCUUUCAAAUUCCAGUCACACCGGAGGACCAAGAAAAGACCACUUUUACAUGCACAUUCGGUACAUUUACGCACAGAAGGAUGCCAUUCGGUCUUUGCAAUGUGCGGGCCACCUUCCAAAGAUGCACGAUAAGUAUAUUUUCUGAAUAUGUAGAAAAAAUUAUCGAAGACUUUAUGAAUGAUUUUACUGUAUAUGGGAGUUGUUUUGAUGAAUGCCUUAAAAACCUAACGAUAAUUUUGAGUAGGUGCAUAGAAUUUAAUCUUGUCUUGAAUUAUGAAAAGUGUCAUUUUAUGGUAGACAAGGGUUUAAUUCUGGGUCAUGUUAUUUCAUCUAAAGGAAUUGAGGUCAAUAAGGCCAAAAUUGAUAUUAUAAAUUCUUUGCCUUAUCCCUCCACUGUGAGGGAAGUUUGUUCUUUCCUUGGCCAUGCAGGGUUUUACAAGCGCUUCAUAAAAAACUUCUCGAAGGUAGCUGAACCACUGUGUGAGUUGUUACAGGAGGAUAAGAAAUUUGAGUUUGACCUAAAAUGUAAGGAGGCAUUUGAUACACUCAAGCAAAAGUUAGUUUCCGCUCCUAUAGUGCAACCACCAGAUUGGAAAUACCCAUUUGAAAUUAUGUGCGAUGCCAGCGAGCGCAGUGUAGGAGCUGUGUUGGGGCAAAGGAUAGACAAAGAACCACAUGUCAUAUGUUAUGCCUCGAAAACCCUAGAUGUUGCCAGAGCAACUACACCACUACGGAAAAAGAACUCUUAGCCGUUGUAUUUCCUUUAGAUAAAUUUCGACCUUAUUUAUUGGGAUCUAAACUAAUUACUUUUUCUGAUCAUGCAGCCCUCAGGUACUUGAUCUCGAAGAAAGAAGCAAAACCAAGGCUCAUUAGGUGGAUUUUACUACUCGAAGAAUUUGACAUUGAGAUUCGAGACAAAAGGGGAUGCGAAAAUUUAGUGACUGACCACUUAAGCAGAAUAAAAGUACCUUUUGAUGACAUCCUUAUUAAGGAAGAAUUCCCUGAUAAGAGCCUAUUCUCGACUGAGGCACGUCUCCCAUGGUAUGCAGAUAUAGUAAACUUUCUAGCCACAGGAUCAUUACCCACUGAGUUAGCACGCUCCGUGAGAGACAAGCUUAGACGCGACGCUCGAUAUUAUAUUUGGGAUGACCCAUACUUGUGGAAACACUGUUCAGACCAGAUAAUAUGAAGAUGUGUUCCAGAAACUGAGGUAACUUCUAUCCUUAAUUUUUGUCAUGCUGAAGCUUGCGGAGGUCAUUUUGGCCUAAACGGACCGCUCAUAAGGUGUUAGAAUGUGGGCUAUAUUGGCCCACAAUUUUUCGAGACGCAUAUAACUUUUGUAAGUCUUACGAUAGGUGCCAACAUACAGGUAACAUCACUCCCAUUUAUUUCUUCAAUUGGUAAUGUAUAUAUAAUUCUUACAGUAGACUAUGUUUCUAAGUGGAUAGAAGCAAAGCCUACUCACAAUGGUAAUGCCAAAACUGCUAUGGAGUUUUUAAAGCAAACUGCUAUCGAGCCCUAAUUAGUGAUCGUGGCACCCACAUUUGUAAUAAGGUCAUGGAGGCACUGUUGGCAAAAUACGGAGUCCACCAUCGUAUAGCUACGGCUUACCAUCCCCAAACGAACGGUCAAGCUGAAGUCUUAAACAGGGAAAUCAAGACUAUUUUGGAGAAAAAAGUUUGUCCUAACUGAAAGGAUUGGAGCCUUCGGCUAAAUGACGCACUUUGGGCCUAUCAAACUGCAUAUAAGGGAUCGAUUGGUAUGACCCCGUAUCGACUUAUUUUUGGUAAAGCUUGCCACCUUUCGGUCGAAUUGGAACAUAAAGCCUAUUGGGCCAUUCGACAGUGUAGCAUGGAGUUAGAACCAGUAGGAAAGGCAAGGAAAUUAGACAUCCAAGAGUUAAAAGAAAUUCGCAAUGAUGCCUACGAAAAUGGUCACAUUUAUAAAGACAAAACAAAGUUGUUUCACGAUAAGAGAAUAGCUCAGAAGCAUUUUUCGGUAGGACAAAAAGUUUUACUUUAUAAUUCCGUGUUAAAGUUAUUCCCAGGUAAGCUUCGAUCACGGUGGCAAGGACCUUUUAUUGUUACUAAAGUGUUCACACAUGGAGCAGUUGAAAUAGAGAGUGAAGAAUCUGGAAAGCGGUUCGUAGUCAAUGGCCAGCGGUUAAAGCCAUUUUAUGAGAAUUUUCAAGCCCACACGUUUCAAAAAAUCCAUUUGGAACCACCAUAGAACCAAUAACGGCGUCGAGCUAAUGACAUUAAACAAGCGCUUGUUGGGAGGCAACCCAAUUUUUAUUUUUAUUUUUAUUUUUUUCUUUACUUUAUUUAUUACUUUAUUUUAUUUUAUUUUACUUAUUUGGAUAUUAAUAAUUUUUUCUUCUUUUUCUUAGAUAAAACAGAGCGAAAAUGUGAAGAAAACCGUUGAGCAACGCUUAGAGCGCAUUGAGGCCCGACUUGAAACCUUUUGCCAGCAACUGACCAAACUCAUUGCCAUCAUUUGCGACCGAUAGUAAAAACAUGGGGAGUUUUUCUAAACUUUUCUACCUAUUUAUUUCUUUUCGUCCACAUUGAGGACAAUGUGCUUUCAGUAGGGAGAGGUACUCUUUGUUAUUACUAUCAUUUUCUGCUGUGAUUUUGGUUAUUGUUGCUGGUGUUGCUGGUGUUGCUGCUUGAGACUUUAUUUUGUCCAUAUUUAUUUUUUUUGAAUCUCCUGCCUCUUUUCAUGCCCAAGAUUUUUACCAAGAAUUGCCUACUGUUUGACCUACAAGCAUGAUUCUUUUUUUCUGAGAAAAUUACGAAUUUUCCAUAAUUGAUGCCAUCUCCACUGUUUUAUUCUUAUCAGACUAAAAAUAAUUGUGAUUCAUAAAGUUAACUUUAUCUUGCUUUUCGUAAAAUUGAUCAAGUUUAAAUACAAAGUAGACACUUAAUAUGUUUGCAUGCUAAAAUAUGUUGAUGACUAUUAAGGUAAUUACUAAAACUUAUUUUUGACACUUGAUUAUUUUUUCUCUAAAGUCCUCAUAAAAAAGUUAUUAUUAAAUGUCGUUUAAUGUUUCUGUGGUUAUGAGUGCAGCUUAAAAACGAGACUGACUGAGUAACCGGGGUAGGGUGCUUGGGUUGUCAUCCUAUUUCGCGUCAAAAAGUUGUGUGACGUGUUAGGUAAAACUCCGCUAACCGGAAUUAAUUUUUAAGAACAUGUUGGGCUGAGUAACUGGGGUGGGGUGCUUGGCUGUCAUCUCUCUUUGCGUCAAAAGGUUUGAUGUGUUCGUAAGAAAAAUUAUAAUAAAUUAGGAGUUUGCUGGGCUGAGUAACCGGGGUAGGGUGCUUGGUUGUCAUCUCUCUUCGCGUCAAAAGGUUCAGUAUAUUCCUAAAGCAUAAAAAAAGAGAAAAAAACAAAAAGAAAAAAAAAAUAAUUUGGGGACUAAAGGAGGAAACAAAUAGAGUGUCUUGGUAGGUUUGGUAAUUUACCUAAUUUUCAUUAAAUAAUUCAAGUUGAUUGUAAUUUUUGAGUGUAUUAAUUGGAAAACUUUUUCUGUUUUACUUAAAGCAAGCUUAGGGUUCUCUUUAUUUUUCAUAUGCAUUUUUGAUUGGUUUUUAUAAAACUUUGGAGUUGUAUUUCUUUUAUGGCAGAAUCUAACUUUCACAGUAGAUAGGAACCAUACUUGAGGGCAAGCAUGAGCUAUGUAAGGGGGAUUUGAUAACACUCUAGAAUAAUGUAUUUUUAUGUAUUAAUUAUGUAUUUAUUCUGAGUAUGAUCCUGCUAAUUUGAGCUAUUUAUGAUCUUUUAUCUCAUAGGGACUAAAUUUGAUGCAAAAGCAAAAUUAAGGGCCAAAAGCAUGAAUUUAGAGAUAAAAUGGGCCAAUGUGCGACAUAAGGAAAAGUUGGUGCCAAAAGUGCAAGCAUGGAGGACACAAGGGUUGAAAUGCAAAAAGAAAAGAUUUUAUUCUAUUAAACUCUAUUUUAAUUAUAUUAGGAUAAUUAAUAUUGAGAUAAUUAUUAAGGAUUAUUUUUAGGAUUUUAUUUUAUCUUUAUUUAUCUUCAAUUAAAUGUAUUUAUCUUUUAGGAAUUUAAGUAGGAUUAGAAUAUCUCCCUUAGCACUAUAAAUAGGGGGUGAAGUGACUCAAAAGGGGAUCCCAGAUAUUUUUCUGAAAACACUCUCUCCCAAAAAGUUUAGGCUUUUGUUCUUCUCAUAUUUAUUUUUAAUAAAAUCUUUAUUUCUAUUUAUUUAUUUUCUUUUCUACCACAACCAUGAGCCACUAAACCCAUCUAGCCGAAGGUUGUCAAAAAUCCCCAAAAGGUUUCAUGAAGCUUAGAAUCCGUACUUAGCCUCCUCGCUGAGUAUUCAUCGUUUCUCCCCACUACGGGGCUGACGCUUUCGUCUAUGUCCCUAAAGAAGUAAGCUUUUCAACGUAUGCAAAGGUGGCCGCUUUGUAUGUUUUGGGAAGGUUGCACAGUCGGUUCAUUAGCUUACUGCGUCAGAGGUUGGCGAGCCCAAGAGACAAAAUGGCGUUGGAUUCGCCAUUGAGAAGUGUUGAUCUAGCAUAAGACGAUCCCAUAGAAGCGAUUGUUGGCUAGAGUCAGGUUCCACCACAUCGUAAGUCUAAGUCAUUGGAGCUGGUGGUCGUAGGCGUCCUCUUCCACUAUAACUGGCUUAUUCGGUUUGGGAAGGAUCAUCUAAAAGUCGAGGAUUGAACCCAAGGCAGAACGAGACAACUGGAGGCUGGAAUCUCCCAUAAGAAUUUCCUUUCUCUCAACUCUAUUUAUAAUUUCUCAAAUUUUCGAUUCAAUAUUCUUAAUUCUGUUUUUAUUUUAUUCUUCGUUUCCAAAUCCAAACCUUUAAUUCUGUUAUUUUUUAUUUUUUUCAGGAACGCAGGUUGUCUUGGGCAAGACUCUACUUGGGAUUCCACAUAACAAGAUAUAAUGCAAAUCCAGUCCCUGAGGAUUUCACCCUACUUCCCUUUUACUGUUCUUUUUCAUUAUUUAUUAGGGAUAGAAUUUUUUGGUGCUUUCAACGACCGCAUCAGUGUUGUUUAGUGUUUUGGGCUCAUUUGGGGUUUGGGUAGAAUUAGAUGUUGGACCUUAAUUGUUUGUCUAAUUUUUGGACUGGUGUUUAGUGGGUUUGAGGUUUAAUGUAAUCCGGGCUUGGAUUUUAUUAAAUUUGUAAUACUGGAUUGUAUUGGACUUUUAAUAUAUUUAUUUUAUAUAUAUUUUUUUAUAUUUGGGUUUUAAUACUUGGGUUUGGGUUGAGCAAAAUUUGGGUAUUACAGCUGCCCCUCUUUGCUCGUUAUCGUGUAACGGGAACGGAGCAAAGACUCUAGAAAUGGCCAAUUUUGCCCAGUCAUGUUGGACCUUGGCGCUCUUCUUCUUCGAGUUGCCUCAUUCCAUCCUACUGCAUCUUCAGGAGUAUAGGAAUUGGUGCAUCGAUCCACUCCACCGCAACGUCGGGGAGAUAGGAUUUGUAACUUGUAACUUUAAUCUGCUUAACUGUGAUGUUAGGGAAGCAAGACUCGCUAUUGUAACUUCAAUCUGUUCCAUUACACCACCAGAGAAGUAAGAUUUGUUAUUCUCAGUCUGCGCCGCUGCAACUUCAGGGAGAUAAGACCUGAUGCGAUCCACUCUACUGCAACUUCAGAGAGAUAAGAUCUAUUAUUUUAAUUCGCUCCGCUGCAACCUCAGGGAGAUAAGAUUAGUGGCUUCAAUCUACUCCAGUGUAACCUCAGGAAGGUAAAAUCAGCCACCUUCAGUCUGCCCCACUGCAACUUCAUGGGGAUAAGACUUACUUACUCAGUCUGCUCCACUGCAACCUCAGGGAGAUAAGACUUGAUGCGAUCCACUCUACUGCAACUUUAGAGAGAUAAGAUCUAUUAUUUUAAUCUGCUCCGCUGCAACUUCAGGGAGAUAGGAUUAAUGGCUUCAAUCUGCUCCACUGCAACCUGAAGGAGAUAAGAUUUGCCAUCUUCGAUCUGCUCCACUACUGCUUAGGGAGAUAAGAUCUGUAAUUCUUCAACCUACUCCACUACUGCUUAGGGAGAUAAGGCUUACAAUCUUCAACCUAUUCCACUGUUGUCCCGGGAUAUAGGAUUCAUAAUCUUUAAGCUACUCCACUGCUAUCCAGGGAGAUAGGAUUCACAAUCUUCAACCUACUCUACUGCUGUCCAGGGAGAUAGGAUUCAUAAUCUUUAACCUACUCCAUUACUGUGCAGGGAGAUAGGAUUCACAAUCUUCAACCUAUUCUACUAUUGUCCAGGGAGAUAGGGAUGGGGUCAUCGAUCUACUUUGCUGUCGGUGUAGGAAGGCAAGAUAUGCUAUUUUUAACCUGCUCUGCUGUAACCCAGGGAGGCAAGGCUAGUGUCUUCAAUCUGCUUCACUGUCGGUGCAAGAAGGCGAGAUCUGCUAUUUUCACUGAUCUGUUCUCUGGGGAACAUGACCUGUAUAAUGAACCUAAUUAUGCCUAAUGAUUAGGACGACAUGAUCAAAAUGAAUCAAAUGCUCCUAACUAGACAUGUAUGAAUGGUGUUUGCAUGAAUGCAGAAUUUUAUUUUUUCGAGAAUGAUCCUUCUUUAUCACUUAGGUUAUCAUUACUCAAAGUUGAUUAAAGCUUUAUCACUGACUUGCUAUAACACCUUCGCUCAGUCGGUAUCUCCAAAGGAACACAUAAUCAGAUUGCCCCCACUGUGAACUUCAAAGUUAAUUCCACUAGGACGCAAAAUUUAUGCCAUCUUUCUCGCGCUGUGACCCAAGGGUAGAAAAAUUUGGUUUUUUCUCAAUCCUCUUCUAUCAUAAUUGAAGGCUACAGAAUAUGAAACUCUUUGGUCCUUUACAUUAUGCCUAUGCACAAAUGAAGAAUUCUCUUCUCCAAGAAUAGCUUCCUCUUAUUAUUCAGUGAUCAUUGCUUGCUUGUUCAUGACAUCUCGUCAUUUUGUUUAAUUAGACUCUUCCUUUUCAGAUUUCCAACCUUUAAACUUGGUACGUUCUAAACAUUAGUCCUGUUUCAGGCUCAUGUAUUAUUUAGAAACUUCUAGAGUAAUAUGUAAAACUUCCCUUGUGAAAGUUUUAUUUGUCCAUUAAUCAUUAUCCCAAUGCAACAUGCUUGCAAAAAAGGUCAUAACAAUGGACAAGAAUAAAGUUGGUUCUGAGCAUAGCUCGAAAGGAAUAAAUUACCAAAAAUAGUAAAGAAGGAUAACAAAGAAAUUGAUUGGGAAUGUGUAUCUUGGAAAAGAAUGAAAUAUUCCAAGAACAACAAAUUCAAUAUAAAUAGUAUGAAAAUUGGGUGCCCUAGAUAUCGCAGCUUGAACUUCUCCGUACAAACUUUCUGAAGACCAUUCUGAGUUUGACAUGUGUUUAGGAGAUCUACAGUAUUUUGUCGAUGCCCCAAGAUGUCACCUACCCUUUCCUAUUGAUUCAGGUAUAACAAGAUCACCACAUGCCCCAAUAUGAUCAACAUUUGAGCCACCCUUUUCAGGUUUUUAACUCAAAUUCCCUUUGGCAUAAGGUGCCCUUUGCGGGUUUUCCCCUUAGCCUCUCCAUUUUUACUUUUUCAUUUUUUCAUUUUUCACAUUUUUUUGACUCAAAGUGCCCUUUGCGGGUUUUCACCUUGGUCCUUUCUUAUUCUUUAAACGAAGUAUUUCUUGACUGGAUCUGAGUUUAUAGGAUUUGGCAAGUUUUUACCAUCCAUCUCACUUAGAAUCAAAGUUCCACCAGAAAAGACCUUCUUUACGACAUAAGGACCCUCCCAAUUUGGCAUCCAUUUUCCUCUAAAGUCUUUUUGUAUAGGAAGAAUUUUCUUCAACACCAGAUCCCUUCGUGGAAUUAUUUGGGACGACCCUACUUAUUAUGGGCUCGUAUCAUUUGUUUCUGGUACAUCCGACCUUGAUGAAUAGCUUUUAACCCUUUUCCUAGGUUCAACUGAUCACAUCACGAUUGGAUCCAUUCUGCUUCAUCCAAGUCUAGCUCAACUAAUACCCGGAGAGAGGGGAUUUCAAUAGGUAAAACUACCUCAAUCUCGUAAACCAAAGAGAAAGGUGUUGCCCCAGUACAGAUGUUUGACAAGCAAUGAGGGAAAAUGGUAAUUUCUCAUGCCAGUCCUUGCAAGUCUUAGUCAUUUUUCCUUCAAUUUUCUUGAUAUUUAUCUCUAGGUAAUUCGGUGACGAAUUGUGGUGUCUGAUUUUGGCUUGAUUACGGACCUCAGCUAUCGCGCUAUUGUUCAGGCUCAAUUCAUUAUCCAAUAUAAUCCUCUCUGACGGUCUAUAUCGUCAUAUGAUGACAUUAGUGUAUGGAGCAACCUCUACUAGUUUGAUGAAGUAAUUGAUAUCCUAAAAAAUAAGGCGAUGCACAUUAGAAGCCUUCGACGAUAUUGGCCUAAUGUCAUCCAUGCCCCACUUUGCUCAAAAUUUGAGUCGCCCUUUUCGGGUUUUCAACUCAAAUCCACAUUUGGUCAAAACGCCUUUUGCGAGUUUUCGCCUUGACCUCUCCUUUUUCUUUUCUUUUUCAUUUCAUCAUUUCAUCAUUUUUUUUUGUUUUUAUUUUAAUUAUUUUAUCUUUUUUUUUAUUUUUUGAUUUUGAUUUCUUUUUUUUAUUGAAUCUGAACUCAUAGGAUUAGGCAAGUCAUUGCUAUCCUUUUCGAUCAGAAUCAAUUUUUUUAUAGAUAAAGUCUUCCACCUAAGAUCUUCCACUCUCAUCUUACAUGUGAAAAUCUUAUUUGGCAUCUAAUUUCUUUCUUAGAGCCUUUUGGGGCGCAACUAUGAUAGAAAACUUUGGAUCUUACUCUUUAAUCGGGAUAAAAUCCAAUAAAACUUGAAGAGAUGGAAACGCGACUUCAAACGGGCAAAGCUAUAAUGAGUCAACAAGAAAGGCAUUACCCUGGCAAAGAAUUGCAUCGUUCAUACUGCAAAUUUCUGACAUCGUGCUGUUGUGCAGAUUUCAUUAUCAGCUAUUAACCCGGGCAUAUCCUGGUAUGAUCAUACAAAGACAUCUUUGAACUCUAGAGGUAACUCAACAAGGUCUUGCUUCGUUUUCGCGAUCAGGUCAAUUCUAAUCUUCACCAAGCUCACAAUUCCUAAUGAUUCCUUGUGAGGUAGGAUCUGUCUAUCCUCUUGUUCUACCAUCCUCAACAAGUCCGGAGAUAAGCUACGAUCUAUGUCAUUUUCAAAGUCAUGAGAUCCCUCUAAACACAUGCCUCGCUCAAAAGGAAAAUCUGAGUCUGUAGCAGCGUCAUUCAUAUAAUUGAUAUUGGGGGACCCAUAAUAAGUACCAAAGAAUGUACAAAAGAAUGUAUAAAUUUAUGAAUAAUUAUUUGUACAAUAUGAUUAUGAAUGAAUGAAUGAUGUGGAAGGAAAUUCAAAAGAAUGAAAGAAUAAUUAUUCAAAAAGACUGAAAGAAUAUUGGUUCAAAAAUGAUCACAAUGAUGCAUUUCAUUAAAGUAACAAUGUUCAGACAUGAGCCUAUUUCACAAAGAAGUUCUGAUUGCUUCUAGGCUAAAAGUAACAAGUGCAUUCUGACUAUUACUCUAAGUAAGCUCUAAAUACUAUAGGAAUUUCUUCCGCAGUCCAAUUGCUUAGAACACUCCCAAAUUUAUAAGGACGGAUAUCUAACAAGGUCCCUUCUUCAAUUGUGUCUUCAUACAUGUCAUUGAUUUGAACGCUUCCCAACAUCUCUUCACACAUCGCAUCAAUCAUGAUUGGGUAGAGGGUUUUCUGCACUAGAGUCAUCAAACUUGACAACACCCAUGUUGAUGAGCCUUUAAACAAGCUUUUUAAAGAUGGUGCAAUUUUCUAUCGAAUGCCUCGCAGUUCCUGCAUGAUAAUCACAUUGUGCAUUCACGUCAUACCAUUUGGGGUACGGAGGUUGCAGGGGUUUUAAGUAGGGGAAACAACGUGCGCAUCGAAUAAGCUUUGAUACAGCUCCUUAUACGACAUCAGAAUUGGCAUGAACUGGAGCUUCUUAGUAUUUUGUUUCACACCAGAUUCUUGUCUUGAUGAACCUUGUUGACUAGCAACCACUUUUCUUGGCUGGUUCACCAUAAUCGAUUUGUUGUAUGUGCUUACGUUGUUUACCUCGUUCUCCUUUCUCCUUGCGGCUGACUUUUUGUUACUCUCUCCUGGCUCUAUUUUCCCAUUCCUGAUGGCAUUUUCAAUCAUCUCACCAUUCAUGAUUAUAUCUGAGAAACUCUUUGAGGCACUUCUCAACAUGUGCGUGAUAAAUGGGGCUUUCAGUGUGUUGAUGAAGAGCAUCGUCGUCUCUUUCUCCAAUAGAGGCGGCUGAACCUGGAUAGCGACUUCCCUCCAUCUUUGUGCGUAUUGCCUGAAACUCUCGCUCGAUUUCUUCUCCAUGUUUUGUAACGUAAUCCUAUCAGGGGUCGUAUCAGUUACAUGACUGUACUAUUUUAUGAAUGCAUGUGCCAGGUCCCUCCAUGAACCAAUCUUGGUACGGCUCAAUUGAUUGUACCAUUUGGACGCUGCCCCUACCAAACUGUCCUGGAAGCAGUGUAUUAGCAGCUGGUCAUUCUUAACGUAGUCAGUCAUCCUUCUACAGAACAUGGUGAUGUGAGCCUCAGGGCAACUAGUUCCAUUGUUUUUCGAAUUCAGGCAUUUUGAACUUGUAAGGGAGUACUAAGUCCGGAACCAAGCUCAGAUCUUUAGCGUCGAUUCCAUGAUGGCUAUCAGCACUUUCCAAGGCUUUGAAUUUUUCCUCCAACCAUUUACACCUAUCCUCCUAUUGUUUUGGUAGCUCUACGUUUGCCUUUUCUUUUUCAUUCGUUUCGUCAAAAUUGGGAAUAAUAGGGUUAAUUGGGUUAUCUCUUAGGCUUGAACUUGAUCCGUCUUAGAGAUUCACGGGCAUCGAGGCACCAGCUUGGAAUUGUUGAGGCCUAAUUGUAACAGAUGGUCUCAUUGGGUAUAUUUCAGCUUGGGUUUGUGCAUUUGGUGGAGUAAAACCCGGGGGAUAUAACGGAUCCUCAUUAUCUUCUCCAGGAUUGGCCAUAGGGUCCUUUCCCUUAUUUGUUCCUCCCGCCAGUAAUUGAGUUAAUUGAGCCAUCAUAUCUUUUUGAGAUUCCAUCAUCUUUUUCGUCAUAUUUUGUUGAAUUUUUUCUAACUGCUCUUGCAUUCGCACUUGUAACUAUUCUUGCAUAUCCUUUUGCAUUUGCUCCAGCUUCUCUAAUCUUUGAUCCAUUUCUUUAGUUUUGCGACGAGUACCGUAAGGGUGUUUGGUUGAUUGGUUUUCCAGAAUAGCUGAAAUAAAUUUACUCAAUUAGAAUCUUUCAAUGGAUUUUGAUGAUGUCAUGUAAUGUAAAUGCAUGAAAUGAAUGCCUAAAGAGGGGUUGAUUUUGAUUCAAUUACAUUUAGAAAACUUUACUAGAAGACAAAUUUCUUUACAUAAAGCUGUCAGUCUCGCCCUCAUAUUCCAAGAGACAACAUUGAUCCCUUCCUUUAUCCGUGUGCUAAGAUAAACCUUGCGAAUUCUUCAAAAAAUGUGUCUCCUCUAUCUCUUUUUACUUGAUCUUGGUUGCAAUCCGUUGUCUGCCUAUCCUCGUAAUGCUAAUCAGCUCCUUUAAGGAAGUUAGAAUGUCGAUGGCUCUUAGAUAGUCAUCUUGAAUCUUCGGGCCAUGAGGUAAAGUCACGAACUUUUCUUUCACCUUUUUUGUGUUUCUCGGAAUAUAUUCAGGAAGUCGUACUAUUUUCCACUUUAUCAAGAAAUCCGUAUUCCAUGAAAAACUUUCUAAUUUAGUAAUCAGACUCGAAUGAACAUCUCUUUCCUAAGAUGCAAAUGCAAUGCAAUCAUAGUCAAAGCAAAACAAAACGAGUUAGUACAAACUAAAAGCAAACAAAAGAAUACCUAGUCAGGAAACCACUAGGGGUUUGGAGUAGUCCUACCUAAGGUGGGCAUCUAAGGUCUUCUACAUGCGGUUUGGUUCUAAAGUUGAGGUACCCAAACCAGCAGAUUCCUCGAUCCUCACCCAUUAUAGGCUCAUACAGAUCGAGUUUGGUUUAGGGGAAUACAUUCCCCUAUGGCUGCACGGAGAUGAAAAACUCACGAAGACAUAGGUACGGAUGUAUUCCGAAAGUUAUCCACUAUCCUGCACGGAGGUGAAAACCUCACGAAGAAGUAGUUUCUCACUUCCAUUUAAAAGGUAAGACUAAACAAUCUUUAUGCAAUAUGAUGCCAAAAUAUAAAACUCAGUCCGUAGUAAUCAAUCACAAACAAAUGCAAUGAGAGGAUCGUAAUUUUUCAAAUCAAAUUUUCAAUUUUCGAUAAUAAGACAGAAAAUAAUCAAUUUUACGGCUUGACUCUCUAAAGUCCCCAGUGGAGUCGCCAAGCUGUCGAAACCAUUUUUUUUAAAAACAAAAAUUUAGUAGUCGACUUAAAAAUGGAAAUUUGAGUUGCCACCGAUCUUUUAUUGAGGUGUGAUCGACUCACCUUAAAAAAGAUUUUGGUCUGCAGAAUUUGAGAAAACAGGUUCGGGAGUCGGUUACGUACGAGGAAGUGUUAGCACCCUCGUAAUGCCGAAUCUUUGAAAAGAUUUUAAAAUACGAUCCUUUGAAUAUAAAAUUUGAUAAAAUUAAUUGGAUGAUGAGACUCACUUAUUUCAAAGAAAUAAAUUGUCACACUCAGUAAGUUAGAGUGCAACAUCUUAAAUCCUCAAAAUUAAGUUUGUUUUUUUAGCUUUUAAAACCUAUGCAUUUUGAGAAGGAUGUCUGAUUAUUUGGGUCAAAUGAAGAGAUCAAAACCCAGUAAGUUAGGGUCCAAUUUCUCAAAAUUCCAAAUACAGAAUAUUGCCUUUAUUUUUAGAAGAAUCCUCAUCUCGAGGAAACAACAUGUCAUACCCAAUGCGUUAGGGCACAACGUAUCAAAUUCCCGAGAAUAAGCUUUUUUAUUUAUGUUUUAAUUAAAGAGGAUAUUCGGCUUCCGAGAUCCCGAGGAAGAUUGGAAUCCAAUAAGUUAGGACACAAUCUUUUCGAGGAUCCCAAAUUCCAAGUGUCGCGUUGUCUUGAAAGACUUUUGUAUAAAUGAUUUUGAUAUUUAAACGAUAUUAGACGUAAUCUUUAAUGUAACGCGAUUGAAUGGUAAAGUGUGAGAUAAUUGGUAAUCCGAACACACAUUAAAAAAUAAUGACCAAGCAAUAGAUAAAUGUUAACAAGAAUAGCAACAAUAAUUUUAAUCCUAUUAUGCAAACAUCAAUAUUACCAAUUAAACAUCAAACGAAUUAAUAAUCGAUUUUAAAACGUGUACGAAGAAAACAGUGGCAACAAGAGAAAUCACAAUCAAUAAAUUAUACAUGCCAAAGUCUUGAAAUGAACAAUAUAUAUACCAAUACAUAAUAUUUUUCUUUUAAAAUAAUGCCUAAUAAAUCUGAAAUGAUAAUAAAUAAUAAAUUUAAAAAUAAAUAUAUAAUAAAUCUAAGCUAAUAAUACAUAAAAGUUUAUGAUGUUAAUAAUAUAUUGUAAUUUAAAAAUAAUACAUAAUGAAAUUUAACGCUAAUAUAUAUGAUUGUAAUAUAUAUGAAAAAAAAAUUCAAGUGUAGUACGUAAAGUAAUAUGUACAUAUAUACAUAUAAAUAGAUAAAUAAAAUAUAAAUAACAUAAUUACAAUAUCAAUAAGGCUAGUGGAGACAAUGAUAAUAAUAAUAAAGAAGAUUAAACUAAUUAAUAAAAAAACAAAUAACAAAGAGGAUUAAAUUGAGUUUUAAACAAAAUUACAAGGAAAAAAUGAGAAUAAAACAAAAUAGAGGGCCAAAAUAUAAUGUACGAAUUACUUGGGGCACCAAGCAGAAAAUGCUCCCUUCCCUCAAAACGCGGCGUUUAGAUCAAGACUGAAUUGAAAAAAAUUCAAAAUUCAUGCGGGAAAUUUACAAAAAAAAAUGAAAUUAAAAUGAUGGAGUAAAAUGGAGGGACCGAAGGCGCAAAUAGACUACACAACAAAAAUGCGCGGGUCCUCCCCGGGUCGGGUCAUCGUGCUAACCAUAAACCACCAAACAGCGUCAUUUUGGAGCCAUUGGAACCGGGCUUGAACGACGUCGUUUUUCAGACUAUAUAAAGACCAUUUCAAACCCUAAAUCAGAAACCCCUUGCCAUUUUCAAAACUCACGCUGCAAAACCUAUGUCUUUCUUCGUCGUUCGAACCCCUUCGACUCCGAUUUAGACGGAAUGAAUAGGAACUCUGACGACUCCUACAAUGGUAAGAUACUCUCACUUUCUCUCUUUUUGGAUUUCGUAGAGGAGAAAAAAUGAUUUGCAUUAUAUCAGAAAAUGAAAUCUGUCAUUACACUUUUAAAAAUCAAUCUAUUAUUACUCUUUUGUUCAUAAUGAAAUCACCUUCAAAAAAAUUUGCUUUUUUCUUUUUGUAUUGAUAUCGUGUAUGUAAAAAAAAUACAAAGGUUCUUCCCUUUCUUUUAUAGCCAAGAGAAUAAGAAGGAGAAUAAAAUAAAAAUACAAUAUAUCCAUUUUCUUUCUGUUGUGUUGUUUUCGUCCCAUUUGCAGGUGUACGGAGGCGGUGGAUGUGGCGUGUACGGAGGAGAAGGCGCACGCGUACGGAGGCUCAUCACGCGCGAGGGGCUUGGCUUUGGCGCUUGGAUCUUUUAGGGUUUCCAUGUGUUGUUUAGUUUUUUGGGCUCAUUUAGGGUUUGGGUAGAAUUAGAUGUUGGACUUUAAUUGUUUAGGCUAAUUUUUGGACUGGUGUUUAGUGGGUUUGAGGCUUAAUGUAGUCCAGGCUUGGAUUUUAUUAAAUUUGUAAUACUGGACUGUAUUAGACUUUUAUUAUAUUUAUUUUAUAUAUAUUUUUUAUAUUUGGGUUUUAAUACUUGGGUUCGGGUCGGUCAAAUUUGGAUAUUACACAUUCAUUUAUUAAAACAUACUUAUGAAAGAAAUGAUUGAAACAUACUUGAAAAUUUUAAAAUUUGAGCAAUUUAUUUGCCUUACCCCCCUUUAAAAAGAAGCAAUGUCCUCAUUGCAAGAACAAAGUAUGAAUGAAAACUGAACACCAGGUAGGGUUGUAAAGAAAGAGAGGUGAGUCAUUAAGACUUCUUAAAUACCAAGUCUUUCCUAAUAACCCAAUCCUAGACAUGUUCAUUCCCAUUGCCACAUCAUUUAGUCUUUUUCUUUCUAAAGAAGUAUUUAUUCAUGCUUUCUAUGUUUUAUUUUUCAAAAAUUAAAUCCUAAUUACUAAAGAAAUAAAUUCCUAAAGACCUAAAAAAUAAUUAAAUAAAUAACAAAACAAGAAUUCCCUAUUUUAUUUUUCUGACUCAUUCCCCUUGUCUUCUUUAGUUCCAUCUCUGCUUGCAUCGUCUGUAUCUUCCGUUCAUGUCUCAAAGAUAGCAUCUGAGAAUUCAAGAACAAAAGUGUUAGAGAUAUUCAUAAAAGUAUUUCAAAUUGAAUCAUCCCUAAUUUUUGCAUAUUUCCAGUAAGUUUGUUGUUGAUUGUGUAUGAACUUGCACAUAUCCAUCAAAAUUGUCAACUUCAAUUUCUUUGAAGUACUUGCAAGAGUCGGCAUUAGAUUCGUAAAUUAUGGUUCAACACUUAGCUUGACUGGUUCUUCUUCUAGCUCAACCCUUGGUCUUCAGUGUCUGUGUAACGCCCCAAAAAUGUAUAUUUUUGUUUAUAAAAAUAUGACACAAAUAUGUUUCUGCUUCAGUGGUUAAGUGUUCUAGGUCUGUGUAUGAGGUCCCAAGUUCAAGCCAUGCCUUUGGCGAAAUUUUGGAUUUUUUUCUGAUUAAAGCCUUAUCCUUGUUCAGUGGGCUUAAUUUUAAUUAUUUGUAAAACCAUAUCAGAAUGAGCCUACUGGUUCAAGUGGUAAGGCAGUUGGAGUGUUGGAGAUUCCGUGUUUGAAUCUUUGCGCGAGUGAGAAUGUUAAUUGUUUUACUCGAUUUCCUGGAAGAGUUGUGCAGAAGAUGGAUUCUGAGUAGUUGGGAUUUGGGGAGUUUAGCAGGAUUAUUUUUGUUCUUUUUUAUUUUAUUCAUUUCAAAUUUUGUUUCUCUUUCUUUCUCUCCAAAAUUCCGACGUCGACUUUCUUCACUUUUCUUCUUCGAUUUUUCUCGACUUCCUGUUGAAAUUUUCACAGUCAAUCAUCACUCUUGCGUUCAUGGCCCUUUUUCAUCUGGUAAGUGAUCUCUUUUAGUCUUCUUCCUUUGAUUUGGGGUCUAGCGACAUUAUUUAAUCGAUGUAUCCUGUGUUUAUGAAAAGAUCAAGGUGCUGGGGUUUCCGAGUCGGCGCUUUAAAUGUGCAGAUUAAUGUUGCUCGACCUAAGGUAAGAUUUUAGUCGAUUUAAGUGGGUUGUUCAUCACCUUUGGUUCGGUUUAAUGUCAUUCUAAGUGUUUAAUUCUGGGUUUGUUUGGUCAAUAUUAGGUAUUGAAGUGCUUGUGGGCGUAUUUGCAGUGAAACAAUACCAGGUGUGUACCCAAAACACAAAAAUAAGAGAUUCGGCAAAAAGCCAAAAUUGCUUGCUGUUUGGACAGCAGCAGUAGGCUAAAUUUGAAAAAUCACCAUAAAUUGUGAAAAUCAAAUUAGAGGAUCAAAAAAAUAUGGAAUUAAAUAUAUUUGAGUCUAGUUUUUGAUAGAAGAAACAAAGUAAGAAAAUAUUUUCAUGUUAUGGGAUAUUUGAAUUUUAAUGAGACAGGUUCAGAAUGAUUUCAAAAUCCCUUGUCCUGCCUUUGGAAAAUUAUUAAAAAUUUUAUAAAAAUAAUUAUGGGUUAGAAUUUAUAUGUUUAAAAUCUGGAGAAACAAACAAGAACAUCAUCUGAAUUCUGUACGAGAAGAUAAUUAAUUUUUUGUGCAAAAAGGUCGAAACUGUCAGACAGCAGAACAAGGAAAACUUUAAAGAAUAAACUGUACUUAUUGGCUAAACCAAUAAUUCUAAAAAUUUUAUGAUAAGAAAAUAAGUGAGUCUGGUUUCAGAGAAAAUUUUCAGAUCUUAAUUCGAAAUUCUGUAGCUUAAGACACAAAUACUUUAGUUACAGUGACUCAAGUAGACAACUUUGAAGGAUCAUAUAAGUAAAUACUGGAAACACAUAUGAAUAAUUAACUAUCAUCGGUUACAUUAAAAUGGAUCACGAGGCCAACGCCAAUUUGGGUCAUGUGGGCCACAUGGGCAUGUGGGUCCACACGAGCGAACAUCAUGGGCUUGUAGGCCCAUUUUCACUGUUUGAUUGAUAAGGUUGCACAGGUCGCCCAAGUCGUCUGUGAACCUACUGUAGGGUCGGUAAGUUUAUCUAGACCCCUAAUUGACUGAAAUGACUGUAUGACUCAUAUGAUUAAGCCUGAUGACGUUCCACUGAUUUGAUACUGUAUGCCCUGUUUACAUGCAUGAUAUUAUGUUAUAGCAUGUCAUAUCUGUAUAUUGCAUUACAUUGGGUUAGGGGAUUAUAAUGUUCGGAGGAAGUGUAUUGAAAGGCCUCGAGCCUAAUUUACUGGCAGCUUAGCUGCAAACUACUGUCUAGUGCCACAUUCGGUACUACUUGAAGUAUAGGGAUGGGUGGGUUGAUUAUAUCCCUACAUGGAGUGUAGGGUUGGACGGAGAUGGUGUGUAGAGGCUGGAUGAGUAGGAUUUUGGUGACUGCAUAUCUGUUACUGCUACUGAUACUGUGAUAGGCUAAAGCCUUACUUCAUGACUGUUUUUGUACUAAGAUGGGCUAAGGCCCAAACUGAACUGAUACUGAUACUGAUACUGAAAAGGGCUUAAGCCCAGACUAUGAUUAUUUGUUUACUAUCUGUUCAUUUGUAUGGGGAUUACACAUUGAGUUUACGUAAACUCACCCCUUCUGUUUAAUCUGUAUAGGUAAUCCCUAGAUAUAGGCAGAUCAGUGCAGCAGAGGACUCAGUGGUUGCCACACGACUUCUUUUACAUUGUUUACUACUUGUUUAUGAUUUUACUUUUAUUUGGGAGUAUUUUUAUGUAAUUAUGACCUUUACGUAUUUUAAUUUAAAAUUUGGAUUUUAUACGAUUUUAUGAUUUAAAUCUGCUUAGUGUUAGGUAAAACUCAGGUUUUCAAAUGAAAUUAAUGUUUUAUCAAAAAUACAACGAAUAAGCAAACUAUUUAAAAGCUUCCGCAUAGAAUAAACAUUUUGAAAACUUUCGACUGAUUAAUUAACACGACUUUAGAAUUAAUAAGUAAACUGUGAAAAGUUUUUUAACUGAAAAAUGUUUUAAGCAAAGCUACGGUUUUCAAACACUACCAUGUGACAUCGCCAGAUUCGGCCAUAACAUUUAGGUCGGGUUUGGGGUUUUAUAGUCUGUAACUGAAUCAGCUUCAGUUUUAGUUUUAUUUGUUGACUCUUCGGUUUCUGGAUCAAUUGGUUCCUCUUGCUCGCCUUGGUUCAGCUCAUGCACUCUCUCUACUAACCUUUCAAGAUCAUGACUUGUGAUGCACCCUUGGACAUACUGCCCCUUCAGAUUUGCUUGUGUUUUAACACGGGCCCUUAAGCAAAGUGAAGUGAUUAAUGAUUGAAAUUAGCACUUCCUGCCUUUUUUUAGCACAAUCGUGAAUUUUCUUGAGUAUAAUUUUCCCAACUUUAAUGGAAUUUUCUGUCAAAAUUGCAUAUAACAACAGCAUUCAUUACAUCGAGAUGGUGGAACUAUGUUGUCGAAACCUCUUUUAAAUUUAUUUGAAAAACGGGGAUCGACUUUAAAAAAUGAAAAUUGGAGUCGCCACCCAUCUUUAAUGAGGUGUGAUCGGAUCACAUUGAAAAUGAUUUUAGGUCUACGAAUUUUGAGAAAACUGGUUUGAGAGUCGGUUACGCACGAGGAAGGAUUAACACCCUCGUGAUGCCCAAAAUUGGUACCGAAUUGAUUGUUUAAUGUCUUAGUGUCGAAAUUUUGAAAAGAUUUUAAAAUACGAUCCUUUGAAGUUUAAAUUUGAAUAAACCAAAUUGAAUAAUGAGACGCACUCAUUUCGAGGAAAUAAAUUGCCACACUCAGUGAGUUAAGGUGCAGCAAUUCAAUCGUCAAAAUUAAGUAUGUCUUUUUAAUUUUAAAUUUUAAAAUUCAUGUAUCUUGAAAAGGUUAUUUGGUCAUUUAAGUCAAACGAGAAAUCAGAAUCCAAUAAGUUAGGGUUCAAUUUCUCGAAAUUCCUAAACAUCAAACAUUGCCUUUAUUUUAAAAUCCUUAACUCGAAGUAACAAAAUGUCAUAUCCAGUGAGUUAGGAUCCAACAAUUGAAAUUUCGAAAAACUUUAUUUAGAAAUCGUAUGGUUUUAUUGCAAAAGAAAUACUUGGCUAUCUAAAUUCAUCGAAAAAAAUUGAAGCCCAGUAAGUUAGGGCACAAUACUCUCGAGAAUCGGGAAUACCAAGUAUUUUGAGAAUUUACGGAAUAAAAUGAUUUUAGUGCUUUAAUGAAACACAUUUUGUAAACAAAUGUAAUAUGAUUGAAUGGCAAUGUAUGUUGUAAAAGAUAAUCGCAUGAGCAAUAGAUAAAUGCAAACAAGGAUAGCAACAAUGAUUUAAAUCAUAUUAUACAAAUAUCAACAUUAAUAUUAAAACUAGAUAAAUCUAUCAUCAAUUUUAAAAGAUACACCAAGAUGAUAUAAAAUAAUAAAAACAAUAUGUCCUACGCAUAGAAAUUUUAAAAUAAAUUACAUACAUAAACUCAAAAUAGACUUGAAAUAAAAUAAUAAUAACAUUUAAAAAUAGUAUUAAAAAAAUAUUAGGUAAACAUUUAACAUAUAGAUAUACUAAAAUAAAUUUUAAGAUAUAACCUAAAACAAAACAUUAAAAUAUGUACAAAUUAUAUCAGAUUAUUGUAAAAAUAUAUAUAUCAAUAAUAUCGUGUCAGGUUUGAAAAUAAAAAUAUAUAAUGGACCCUUUUUUAAAAAAAAUGUAUGAUAAAUUUAAGACAUGUUAAUUUGGAAUAUUAAAAUAAUAUUAUAAAUAAAAACUAAAUUUGUCAAAAUAAGCUCUAAUUUGAUUUAAAAUUAAACUAAUAAAAGUUUAGUUAAAAUUGAAACACAAUCAAAACAAAAAUAAAACAAAAAUAAAAUAAACUAGAGGAACGAAAAUUAAAUUGAAAUUAAAACAAAACUAAAUAGGCAAUAAACAUAAAUAAAAAUAAAAGAAAGACUAAAUUCGAACUUGAUUUAAAAAUUGAGGGACCACAAUAGCAAAUAAACGCAUACUUUUAAAGAUUUUAAUCUUCUUGAUGGAAACGACGUCGUUUGCUUGCGGAUCAAAAUAGAAUCAGAAUAAAAUGUGCAGUAAGAUUUGAAUACCUUGAAGAGAAACUGAUUUGAAAUAGAAUACAAAGAAAAGGGACCUAAUGCAAACUAAACCAUUUCUCAAGACGCGCAGAUCCUUUCCACAGAUCGGGUCACCGCUCGGGUAUGGCCAACACGUUGUCGUUUUGAAGUCAUGGAAGAAGACUUUAGACGGCGCCGUUUAAAUAAUCUGCAUAAAAUUUAAAAACCUAACUGAUAUUAAACAAUCAUCUAAAAUAAAACUAACAAAAACCUAAUCAAUUCUCUUUCUCUCUUGCGCUGCUCAGCCAACCAACGUUUGGAGGCCCCAAUUCCUCACUCGCCUCCGAUUGCGACGGAGGGAGCAAAAGAUCAACCACCAAGUACACUCUUUGCUUUCUAACCUUCUAUUAUUGUAUUGAAAAGGGAACAAAAGAGUGAAGAACAGAAAAGGAAGAAAAAAAAGAAAAAAAAUCUAUUCACCUUUCAAUUUUUCUGAGUAUUUUUUAUUUUUACAUUCAAUCUCUGUAAAAUGCGUAAAAAAGGGAUCCAUUUUUACAAAUCUUGAUGGCUUUUAUAGCCAAAUUUUCAAAGAUGAAAAGAGAAUAAAAAAUACAAUGUUUUUCCUUUCUCUGCUGCGCUAUUUUCGUCCCAUUUGCAGGUACGGAGGAGUGCAUACGUACGGAGGCGCGGUGACGUGGAGAGGACGCGUGGUGGUAUGGCUCGGCUGUGUACAGAGGCUGGUCACGUGCGGAAGGCUUGGCACGUGGCUAGCGGCGGCUGAGGCAGAUAGUUGUUUUAGGGUUUUGUUUUGAAAAUGUUUUAGGGCUAGGUAUGUGGGUCAAUGGUUUGGGCCUUAUUGGGCCGAUUGGUUAUUGUAAAUGGACUGCUAUUGGACUGUUGUUAAUUGUAAAUGGGCUUUUAAUAUUUUUUGCUUUUAUGUUGGUUUUAUUUAUUUUUUAGUGGGCCUGGGUCAAAAUUGGGCAGUACAUGUGAGAUAGACAUAAAACUGUAGCGAACAAAAUAAAACCAUACCUUUGCUACUGGUUUUAAAUAUUCUCUUCGACAAGAAUGGCUUCUAUACUUUCUUAUAAUCCAUUGGGAUCCCGGAUUUGUCACAACAUUAAGCACUUGUUGAAGAAAAUCUCAUUUGAUAUUAUUCAUCAUAGGGUAGUACUCAUCUUCCUCAACAUCAGGUAAAUUAAACAAAUCAUUGAUGGACUUAGAAGUAAGAGAUACCUUUUUCUUUCAAACGAUGACUUCAGUAGCAUCUUGUGUAGUCAAUCGAGCAUAGAAUUCUAAAACUAGUUCAUCAUCGAGAAGUGAACGAGCAUCAAAGAAUCGUUCCCACUUAGAGCAUUGAUUAUCUUUAUAAUUGGCACAGGGACAACCAUCACAUCAUUGCUCUUCAGGUUAAAACAUUUUUCCGACAUCAUAGGUUGAUGCUUGAAAAUUGAAUCAAAUCGCUCUUUCACUUCUUCAUCGAUCAAAAUCUGGUUUUCAGAAGUAGUUUUUAACGAUCUAGUUCUUUUGCGAGACAUAUUAUUUUCCCAAAAAUUCGGCAAAGUUUUUUCUUGCAGAGGCAAAAGAGGGUGGAUCUUGCUUCGGCAAACCUUGCAAUGGUGAAGGAGUUGUGGCGGUGACAACUACGUGCGGCAGCAAUAGUGGUAUGCGGUGGCGAUAAUGACUGCAUGCGGCAGCAACGUCGAUGCUUCGGCAAUUCUCUUGUGGCGGCACUAGGUAGUUUUAGCCAAAGAAAAGAAAAAGGGCUAGAGAUUCCUUUUGGGAUUAAAGGCUAGCGGCACAAAAAGAGAGAUUUUAAGGAAUUUUAGGGUUUAAGCAAAUUACUUUGAGAGAUAUGAAAAUUUAGUAGAAUGAAUAGGGGUUUAUAUAGGGAAAUAUUAGGGCAACAUGUAGCAAAAAAUUUAGCUAAAUUAAAGUUACUUGGGCGGCAAGUAAUGGGUGUGACGGCAAGGGUUAAAAUUUCCCUCCUUUUUGCUAUCUUAGGCCUCAAACUCCAACUGUAUCUCACUAAAAAAUAACUUAUUAGUACUUGGGCCAAAUUUGACCCCCUUUAUUAACAUAAAAAUUUAAAAUUUAACAAAAUAAUUUAAACUAGAAAAAGAUUUUAAAACCUAAUUAGAAGAUUUCUUCUUAACAAAUUACAUUAAAUUAAUUCCCAGGAAAGGUUGGAGGGGUCACAGCGGUCCCGCUUAAGUUCCAAUCUCCUUAGACAGAAUUAAUUAAAUGAAAUUAAUUAAGAAAAAUAAAUUCUAAUUAUUUAUUUAUUUACAAGAUGAGUUUAUGAAAAAUCAAGGGUAUGUUAAUUUGAACGAAAAUUCAACUCGCUCAACUUCACCAUCCUAGUAGUGUUUGAGACAUUGACCAUUAACUUUAAACGUACCUCCGUAAUUGUCGUACAAUUCAAUAGCUCCAUAAGGAUAAACUCGGUGGAUGGUAUAAGGUCUUUUCCAUUGGGAUUCCAUCUUCCCAGAAAAUAACUUUAGCAUUAAAUUAAACAAUAACACCUUUUGACCUUCUUUAAACUCGUGAGGUUGUAUAUGACUAUCAUGCCAUCUUUUUUAUCUUUCUUUAUACAUUUUGAAGUUCUAAUAAGAAAGAAACCUUAGCUCUUCCAACUCAUCAAGUUGUAACAUCCUUCUCUCACCGGUUUGCUUAAGAUCAAAAUUUAACUACUUCAAAGCCCAGUGAGCUUUAUUCUCCAAUUCUAAUGGAAAAUGACAUGCCUUUCCAAAGGCUAACCGAUAAGGAGUCAUUCCUAACGGAGUCUUGAAUGUUGUUCGAUAGGCCCAUAAGGCAUCAUCGAGCCUUUGAGACCAAUCUUUUCUGUUAGGGCAUACUACCUUUUCAAAGAUACCUUUGAUUUCACGGUUCACUCUUUCAACUUGUCCAUUAGACUGGGGGUGAUAAGCAGUAGCAAUCUUGUGCUUCACAUCAUAUUUUUCAAGCAACCACUUAAGCCAUUUGUUCACAAAGUGAGAACUUUCAUCACUAAUAAUAGCUCUUGGUAUCCCAAAUCGUGUAAACACAUGCUUAUGUAGGAAUCGCAUGACUACCUUAGCAUCAUUUGUAGGGUAUGCUUCAGCUUCAACCCACUUGGAUACAUAGUUCACAGCAACUAAGAUGUAUUUGUUCCCAUAUGAAGAAGGAAAUGGGCCUAAGAAGUCAAUGCCCCAUAUGUCGAACAAUUCAAUCUCUAAAAUGUUCAAGGGCAUCUCAUUCCUCCUUGAUAUAUUUUCGGUUCCUUGGCACUUAUCACAGUUCUUCACAUAAGUGUAAGCAUCUUUAAAUAGUGUAGACCAAAAGAAACUUGCUUACAAAAUCUUUGCUGCAGUACGUGAACUACCAAAGUGUCCCCCACUUGGAGAUGAAUGGCAAUGAUAUAAGAUCUCAGCAAUCUCACUUUCAUCUACACACUUUCGGAUUAUAUUAUCUGCACACUGUUUAAACAAAAACAGAUCCUCCCAAAAAUAAUACCGACUAUCAUGAAGGAAUUUCUUCUUUUAUUGGUAUGUCAUUUCUCAAGGAAUUAUUCCACAUGCAAGAUAAUUAGAAAAAUCAGCAAACCAAGGUAUUUCAUGAAUUGGAGUUACCUCAAAUAAGUGCUUAUCUGGGAAAUUCUCGUUGAUAGGCACACCAGACUGGGUUACCUUAUCUUGCUUCAACCUCGACAAAUGAUCAGCUACUUGAUUUUCGAUACCUUUUCUAUCUUGGAUCUCGAGGUCAAAUUCUUGGAGUAAAAGUAUCCAACGAAUUAGCAUUGGUUUUGCAUAUUUCUUCGUGAGCAAGUAUUUAAUGGCCGCAUGGUCAGUAAAUACUGUAACUUUGGUACCUAUAAGAUAUGAACAGAAUUUGUCAUAAGCAAAAACUAUAGCAAAUAGUCCCUUUUUAAUUACCGUAUAAUUGAGUAGGGCUCCCGUCAAGGUUCUACUUGCAUAGUAAAUGGGGUUGAAUACUUUAUUUCUUCUUUGAUCGAUCACAACUCCAACAGCAUAAUCACUUGCAUCGCACAUCAACUCAAAAGAUGAGUUCCAAUUAAGUGUAAAGAUUAUUGGGGUUGUAAUUAACCGAUUCUUUAGAUCUUCAAAAGCUUCCAAACAUGCUUUGUUGAAAUUGAGCAUUGUAUCUUUCUCUAACAACAAACACAGCGGCUUAAAAAUUUUCGAGAAAUCCUUGAUAAACCUUCGAUAAAAACUGGCAUGGCCUAAGAAACUUCUGACUCCUUUCACAUUAAUGGGGGCCGGUAAUCUUUCAAUUACGUCCACCUUUACUUUGUCAACUUCAAUUUCUUUCUUGAGAUCUUGUGACCUAAGACAAUUCCUUCAUUGACCAUAAAAUGGCAUUUUUCCCAAUUAAGGACAAGAUUCGUCUCUUCGCAUCUCUUUAGUACCUUAGCCAAAUUACUCAAACAGAUAUCAUAAGUGUUACCAAAAACAAAAAAAAAAUCAUCCAUGAAAACCUUGAUGAAAUUUUUGACCAUAUCAGUAAAUAUUACCAUCAUGCAUCGUUGAAAAGUUGCAGGUGCAUUGCAUAAACCAAAAGGCAUUCACCUAAAAGCAAACGCACCAUACGGACAAGUAAAGGUUAUUUUAUGUUGGUCCUCCGGGGCUACAACUAUUUGGUUAUAUCCCGAAUAGUCAUCUAAAAAAAUAAUAGAAUUAAUUACAUGUCAGUCGAUCUAACAUCUGAUCCAUAAAAGGCAACGAAAAAUGGUCAUUCCAAGUGGCUUUGUUAAGCUUUUUGUAAUCAAUACAGAUUCUCCAACCUGUAACAGUUCUCGUUGGCAUUAACUCAUUAUGCUCAUUUUCAAAAAUCGUGAUUCCACCUUUCGCCGGCAUACACUGUACCGGACUUACCCACGAACUGUCUGAAAUAGGAUAGAUGAUUCCAACAUCUAACCAUUUAAUCACUUUCUUUCUCUCAACUUCUUCCAUAUUAGGAUUGAGCCUCCUUUUCCCAUCAAUUCAAGCUCUUUCACCUUCUUCUAAAAUGAUUUUAUGCAUGCAAAAUGAAGGGCUUAUACCUCGAAUAUCAGCUAUGCUCUAACCAAUUGCUUUCUUAAAUUUAUUUAGAACAGCAAUUAAUCGCUCCUCUUGAUCUUUUGUCAGUUCCACUGAAAUAAUCACAGGCAAAGUAGAACAAUCACCUAAAUACACGUAUUUCAAAUGGGAAUGAAGUACCUUUAGUUUGAGUUUAGGUGGUUCUUCGAUUGACAACUUGGGUUGCACAAAUUCUCUAACUUCCAACUCCAACGAUUCAAACCGUGUGGAUUGAAUAUAAUUUCUCAGAUUAGAUUUCAUCAAAGCCAUGUUUUCUUCACCUUCUUCAUCCUCCAAAGGGUCAAGAUCUAAAGCUUUCUCCAAUGGAUCUUCUUCAAAAUUUCUUUCCAAAUAAACCAAGAUUUCUAUCUCUUCCAUAACUGAACACUCCUCUACCGGAUCAGGAAAUUUCAUUGCUUUAAGAAUUUUAAAGGUUACCUGAUCGUCUUGAACUCGCAUGGUGAGUUCACCUUUCUGCACAUCAAUUAACAUUCUUCCUGUGGCUAGGAAAGUUCUUACAAGGAUGAUUGGCACUUCCUUAUCUACUUCAAAAUCUAAAAUAAUGAAAUCAGCAGGAAAAAUAAAUUUAUCGACUCUUACCAAAACAUCAUCGAUCUUUCCUUCGGGAUAUGCUAAAGAUCGAUCUGCUAGCUGAAGCGUCACAAUUGUAGGUCUUACUUCACCUAUUCCUAACAUCUUGAAAAUAGACUUAGGCAUUAAGUUGAUACUCGCUCCUAAGUCACACAAAGCUUUACCACAGUAAGAUUCACCAAUGUUACAAGGUAUAGUAAAACUUCUUGGGUCUUUCAAUUUCGGUGCAGUUUGUUUUGCAGGAACGCAUUGCACUCUUUUGUCAAAGCCACAGUAUCAUACUCACUCAGUCUUUUUUUCUUGGACAGUAUAUCCUUCAUAAACUUCACAUAAUUUGGCAUUUGUUCUAAAGCCUCCACCAACGGAAUAUUGAUAUGUAACUGCUUCAGAACAUCCAAAAACUUCUUAAAUUGCACCUCAUGUUUCUACUUGUGUUGCUGCAAUCUUUGCGGAUAUGGAGGUGAUGGAACUUUCGGUUGAACCGGACAACUUUUCUGAGUGGGCAAAUCUGCAUCCAAAAAAGAUGUUAAAAUAUAUGAAUUCACUAGCUCAGGGUUUACCUUGUCAGACUUUAAAGAUUCUGAUUCCUUUGGUGUAGGAACUUCAACAGCUGGUUGACUUCCCUCCUUUUCAACAUGCUCAUCAUUGACAUCAAUCAAUCAGGGUUCCAGAUUCUUUCCACUUCGCAAUGCCACUACCUUGAUAUGUUCUUUACCCAAAUUUCUUGGAUUCUCAGUAUCACUCGGCAAGGUUCUUUACGGUCUAUUACGAAGCUCCGUAGCUAAUUAACCCAGUUGGUUUUCCAAAUUUUUUAGUGUUGCUACUUGGCUUUGGAUCAAAGCGUCAUUCUUUGCCAUGUACACUUUCAAUAAGUUCUCGAAACUGUUUGAUGCCUCAGCUUGAGGUGGUUUUAGAGCUUGCUGAUUAAACCCUUGAGAUUGGUUGGGUCUUUGCUGUAAUAAGUUAUUGUUCGGUCCAUUUCCUUGGUUGCUCCAAAAAAAGUUAGGAUGAUUACGCCAUGACGGAUUGUAGAAAUUGGACUGGGGUCCUUGUCCACUCCUAUUUUGAUAUUGGUUCCCCACAUAGUACACUGACUCGGGAUUUGAUGGACAAUUCUCAAAAGAAUAACCUUCUCGAUAGUACACACAGGAAACUACUUCAAACAGACUUGGUGGUUGAGCUGCAAAAUUAUUAGUACUAUUAGCAAUUAACUGUUUUAACAUAGAGGAAAUAGACGAUACCUGAGUUGAUAACGAAGUGAGGGAGUCAACUUCAUGAACUCUAGCUAAUGUCUUUCUGAAGCUAUUCGAUUUGUUGGCCAUUGAUAGUUAUUACUCGCGAUCCUCUCGAUGAUCUCCUAAGCCUCAUUAUAAGACUUAGACAAAAUUACACCAUUCGCAGAAGCAUCUACCAUUAAUCUUGUAUGUGCAUUGAGACCAUUAUAGAAUGUCUCCAAAUGGAUACAAUGAGGAAUCCCAUGAUGAGGACACUUACGAAGUAACUCCUUGAAUCGCUCCCAAACCUCAUACAGAGACUCGUCAUCCAAUUGCUGGAAAGUUGUGAUCUCGUUCCUCAACUUAGCAUUUUUGCUAGGUGGGAAAUACUUAACCAAAAAUCUCUCUGCUAAUUCUUGCCAUGUAGAUAUGGAACUUGGUGGCAAUAAAUUGAGCCAUGCUCGUGCUCGAUCUCGCAACGAGUACGAAAACAAAUUCAACCUCAGUGUGUCUUCAGUCACACCGACUAUCUUUAAUGAAUCAGUCACCUCCAUAAAUAAUCGAAGGUGAACAUGUGGAUCUUCCGUAGGCAUACCACUAAAUUUGCCCAUCGUUUGUAGCAUUUGAAACAUCAUUGGUUUCAAUUCAAACUGGGUUGCCUCAAUAUUUGGCCUUCUAAUUCUUGGGUUUAAAUAAUUGAAAAGUGGCACAGCAUAUUGUCUGAUGCAUCGAUCCCUAUCAUCGGCAAUGAGGAUGGGAUUUCGUACAUUAUCGGCUUCAUUACCUUGGUCUUGAUUCUGAUUUCCAAGGUCCAUCUCGACUUGUCUUUGAGCUAUUCGUUCACGUCUUUUUUGUCUGAAAGUUCGCUCAAUUUCAGGGCCUAAAGGGAGUAAAUCGAUAAUUCGAUCUAUGCUCAUAAACACCUAACAAGAAAAUCACAAAAAUUAGAAAGAAUAAGUUAAUAAUGUUAGAAAUAAAUCAAAUUGACAAUAAAUAAUUUCACGAAAAAAAAUAACUAUGGUAACAUUUGACAAUCCCCAGUAACGGUGCCAAAAAACUGUAACGCUAGGGUUUGUGCAAGUGUACACAGUCGUUAUCAAGUAAUAAGUAUCGAGUUAUUGUCUCCACAGGGAUGGUAUUUGUGCUGAGUCACUUAAUUUGUAAAAUUAUAUUAACAAUUUGAAAAAAUAAAAACAAAAUAUAGUUGAGAAGUGGUAUAAACUAGAUGCAAUGAUCCCUAAUGUAAAUUAUCCUAAUAUGCAGACUACAUGAAUGAAAUAGAUUUUAGCAAAAUUUAACACAAUUUGCAACAAUUAUAACAUAAAUGAACUAGGACAAUUACUUUAAUUAAACUUAAUUUAUUAUCAUCAUGCUUAAUAAUAUUUGGAAAAACAUUCCAUGGCCACUCGAUCUUUCAAGAGUUUGGAAACCAAAUUAGGUCCUUUCGAAAUCCUUUACUUAGUAAAAACGUAUUUUACUGAUCCUUAUUUACUAAGGGUUUCUUAGCAUUCGUGUGAGGUAACAAGGACGUGUUAGGUUUGAAACAAUUUAAUCACACAAAUCUAAUAACUAUGCAGAUAACAGAGCCUGGUUAGGGUUGUUAUGCAACCUACAAUUUAAUCAAGUUAGGAUCUAAAUUGAGCAUGCACAUUUCAAUUAUGCGUCCAUUAGUCAUCGUCUGGUUAGGAUCGCUCAGCUAAUUCACGUGCAUUUCAAUCUAAAAACUAUGCAGCUAACAGGUAAAUUAGCCGUCCAUUAGCCGUACCUUGAGCUUUUGUCACACUUCUUCUCUGCACUCAAUGAAAUAAAACACAACAUAAAAAUAUAAGCACCAUUUCUUUUAUUACUUUUUCUACUAAAAUAAGUUUUUUUUUCUCGUAAAAAACCUAAGAUGGGGAGAGGGUUUUAAAAUUCAAAGCCUUCAAAAAUAGAUGAGUUUGAGGUUGUUAAUAUUAUUUUAUAUUGUUGAAUAGUAAAUUAAUUUUAUCGAUGGUUGAACCAAUUAGAUCGAGAAUUAAUGAUUUGAUUGAUUUGAGUUUGGGCUGCUCAUUAUCUUGACUGCAUUUAUCAUUUAAUUCUUUUUUUAAUUAGCCAAACUCAUGUUCACAAUGGUAUAACAGUAAUUAAUGACUUCAUGGACAGAACAUCAAUAUAUAAAUACACAAACAAAUAUAAUGGGAAUUGGAGAACUCCCAUUUAUACAAACAAAUAUAAGUGGGCAAAUUCAAUACUCAUAAUAAAUACACAAAGAUGACUAAAAACAUUAUUAAACCAGAUCCAGUAUGCAGCAUACAAGAAAAGGGGGUAUUUCAAGGAGUAGAACGAGAAGGUGGUGGAGAAAAGGAAGGAAUAGAGGGAACUGCAGUUGGGAUUGAGGGAAUGCUUGGCAGAGGCGGCAGUCAUCUUGGCAAUGUGGUAGGAAGUGGAGGAAGCGCCCCAGGGUUUGGGAGAUUAGGGAAAGAUGGCAAUGGCGGAAAAGAGAAAGGAAUAGGGGGAAUUGCAGUUGGGAUUGUGGGGACUGAGGGAAUGCUUGGCAGAGGGGGCAGUCCUGUUGGGAAUGUGGUAGGAAGUGGAAGAAGCGCCCCAGGCCAUGAGAAUGAUGGUCGGGAUGGCGUUGGGAGAUUAGGGAAAGAUGGUAAACUUUGCGUUCGAGGCUGCUGCAGAAGGUGACGAGCUGCUACCCCAACAUCAAUGCCUGCAAAUGACAAAGCAAUCAAGAAUGCUAAAGCAAAGCAAUUGAAAGAGGCCAUUUUUGUUCAAAGAUUUCGAAACAAAUGAAGCAGAUGAAACGAAGUUCUUUAUCUGAAUAGUUGUGAGUGAGGAAAACAAAGCAUGGUAUUGAGGUUUAUAUAGGCAUUGGAGUAGUGAAUAGAAAUCCCCUGCCCUUAAACAAUGCCCCAUGCAUGCCCCCAAACCAAAUUAGCGCCACAUGUUUUUUAUUUUUUCCAUUUUAAUUGUAGUUCAUUUUUUAAAUAAAAAAUUUAUAAUGAUUUGAAUUAAUUUUUAACUUAUUAUCAACGUUUUUAUUUUUGUUUUAUUUUUAUUUUACAUUAAUUUUACCUAUUCUUUAAUUAACAACUUUAUAAUGACUUAGAGUUUAUCUAAUAGAGGUUUUUUUUUUAUAAUCGGUCUUAUAAUAAAAUUUUAUAAGGUGGGAACAAGUCCCACUGUGACAACAUGAUCCUUCAAUUUUUGGUGGUGGCAUGCCUUUAGUCAAAGGAUCAGCUAACAUCUGCUCAAUGCUAAUGUGCUCAAUGACCAAUUUCUUUUCUUUAACAUGUUCCCUCAUGCCUAGGUACUUAAAGUCGAUAUGUUUACUUCGACUUCCACUUCUUCCGUUCUUAGCCAUAGAGACAGCAGUUGAAUUGUCACAAUAUAUGAAAUAAUCAAAACCCAUAAUGACUCAGCCCAAAAAUCUCGAGCUUCAAACCCAAAUUAAAUUAAAUCAAAACCAUAAUUUAUUAUGUACAAUUGCACAAAAUUAACAUAAUUUAAGUGUGUCAUACUGCAUAUUAAAUUAAAGUUUACGUUUGACAUUAUAGAUAAUAUUCACGUGUAAAAUUUUGAGAUUUAUUCCCUUAAUUAAAGUAAUAUGUCAAAUAGAAUACUUGAACAAUCCUCCAUGUUGGCAAAGUUUAUGUACAGUAGUAGAAGCGAACUAAAUAAUUAGAAUAAAUCUAAAGUAUGGCUUACAUAUAAUUUAUUCACAAUGUGACUUAAACUUUGUCCUUCAAGAUUUCACGGUCUCAAUUUAUGUCUUAAAAUUUUAAGAUCAUUUUAGGUUUGUUAAAAAAUUAAAAGUUUAGAAAGUUAGAAUUGUUGCUUGAGGCGUGAAUAUCUUUAUUCUUUAGGAUAUUUGCGGAUUUACCACCUCUCAGGAUUUCGUUUGUAUCAUGCACAAUGAAAAAAUUGAAAAAAAAAAUUUCACAUUUGAAUGGAAUUGAGCUGUUAGGCUCAAGCCUCAUGUGCGCAUAUAUAUUCUCUUAUUUUGAGUCUUACAAGUUUAUAGUAAACCAAAUCUAUAUAAACAUCAUUUCAUUAGGUCAAUCUAAAAUAUGUUUAAUAUGUGUAAUUCUUUAAAAUAGAUGAAAACUUCAAAUAUGGUUUAGGUCAUUUUUAGAUUUGUCUUAUUUUAGGUUCAAAUCAUUCGAAUUUGAGGCUAAGUUUUUCAUGUCUAAUCAUUAUUGAUCCGAAUCAUUUUAGAUUUUGAUCAUUUUAAGUUCCAAUUAUUUUGUGAUCAAAUCAUUUCAAGUUUAGAUAAAUUUGGGUCGAUUCGAAUUUGACUUAAUUACGUAGUUAACUUUUUUUUAUAAUAAAUUGAGCUGAAUGAAAGUUAGAUUAGAAUUUAUUUAGUGUGCCUUUGUGUUUAAUUCGAAAUUUAAACAUCUCCCUUCGAAAUAAACAUGUUAAGACAAUUUUAUUUUAAAGACAAUAAUACAACAUAGUUGAUUUGGGAGAUAAACAUGUUAAUUUUUUAAUCCCAACCAAAAUUGUACAUAAUUCUUUUAUGUCAUAUUAAAUACAUGUAACGUCUUAUAAAAAUUGUCAAUAAAUUAUGCCUAGCGACAACGUUAUUCAACUCUAAUUUCAUUGUUAAUACCUAUUUCUAUUUUUCUUCUACUGUCUUCAACUUUAAAUAUAAAGGGAUUGAAAUCUUAAGAAUUGAGAUUUCUUUUCUCUGUAUUAGUGGACGUCUGAUUUUUUGUUUGAUUGUUUUUUUUUUACUGGAAUUGACACAUAUCUUUUCAGAUUUAUCAAUAUUUUUAAAAUUUAUUUAAGAUAUGUAUAUAAAUAUAUUACAAAUAUAAGAUAAAUGAAACUAAAUACAUUUCAAAUAUAAAAUAUUCAUUAAUAAAUUGAACAAAUAAAAAUUUAUCAUUCAAAUAAAUCUAAAAUUAUUAAUAACAAUCCAUCAUUUAAUAUGAAAUUUUAUGGAUUUAGCUCAUUUACUUAAUAAAAGAAGCUAAAAGGUGAACGAAUAUAUUUUUUCUUUGAUAAUCGGGUGAACGGUUUUUCUUAAUUAUAUUUUGAAUGUGAAAGUAUAUUCCAUUUUUUUAAAAACUUUACAUUCUGAUGUAACAUUUUUAAUUAGUCACGUUUCAAUUAAGUUUUUAGCAUAAUAGUAAAUAAUUAAAAGUUUAAUAUUUUUAAUAUUAUUCAUGCACAGGACGGUGCAUUAUGUUCUGGCAAGUGUGACAGGAAUUGAUCGGAAUGAGUUGGUGCAAUUGGUACGGACCGAAAUUUUCACCAGUGUAGAAAAAGCGUGUUGGGUGUUUCGCAAUGUUAUUGAAACCAAACUAAACAGACCAAGAACCGAUGAACCCGAGGACUAGAGCAAACUGCAGUUAAACAACAAAUCAUCAGCCGGUUAAGCCGUAUUUUAACCUUUUCUAAACUGGAAAUACGAAAAUUUCACUUCAAAUCCCUUGAGCUUUUGUCACACUUCUUCUCUGCACUCAAUGAAAUAAAACACAACAUAAAAAUAUAAGCACCAUUUCUUUUAUUACUUUUUCUACUAAAAUAAGUUUUUUUUUCUCAUAAAAAACCUAAGAUGGGGAGAGGAUUUUAAAAUUCAAAACCUUCGAAAUAGAUGAGUUUGAGGUUGUUAAUAUUAUUUUAUAUUUUUGAAUAGUAAAUUAAUUGUAUUAGUGGUUUAACCAAUUGGAUCGAGAAUUAAUGAUUUGAUUGAUUUGAGUUUGGGCUGCUCAUUACCUUGACUGCAUUUAUCAUUUAAUUCUUUUUUUAAUUAGCCAAACUCAUGUUCACAAUGGUAUAACAGUAAUUAAUGACUUCAUGGACAGAACAUCAAUAUAUAAAUACACAAACAAAUAUAAUGGGAAUUGGAGAACUCCAAUUUAUACAAACAAAUAUAAGUGUGCAAAUUCAAUACUCAUAAUAAAUACACAAAGAUGACUAAAAACAUUAUUAAACCAGAUCCAGUAUGCAGCAUACAAGAAAAGAGGGUAUUUCAAGGAGUAGAACGAGAAGGUGGUGGAGAAAAGGAAGGAAUAGAGGGAACUGCAGUUGGGAUUGAGGGAAUGCUUGGCAGAGGCGGCAGUCCUCUUGGCAAUGUGGUAGGAAGUGGAGGAAGCGCCCCAGGGUUUGGGAUAUUAGGGAAAGAUGGCAAUGGCGGAAAAGAGAAAGGAAUAGGGGGAAUUGCAGUUGGGAUUGUGGGGACUGAGGGAAUGCUUGGCAGAGGGGGCAGUCCUGUUGGGAAUGUGGUAGGAAGUGGAGGAAGCGCCCCAGGCCAUAAGAAUGAUGGUCGGGAUGGCGUUGGGAGAUUAGGGAAAGAUGGUAAACUUUGCGUUCGAGGCUGCUGCAGAAGGUGACGAGCUGCUACCCCAACAUCAAUGCCUGCAAAUGACAAAGCAAUCAAGAAUGCUAAAGCAAAGCAAUUGAAAGAGGCCAUUUUUGUUCAAAGAUUU
Molecule: long non-coding RNA, 242162 nt
Filed under: Gossypium barbadense (sea-island cotton)
Lineage: Eukaryota; Viridiplantae; Streptophyta; Magnoliopsida; Malvales; Malvaceae
Description: long non-coding RNA (GBAR_LNC022198)
Rfam family: Plant small nucleolar RNA R71 (bases 235996-236102)
Source: RNAcentral